UUUGGACAUUGAUGGACCUUCAACUUCUCCAAACGAGGGAAUAAGAAAUAAUCACACCAUCCGAAACUAAAACAGACAAUACUUGAUAAUUGUUCUAGCGACAACUCCUUUAGAUUAGGAAGCACUAUCUCCUUCUCAACGUUGAUAGGUGAAGCUUGACCAUCCUGCUCAGGAGACUCUGGAAUUAUUUCCCUUUCACCAUCCUCUUCUCUGAUAAUAUGCUUCAAUUGACCGCAUUUACUUAUGUAAAGUCUUUGUAGCUUUGGCAGACUUCGAGCGAGGGACGGUGUGAAGAUAAAUGUCAGUUUGUUGAGAGACUCCAAAUUCAGACGAUUAAGACUUUGGAGGCUGACAUGUCUAGAUUGUUGUAUUAAACUCAAUCCAUCCAGAAGGUCAAGGAAGGCAGCCACCAGCUGUCACCGCCCAGCCACCAACCGGCCAGCCGCCAGCCACCAGCUGUUUGCCGCCACAGCCGCCAGCCGCCUUCACACUUGAAGGUUGAAUUUUCUUGUUUUGAAUUCGUGUAUAAAUAGCAAGCUAAGCUUAUGUUAUUCUGUGUGGAGAGAGUAGAGAGAAACACUAGAGAGAAAGAGAGAGGGCGUGUAUUGUGUUAAGCUUUUGUGUUAAGUAAUUGUAAGCUUUUGUUCUUGAAAUAAAACAGUGUGUUUUAUCCCCUCCGAGUGUUUCAAAGCCACCACCAGUGGUUUCUCCCACCAACAAUUGGUAUCAGAGCCCCGUUCGUCAGAAAACAGAAGUGUUUUGGGAGAUAUCCGAAUUUUCAAAGUUGUCAAAAACAAGUUUUGAUCAUUCCAUUGUAUAGAGCUCAUCCAUACGAACUCACUGCCGCAAAAAUCAGCUCAAUCGGACACCGGGGUGAGCCACACGCGCCGCCUGAAGAUCCGGUGACUGUAGCCCAGUCUCACCCACGCGCGCCAGAGGAAGAAGACGAGUGACGUCCACGCGCGCCAUAUUUGAGCCGUUAAGCCGAGCCGAGCCGAGCUGCAAGCCAAGCCUCCAGCCGCGCCGAAGAAUAUUCCCAAGAAUAUUCCCUUUUCAAGCCGAGCCGCUAUUAGCCGAAGCCGAGCCGAUAGAAUAUUCCACAGAAUAUUCCCGGUUCAACCCAGCAAACCGCCCGACGCCCAGAAUUGGUUUUUUGACCGGUUCACCCAUUUUCUGACCUGAUUUCUACAAAGUCAAACCGGUUCCCGACUAUUUCGACCAUUCCGGAUCGAUCUACAAUGUCGGUUUUGCCAAAUUCAACUCCCAGAAGGAGAUAUAGUCAUUAAAAGAGCAAAAUGACUACAGAAAGUACACAAACACUCAUCCCGAAGCUGACCAAAGACAACUAUGAUAGUUGGUGCAUAAGAUUAAAGGCAUUUCUUGGUUCACAAGAGUGUUUGGAGAUUGUACACUAUGGUUAUGAUGAACCAGAGUCUAAAGAAGAAGAAGAUGCUUUACAAGAGGCACAGAAGCAAGCCCUGAAAGUCAACAGAAAGAAGGACAACAAAGCAAAGACCAUCAUCUACCAAGGUCUUGAUGAAGAUACAUUCGAGAUCAUAGCUUCCGCUGAAACAUCAAAAGACAUAUGGGAGGCUCUCCAACAAAAAUACAAAGGUGCUGACAGAAUCAAGAAGAUUCGUCUUCAAUCUUUGCGAGGUGAAUUUGAGUUAUUGCAAAUGAAGUCCUCAGAAUCUAUUUCUGAUUAUCACACAAGGAUUAUGGUGAUAGUCAAUCAGAUGAGGAGAAAUGGAGAAGCCAUCAUAGAUUCUCGAAUUACUGAGAAAAUUUUGAGAUCCCUAGAUCCAAAAUUUGAUUUUGUUGUUGUCGCUAUUGAAGAGUCCAAGGAAGUGGACAAGUUGACAGUUGAUGAGCUUAUGAGUUCUUUGCAAGCUCAUGAGCAGAAGAUUGUAAAGCGAAAUGGAGAUAAGGCCAUCGAGCAUGCCUUACAAGCAAAGAUGUCUCUCAAGGACAGAUAUGAGCAAGGGGAGACUUCAACAAGUGGAUAUACCACUCAAGCAGGAAGUCAACAAUCCAGAGGAGGAUUCCAGAGAUUCCAAGGAAGAGGUUCUUGGAAUACAAGCUUUAGAGGAAGAGGUGGUAGAAACACCACCAGAGGAGGUAGAGGACAGCAAGCAUUCACUCCUAGAGGAAGAGGAGGCGGUUACAAUAACCGUGACAAGAGGAAUAUCCAAUGUUAUAGUUGCAAUCAAUUUGGGCACUAUAGCACUGAAUGCAGAAGGAAAGCUCCGUUGGAGAUACGUGAGCAAGCCAACUAUGCAGAGAAGGAUGACAUAGAAGCUGCAUUUCUUGUCCAACAAGAACUUGGCGAGAAACAGGAAAAUAUAUGGUAUCUAGAUACUGGAGCCAGCAAUCACAUGUGUGGCUACCGAGAGUUAUUUAGUGAUCUAGAUGAGACCAAGCAAGGUCUAGUUACUUUUGGAGAUACCUCAAAGGUUCCAUUCAAAGGUAAAGGCAGCAUCCCAAUCAAGUUGAAGAACGGCGAUUCCAGCUACAUCGCCAAUGUUUAUUAUGUCCCAGCCAUAAAGCAGAACCUGAUCAGCUUAGGUCAACUUUUGGAGAGAGGAUAUACUUUUUACUCGAAGAAUUGCCAUCUGACAAUUAGAGACAACAAUUGGAGAUUAAUGGCCUAUGUGAAAAUGUCCAAGAAUAGGAUGUUUCCUUUGAACAUCCAGUAUGAUGCAGCAAGGUGUUUGAGUGCCAUCACCAACAGUGAAGAAUGGCUCUGGCACCUGAGGCUUGGACAUCUGAAUUUCACGAGCUUGAAGAUGCUAGCAAGCAAGAAGAUGGUCAAAGGUAUGCCUCACAUUGAUCAUCCAGAUGAAGUCUGUGAGAGUUGUGUCCUCAGCAAACAUCACAGAUCCAGUUUUGCCAAAGAAGUCAACUGGAAAGCAAAGAGGCCACUGGAGUUAGUACACACAGAUGUGUGUGGCCCAAUAACGCCUAUGUCGACUGGACAGAAUAGGUACUUCCUCACUUUUAUUGAUGAUUUUAGUAGAAAGACGUGGAUAUACUUUCUGAAGAGGAAGUCAGAAGUAUUCAAUUGUUUUAAAGAUUUUAAAGCAAUUGUGGAGAAGCAAAGUGGUUACAUGAUCAGAACAGUGAGAUCUGAUCAAGGUGGAGAAUAUACAGCAAAUGACUUUGAAGCCUUCUGUACACAACAAGGCAUCAGACAUCAAACAACGCCUGCUUAUACACCACAGCUGAAUGGUGUAGCUGAAAGGAAGAAUCGCACGAUUCUUGACAUGGCAAGAAGUCUGCUCAAAGCAAAGAAGUUGCCCAAGCAAUACUGGGCUGAAGCUGUAUCAUGUGCAGUGUAUCUACUGAAUCGCUGCCCAAACAGAAGUUUGCAAGGUGUCACUCCAGAAGAAGCUUGGAGUGGUCACAAACCAAGUGUUACUCAUCUACGAGUCUUUGGUUGUGUGGCAUAUGCAAAGAUCCCAGAUGCAAGAAGGAGAAAACUCGAUGAUAAAAGCGAGAGAUGCAUCUUUGUGGGAUAUGGUGAAAGAAGGAUGGGAUACAAGCUGUAUAAUCCCAUCACGAAGAAGGUGAUUAUGAGUAGAGAUGUUAUCUUUGAAGAAGAUAAAUCUUGGGAAUGGACUGAUAAUAAAGAAGCAGUUAGAUGGAUCAACAUUGAUUUGAUCCUUGAAGGUGAAGAAGUACCAACAGUACUUGUCGAAGAACCGAUUGUGCCAGCAGCUGAACCACAAAGUCCGGUGAUUAUACCAGCAGCUGAACCACAAAGUCCAGUACACAGAUUCCCUGUAUUCAACAGGAGGAACACACCAGGAGCAUCAUCAUCAACACCAGCAGCAGCAUCCUCGUCAGAAGGACCAAGAAGGAUGAGAAAUCUUGACGAGUUGUACGAUGCCACGCAAGUCAUCGAAGAUACAACUCUAUUUUGUUUCUUUGCAGACAAUGACCCACUUAGCUUCAACAAAGCUAUCACAGAAGAGAAGAUAGAAGCAAUGGAUAAAGAAAUGCAUGCCAUUGAGAAGAAUGAUAUCUGGAAGCUGACUUAUCCACCAGAAAGCAAGAAAGCAAUAGGUGUCAAAUGGGUCUAUAAGAAAAAGAAGAAUGCAAAAGAAGAAGCGCAAAAAUACAAAGCCAUUGAAGAGGGAAACAUUUAUCAGAAUGAAGUUCAUGCUUGGCAUGACAUCCCUCGAUUGAGUUUAAAGGGGAGAUUUGUUGUAUUAAACUCAAUCCAUCCAGAAGGUCAAGGAAGGCAGCCACCAGCUGUCACCGCCCAGCCACCAACCGGCCAGCCGCCAGCCACCAGCUGUUUGCCGCCACAGCCGCCAGCCGCCUUCACACUUGAAGGUUGAAUUUUCUUGUUUUGAAUUCGUGUAUAAAUAGCAAGCUAAGCUUAUGUUAUUCUGUGUGGAGAGAGUAGAGAGAAACACUAGAGAGAAAGAGAGAGGGCGUGUAUUGUGUUAAGCUUUUGUGUUAAGUAAUUGUAAGCUUUUGUUCUUGAAAUAAAACAGUGUGUUUUAUCCCCUCCGAGUGUUUCAAAGCCACCACCAGUGGUUUCUCCCACCAACAUAGAUGGCCCCUUCCAUAUACAUUUGAGCUCAGGUAAACAUGACAGCCGUAACUCUGUUAAAGAUGACAGAAGCGGUAGCUCCUUCUCCUCACUACUUCCUUCAUCAGGCUCACCUAAUUCAAAUACCUCUUCCAAUGAUUUACAGCUGUCAACAAUCACCUCCUCUAGAUUGUUCAAAGCUCGGAGCAAUUUUGCUGGAAACGGAGUGCGAACAUCCCCACAAUCGUCCACUCGUACAAAUUCUAAUCUUUGUAAGAAGCCGUUUUGCUGCCCAUGGACGACCAUCUUAUCAGAGAACAAUAUUAUAUUUUUUCACUCAUAAAAACAAUUUAUAUGAUGAGAGAAAAAAAAAAAAACAGGAUUACAUACUUUUUAGAGAUUACAUAUUAUUGUUUCAGUUUUUUUCUUAAUUAGAGAUAAGUUAAAUAAUAAUUAGAUUUUUGCGAAAAAAGGUUACUACAACUCCUAAUAAUUAGUUUCAUGUAAAAAAUAAAAAUAAAAAUAGUAACUAAUAUUUUUAUUUUAGUUAUAAAGUUAAUAAAUUUUUAAAGAUAUUUUAAUUGAAUUAAAUAUUUGAACACAAAAUAAGCUAAUAUGAUUUCUAUGAUUAAUUGUUGGUAUUAAGUUUCUUAUAUUUAUAUAUGUUUAGAUAAAACAAAAAAAUAAGCAGUGACGAAGAAAGAAUAAAUCUAACAGAUAAUAUAAAUUACGUAAAUCAUGAGGCAGUUAAAUCUAACAGAUAAUAUAUUUCAAAUGAGGCAGUCAAAUCUAACAGAUAAUAUAUUUCAAAUGAGGCAGUCAAAUCUAACAGAUAAUAUGUUCUUCCAUAUGAUUAAUUUUUAAUAACGCAGACAACAAUGAGGCAGUUAAGUUUUUUAUAUUUAUAUAUGUUUACAUAAAAAAAUAAAUCAUAAAAAAAUAAAAAUAAGCAUUUAUCAAUUACUUUACUUUUAGAAAUUGGGAGGAAGAAAGAAUAAAUUAUCGCAAUUGACAAUUUAAUUUAGUGGAGAAAUAUAAAUUACGUACUUGUAGCUGUGCCAACCAAUUACCCACUUCUUCGUGGCCUUCAAUGGUUAAUCUUUGCAAGGGCAAUUGAGCAUCAAAAUUCCUUGGACCUAAAAAGCUGUAAUUAGAUUGGAGCCAAAGAGAAAAUUCUCUUAGCCGAGGGAACUUGAUGAUGCCAUCUCUGGUAAGUGCAUCUCCUUCUCCACCGUAAAAUAUUUGCUUUAAAUUGUCAGCACGAGCAAUCCUCAUCUGUUCCAGGUUCGUAAGACUUGGAGACAUGGAGACAGGGAAGACAUAUUCCAGUGAAAAACAGAAAGAUAUGUUGAUUUUUUUUAAUUUUGGGAAGCGAGGAGACUCUGGAAUUAUUUCCCUUUCACCAUCCUCUUCUCUGAUAAUAUGCUUUAAUUCACCGCAUUCAUUUAUGCGAAGGCUUUCUAGCUUUGGCAGAUUUCGAGCGAGGGACGGUGUGAAGAUAAAUGUCAGUUUUUUGAGAUCUGAAACUUUCAGAUGAACAAGAUUUUGGAGGCUGACAUGUCUGGUGGGCCCCUUCCAUAUGCAUUUGAGCUCAGGUAACUCUUGCAGCUUUAACAGUGUUAAAGAUGACAGCAGCUCCUUCUCCUCACUGCUUCCUUCAUCAGCCUCACCCAAUUCAAAUACCUCUUCCAAUGAUUUACAGCUGUGAACAAUCACCUCCUUUAGAUUUUUUAAACCUUGCCGCAAUUUUGCUGGAAACAGAGUGAAAACAUCCUCACAAUCCCUCACUUUUACAAAUUCUAAUUUAUGUAAAAACAAUUGCUCAAAUGUCUUCGCAUUGAAGGAUGUACCAGCCAAAAUUAAUCUUGUCGAGGUUGGGUAUCGUCCUGCAUCAAACCGAUUCCCAAAUAUUAUAUCAUAUUUGCGCAAGCUAACUGGAAAAACAAAAUCUCUGGGAAUGCAUUCAACCUUCGGUAUCCACAAUGAUAAUACGGCUAACUGAGACAACGAAUUUAGUUCUGUUAGGCUUGCAUUCAUUCCUCCUGUGCUGUCACAUCCAACAGCAUCCCAUCCCUGAAAGCUGCGAUCCCCGAUCAACAGCUCUUCUAACUUCUUCAACCUUCCAAUCAAAUUCACAGGGAUCCUUCUUAGCCUUUCACAACCUGUCACAUCCAACAACCUUAACUCCUUGAGCUCUCCUAUUUCAUCAGGUAAUUCUUCAAUGGAUAAGCACCGUCUAAGACCAAGAAUCUUAAGUCUCUGCAGCUUUCUCAACCCAAUGAGGUCCUUGCAUCCACACCUGAUCAACACCAACGAUUGAAGUUUCGUUGAGAGUUCAAGUGAUUGCAAUGACAAGCACCCUCCCUUCAGAGACAAAACUUCAAUUUCUGUCAUCCCUUCAAAAAACCUCUGAGGAACAUUCAAACCAGAAUCCACUUCCAAUAAUAGAACUUUGAGCUGUGGGCAUACCAAUCCUUCAGGAAGUUCUGCUAGUUUAUUGCCCAUUAACGAAAUUGUUGUACAACCUUCAAAGCUUUUACCCGUCCAUUGCCAAUUCUCUAACCCUAAGCCAGCCUUGACCAUGAAUCCAUAUUCUUUUGAUGCUAUCUGAAUAGCAACAUCACGAACAAGGUCAUGCAUUUUCACAUGUUCUUCAGUUUCAGAGCCCAACAGCAUGCAACAAUCUUUGAGGUUUUCGAUUGCCACAGAAACUCGUUUCCUUGCAUCUUCAAUGGGCUCCGCAUCUUGAUGUAACCCAUAGCCAACUGCAUAUCUCGUCAAGUCCUCGAUUGGAAUGUCAUAAUCUUCUGGAAAUAAACAGCAUAGCACGAAACAUGACUUGGUUUCCUCGUACUUCAAAUAAUCAUAGCUCAACUUAAGACAUGUGUAAGCAUUAUUUUGUUCAUCAAUUUGUUCCAUGCGCACAAAUUGAGAUUCUUUGAGCUGUUUAGACGCUACUUCCCACUGAACUCGUGAUUUACCUCUUAGAGCCCUUCCCACUGUCACAAGUGCUAUAGGCAAGCCUUGGCAUUCUCUCGCAACCUCCCUUGCCACUGUGUUCAAGGUAGAGUCCCCAUCACGUAAACCUGCAUUGAUACUGAAUAAAUCCCACGCUUCAUCUUCAGGUAAGACUCUUAAAUGCACUUUUUGCUGGCACUCCAUAGAAAAACAUAUGCCUUGAACACGUGUUGUUAGAAGAAUUUUACAACCCCUGUGAUCAUCACCAAAUGGGAUCCCUAUCUCUUUCAAGUCAAUAUGUUUCCAAACAUCAUCCAGGGUUAUAAGCAUCUUCUCCACUUUCUUCAGUCUCUGCCGUAAUCGAUCUGCUCUCCCUUCUUUACUGUUUUCUUCAAUUUUCAAACCUAACAUAUCUGCCAUUCGGUUCUGAAUGUCUAUGACAUUUGGAUUCUGCGACACCGUAGCCAUCAAAACUUCAUCAAAAAGCUGCGACUCUCUGGCUAUCGUGCCUACUCUUUUCACCAGGGUGGUUUUACCCACCCCUCCCAUGCCGUACAGUCCGAUCAUAUUGGCGUUGUCAUCUUUGCGAGCUUUCAUAAUCUGUUCCAAAGCUUCUUUUGAAGAUUCUGAGGGCGUGAAUUCCUUUGAUGGAAGAAAUUCUAUGGGCUGAGGAGGAAAUUUGUGGGCCACUUUUGUAAACUUUGUUUCUGAAAGUCUCCGACUCCUUGGCCAGUGCCUUGCUUAACUUGAAUUGUCGAAUGCAGUUUGGACACCAAGUGAAGCAUUUGCCAUUUUUUCCUAUUUCUUUUUCCAAGGGCUUCGCACCUUCAAUUUUGCUGUUUGCAUCUUCCAUCCACUUUUUGACACCUUUCUUAAUUUCUUCAGCAUUCCUUUCAGCAGCUUCGACUUCUUUUUGCAGACCAUCUAGUGCUAAAGCAAGGUUCUCCUUUUGUUCUUUGAAUUCUUCAACAAAAUUGUUGAAACAGAACAUGUAACGGAACUGCCUUCCUACUGGUUCCACCAUGAGUUCUGCUAUCUUAGAUAUAAUGGAUCCACCCACACUUUCGAGAGCCAUUUUCCACCAGUCUGAAAAUCAGAGAAAUGAGGAUACAGGACGUGAGAGUGAGUCACUACAAGUAAAACAGGCGCAGAGAGAAUGGGAAUAGGAAUUCCAUUACCGUAAUUUGGGAAAAUAUGCGCGGAAAGCACUGGUACUGAGAGCUCAAUGAAAUAGCGGGAGGAAGAAAAGGAGAAGGCCUUUAGCUCUGUAUGGAAUCCAGCUUCAAAAGCAACAAGGCAAGGUAUAAGGAUUCUAACUGACACUUGUGAGUUAAAGCAGUAAUUCCCAUUAAAAAUGCAUUUUGAUGACAUAAUUAAGAUCAUAUUGAGACAGUGGCAAACAAAAAAUAAAUGUAUAAAAGUACUCACCUAGCAAAGAAAGAAACGAAUGAAAGGUUCAGGAUAAUCACUUAGCUCGCUUCCAACAACAAAUAUAAUUAAUUAAUCUAAGCUAUGAUCGGUCAAAGUUUUUUUUAGUUUUAUUCUUUUUUUAAAAAAAAAAAAACAGGAAAAAACUUGCAAAGAAAUAGAAUUACUGGAAUGAACACAAUAAAAGAUGAAACUCAAGCAAUUAAAAAUAAAUUAUCUAUGAUGAUCAUGUCUGUGUCACACUCAAUGAGGUAAUCACUAUUACAAUAUUAAAUAAAUAAAUAAAAGCUAAAAGAACUAGGUUUUUGGUGGCAUCCAGAGUGCGGUUACUUUCUUCAUCCUUCUUUUGUGGUUUUAUUUUAUUUCAGUCCUUCAAAUCUUUUUCUUUUGCUAUUUCAUCGAGUUGCUUUGCUCUUGAGUUGAUGUGCUUGCCCUAGAAUAUGCAUUAUGCUAGGGAUUACAAUUACAUUACAUAAGAAAUUAUACUUACAGAUUAUAAUUAAAAUUUUCAGUUUUUUUUAAACAAAUUUAUGAGAAAGUACCAAUAUUACAACGUGAGUAAAUGAUAGGAGAAUUUUAAAUCUUUUUGUGACAUGGUGACCAGCUGAUCCAAGUAACCAAUAGAUUAUCGCCACUUGUUCAACCUGAUCUGCACUUUAAGAUAGGGGUAGUCAUAACUAUUCCUCGUUUUGUUUGAGGAAAAAUAAUUUUUUUAAAAAUAAAUUUUAAAUUUUUCUAUAUUUAUUUGCUAUUAAAAAAAUUAAUCAAUAAAAAAUAUUUUUUAGUAAAAAAAAUUAGUUUUAUUUUUUAAAAAGUAUUUUUCUUUUAUUUUAGGCGGAAAAUACUUUCCAGAAAUUGUGAAAAAUUUAGAAAUAUCAUAUUAUUUGUUGAUUAUAACAAAUUGGAUCCUCAAACUUUUAAUUGCUAUAUAUUUUGUUUUGAAUAUUUUUGUUUUCAAUUUCAUCUGUUAUAAUUUGAUUUUAUAUUAAAUUUGAUCCUUAUUUUUAUGAUUGUUAUUUGUUUUUCUCUUUUUAUUUUUUUAAUUGAAAUUUUUUAUUUAUCAAAUUUGAUCAUCAUUCUUUUGAUUGUUAUUUAUUCUAUUUGAAAUAAUUUAUGAAUAGAGGGAGAGGUUGUUGGAGGCAGAAAAGGAAAGACUACGAUACUAUUUUUCUCUAUAUUUUGAGUUUUAGUUGUUAACAGCCAUGCUCGUUUGAUUUUAUUUUAUUUUUAUUUAUUUUUUUCAUGCUCUUGCAGAUAAGGCAGGAAAGGAGGACCUGAAAUCACGACAGCGAAUAAGGAGAGAAAUAGCGUGUUUGUUUUUUAUUUUUGAAAUUAUUUUUUUAUAAAAUUAUUUUUUUAUUCUAAAUUAAUUUUUUGUAUUUUUAAAUUGAUAUUAAAAAUAAUUUAAAAAAUAAAAAAAUAUAUUAUUUUAAUAUAUUUUUAAAAUAAAAAAUAUUUUUAAAAACAACUACUUAUUCAAUCACUUAAAAUAAAAACCUUAAAAUCACGGCAUGAUAAAAGGAGGAAGAAAGGAAUGGGACAAAGGAGGAAGAAAAUAAGGUCACGUAUAAAAUAGAAGAUGAAAAUUAGUAUGAAAAAGAGGCUAUUUGUUUUUUUAAUGUGUCAGAGUGGUUUUUAUAAUUAUAUUUAAUUUAUAAAAAUAUUAAAUUAAUAUAUUUUUAAAUAUUUCUUGUUAUUAUUAUAUAUAUAUAUAUAAUAUUCUAAUAUUUUUUUAAAUAAAAAAUUAUUUUAAAAAAAUAUGUGUCACAAUACUAAAUUAUAGUACAAAUUAAAAUAUAAAAGAGUUUUCUAUUACUAUUUACCAAGACUUAUUUUGUUGUGGAUGUGGAUAUUAAUAGUGAAUUUUUUUAAAAUUUUCAAUUUGAUAUUUGAAUUUUUUUUUUUCAUAAUCGAAUCUCUUUAUGCCCAAAUUAAAACUCAAUUGCAUUUUGUUUUUUAAGUAUAAGAGUUGAAUUCAAAGAUAGAUGACUGAAAUGAAAAACUUGGUAAAAAUAUGCGGCGACAUUGUAAUUGUUUGCAAAGUUCAUUUUAGUCCCUUAUCUUUUUGAGCUACUAAGUAACAUGUCCCUAUAAUUUCUCAACAUUACAUUUUAUCCAGAAUCUCAGAUUAUGCUCUACGGACUAAACUAAAUUUUUCAUAAAUUGAGAGACCAAACUGAAAUUUAUCAUUUUCAAUCUUAAACCUAGAAUUUUCACAUAUCACCUACUGAUAUAACAAGAUUUCUAACUCAAAUUCACCAUUUAAACAAACCAUAACUCAAAAUCAUCAUUUUUACUUAAAGUCUUUCAAAAUCAACUAAAUAACUCAUUAUUCAUAACAAUCAACACAUAAUAUUCAAAUCAAUUCAUCAAUCAAACCCAAAACACAAUCUUCAAAACUCUAAUAUUCAACAAAACAGAAAAUUAAAGCUAAGAAAAACACAUUUAUACACAUCAAAGCGUAAAUAUUCUUACAUUUUAAUUUAUUUUCUCUAACUCUCUUAUCCUUUUGUUUAUCUUUUUCUCUUUUCUCUUUUUCUUCUUUCACUCUCACGGUUUUUUCUCUAAGAAUUCAAAUCUUUCUCUUUUUUAUUCUAUUUAUAUUUAUGAACUCUUUGUUCAAUUACUACAAUAUCGUUCAUUCAUUUAUACCUACUUUUAAGCCUCCAAGAGUUUUGUUGUUUUUUUCUAUUCUCUUUUAUUUCCAAAUCAUCACAAUAAAAUUGUUUUCUUUUUAUUAAGCUGCUAAUUUAUGCAGCUUUAGCUCUUGUUCUCUCUUCUUGUCUUGCUAUUCUGAUUUUAUCUUUUUCUUUACAUGAUAUAAGAGCAGGUUCUUACCUCUUGAAGUCUGCUGGAUAAACCUAUCAGCAGAAGAUCCUGAAGCGAUCCCAAAUCACAGCUUCAAUCCCCACCACAACCAAUCUCCUCUUUCCCGUAGUCUGUCGUCCUCAAUUGGGAAAUGAUCUCAAAAAAUCACUUGAUGCAACAAGUAGGGUAGAGAAAUAUAAGACUUCAACAAAGAAUCAAACUCAAAAAAAUAAAAGUAAUUGUCUAUGAGAAGCAUUUCUGUGUCACACACUCAAGUAAUAUGAUUGACCUAUUACAUUAUACAAAUUAACAAUAAUAAUAAUAAUAAUAAUAAUAAUAAUAAUAAAAGAACUAGGUUUUUGAUGGCAUCCAGAGUGCUGUUACUUUCAAACAAAGAGGCUUGUGCAUGCGGUGUUAUGCUGUUCGUGUAGGCUAAGAUCUCCUAUGAAUACAUUUGUAAAAUCAUACAAUUGUAUUCUUUUUAUUAAGCUGCUAAUUUAUGCAGCUUUAGCUCAUAUUCUCUCUUCUUGUUUAGCAAUUCUGAUCUGAUCCUUUUCUUUGCAUGAUAUAAGAGCAGGUUCUUACCUCAUGAAGUCUGCUGGAUGAACCUAUCAGCAGAAAAUCCUGAAUCAAUCCCAAAUCACAGCUUCAAUCCCCACCACAAUUACCAAUCUCCUCUUUCCUGUAGUCUUUCGUCCUCAAUUGGAAAAUGAUCCAAAAUCAACAACCAGUUCGGAGAUAGUCUGUGUGAAAAUAAACGGCUGAGAGAUGAAAUGUGAAGGUUAUGGUGAGAAAUUAGAUGACAAACUUACUUUGUCCUACUAAUGCUUUUGCUUUCAUUGUUUCAACAAGUAAAAGAGACAUAAGCAUAAUCAUAAGAAUCCUGUUUUUUCUAUUUUUUUCACCUAUUUAUACAUCAAAAAAUGGCAGUUUUUCUUGUCCUUUCUUUUUAAAAUCUUAUGCCUUGGGUGAGGAAAUUAGUGGAGCAUAAGACGUUUUAAAAGACAACAAAAAGAAGCAAUGUCUCAUCUUUUGAUAUGGUGGUCUUCCAUGAUCAGUUUGUUGAUGAAGAUAUCGAAAGAUUCGAGUCUCCGUUCUAGCUCAGGUUGGAAGCUAGGCCGAAGGCUAAGCUUCUUUUAAUUAUGAAUUGUUUAUGCAAAGGAAACCCAGAAGCUUGAACAAACAGAAAUGCCUUGUUGAUUUCUCUGCUACUACUCAUUAUUUCCAAUAUUAUUCCAUUAUCUUACCCGAAAGCAAUUAUACAAGAAAUUUCAUUAUCCUGCCCCAAAGGCAAUUUAUUACAAGGACUUCCUUUAACCUCCUUGAAGGCAAUUUAUUUGAUGAAAAUUCCUUUAAUCCACCUCAAAGACAAUUUAUCUUAGGGAAUUCCAACGACCCAGGCAAUUUAUUUGCUGAAAUUCCUUUAACCUCCUUGAAGGCAAUCAAGAUUUUAAAUUAAAAACCAUCUAGGUGGUGGCCCAGUGGUAAGAACCUGGGACCAAGAGGUUUGCUCAUCUGCAUAAUUAAAUAGUACUGUUACUGUAAACUACUAGGAAAUUCAUGCGUAGAGCCAAAAUGUUAACAAUAGCACAACGACCCAGGCAAUUUAUUUGCUGAAAUUCCUUUAACCUCCUUGAAGGCAAUCAAGAUUUUAAAUUAAAAAGCCAAAAAUGAACGCAUCUACUCUUGCAAGAAUGGACUCAAAAGGUCAGCUAAUCCGCAUAAUUAAAUAGUACUGUUACUGUAAACUACUAGGAAAUUCAUGCGUAGAGCCAAAAUGUUAACAAUAGCAUUGAUUCGGUCAGGGGCUCUGGUGUAUAGAGAGGACCUUGCCGUUAGAAACUAUGAACCCACUAUUUAUUAAUCCAUUUCUAUUUAGUACUAUUUACUAUUUAUUUAUUUUUAUUUACUAUAUUUCUGUAUGUGAUACCUAAGUACCAAUAAAAUUUGAGAUUCCUUCAAUUUUUUAGGUGCAUGUACAAAAUCAAUUCAAGAGUGUGUAUCCUUAACUAUAUAUCAGGCUAACCUUUACAGGCUGAGCUAGCAAUCGAUAAUUAAUUUUUAAUGAAUUCAUUUUUUAUUUAAAAUAAGGAAAAGGACAUUGUUACACCUUAACUAUUAUAAUUGUUACACCUUACCAAAGGGUUAAUUUAGAAAAAAAUUAUCAACUUACAGGUCACUGGCCGAGGUCAACUUAUGAUUAAGUAGAUCAAUUUAAAUUAAUUAUUUUUAUUAAAAUGAUAAUGUUUUGUUUUUUUUUUUCUUGAUAUUAAUUUGGCUAAUUUUUAUCAAAUCAAAUCACUAAAAACUUAAUCAAAUUAAAUUUCAUCAAAUCAAUAAUAUUUGAUGUAGUUGAAUUUUAUAUAUAUAUAUAAAUAUUUGAAAAUAAUUUAAAAAUGAUGUUUUCAUUAAUACCCAUUCUCAAUGUUUUUUUUGCCUUAUUUAGCUUUUUUUUCAAUUAGUUUUAAUUUUAUUAGCUUGGUUUAGUUUUUUAAGAGGUUAAUAUGAUUUAUUUGUAAUUUGUUUUAUAUAUUUCAGAUAUAUUAAGUAUUUUUUUUAUGUGUGUGUCAAUUUCUUUUAUAUAUUUAUUUUAGUAAAUAAAUUUAUUAAAUAUAACCAGAGAAAUGACUUUUUUAAUCUAUAUUUGUUUCUUAAUUUCUUAAUUUUUCCACCUGCUUUUUUAACUAUUGAUAAUGACUUUUUAUUAUUAUUAUUAUUCACACAAUAUAGUGCUGACACCCGCAGGUUGAGACUUGAGUAAACGAAAAUGAAAUAUUUUGGGUGUCUAUCUCCUAGUUAUGGUAUUAUUAAUAUUUGAGGGUUUUGAUUUGGAAUAAUUAGUGAAGAUUUAAUUAGAACUUAGCCAUGUACUUUAUUAAAAUUAAUUAUUUAGUCCUUAAAGUGUCAUGGAUAAUUAAAAAGUCUAUUAACUAGUGUUGACCACCCUCCAUUUACUAUGUUUUUCUCUAAAAAAUGCCUUCCUUCCUAAUGAAAUUUCCGCAACUGCAUCAGAUGUUUAUUCCCGUUCAAAUGCUCGCAACAGGGAAAGCAUAUGAUAAAGAGAAUGGAACAAGAUUCUUGUCUAUGGAGGGAAUCAAUGCUUCAACUUGCCUUGUGAUUUGCUUUAAUAAGAUUUUUUUUUAUAUAAAAAACAACUUUUAAAUUAUAAUUAAAAGUAAAAUAUCAUAAAUUUAUUUUAUAUUAAAAACCGAAUUCAUUAAACAUAACCAGGGUUGUUUAUUUUUUGUAAUGACUUUGUUUUUUAUUUAUUUAUAUAAUAAUUCAUGAUUUAUUUAAUUCGAUGCGUGCAUAAGUUUUUUAAUUUAUAUUUAGAAUUUUUCUUAAUGUAAAAAAAACAUGUUCAUAAAUUUUUAUUUUUAUGAUUUCAGUUUGAUUCUUAUUUUUAUGAUUUUUUAUGUUUUUUCCUUAUCCUUUUAUAAAAGUUUUUUUGUUUAUAAUUUCACCCUUCAAUUCAAUAUGAUGGAGUAAUUUUUUUUUUCAUUUUUUGCUUUAUAUUGUUGCCUCUCUCCUUUUGGGAAUAUUGUUGCCUCUCUCCUUUUUUUUUUUUUUUUUUCAUUUUAUCAGCUUUUGCAUGUGGAAUAUUGAGUCUUCUAUUUUUUAUCCACAGAAUUGAAUCCUUUAUAUAUUCUUAAAACUAGAUUUGAAUUCUAAUGAAGGAAUAAUAAAGAUUGUUGCAUGUACAAAUUCUCCUUCAAAAAAAUAUAAUAAAGUAUCAUGGAUUUAAGUAUAACUUAGCCCUGUAAUUUAUUAAAAUUAAUUAUUUAGUACGUCCUUAAAGUAUCAUGGAUAAUUAAAAAGUCUAUUAACUAGUGUUGACCACCCUCCAUUAAUUAUAUUUUUCUCUAAAAAAUGCCUUCCUUCCUAAUGAAAUUUCUCCAACUGCGUACUUUUCUUUUCCUUAUUCUAAUUUUUAAGAAAGAAGAAAAAACAUAUUAAUUGGAAAAGAACUAAACAAUAUGUAACUUUAAAAAUAUAAGAAUUAAACAUAUAGUUAUUGAAACUAUGGGAUUAAUUAAUUAUUGUUAUCAAAUUAUAGAGAAUAAAUUAUAAUUGAAUAAGUGUUUGUGUGGAGGAGUGUUUGCAAAUACCAUGGGAGAUGCGAUUUGUAUUAUUAAUUUAGUUGUUGGUAUAAUAGUCCAAAUAUUGUGACGACCAUUUUAUAGAAAUGAGCACAAUGUUUUUAGAAUAUUUAUAAAAAUUGACUUAAACCAAUCAAAAAAAUGAUUUUUGAGUUUGUUAAACAAUUUUAAUAAAAAUAAUAAAAAUAUAAAAUAGAAUUGAAUUGGUUGGAUAUGACCCAAACUAAAUUAAAUAAAAAAACUUAACCAAGCUAUAUUUCAAUGAUCUUGGUAUGGAUUUGUUUUUAUAAAAAAAACAUGUUCAUCCUUUUUUAAACUUCUUGUGGCCUGUUCAUUCAUACUUUAUUAAUAUUUAAAUUAUUUUUUUAUAUUUUUUAAAUUUGUUUUAAUGUUAUGAUAUUUUUUAAUUUUGUUUUGAUUGAUACAUAAAAAUAUUGUUUUUAUUGAUUAAAUUUUAUUUGGAAUUAUUGUUGAUAUUACAAAGACUUAUUUAUUCCUAUUCAGUUGAUAAUGACUACUUAGAUUUUGUAAAAAGAGUUACUUUCUUUAAUAGCCAAUUGAAUGAUUUUUUAUGAGAAAAAUAAAACAUCUUUUGAUGUGAAAAAAAGACACCAUGCACCGUCGUGUGAUACGAUGCUUUUUUUCUUGUGGCAUGUUUUUGAUGCUUUUGAUACGAUGUUCUUCCAGGAAUUUUUUAUCUUUUUAUUAGGCGGUCUAAGAUGCACAGUCGUGUGUGUGUCUAUAUAUAUAUAUAUAUAUAUAUAUAUAUAUGUAUGUAUAUAUAUAUAUAAGUCAUCGAUGCAUGUUUUUAUUUGGUAUUCAAUUCAAUUUCAUAAACAUUACUUUACUCUCUAAUUAAAUUGCUGCAACUAUAUAUAUUAUACCCUUAACCAGACUAUUAGUUUACCAUUCCUGACUAGCUAUCGUAUCCUUUUGGCAAGAAUCAUUGCCAAUUACUUUAUUCGUAGUAUGUAAGAGUCAUUAUCCAACCAUUUUCAAUUCCAUUUCAAAUCACUUUCUUUGAUAAAUUAGUUUAUAAAAUAUUUUUACAAAAACUCCAUACCAUACAUCUAAACAUCACAUAUGUUCAAAUUAAUUUGAACAUAGCAAGUGUUAUAUCUUCUUUUAAAGAUUGUAAAGGACAAAUAUACAAUUACAUUUUCCUUUUUGGGUCUCAAUUACAUUUGCAUUUACAUAUUGUUCACCUAGUAAUUUCUUUUAUAAAAUUUAUAAUAAACUCAAAAAAAUAAAUAGUACGAGAAACAAAGUUGAUAGACCCAACCGAGAACAUGCUCACGAGUUUAAAUAUCUUAAUUUUAGUUUGUAGAACAUAAAGAGAAAUAGAAUUGAUCCAUUAUUUUGUUUGCAGAACAUAAAUGAGAAAGCAACGUCAAUAUAUAAACUUAAUUAAUAAAUAUAUAGUUGGUUUUGUUUUACAAUAAAGAAUUAUUUUGUUCUAUAAAAGAGUAAUUGAAUUUUAUAAAUAAAAACACGAAAUUAUUUAUUUCCAUGCAAGAUGAAGUCAAGAUUCACCACUUAUUUGUGUGAGGCAAAAUAAUAAUAAUAAUAAUAUUAUUAUUAUUAUUAUUGUUAUUGUUAUUGAAUAAGAUGAAGUCAAGAUUCACCACUUAUUUCCAUGCAAGAUGAAGUCAAAUUUCAAAGUUCCCUUUACAAAUCGGUUGGAUAUGGCCCAAACUAUAUUAUACCCUUAACCAGACUAUUAGUUUACCAUUCCUGACUAGCUAUUGUAUCCUUUUGGCAAGAAUCAUUGCCAAUUACUUUAUUCGUAGUAUGUAAGAGUCAUUAUCCAACCAUUUGGUAUUCAAUUUCACGUUCUUUGAUAAAUUAGUUUAUAAAAUAUUUUUACAAAAACUCCAUACCAUACAUCUAAACAUCACAUAUGUUCAAAUUAAUUUGAACAUAGAUAGCAAGUGUUAUAUCUUCUUUUAAAGAUUGUAAAUGACAAAUAUACAAUUACAUUUUCCUUUUUGGGUCUCAAUUACAUUUGCAUUUUCAUAUUGUUCACCUAGUAAUUUAUUUUAUAAAAUUUAUAAUAAACUCAAAAAAAUAAAUAGUACGAGAAACAAAAACAAGAAACAAAAUUGAUAGACACAACCGAGAACAUGCUCACAAGUUUAAAUAUCUUAAUUUUAGUUUGCAGAACAUAAAGAGAAAUAGAAUUGAAUAUGAUGAUGAUGAUUUCUUUUUUCAUUUUCAGGAGACCUAUAAUAGCCGGUUGAGGGAGAGAUAUGGGGACGAUCCUUUGACCCUCCGGAUUUCGAUCCGGAUUUGUGGAUGGAGGUCGGAUCGUUCGGUGGACUCGAUAAAAAUCGGCUGUACGGGCUCUCCAACACUACGACCGAGAACUUGCGGUCGGCCCGUAGUGUCUCAACUGUUGGGAGCUCCAAAUCAGUAUCGAGCACCCAAUCUGAGGAUAUCAUGACCUUGAAACAACACACAGCUAAUCUCACCGAGAAAUACGAGCAACUCUUGGCAAAUUAUGAUCAACUCCGCCAAAUUGUCAUGAACAUGACUUCACAGAGUGGUGCUACAUGUCCGCCCCCUUUUUGGCCGUAUAACAACCAGCCUCCUCCUCCUCCUCCUCCAACUCCGCCAUUGUGCUAAUUUAAUAUUUUUUUGAAACACAUUCAAUUUGUAAUGAAUAUUAUUUAACACUAUUUUUUUGUUCUUAAUGUUUAAUAAAAUUUUAUUUGCAUAAUUGGUUUUUUUACUAUUAAUUUAUAUAAUUUUAUGUUAUUUAUUCUAAAUCAUUUUUAAUUUUUUUAAAAUACCCACCGAGGGAUUUACCGACGGAAUGUAUCACCGACGAAUUUACAGACGGAUAACGUUCGUCGGCCUUUCACCGAUAGCUAAAAAAUAUUUACUAUAUAUGCCACUAUCACCGACGGAAUAAAUUCGUUGGUAAGGUUCCAGCGGGAAGUUUUUUUUUUGGCGUGCAAUUUCCGUUUGUAAAACCAUCGAUAAUAUUUUUUUUACCGACAACCUUAGCGACGGAAUGCGGUAUUACCGACAAACAUUAUGCCGACGGACGUUUUUCGUUGGCGAUUUAGUCGGUAAAAAAAUUACUGACAAACUCUGAAUCUCAUACCGACGGAAUAUGUCCGUCGGUAAAACUGUGAAAUCUUGUAGUGAUUUAGAUUUGGGUUGGUUUUUUAUUUUUAAAUCAAUUAAAUGUUUAUUUAAGAUCAUGAAUGGACUUAUUGAGGUACCUUUUACCUAUAGCUCACUUUGAUACCCCCUCCGAUAUAUCUAACUCUUCAAUAAAGGAGCAAUUUUUCAUUACAUUCAGCACAAUAUUUAUUUCUCUAACAUGUAUGAAGAUGGCACGAGUUAAAAUGAUUGUGUAAAUUAAUUUACAAUAACGAGGCCUUCGUAUAUAGUAAUUUAUCCCAGACAAGAUGACUAAAGUACUCAAAAGAUUCAAGUAGACGUUGUUUUAACACCUUGAAGGAUUCUGAAAUUCUGCCUUGCUCGAACGCGCACAAAAUUUGCCUUUUCUUUUAUUCCUAAUCGGAUUCGUAUGCAUGCAAAAUUAAAUCACCUUGAAAACUCUUAAUCUCUAUCUCGGCUUUUAAAUAUAUAAUUUAUAGCCAUUGUAAAUUCACAAAAAAAUAUUGAUUUUUUUUUUAAUCUCUUGGGUUAUAAUAACCAUAUCUAUCCGGUGUUGUUUAUUGAAAUAUUUUUCAGUUAUUUUGGAUGAGUAUAAAAUGAAUUCAUAGUUUUUGAACUACAAAACCUAAGUUUUAUCUUGCAAACACCCCCAAAAACUUUUAGUAUUCUCAAAAACUCAAUUUUCAAUCAUAAAAUACCUUCUAAUUAGCCUAAAUGUGAAAAUCAAACCUAAUAAAAAAAAUUAUGGGUCUAAUAUACUUUUUCUAGCACGGUUAAAUGACAAGAUCAUUUUAAUCGAACUUCUUUUUUCAAGAUGAAUCUAUUAAUAUUAAAAUCGGAUUUUUUAGAUCAAAAUAUAAUCAGUCAAAUCCUUUUUUUUCUCCAUUUUCUGACCACAUUCUCUCCCUCCUCUCAAUAUUCAAUAACUUAAAAUAUAAUAAAAAUGAAUUUUUAAGAUUGAAUCAUAAAAAUUUAAAGCUAUAGAAUUAAAUAAAUCUGAAAAACAAAAACUUCAAGAACCAUAUUAAAUUUUUCUGCAACUUCUAAAAGGAUUGCAUUAUAGGAGAAUAGUUUAAUGCAUGAUAACUUGAGUCUUGCUACACAAUAAAAUUUGUUACAGUAAGAAUAACAAAUGUUUUAAUUUAGAAUAUAACUAGUUAGGUGCUCACACUACAUCGCGGGUUCACAUUUUAUUUUCAUAAAAAAUAUCAUAAAAAUUUAUAAUACAAAUAAUAAUAUUUUUUCAAUAUUAAUAAUCAUAUUUUUUCAAAUUUAUUAAUAAUAUUUAUAACACAAAUAAUAAUUUUUUUAUUAUAAUUGUAUUAAUUAUAAUAAAAAUAAAAUAUUUAUAACAUAAAUGAUAAUAUUUUUAAUAGUAAUACUAUUAAUUAUAAUAAAAAUAAUAAUAUUUAUAGCACAAAUGACACUAUUUUUAAUAUUAAUACUUUAAAUUAUAAAAAAUAUAUAUAUUUAAAAUACAAAUAAUUAUAUUUAGAAACCUAAAACCUAAGAACCUUGGGUUUUGAUAAAGGAUCCAAUAGAAUUAGGUUCUGACGCAAGACCCUUUAAGCUUGGGUCUUGAUACGGGACUCAAGACAAUCGGGUCCUGACACAGGACCCGAUUCGAAAGGUAAAAAUAUAAAUUAUUGUUCUUAUUAUCAUUAUUAUCAAUAAUAAAUUUGACAUAAAAUAUUAUUACCACCAAAGAAAAACUAUAUAGUUGAUUUGAAGGAUAAAAUUAAUAUUAAUAAUAAUAAUAAUAAUAAUAAUUAUUAUUAUUAUUAUUAUUAUUAUUAUUAUUAUUAUUAUAUGUGCUAUAGAUAUUAUUAUUUUUAUUAUAAUUGAAGGUAUUAAUAUUAAAAAUAAUAUUAUUUGUGUUAUAAGUAUUAAUAUUUCUAUUAUAGUUCAAAGUAUUAUUAUUUAUGGUAAAAAUAUUAUUAUUUUUAUUAUCAUUGAAGGUAUUAAUAUUAAAAACAGUAUUAUUUAUGGUAUAAAUAUUAUUAUUUAACUUGUCUGCCUAAAUGUUUAUAUUUUUGAGUCUUUAAAAAACAAUUGUGGUUUUUCUUCGAUAGUAAUAAUAGUUUUUUUUAAUUUAUUGAUGAUGAUGAUGAUGAUAAUUUUUAAUUUUACCUUUCAAAAUAAAAUUUAUGGUUGUUUUUCAAUAUUACUAAUAUUUGUUUUUCAAAUUUAUUUAUUAUUUUAUUAAUAAUAUUAAUUAUAAUUAAAAUAAUAAUAUUUAUAAGACAAAUAAUAAUAUUUUUAUUAUAAUAAAAAUAAUAAUAUUUAUAACACAAAUGAUAAUAUUUGUAAAUUCACAAAACAAUAUUGAUUUUUUUUUAAUCUCUAGGGUUAUAAUAACAAUAUCUAUCCGGUGUUGUUUAUUGAAAUAUUUUUCAGUUAUUUUGGAUGAGUAUAAAAUCAAGUCAUAGUUUUUGAACUACAAAACCUAAGUUUUAUCUUGCCCCAAAAACUUUUAGUAUUCUCAAAAACUCAAUUUUCAAUCAUAAAACACAUUCUAAUUAGUCUGAAAGGUGAAAAUCAAACUUAAUAAAAAAAAUUAUAAGUCUAAUAUACUUUUUUUAGCAUGGUUAAAUGACAAGAUUAUUUUCAUCGAACUUCUAUUUUCAAGACGAAUAUUAAUAUUAAAAUCAGUUUUUUUAGAAGGGAAUAUGAUUAGUCAAAUCCUUUUUUUUUCUUCAUUUUCUGACCACAUUCUCUCUCUCCUCUCAAUAUUCAAUAACUAAAAAUAUAAUAAAAAUAAAGUUUUAAGAUUGAAUCAUAAAAAUUUAUAGGAUUAAAUAAAUCUGAAAAACAAAAACUUCAAGGACCAUAUUAAAUUUUUCUGCAUCUUCUUAAAGGAUUGCAUUAUAGGAGAAAAGUUUAAUGCAUGAUAACUUGAGUCUUGCUACACAAUAAAAUUUGUUACAGUAAGAAUAACAAAUGUUUUAAUUUAGAAUAUAAAUAGUGGGUUCACUUUUUUAUAUAUAUAUAAAACAUAUCAUACAAAUAAUAAUAUUUUUUCAAUAUUAAUAAUAAUAUUUUUUCAAUAUUAAUAAUAAUAUUUUUUCAAAUUUAGUAAUUAUUUUAUUAAUAAUAUUUAUAACACAAUUGAUAAUAUUUUUAAUAUUACUACUAUUAAUUAUAAUAAAAAUAAUUAUAUUUAUAGCACAAAUGACACUAUUUUUAAUAUUAAUACUUUAAAUUAUAAUAAAAAUAAUUAUAUUUAAAAUACAAAUAAUUAUAUUUAGAAACCUAAAACCCAAGAACCUUGGGUCUUGAUGAAGGACCCAAUAGAAUUGGGUUCUGACGCAAGACCCUUUAAGCUUGGGUCCUGAUACUAGACUUAAGACAAUCGGGUCCUGACGCAGGAACCAAUUCAAAAACGGAUAAUUCCAACUCUGGCGUUGGUAACUAUUACGUAGCUAUAAAAUAAAUUUAGAUCAAUAUUUUUUUAUUCCUAACUUUAAAGCUAUUGAAUAAAAAAAUAAACUAAAUUCAUCUUAUUACGCAUUCACAUAUUUUUUAUUUCUUAUGUAGUUAAAUAAAAAAACAAAAAAAACAAUUAAAUCAGUGUUUUUAUUCAUGACUCUAGCGUCAGUGAAUAAACAAAAAAAAUAUUAUUUUUUCAUACAUGCACAUAUUUUUUUUUGCUAAAUAAAAUAAAAUAUAACGAAUAAAAAUAAUAUAAAUUUAAACCAGUAUUUUAUUCCCGACUCUGGCGUUGGUAAAUAAAUCAGUAAAUUUAUAUUAUUUUUAUUCAUGAAUACACAUAUUUUUUUAUUUUUUUAUUUUUUAUUUUUUUGGGGCUGGGCCCAGCUCAGCCCACAUGGGCUGGGCUAGCCCAGCCGGCCCAGCCCGGUCACUGGCCCAAGCCAGUGACCCGGCUGGGUCACAGCACGCAUGAACUAGUUUCAUGCGUGCAUGGCGCUGCGCGAAGGUAAUUAAUUACCUUCGCACACUGCUAAAUGCACUGAACUUUCGAAAGUUAAAAAACGAAGAAAACAGAGGAAGCUUACCUUGUUGCAGGUUGCUUCGCCGGAGUGUCAGCGUGUCGGGCGACGAUCAGUGGUGGCGUCCGUCAACAGUAAGCUAUAAUUCCUCCUUCGACCUCUGCCUUACUGCCCUCUGUUUCCUCUGCCCUCGUCUGAAAAAUUAUUCAUGUGCUCUGUUUUUCAAAUUCUCUCUACUCUCUCUCGGUUUGUUUCUGUUUUCGUUGUUUUAAGGCCGGUAUUGGUGAGGGAAAGGUUCACUUCUGGUAUGGGGUUCUAAAAAAAACUUAAAAAUUCGGCUGGUAUCUUUGUGUUUCUCUCUUGGGGUUUCGUUCGUCCCUCUCUCUCUCUAGCCAACCCCUGUUCUUCGGUGCUCCUCGGUUUAUAUAGAGCUCGGGCGGUAGGCUGAGGGUCGACCACCAUUAAGGCGCCCCUAACUGAAGCCAACGGACGACGAUUACUGCUGCAACGUUCUCCCUCCUUUACUGUAGAAAACGGUCACUGGCUUAAAGGAGAAGAAGAUGAACAGCGUCUUCAAAACGACGCCGUUUGGGAUAUGAGAUGGCCAUUUGCGUUUUGACCCGUGAAGUUUCGCAACUUUUAUAAUUAAGCCCCUGGUUUAAACUGUAAUUUCUCCUGCAUUUCGGCGCCUUUUACAAGUUAGUCCUUGGACUUUAAUCUGUUGCAAUCGUGCCCUAAUUAACCCCAAACUUUGCUAUUUCUUCAAUUAAGUCCCUAAGUUCAUUAAUUUAAUUCAAUCCAAGUCCAAUUAAGUCUCAAAACUUAUCAAUUAUCCAAUUAAGCCCCUGAUUGGAUUAAUUAAAUUAAUUCCAAGAUUAAAUAAGUCUCAAAACGUAUCAAUUUUCCAAUUAAACCCUUGAUUGGAUGAAUUAAAUUAAUUUCAAGCUUACUUAAGUCUCAAAACUUAUCAAUUCUUCAAUUAAAUCCUUGAUUGGAUUUAAUUAAAUUAAUUCCAAGUUUAAUUAAGUCUUAAAACUUAUCAAUUCUCUAAUUAAACCCUUGAUUUGAUUAAUUAAACAAGUAAAAAAUUUAAUUUAAAUCUUUAAACUUCCAAUCAUGUUACCCUUAACCCAAAUUUUAAUUCAUUCUUCAUUUAUUUCAUUUUUAUUAUUUAUUUUUCAUCAUCAUUAUUAUAUUUUUUUUCAUUAUUUUUCUUUUUAUCAUUUUCCAGUAAAUAAAAUAAUAAUAAUAAUUAAAAUAAAAUGGUCAAAAAUUGGGUUAUGACAACAUCUAUGGAAAUUCAAUCAUUUAAAAAAAUUCGGCAGCACCUCCCCUGUACUGAAGACUACCCACAAUUUAUAAACCUGCAAUCUUUACAAUAACCACAAUCCAAUUGACUCCAGCAACAUAAUAUAUACAACCUAACAUCUAUGAAAAUUCAAUCAUUUAAAAAAAUUCGACAGCACCUCCUAUAUAUUAGAGACUAUCUACAGUUUUCAUACCUACAAAUAUUAAUAAUUACACAAAUAUUGCAAAAUCAACUCUAUACAACCUAACAUAUAUAUACAACCUAACAUCUAUAGAAAUUCAACAUCUAUAUUUUUUCAACUAACAUCAAUAGAAAUUCAUAAAUAACAAUUAAAAUUAAUCAAAAUAAUAAACAACAUAACAAACAAUAAUAUCCUAAAAUUAAGAUAAACUAAUUAAACUUAAUUCUAUAUUUCAAUUAACAUUUUAAAUAUAAAUUCAACAACAAUAAUUAUUGCAAAACAAACAAUAAUAUCCUAAAAUUAAGAUAAACUAAUUAAAUUUAAUUCUAUAUUUCAAUUAAUAUUUUAAACAUAAAUUCAAUAACAACAAUUAUUGCAAAACAAACAAUAAUAUCCUAAAAUUAAGAUAAACUAAUUAAAUUUAAUUCUAUAUUUCAAUUAACAUUUUAAACAUAAAUUCUUAAAAUCUAUUGUUUUUUUUCAAUAUUAAUAAUAUUUUUUUUUCAAAUUUAUUUAUUAUUUUAUUAAUAAUAUUAAUUAUAAUUAAAAUAAUAAUAUUUAUAAGACAAAUAAUAAUAUUUUUAUUAUAAUAAAAAUAAUAAUAUUUAUAACACAAAUUAUAAUAUUUUUAAUAUUAAUACCUACAAUAAUAAUAAAAUAAUAAUAUUUAUAAGACAAAUUAUAUUAUUUUUCAUAUUAAUACUUUUAAUUAUAAUAAAAAUAAUAAUAUUUAAAAUACAAAUAAUUAUAUUUAGAAAGCUAAGACCCAAGAAGGAUCCAAUAGAAUUGGGUCCUGACGCAAGACCUAUUAAGUUUGGGUCCUGACGCCGGACCUAAGACAAUCGGGUUCUGAUGCUGGAUUCAAGAGAAUUUGGUCCUGACGCAUGACCCAUUACCCUUAGGUCCUAACACAGGACCCAAGCGAAUUGGGUCCUGACGCAGGACCCAUUAGAGUUGGGGUCCUAGGGCAGGAUUUAAGAGCAUUGAGUUCUAACGCAAACCAAUUACCAUUGGAUCCUAGUGCACGACCCAAGUGAAUUGUGUCCUGAGACAGGACCUAUUAGACUUGGACCCUUAGGCAGGAGCCAAGAGCAUUGGGUCCUGGCGCAUUUGAAAUAAAAUAUUAUUACCACCAAAGAAAAACCAUAUAGUUGAUUUGAAGGAUAAAAUUAAAAAUUAAAAUAGUAUUAUUUGUGUUAUAAAUAUUAAUAUUUUUAUUAUAGUUCAAAGUAUUAAUAUAAAAAAUAUUAUUAUUUGUGUUACGAAGAUUAUUAUUUUUAUUAUCAUUGAAAGUAUUAAUAUUAAAAAUAAUAUUAUUUGUGGUAUGAAUAUUAUUAUUUGCGGUACAAAUAUUUUUAUUUUUAUUAUAAUUGAAAGUAUUAAUAUUCAAAAUAGUAUUAUUUGUGUUCUAAAUAUUAUUAUUUUUAUUAUAAUUCAAAGUAUUAAUAUAAAAAAUGCUCUUAUUUGGGGUAUAAAUAUUAUUAUUUUUAUUAUAAUUGAACUAAUAAUAUUUAGAAUAUAAAUUAUAAUAUGUUUGAUAUUAAUACUUUCAACUAUAAUAAAAAUAAUAAUAUUUAUACCCCAAAUAAUUAUAUUUAGAAACUUAAGACCCAAUAACCUAGGGUCUUGAUGCAGAACCCAUCAGCCUUGGAUCCCGACGCCGGACCACAGAGCAUUGGUCCUGUUGCAGGAUCUAAGAGUACUGGGUCUGGACGCAGGACCCAAGAGAACUGGUCCUGAUGCAGGACCCAUGAGCCUUAGGUCCCGACGCCGGACCACAGAGCACUGGUCCUGUUGCAGGAUCCAAGAGUACUGGGUCCGGACGCAGGACCCAAGAGAACUGGUCCUGAUGCAGGACCCAUGAGCCUUGGGUCUUGACGGGGACCCAAGAGAAUUGGAUCCUGACGCUGGACCCAUGAGCUUUGGGUCUCACUAGGGUUCGCGCUGACCCAGCACACAAGCAGGGAAGCCCGAGCGUAAGGUGUCCCCAUGUGGCGCGCGGGUCUGGCUCAGCGCCUAGGGCUUGCCAGCCCUAGCGCCAGGUGUUCGCAUCCCAAGGCUUGUAGCCCCACCAAAACUGGAACUGACCAUUUUCUCCCCAACCAUCCCUUCAAUGCCAAAUAUAUCCCAGUGAGAAGACAACCCCACCCCUCCCCUGCUGUCCUUGCAAAUCUAUGUGGCAAGGGCAACUUUGUCAUUACACUACUUUAAUCCACAAUAUUUUGUAUCUAGAUAAAUAGUAACAAGGGCACUGAACCUUUUUAGUAUAACAAGGAGAUUUCAAGAAGUAGUUAAAUUUAGGUUAUAUUAGAUACGACUUUUGUAAAUUGAUUUAAUUUAUUUUUUACUUUUGAUUUUAAUUUAUUUUGAAGUAUGUUAGUUAGAAUAGCUACCAGAUUAGGCAUGUAACUUAUGAAAGGGUUUGCAAGCAGAAAACAAUUAGAAAUCAGAGGAAGAUUUAGAGGAUAUAAUAUUUAGGAUCUCUAGCAAAAGCCAGCAAGGUAUCUGCUCGAAAAAACCAUUCAACAUGAGAUUGCUCUGCUAGGAAAACAUGAUAUCAGUAUCAAACUUUUGAACAAUUAGUACAGCAUCAAGUCUCAGUCAUCUUGAAAUAUAUCGACAUCAGCAUACAAAAACAUUUAUUCUGCAUUGCCAGGCCCAUUUCCAAAACCACAUAAGCAUAUGCAAUAGAAACAGAGCAUCAAACUGACAGAGAAAACAUAGUGAUGCAGCAAAUACCCAAGUCGUAGAGCCAUUAAUUUGAGCAGAAAGGAGAAUGAAAGUCCACACAUUCUUCUUCUUUCCACCCAUUAUCUCGGGUCCACUCUCUAUUAGUGCUUGAAUCCUCAGCUACUUCAGAUACCUGUAAACCAAUUCAAGCAUGGCAUACAUAUUUUAACUUCUAAAUCUUAUUAUUGAGCGAAACAAGAAACAAACACACAAAAAGAGAAGCAACAAAUCAAGACAACUCAGCAGCACCUCUGAUUGAGCUCUUAUUGAACCAUUUGGUGUAGUAGCAAAUUUUGUGAUCAGCUUUGGGCAUUCAAACACCUUCAACUUCUCUAAAUGAGGGAAUAAGAAAUCAUAACAUCCGAGACUGAAGCAUACAAUACUUGAUAAUUGUUCUAGCAACAGCACCUGCAGAUUCGGGAGCUCCAUCACCUUCUCAACAUUGACAGGUAAAGCAUUCUCUUCCUGUCCAAAUACUCCCAAUAAUUGAGAAGCUUCUCUUACUUUCAGUAUUUGGAGAUUUGGGAGACCUGAAGCCAUGCCUACUGGGAAGAGACAUUUCAACUUGUUGCAUUUUCUGACAUCAAUUUCACAUAAAUUGGGGAAGCAUAAAGAUUGAAGAUGAUCUCCUGGCACUAUCUGAUCCUUUCCAUCAUCAUUAUCCCUAGCAAUGAUUUGCUCUAAUUCCUCACAACUUUCUAUGUUUAGAAAAUUCAGUUGAACUAGACUAGCAAUCAUGCUGUCUGAGAAUACAUGUGUUAGUCUCUUACACUCAUACACCACCAAAGUAGUCAAAUUGCUCAGCACGAGACCCUUCCACAAACACCUCAUGUCAGGCACAAGCAGGGAGCCCAAGCGCAAUGUUUUCAAACUUGUUAACUCCUACAUCAAAAGACAACAAUGGCACUAAUUUGUUAGAUAUAAUUCCUAGUAUGUUUUGGUAAAUAGAUGAAUCAGUUAUCAACAAAAGGAUACAAGUAGACAUGGCAAAAGGGCAUUGGAAUAUGAAAUCAUAAGUUGCAAGACUGAAAUAGACAACUCAAUAUUAGCAAAUGGAGGUUUAUCGUCCUAUCCAAAUACUUUCAUUAAUUGGGGGAAGAGCCUCAAUUUCACUCAAACUGGGAAAGCAUAAAUCAAGGUAGGAUUUCAUUACAAUAAUUAAUUUCUUACUUCUUAAGCCCUGCGUCAAGAGACAGGGAAUGAUACAGUUAGACAACUCCUUUUAAAUUUAGUGGAUGGCUAAAGGAUUUAUCUCCACUUAUAAAUUACUUCAGUUUUAGAAAUUUGGAGGAAGAAACACAGUGUAUUGAAGUUGACAAUUUAAAAUAAAAAGCAAAAAAAUUAUUGGAGAAAUAUAAAGGACGCACUUGAAGCUUUGCCAACAAAUUACCCAAUUCUUCAUGGCCAUCAAUGAUUAGACAUUGCAAAGAAGGCAAUUGGGCAGCAAAAUUCUUAGGGCCAAAAAAGCUGAAAUUUGAUCUGGAAGAAAGAGACAAUUUUCUUAGUCGAGGGAACUUGAUGAUGCCAUCUGUGGUGAGUGCAUCUCCUUCUCCACUGUAAAAUAUUUGCUUUAAAUUAUGAGCAUAAAAAAUCCCCAUCUCUUCCAGGUUCAGAAGACUCGGAGACACAGAGACAGGGAAGACAUAUUCCAGUUUACCACACUCUUCUAUGAAGAUAGUUUUUAAUCUUGGGAAGCGAAGAGACUCUGAAAUUAUUUCCCUUUCAUCAUCCUUUUCUCUGAUAAUAUGCUUCAAUUCACCGCAAUAUCAUAUGUCAAGGGUUGCUAGCUUUGGCAGACUUUGAGCCAGGGAUGGUGUGAAGAUAAAUGUCAGUUUGUCGAGAGAAUUCAAAUUCAGAUGAACAAGAUUUUGGAGGCUGACAUGCCUAGUAGCCCCUUCCAUAUACAUCUGAGCUCAGGUAAGUCGAUCAGCAGUAACGUUGUUAAAGAUGACAGUAGCGACAGCUCCUUCUCCUCAUUGCUUUCUUCAUCCACCUCACCCAAUUCAAAUACCUCUUCCAAUGAUUUACAGCUCUCAAUAUCCACACUACUUAGAUUUUUCAAAGCUUGCAGCAAUUUUGCUGGAAAAGGAGUGCGAACAUCCCCACAAUCGUUCACUUCUACAAAUCUUAAUCUUUGUAAGAAGCCCUUUUGCUGUAUAAAUAUUAUAUUUUUUAAACCCUUCACUCUCAUAAAAACAAUUUAUAUGAUGCAUAAAUAGGAAAAAAAUUUUAUAAAGUACGUACUUGUAGCUGUGCCAACCAAUUACCCAAUUCUUUGCGGCCAUGAAUGGUUAGUUUUUGCAAAGAAGGCAAUUGGACAGCAAAAUUCCGUGGACCUAAAAAGCUGUAAUUUGAUCCGAGCCGAAGAGACAAUUCUUUUAGUUGAGGGAACUUGAUGAUGUCAUCUCUGGUAAGUGCAUCUCCUUCUCCACCGUAAAAUAUUUGCUUUAAAUUGUCAGCAUAAUAAAUCGUCAUCUGUUCCAGGUUCGGAAGACUUGGAGACACAGAGACUGGGAAGACAUAUUCCAGUUUACCACAUCCUGAUACAAGGAGAGUUUUUAAUUUUGGGAAGCCUGGAGACUCUGGAAUUAUCUCCCUUUCACCAUCCUGUUCUCUGAUAAUAUGCUUCAAUUCACCGCAUUUUUCUAUCUCAAGUGUUUCUAGCUGUGGUAGACUUUGAGCGAGGGACGGUGUGAAGAUAAAUGUCAGUUUGUCGAGAGACCAAACCUUCAGAUGAGCAAGACUUUGGAGGCUGACAUGUCUGGUGGCCCCCUUCCAUAUGCAUUUGAGCUCAGGUAACCCUUGCAGCUCUAACAUUGUUAAAGAUGAUAGCAGCGGCAUCUCUUUCUCCUCAUUGCUUUCUUCAUCAACCUCACCCAAUUCAAAUACCUCUUCCAAUGAUUUGCAGCUGUCAAUAAUCACCUUCUUUAGAUGUUUCAAAGCUUGCCGCAAUUUUGCUGGAAACAGAGUGCAAAUAUCCCCACAACGCUGCACUUGUACGAAUUCUAAUCUCUGUAAGAAGCCCUUUUGGAGCUCAUGGCCAUGGUUGGUCAUGUGAUCAGAGUGCAAUUCUAUAUUUUUUAAACCCUCUAAACUCGUAAAAAUAAUUUGGGACACCGUAGGAAACAACAGCUCAAAUGUCAUCACAUUUAAGGAUGUGGCGCUUGUACCAGCCAAAUUUAAUCUUGUCGAGGUUGGGUAUCCUCCUGCAUCAAACCGAUUCCCUAAUACUAUAUCAUAUUUGUGCAAGCUAGGAAAAACAAAAUCUCUGGGAAUGCAUUCCACCUUCGGUAUCCUUAAUGAUAAUACAGCUAACUGAGACAACGAAUUUAGUUCUUUUAGGCUUGCAUUCAUUCCUCCUGUGCUGUCACAUCCAACAACAUCCCAUUCCUCAAAGCUGCCAUCCCCGAUCAACAAUUCUUCUAACUUCUUCAACCUUCCAAUCAAAUUCACAGGAAUCCUACUGAGCCUUUCACAACCUGUCACAUCCAACAACCUUAACUCCUUGAGCUCUCCUAUUUCAUCAGGUAAUUCUUCAAUGGAUAAGCACCACAUAAGACCAAGAAUCUUAAGUCUCUGCAGCUUUCUCAACCAAAUGAGGUCCUUGCAUCCACACAUGAUCAACACCAAAGAUUGAAGUUUCGUUGAUAGUUCAAGUGAUUGCAAUGACAAACGCCCUCCGUUCAGAGACAAAACUUCAAUUUCUCUUAUCCCUUCAAAAAACCUCUGAGGAACAUUCAAACCAUAAUCCACUUCUAAUAAUAGAACUUUGAGCUUUGGACAUACCAAUCCUUCAGGAAGUUCUGCUAGUUUAUUGCCCAUUAACGAAAUUGUUGUACAACCUUCAAAGCUUGUAUUGCUCAUUGGCCACUUCUGCAACCCAAUGCCAGCCUUUACCAUGAAUCCAUAUUCUUCUGAUGAUGCUAUCUGAAUAGCAAAGUCAUGCAUUUUCACAUGUUCUCCAGUUUCAGUGCCCAACAGCAUGCAACAAUCUUUGAGGUUUUCGAUUGCCACAAAAACUCGUUUCCUUGCAUCUUCGAUGGGCUCCGCAUCUUGAUGUAACCCAUAGCCAACUGCAUAUCUCAUCAAGUCCUCGAUUGGAAUAUCAUAGUCUUCUGGAAAUAAACAGCAUAGCACGAAACAUGACUUGGUUUCCUCGAACUUCAAAUAAUCAUAGCUCAACUUAAGACAUGUAUAAGCAUUUUUUUGUUUGUCAAUUUGUUCCAUGCGCGGAAAUUGAGAGUCUUUGAGCUGUUUAGACGCUACUUCCCACUGAACUAGAGAUUUAUCUCUUAGAGCCCUUCCCACUGUCACAAGUGCUAUAGGCAAGCCAUGGCAUUCUCUCGCAACCUCCCUUGCCACUGUGUUCAAGGUAGAGUCCCCAUCACGUAAACCUGCAUUGAUUCUGAAUAAAGCCAAUGCUUCAUCUUCAGAUAAGACUCUUAAAAACACUUUUUGCUGGCACUCCAUAGAAGAACAUAUGUGUUCAAAACGUGUUGUUAGAAGAAUUUUACAACCCCUGUGAUCAUCACCAAAUGGGAUCCCUAUCUCUUUCAAGUCAAUAUCUUCCCAAACAUCAUCUAGGAUUAUAAGCAUCUUCUCCACUUCCUUCAGUCUAUGCCUUAAUCGAUCUGCUCUCCCUUCUCUACUCUUUUCUUUAAUAUCCAGACGUAACUUAUCUGCCAUUCGAUCCUGGAUGUCUGUGACAUUUGGAUUCUGGGACACCGUAGCCAUCAAAACUUCAGGAAAAAGCUGCAACUCUUUGGCUCUCCUGCCUACUUCUUUCACCAGGGUGGUUUUACCCACUCCUCCCAUGCCGUACAGUCCGAUCAUAUUGACACUGUCAUCUUUGAGAGCUUUCAUAAUCUGUUCCAAAGCUUCUUUUGAUGAUUCUGAGGGCGUGAAUUCCUUUGAUGGAAGAAAUUCUAUGGGCUGAAGAUGAGCUUUGUGGGACACCGUUUUAAACUUUUCGCUAAUUUCUUCAAGUUUUCUGAGAGUCUCCGACUUAUUGGCCAGUGCCUUGCUUAACUUGAAUUGUCGCAUGCAGUUUGGACACCAAGUAAAGCAUUUGCCAUUUUUUCCUAUUUCAUUUUCCAAAGGCUUCACACCUUCAAUCUCGUUGUUUGCAUCUUCCAGCCACUUUUUGACAACUUUUUCAAUUUCUUCAGCAUUCGUUUUAGCAUCUUCGACAAUAUUUUGCAGACGUUCUUUUGCCGAAUACAGAUUCUCCUUUCGUUCUUUGAAUUCUUCAACAAAAUUGUUGAAACAGAACAUGUAACGGAACUGCCUUCCUACUGGUUCCACCAUGAGUUCUGCUAUCUUAGAUAUAAUGGAUCCACCCACACUUUCGAUAGCCAUUUUCCACCACUCUGAAAAUCAGAGAAAUAAGGAUACAGAACGCGAGAGUGAGUCACUACAAGUAAAAGAGGCACAGAGAAUGAGAAAAGGAAUUUUAUUACCUUAUUUUGGGAAAAUAUGUGCGAAAAGCACUGGUACUGAUUGCUCAAUGAAAUAGCGGGAGGAAGAAAAGGAGAAGGCCUUUAGCUCUGUAUGGAAUCCAGCUUCAAAAGCAACAAGGCAAGGUAUGAUCUAAGACGAAUGAAAGGUUCAGGAUAAUCACUUAGACGCCUCCAUGGGUGAUACCAGCUCGCUUCCAACAACAAAUGUAAUUAAUCUAAGCUAUGAGCGGUCAAUGUUUUUUUUAGUUUAGUUUUGUUUUUUUUCUUAAAAAACAGAUCAACAAGGGAAAAAACUUGCAAAGAAGUACAAUUACUGGAACGAACUCAACAAAGGAUCAAACUCAAGCAAUUAAAAGUAAUUGUCUCAUCUCUGUGUCACACACUCAAAGAAUUUCAUUACCUUAUUUUGGGAAAAUAUGUGCGAAAAGCACUGGUACUGAUUGCUCAAAGAAAUAGAGAAGGCCUUUAGCUCUGUAUGGAAUCCAGCUUCAAAAGCGACAAGGCAAGGUAUAAGCAUUUUGAUGACAUAAUUAAGAUAACAUGCGUAGUAAUAUAAAGAAAAUGACAAACAAAUAAAAAAAAAUAAUGUGUACAAGCAAGAAACGAAUGAAAGGUUCAGGAUAAUCACUUAGACGCCAUGGAUGAUACCAGCUCGCUUCCAGUAACACAUAUAUUUAACCUAAGCUAUGAUCGGUCAAAAAAAUAUUUAGGUUUCUUUUUUUUAUAUAUAAAAAAAUACAGAUCAACAAGGGGAAAAAAAAAAGAAAAGACUUGCAAAGAAGUAGAAUUACUGGAAUGAACUCAACGAAGGAUCAAACUCAAGCAAUUAAAAGUAAUUGUCUCAUCUCUGUGUCACACACUAAAGGAAGGAGAGAAAAGAAGGGGAUGGGAUCACGGCAAGAAAGAAGGAGAAAGAAAGGAAUGAGACAAAGAAGGAAGAAAGUAAGGUCACGUAGGGGCCAGUCUUGUAGAAAGUUUGAGAAUUAGAAUGAAAAAGAGGAUAAUAAAGUAGUUCACUUGUCAGAAUCAAAACACAUAAACAUAGGACAAAAACAGGGAGAGAGGCUAUUUGUGUUUUUUAACUGUGUUAGAGUGUAUUUUAUAAUUAUAUUUAAUUUAUAGAAAUAUUAAAUUAAAAGUUUUUAAUAUUUUUUGAUAUUUUUUAAAAAUAUAAAAUAUUAUUUUAAUAUAUUUUGAAAUAAAAAACAUUUCACAAUACCAAAUUAUAGUAUAAAUUUAAAGAGAAAUUGAUUUUCUUGUUCAUUAAUGUUUACUCAGACUCAUUUUACUAUGAAUAUUAAUUAUGGGUUUAUUGAAAAUUUUCAAUUUGAUACUUAAGUUUUUUUUCUAUAAUUGAGCCCUUUUGAGCUCAUUUGCAUAUUUUUUUAAGGAUAAGGGUUAAAAUGAAAGAUAGAGAACUAAAAUGAAAAACUAGGCUAAAAUAGGUGGCGGCUCUAUAAUUUGUUUGCAAAGUUCAUUUUAGUCCUCUAUCUUUUUAAACUAUUAAGUAACCAGUUCUUAUAAUUUUUAAACAUUGCAUUUUGGUAUAAAAUUUUAUUUUCCUCCUUUUUUUAGUUUUUUUUUUUUAGAGGAAAGAGAGAGGGUCGCCAGAUUUCAUCUUAGAGAGAAAACGUUGUAGUUGGGGAAGAUUUUGGCCCCUAAAACAUAUGUUGCUUGAUUUUUAAUUGAGUCUAAGUGGUUUUUAUAAUUAUAUUUAAUUUAUAAAAAUGUUAAAUUAAUAUAUUUUUAGUGUUUUUUUGUGAUUUAAAAAAAUAUAAAAUUAUUUUAUUAUGUUUUUAAUAAAAAAUAUUUUUAAAAAGCAUGUGUCCCAAUACCGAAUUAUUAUAAUUAUAAUAUAAACUAAAAGACACAGUCUUUUAGUUUGGCCUUUGACUUAUAGCACCGUGAAUUAGAACAACGUUAUCAUGUCCUAACCAUAGUUAUUAAACCCGAUCCAGAGGUUGACCUGGCCAAGGUGCCGGGUCCUGAGUUUCAUGGGUCAACCCGGAAAAAAAAAUAAAAAUUAAAGUUUUAAUAUUUUAUAUGAAAAAUUAAGAAAAAAUACAUGUAAAUAUAUGCUAUACAUAUUGUAAAUAAUGAAAUUUAAAAGAAUAUUUUAAAAAGUUUUUUUAUCUCACAUUAAAAAGAUAUUAUGUUAGGCUUUUAAGUUGAAAUAUUUAAACCAAAAAAGUUUUUUAUCUCACAUUGAAAAAAAUAUAACUUUUUUCUUGGAAACAUAGAGUAUAUAUAUUAUAAUACUAAUGGGUUUUAAAUCCCACAUUGAAAAAACAUAGUUUUUUUCUUGUGAACAUAACAUAGUUUUUUUCUUGUGAACAUAGAAUAUAUAUACUAAUGGGUUUCAAAUCCCACAUUGAAAAAAGAUAACUUUUUUCUUGGGAAUAUAGAGUAUAUUUACUAUAAUACUAAUGGGUUUUAAAUCCCACAUUAAAAAGAUACUAUGUUAUCCUUUUAAGUUGAAGUAUUUAAACUAAAAGGUUUUUUUAUCCCACAUUGAAAAAACAUAACUUUUUUUUUUGAAACAUAAUAUAUACUAAUGGGUUUAAAAUCUCACAUUUGAAAAAAAAACACCGGGUCUCGCCCCGGUUGACCCGCCAGGUCGAUCAAGUUUGGUCAGGUCAUUGCAUCGGCCGGUCUUUUGACAAACAUGGACCGGUUCAGCCCCCAGGUCAACCCGCCAGUCCGUUCAGGUUUAAUAACUAUAGUCCUAACUGACACGAUCAAAGAGUUGAUGUCUUAUCCCAAGUGCAAGAGUGUCAAAGUAAUAAAUAACCCGUCAAGACCGGGGUCGAACCACAAGGAGGUGAAUUAUAUAAAUUAUAAUAAUAAUAAUAAUAAUAAUAAUAAGAACAACAACAACAAUGAUGAUGAUGAUGAACAACAACAGGACUUUGAGAUGUAAGAUAAAUGUGAAGAUUAAAUAAUGAUAAAAACAAAUGUCAAGGUUAGAGGAUCCACUAAUAGUAUUAGAGAUAAGUAAAGUAUAAACUCUUUAUAAAUUAUCAACACGAUCAUAUCAAUCAUCUUAUUUACGUAACACCAUAUUUGUCGCACGUCAGAAAAUUCGUGCGGCAUCGGCUUGCAAUUUUAUCGUUGUUAUGCGUUGAUUUAGGGUCUUAGGAGUCGCCACCUAGUAAUUUAUAGAAGGCUACUAGGAAACCGGAUGAACUGGUCUUGUCAGAGAUUCACGAGUAAGAGACUGGUUGUGGUUAGAGAAGGUAUUAGCACCCCUAACACACCCUACCUGAGGUAAGCUGCUUCGUGGACUUGAUGUGUUAAAGAAGUUUUAAAAAUUCUGUUCUUUCAUUGAAUUUUAGAAAUACGACUUCCAUGUAAGUUCAUAAUUCUUUAUCCGUGAGCAAAUCAAAAUAUUAAAUUCUUCUUUAAUCUUUGCAAUUUUAUCAUAAAUAAAAAAAAAAACAUCCAUAACAAAAAAUAUAAACACACACAUACACCUUCACUGUAUUUUUUCUCUUUUCUUUUCUUUUCUUUUUGUUUUUACAUCCACAAUACAAAAUACAAUUUCAAAAGAACAAACUAAACCAAAAUUACAAUAAUAACCCCAAAACAAUCUGGAAUUUACAGGGAACACCUUCUGCAUCACCAGAACAGUGUCAGGCAGACUUCUGGAGCUGCAAGAACAGUGGUCGCACGUCUCCUCCACUCGCCACCGUGGCUGGUGGCGCGUGGGUUCACGCGCCGCCGCUGACAAUGCCCGAAAAUGGGCGGAUCUGCCCUGCUUUCUUCUUCCCUUCCCUUCUCUGCUGGCUGUGAGAACCACCGUUACCUGCAAAGGGGGAAAAAUAAACACAAUGCAAAGCUUCCGAUCCUCUCCUUUUUUAGAUCUACUAUCUUCUGUCUUCUCUUUCGGGUUUUCUGUUCUUCCCUUCUUCAGGUGGCAGGUCUGCCGGCUUCUUCUCCCCUUCCCCUCUGCAUCAGCGGUGGCUAGUGAGGAUGGAGACUGGCUGCUGUGGUCGGGUCUGUUCGUUGACCCGGAGAGGGAGGCCGAUGGGUCGGCUGAGAGAGGAGAGGAGGUGUUCCCGGGCGUGGAUGCUGCUGGAUGCUCUUCACUCCUGUUGGUGGCAGCAAUGGUUGGCCUUGCUGCUGUUGUCCGGCUGUCACUGGAGGCUGGUUGAUGGAGACCUGUGAGAUGGCCGGGGAGGGAGGCCGAUGGAAGGGAACAGUUGGGAUGGAGAGGGACGGCACUGCUGCUGUUCAGCCGCUGCUGGGGCCGAAUGGAGGAGAGACCUGGCGAUGGAAAUGAGAGAGUGAGGGGAUCCUGUUCUGUCAAAGAGAGGGGCGAGUGAAAGGGAGAUGAGGGAAAUGCAGAGGAGGCUGCUCUGGCUUGGGAAAAGAAGUUGGAAAUGAGGGCUAUCUGUUGAUGACCGGGCUGUGGGAGAAGGAAGAAAAAUGAGUGCUAGUCUUGGGAGAUGUGGAAACGGUGGGUGUUGUCUGUGAAGGGGAGGCUGGUCUGGGUGUGUGGGGGCUGUGGCUGAGGGGAAGGAACGGUGAUCAAGGGGGAGGGGGCUGGACUAUGGCCGGCUGUCACUGGUUGAAGGAAGGCCUGUGGGAAAGCUGGAGAGGCAGAGAGGGAAGAAGAAACCGAAGGGAAAACUUGGGGAAAGGGGAGCAGCGGCUUGUGUGAAGGAAAAUGGAGUGGGCAGCUGUUGUAAAAAUGAAUGGGGUUUUGUGUUGUUGGCUGGCCAAGGAGAAGAAAAUGGGAGGAACGGCGUGGAGAGGAAAACCAAAAACAUGGGGGGCCUGUGUUGUUGGCUAGAAAAUGGGGGAGGGCUGGCGGCUUGGAGAAGAUGAGAUAGGUUUAGGGUUUCUCUUCCCCUCUUCUGAUGUUGUCAAAAUUCUCCCCUGUUUGAGUUGUGGACCAGUAUUUAUAGAUAAAAUGUUGCAUGGAUCUAAAAAUUGAUCCCUCAACUUUUUUUAUUUUUUUUGUAAAUUUGAUUUUUCUUAAUUUUUUUGUAUUUUUUGAAAACGAGCAAUAUCAACGUCGACUCAAUGAAGAAAAUCAAUGAUUUUAAAAAUAACGCGUUGAAAGUUGAACGCGUUCCAAAUGUCUUUGAAAAUUUAAAUUCUUUUGAGACGAUGCUAAAAAAGAUGCAAAUGUAUUAAAAAUGUAUUUUUUGGAUUUUCAAUGUUUUUCGCUAUUUUUGGAUUUUUUCUGAAAAUUUAUCAAAACAUGGGUCAAAAAUUGGGUAGCAACAGAUGCCCCCUCUUUACAAUGCUUACGAAGCAAAACUCCUCAAUGUUUUGCAUAGUAAGCUUUGUAAAGAAAAACUUGUCUUUCUGUCACUCAAUAUCCACUCAUCUAAAGGCCUUGCUCUUUUUUUUUGUUCUCUCUUCCUUCUCUUUUCUUCCUCUUCUUUCUUCCUUUCUUUCUUUCUCUUUUUUUUUUUAUCUUGAGAUCCCAUCUGGCGAUCUCCUUUUCCAAAACCAAAGAAUAUGUGUAGCUCGGUCAACCUGAAAUCCCAUCUGGCGAUUUCCUUUAACCAAAGCUACAUGAGAUCCCAUCUGGCAACCUCAUUAAACCAAAACUAAAAAAAUGUGUGUGUAGUCUUAUUAUGACGGGUGACCUACCCAAAAUGAAAGAUGGUCUCAUUAUGACGGGUGACCUACCCAAAUACAAGAUGGUCUCAUUGUGAUGGGUGACCUACCCAAGUGGAAAAGGGAAAGAGUGGUCUCAUUUUUAUGGGUGACCUACCCAGGGGGAAGAAUGGCCUCAUUAUAAUGGGUGACCUACCCAAGUAAAAAAAUAAUGGAGAAUGAUCUCAUUCUAAUGGGUGACCUACCCAGAAAAAAUGGUAUCAUUGUGAUGGGUGACCUACCCAAGUGGAAAAGGGGAAGAGUGGUCUCAUUCUUAUGGGUGACCUACCCAGGGGGAAGAAUGACCUCAUUAUAAUGGGUGACCUACCUAAGUAAAAAAAUGGAGAAUGGUCUCAUUAUGACGGGUGACCUACCCAAAUACAAGAUGGUCUCAUUGUGAUGGGUGACCUACCCAAGUAGAAAAGGGGAAGAGUGGUCUCAUUCUUAUGGGUGACCUACCCAGGGGAAGAAUGGCCUCAUUAUAAUGGGUGACCUACCCAGAAAAAAAAAUGGAGAAUGGUCUCAUUCUAAUGGGUGACCUACCCAGAUGGAAGAUAGAAAAAAUAUGAAGUGGUCUCAUUGUAAUGGGUGACCUACCCAUAUGGAAGAUGAGAAAAAUGUGAAGUGGUCUCAUUAUUAUGGGUGACCUACCCAGGUGGAAGAUAGAAAAAAUGUGAAGUGGUCGCGUUAUAAUGGGUGACCUACCCAGGUGGAAGAUAGAAAAAAUGUGAAGUGGUCGCGUUAUAAUGGGUGACCUACCCAGGUGGAAGAUAGAAAAAAUGUGAAGUGGUCGCGUUAUAAUGGGUGACCUACCCAGGUGGAAUAUAGAAAAAAUGUGAAGUGGUCGCGUUAUAAUGGGUGACCUACCCAAGUGGAAAGAAUGUGAAGUGUGGUCUCAUUAUAAUGGAUGACCUACCCAGAUGGAAGAUAGAAAAAAUAUGAAGUGGUCGCGUUAUAAUGGGUGACCUACCCAAGUGGAAAGAAUGUGAAGUGUGGUCUCAUUAUAAUGGGUGACCUACCCAGAUGGAAGAUAGAAAAAAUAUGAAGUGGUCGCGUUAUAAUGGGUGACCUAUCCAAAGAAAAAGGAAAGAAUGUGAAAAACGGUCUCAUUAUGAUGGGUGACCUACCUAAAUGGAAAAAUGUGACUUACCUAGCAAAAAGACUUGGCAGGCGAAGUCCUGAUAGGAUAAGGCUGACAAACGGCGCUUCCUAAUUGCAAGGUUUACUUGAAGACUCCUCUUGAUGACGGGGUUAAUCUCCUCGUUUCUUUGAGAUUCUCCUACUGGCAGGGUUCAUCUCAUUCUCUUCUCGUUCCAGGAUCUAAACCGAUUCUUUGUCAUCAUCAACUCAAUGAUUCUUUCUUUGUCCACAACCUUGUUGAACUUCAUUGAGGAUCUUUCUGUAACAAAUCACAAGUAUGUGCAAUGCUUUGAGGUUAGAUGACAUGCAUGCAUCCUUACCUGAUGUGAAAUAUAGGUCCCCCCCUUUGAUGAUCCAUCGUCAUAGGGUGCCUUUGUUUGCUAACCAAAGCCUUCUUUGCUCUUCCCAUGUACUGACUCAUUCGUGUGCUAGCCAUCCACUCAAAUGUAAGUGCAGUGCCCAUCUCGGGCUGUCUACGACGAUUACUACUCUCAGUUGUUCUCAAUGUUGACCAUGCUUCCAAGCGUGGUGUUGCUCGAUUCAUCAUGAAGGAGUUGAACAAAUCAUCCAUCUCCUAGAUUCUCUCAAGAAUUGUCCUUUGAUUGGUUGUGCGUGUUUUGCCACUGCCGGUCAAGAGGUUUUCUAGUGUUUAACCUCAUUUUAGAUGGACUUGCCCCCAGUUGAAAUAACACUCUUCAAGUAUAUAUUAUCACCCGCCUUCUUGGAACUGCUAAGUCAUCCAGACAUGCCUCUCAUACUUUGCAGUAAAAGGCUAAUCAUUGUAAGCUCAAAGUUCUUCUCCAUAGAUUCCUCUCAGCUUGUCAAAUCAGAUCAGGAAAGGAAAUGCGUUGGCAUCAUCAAUGAUGUUCAUCACCCAUAUUCAUGCGGUGAAGUGUACAUUUGAGCUUCAAAGCAGAUGGUCCCACAGUCAGUCUUGGUGGGUGCAUCUUUCCAACAUUCAUUCAAAUGCAACUAUGCGAUAACAUCAUUCAAAAGUCAUAGCCAUGUUGGAGAUGAUAAACCAUGAUGAAGAUAUGAAAAUAUCCUUCAAAUGCAGCGUUGUUCAUCAAUUGCUGUUGAAGUUCACUAGAUCACAAACUGUCUUUGAACAAUAUUGCCCCCAGCAAUGAUUUGAAUGCUUGUUCAUCUGUCUAUAAUCAAGAAGUUUUUUUUUCUUUGUCAUUGCCAGAUGCUAAACAUAACUUCGAUGGACUUUGACGACUCAUCAUCUGAUUUUUUUUUUGCUUUGCCCUCAGCUGAUCUGAAUACUGCUUGUUUUCCUACCUAGGAUCCACUGUAUUGCCCCUAGGUGGUCAACUUUUCAAGGAGUGUCGAGAAAUGUUGAUGUCAUUCUUGUCAAGGAUUUUGCAAAUUCAAUCGAUGUUCUUCUUGUUUGACAAUCUUCCUUGUUCUGGAAUCAAAUCUCAUAUUUCAACGCUCAUGUCUAUUCAAAUCUAAUUGUUGAAAUGAAAUCAGAGAGAUGUCAAUUUUGAAAAGUAUUUUCUGGAAAUCAAGCUUGUUUGGUCAAAGAUCCAACACACGCUAUUCAAUGAAGUCCUUUAAUUGUCUUGUAUUUUGAAGACAGAAAUAACUCGUUGUAAGAUUAAAAUGACUUUUUUCGUGGUUCUUUGUGUCAAUUUUAAUCUUUGAUCUUAGGUAUAUCUUUUGAUGGCCUGCGAUGAGGUGACCUUCUGUGGAUUUCAAGAAACAAAAGGCUCAAGUCAAAACUUGAGGAUUCAUCAAGAAAGAUUGUUUUCUUUUUUAGCACCAAUUUUAUUAGCAUGCAUAAUAACAAGUAGCUUAAUCCAUGAAGUCACGACCCUUAUGGAAAAGCUCUUCAAGUUUUGAGAUCGUCAUUUAUCGGUUCAGAUUGCUUACUUGAUUAAAAAAAGGCUUUUUACAGCACGUAAUGCAUGCUAUGGUUCAUGGCUUAUGAAAGAAAGGAAAUUCACAGGCUCAAAAGGUGUUUGAGGGUUUUAAAGACCUAGGAUCAACAUCAAUUAUUCAUCAACUCCUUUUCUAUUGUUGUCUUUGUAGAGACGACAUAGAACCUUGUUAACCUCAAAGAUCAGACUUCUCUUAACAUAAGUCAUAAUGCAAAUCCACCUUUCCUUGAUGAAUAACCAACCUCAAUCAUCUGAUAACAUCAGAGGUUUUAUAAUGGAUAUCAAAAGUCACGUUUAUAGCUUAGUCUUUCUUCUGCUAUUGACUUUUGUUGUCUUUCCUUGAUGUCUUUCUUCUGCUAUUGACUUUUGUUGUCUUUCCUUGAUUGAAAUUUCUUUUGCCAAGACUUGAUAGACAUUCUCUUUCCUUUAUCUUUGACUUGCCUUUAAGUGAAGGCAAUUUCAACUUCUUUUUUUUUUUUUCAUAGCCUUCCUCAAAAUUUUCUUAUAUGCCCCCAGCCUAUGUGUUUUCUUUUAGCCCUCUCUCAAUCAUUGGACUUUUGUUCUAAGCCUUCCUUUUAUCCAUUAAUGUCUUCAAAAUAUCUCUCAUUGCCCCCAGUGUGGGGUGUGGUCCUAGUCAGGGUUUCUUUUUGAAAGAAAAUAUUUUACAAGGCUAAAAAAUGGGACUGCAAGGGAUAUAAUCUUUAGAAAGUGAAGGGAUAUCAAAGAUGACAUUUUCUCAUUUCAAGCAAGGUCGGUUAGAACCGAUAAAUUUUGACCUCAUCCAGUGUAAUGAUUGGGACUUGUAAGAAUAAUGAUUCACGAGUCCAUAACUAUCGAAUCCACUACAUGUCAUUAUGCAUACUGCUAAAACUUAGCUAUAUGAUGUUUUUUUCAGUUUCAGGAGGUAUGAGUUCAAAAUUGUUUGGUCACCUCAUGUCAUUUUCAAGAAUCAAGUCGUUUCUGCAAUCAAAAUAUUUUUAAUCUUCAGGAUUAAUUAAUCUUAAUCGUAUGUUCGAGCUUGAUCAAAAAUAUUUGUGUCAAAAUAGCCUUUGAAAGAAGCAUCGCUUGAUUUCAAAACAACAAGAAGACAAAGAGAAGACAUGUUUCGUUGAAGGGUGAGAUGUGAUCCCAAAACAAAAUGCAGAAUGCUAAAAUCCCAUAACAAAAAUGAUUGACAAUUUGACCCCUUCUUGGAUCACCUACUCUGGCGAUAUCUGUGUUUCACCGAGUCAAUUUCGAUCACUUGUCAUUCUGAGGAUGUUCUGGUGACAACAUGAUUGAUGACAUCAUCUUUCACAAACUCAGCUCGAUUCUUGAAACUCUUGUGUCUGUUCAACUGAAAUGGUUCACGAACCCUCCAUGAUAUUCACAUCUGGUUUGAAUUAUACCACGGUGGUUGCAUGCAAUUUGUCGAAGUCCGGGGCACUAAGUCUGGAAUCUGGCAGAUGCUAGUCGACAAACUUAAGUGGCAGAGGGAUGUCAAUCUUGGCAAAGACAUUUGAGCCAUUGAUGCUACAAUGAGACCUGGCUAAACCACAUAACUAUGGUUUUCCAUCUUCAGAGUCAUCUCCUUAUUCAACUCCCUUCACAGUUCUGAAAUCCACGGUAGAGCCUUCAAUCUUUCCCAUCUUGAUAGUUAGCUCUAUUCUUUUGGCAAUCCUCACAACAUCAUGUCAAUCUUCCAAUGUUGUUGCGGUUGUAUGAGAAUUGUUGGAACCCUCCACUAGCUAGGUAAUCUUGGCAGCAUACAGAAACAUGCAGUACCACCACUGCCGACGUGUGGAAUCACGCGUUGUCUCAACUGGAAGAGAACUUGAUGAAUCUAAAACUCCUUUGUCUCCUCUUUGAUUCCUCACUGACGGCGCAUCAAACAGACACCUGUAGAGGGAGUUCUGCUCCAUUGAAGUUUCAGUCUUAUUCCCGUUUUUCAGCCCACGUUUGUCUCUUCUCCCUACUUUUGUGUUUUAAUUCCAACACUGGUAGGAGAAAAUUGUAGACGAUCUGAAACUACUGCAUCCCUUCUUGGAUUCCUCACUUACAGAUCCACAAACAAAUCUCUAUAGAGAGAGCUCUGCCACAUAGAAGUUUGAUGUCUGCUUAUGUUUUUCAGACCAGGUAUGGCUUUUCAACCCACUACAGUGUCUUCGUACUGAAACUGGUGGCGUAAAUUUUCAUAUCUUCUGAAACUACUACAUCCCCUGUUCUGCUAGGAAAACAUGAUAUCAGUAUCUAACUUUUGAACAAAGAGUUCAGCAUCAAGUCUCAGUCAUCUUGAGAUUUGAAUGCCCAUAUAUAUUCACAUGCUCAUACAAUAACAUUUUUAAAAAUGCAUUAUGCAUUAGAAACAGAACAUCAAACAAAGAGUUCAGCAUCAAGUAGAACGCAUGAAAGUCCACACAUUAAACCAAAAGAAACACAAAUGGGCAAGCAAACAUACGCCCUUACUUCUGGAGGCUUGUACGAUAAUGACUACACACACAACAUUACAUUACUUCUAACUUCUUCAGCAAACACGUAGAUAGAUAAGUCGCAAUCUUCUAUGGUAAAUAAGACUGUUACAAUGUGAAGCCAAUUUGUAUCCCAUUGCCAAUGAAACAGUUGGAAUUAAUUACUUCCCACCCAUCUAAAACAUACUCGCAGCACCAUCCUUGAAAUCAUGUAACAGCUAACCAACCUUGCCUGAUGCAAACAUGAAGAACAAAGACAAUCCAUGAUUUAAUUCAACCAUUAAAAUUUGAAGGUAAAGGAGAGGAUAAAUAAUCUUCAGCUAUGUCACCUGGUUUGGGCAAGAAAGAAUUAUUAGACUAGCAAUCAUCAUCAUCAUCAUCUUCUUCUUCUUCUUCUUCUAUUUCUUUCCACCCAUUAUUUCUGGUCCACUGUCUAUUAAUGCUUGAAUAUUCAGCUACUUCAGAUACCUGUAAACCAAUUCAAGCAAGGCAUGCUCAUUUUAACUUGUAAAUCUUAUUAUUGAGCCAAACAAGAAACAAACACACUAAAAGAGAGGCAAGAAAUCGAGUCAAAUCAGCAGCACCUCUGAUUGAGCACUCAUUGAACCAUCUGGUGUACUAGCAAAUUUUGUGGUCAGCUUUGGACAUUGAUGGACCGUCAACUCCUCCAAACGAGGGAAUAAGAAAUAAUCACACCAUCCGAAACUAAAACGGACAAUACUUGAUAAUUGUUCUAGCGACAACUCCUUUAGAUUAGGAAGCACUAUCUCCUUCUCAACGUUGAUAGGUGAAGCUUGACCAUCCUGCCCAGGAGACUCUGGAAUUAUUUCCCUUUCACCAUCCUCUUCUCUGAUAAUAUGCUUCAAUUGACCGCAUUUACGUAUGUAAAGUAUUUCUAGCUGUGGUAGACUUCGAGCGAGGGACGGUGUGAAGAUAAAUGUCAGUUUGUCGAGAGAAUACAAAUCCAGAAUAUUUAGACUUUGGAGGCUGACAUGUCCGGUGGGCCAUAUGCAUUUGAGGUCAGGUAAAAUUUGCAGCUCUAACUCUGUUAAAGAUGACAGCAGCGGCAUCUCCUUCUCCUCAGUGCUUCCUUCAUCAGGCUCACCUAAUUCAAAUACCUCUUCCAGUGAUUUGCAGCACUCAAUUUUCACAGUGCUUAGAUUUUUCAGGGCUCGCAGCAAUUUUGCUGGAAACGGAGCACGAACAUCCCCACAAUCCCUCACUCGUACAAAUUCUAAUCUUUGUACGGAGCCGUUUUGCUGUUCAUGGGCGGCCAUCUGAUCAGAGAACAAUAUUAUAUUUUUUCACUCUCAUAAAAACAAUUUAUACGAUGUAUAAAUAGGAGAAAAAAAUAGAAAAAAGAGGAUUAAAUACUUUUUAGAGAUUACAUAUUAUUGUUUUAGUUUUGUUCUUAAUUAGAGAUAAGUUGAAUAAUAAUUAGAUGUUUGUGAAAAAAAGGUUAAUACAACUCCUAAUAAUUAGUUUCAUGUAAAAAAUAAAAAUAAAAAUAGUAACUAAGAUUUUUAUUUUAGUUAUAAAGUUAAUAAAUUUUUAAAGAUAUUUUAAUUGACUUCAAAAUUUUCAACACAAAAUUUAUGCUCUUAUAUAUUAAUGAUUUUUUUUGUGAAGUUAUUUGAUGUAAUUUGGUCUAAUUUUUAUCCAGAUAGAUUACCUCCAAAGUACCCUUCCAUAUACACCUCGUGUCAGGCACGGAGUCCAAGCUUAAUGUUUUCAAAUUUGUGAACCCCUGCAUCAAAAGAAAUUUUGUGCACUUUGGAAUUGUCCAUAUAAAACUUCAGCCAAAAACUUAUCAACAAAAGGAUAGAAGUAGACAUGGCAAUACGGCAUGGGAAUAUGAAAUCAUAAGUUUUUGAAGAUAUUUUAAUUGAAUUAAAUAUUUGAACACAAAAUAAGCUAAUAUGAUUUCUAUGAUUAAUUGUUGGCAUUAAGUUUCUUAUAUUUAUAUAUGCUUAGAUAAAACAAAAAAAUAAGCAGUGACGAAGAAAGAAUAAAUCUAACAGAUAAUAUAAAAGCUGCAGGACUGAAACGAACAACUCAAUAUUAGCAGAUGGAGGUUUAUCUUCCUCUUCAAAUACUUCCAUUAAUUGGGGGAAGAGCCUCAAUUUCACUCAAACUUGGAAAGCGUAAAGAUUGAAAAAUCUGGAUAUCAUUUCAUUACAAUAAUUAAUUUCUUACUUCUUAAGCCCUCCAUCAAGAGACAGGGAAUGAUACAGUUAGACAACUCCUUUUCAAUUUAAUGGAUGGCUAAAGGAUUCAUCUCCACUUAUCAAUUACUUCAGUUUCAGAAAUUUAAAGGAAGAAAUCAACAUGUAUUGAAGUUGACAAUUUAAAUUAAAAAGGAAAAAAAAAAAUUGGAGGAAUAUAAAGGACGUACCUGGAGCUGUGCAAAGAAAUUUUCCAAUUCUUUGUGGCCAUAGAUGGUUAGACUUUUCAAAGAAGGCAAUUGUGCAGCAAAAUUCUUUGGACCAAAAAAGCUGUAAUUUGAUCUGGAAGAAAGAUCCAAUUCACUUAGUUGAGGGAACUUGAUGAUGCCAUCUGUGGUGAGUGUAUCUCCUUCUCCACUAUAAAACAUUUGCUUUAAAUUGUCAGCAUCAGAAAUCGUCAUCUUUUCCAGGUUUAGAAGGCUUGGAUACACAGAGACAGGGAGGACAUAUUCCAGUUUACCACACUCUUUUAUGAUAAUUGUUUUUAAUAUUGGAAAGUAAGGAGACUCUUGAAUUAUCUCCCUUUCAUCAUCCUUUUCUCUGAUAAUAUGCUUCAAUUCACCGCAUUUACUUAUGCGAAGGCUUUCUAGCUUUGACAGACUGUAAGCAAGGGACGGUGUGAAGAUAAAUGUCAGUUUGUCGAGAUAAUUCAAAUCCAGAUGAGCAAGACUUUGGAAGCUGACAUUUCUGGUGGGCCCCUUCCAUAUGCAUUUGAGCUCAGGUAACCGGUACAGAUUUAACUCUGUUAAAGAUGGCAGAAGCGGCAGCUCCUUCUCCUCACUGCUUCCUUCAUCAGGCAGCUCACCUAAUUCAAAUACCUCUUCCAAUGAUUUGCAGUCCUUAAUUUCCACCUUCCUUAGAUUUUUCAGAUCUGGCAGCAAUUUUGCUGGAAACGGAGCCCCACAAUCGACCACGUGUACAGAUUCUAAUCUUUGUAAGAAGCCGUUUUGCUGUCCAUGGGCGGCCAUCUUAUCAGAGAACAAUAUUAUAUUUUUUCACUCUUGUAAAAACAAUUUAUAUGAUGUAUAAAUAGGAGAAAAACAUAGAAAAAACAGGAUUAAAUACUUCUUAGAGAUUACAUAUUAUUGUUUCAGUUUUUUUUUCUUAAUUAGAGAUAAGUUGAAUAAUAAUUAGAUUUUGGAGAAAAAAAGGUUAAUAACUCCUAAUAAUUAGUUUCAUGUAAAAAAUAAAAAUAAAAAUUGUAACCAAUAUUUUUAUUUUAGUUAUAAAGUUAAUAAAAUUUUAAAGAUAUUUUAAUUGAAUUAAAUAUUUGAACACAAAAUAAGCUAAUAUGAUUUCUAUGAUUAAUUGUUGGUAUUAAGUUUCUUAUAUUUAUAUAUGUUUAGAUAAAACAAAAAAAUAAGCAGUGACGAAGAAAGAAUAAAUCUAACAGAUAAUAUAAAUUACGUAAACCAUGAGGCAGUUAAAUCUAACAGAUAAUAUAUUUCAAAUGAGGCAGUUAAAUCUAACAGAUAAUAUGUUCUUCCAUAUGAUUAAUUUUUAAUAAGGCAGACAACAAUGAGGCAGUUAAGUUUCUUAUAUUUAUAUAUGUUUACAUAAAAAAAUAAAAAUAAGCAUUUAUCAAUUACUUUACUUUUAGAAAUUGGGAGGAAGAAAGAACAAAUUAUCGCAAUUGACAAUUUAAAUUAAGUGGAGAAAUAUAAAUUACGUACUUGUAGCUGUGCCAACCAAUUACCCACUUCUUCGUGGCCUUCAAUGGUUAAUUCUUGCAAAGGCAAUUGAGCAUCAAAAUUCCUUGGACCUAAAAAGCUGUAAUUUGAUCUGAGCACAAGAGACAAUUUUCUUAGUUGAGGGAACUUGAUGAUGCCAUCUCUGUUAUGAGACAAAGAGACUGGGAAGACAUAUUCCAGUUUACCACAGUAAGCUACAUGGAGAGUUUCUAAUUCUGGGAAGCAAGGAGACUGUGGAAUUAUUUCCCUUUCACCAUCCUCUUCUCUGAUAAUAUGCUUCAAUUCACGGCAAGCAAUUAUGGAAAGUCUAUCUAGCUUUGGCAGACUGUAAGCAAGGGACGGUGUGAAGAUAAAUGUCAGUUUGUCGAGAGCAUACAACUCCAGAUUAAUAAGACUUUGGAGGUUGACAUGUCUGGUGGGCCCCUUCCAUAUGCAUUUUAGCUCAGGUAAUAUUUUCAGCUUUAACUCUGUUAAAGAUGACAGCAGCGGCAUCUCCUUCUCCUCACUGCUUCCUUCAUCAGCCUCACCCAAUUCAAAUACCUCUUUCAAUGAUUUACAGCUGUCAACAAUCACCUCCUUUAGAUUUUUAAAACCUUGCCGCAAUCUUGCUGGAAACAGAGCGAAAACACCCCCACAAUCCCUCACUUUUACAGAUUCUAAUUUAUGUAAAAACAAUUGCUCAAAUGUCUUCGCAUUUAAGGAUGUACCAACCAAAACUAAGGAGGUUGGGUAUCGAUCCCAAAACCUUAUUUCAUAUUCAUUAGCAUACCCUAAUAUUAUAUGAUAUUUGCGCAAGCUGACUGGAAAAACAAAAUCUCUGGGAAUGCAUUCAACCUUCGGUAUCCUCAAUGAUAAUACGGCUAACUGAGACAACGAAUUUAGUUCUUUUAGGCUUGCAUUCAUUCCUCCUGUGCUGUCACAUCCAACAACAUCCCAUCCAUCAAAUCUGCAACCCCCGAUCAACAGCUCUUCUAACUUCUUCAACCUUCCAAUCAAAUUCACAGGGAUCCUUCUUAGCCUGUAACAACCUGUCACAUCCAACAACCUUAACUCCUUGAGCUCUCCUAUUUCAUCAGGUAAUUCUUCAAUGGAUGAGCACCACAUAAGACCAAGUAUCUUAAGUCUCUGCAGCUUUCUCAACCAAAUGAGGUCCUUGCAAUUACACGAGAUCAACACCAACGAUUGAAGUUUCGUUGAGAGUUCAAGUGAUUGCAAUGACAAACACCCUCCCUUCAGAGACAAAACUUUAAUUUCUUUCAUCCCUUCAAAGAACCUCUGAGGAACAUUCAAACGAUUAUCCAGUUCUAAUAAUAGAACUUUGAGCUGUGGACAUACCAAUCCUUCAGGAAGUUCUGCUAGUUGAUUGCCCAUUAACGAAAUUGUUGUACAACCUUCAAAGCUUGUAUCGCUCAUUGGCCACUUCUCUAACCGUAAGCCAGCCUUUACCAUGAAUCCAUAUUCUUCUGAUGCUAUGUGAAUAGCAACAUCACGAACAAGGUCAUGCAUUUUCACAUGUUCUUCAGUUUCAGAGCCCAACACCAUGCAACAAUCUUUGAGGUUUUCGAUUGCCACAGAAACACGUUUCCUUGCAUCUUCAAUGGGCUCCGUGUCGUGAUGUAACCCAUAGUCAACUGCAUAUCUCGUCAAGUCCUGGAUUGGAAUGUCAUAGUCUUCUGGAAAUAAACAGCAUAGCACGAAACAUGACUUGGUUUCCUUGAGCUGCAAAUAAUCAUAGCUCAACUUAAGACAUGUAUAAGCAUUAUUUUUUUCGUCAAUUUGUUCCAUGCAAGCAAAUUUAGAUUCUUUGAGCUGUCUACACGCGAAUUCCCACUGAAGUGCAGAUUGAUCUCUUAGAGCCCUUCCCACUGUCACAAGUGCUAUGGGCAAGCCUUGACAUUCUCUCGCAACCUCCCUUGCCACUGUGUUCAAGGUAGGGUGCCCAUCAAGUAAAUCUGCAUUGAUUCUGAAUAAAUCCCAUGCUUCUUUUUCAGGUAAUUCUCUUAAGAACACCUUUUGCUGGCAUUUCAUAGAAGAACAUACAUUUGUACGACGUGUUGUUAGAAGUAUUUUACAACCCCUGUGAUCAUCACCAAAUGGGAUCCCUAUCUCUUUCAAGUCAAUAUCUUUCCAAACAUCAUCUAGGAUAAUAAGCAUCUUCUCCACUUGCUUCAGUCUCUUCCGUAAUAGAUCUGCUCUCCCUGGAUUAGUAUUCUUUUCUUUAAUAUUCAUCAGUUCUAACUUAUCUGCCAUUAGGUGCUGAAUGUCUUUGACAAUUGGAUUCUGCGACACCGUAGCAAUCAAAACUUCAUCAAAAAGCUGCGACUCUCUGGCUAUCGUGCCUACUUCUUUCACCAGGGUGGUUUUGCCCACCCCUCCCAUGCCGUACAGUCCGAUCAUAUUGACAUUGUCAUCUUUGAGAGCUUCCAUAAUCUGUUUGAAAGCUUCUUCUGACGAUUUUGAGGGCGUGAAUUCCUUUGAUGGAAGAAAUUCUAUGGGCUCAGGAUGAGCUCUGUGGGACACUUUUGUAGACUUUUUUUCUAAAAGUUCUCUGAAAGUCUCCGACUUCUUGGCCAGUGCCUUGCUUAACUUGAAUUGUCGCAUGCAGUUUGGACACCAAGUGAAGCAUUUGCCAUUUUUUCCUAUUUCAUUUUCCAAGGGUUUCGCAUCUUCAAUUUCGUUGUUUGCAUCUCCCAGCCACUUUUUGACAUCUUCGUAAAUUUCUUCAGCAUUCCUGUCAGCAGCUUUGACAUCGUCUUGCAGACGUUCUUUUUCCGAAACCAGCUGCUCCUUCUUUUGUUUGAAUUCCUUAACAAAAUCGUUGAAACAGAACAUGUAACGCAACUGCCUUCCUACUGGUUCCACCAUGAGUUCUGCAAUCUUAGAUAUAAUGGAUCCACCCACACUUUCGAUAGCCAUUUUCCACCGACCUGAAAAUCAGAGAAAUAAGGAUACACAGAACGUGAGAGUGAGUCACUACAAGUAAAACAGGCGCAGAGAGAAUGGGAAUAGGAAUUUCAUUACCUUAACUUGAGAAAAUAUGUGCGAAAAGCACUGGUACUGAUUGCUCAAUGAAAUGGAGAAGGCCUUUAGCUCUGUAUGGAAUCCAGCUUCAAAAGCAACAAGGCAAGGUAUAAGGAUUCUACUGACACUUGUGAGUUAAAGCAGUAAUUCCCAUUAAAAAUGCAUUUUGAUGACAUAAUUAAGAUCAUAUAGAGACAGUGACAAACAAAAAAGAAAGAAACGAGUGAAAGGUCCAGGAUAAUCACUCAGCCCGCUUCCAACCACAAAUAUAAUUAACUAAUCUAAGCUAUGAUCGGUCAAAGUCAAAGUUUUUUUUAGUUUUAUUCUUUUUUUAAAUAAAAAAAACAGGAAAAGACUUGCAAAGAAAUAGAAUUACUGGAAUGAACACAAUAAAGGAUGAAGCUCAAGCAAUUAAAAAUAAAUUAUCUAUGAUGAUCAUCUGUUUGUCACACUCAAUGAAGUAACAUGAUUGACCUUUUACAAUAUUAAAUAAAUAAAUAAAUAAAAGCUAAAAGAACUAGGUUUUUGGUGGCAUCCAGAUUGCGGUUACUUUCUUCAUCCUUCUUUUGUGGUUUUAUUUUAUUUCAGUCCUUCAAAUCUUUUUCUUUUGCUAUUUCAUCGAGUUGCUUUGCUCGAGUUGAUGUGCUUGCCCUAGAAUAUGCAUCAUGCUAGGGAUUACAAUUACAUUACAUAAGAAAUUAUACUUACAGAUUAUAAUUAAAAAUUUCAGUUUUUUUUUAAAAACAAAUUUAUGAGAGAGUACCAAUUUACAACGUGAGUAAAUGAAAGGAGAAUUUUAAAUCUUUUUGUGACAUGGUGACCAGCUGAUCCAAGUAACCAAUAGAUUAUCACCACUUGUUCAACCUAUCUGCACAUUAAGAUAGGGGUAGUCAUAACUAUGACUAGGAGUGAGCAAAAAAACCGAAAAACCGAUUUAACCAAGAAAACCAGAAAAAAAUUAACCGAAAAAACCGAACCGGUAAAAAAAACCGAUUGAACUGGUUAAAAUAUUUAGGAAAAUGUCCGGUUCGGCUUCCGGUUUUGGUGUGCCUAAACCAGCCAACCCGAACCGAACCGAACCGGUUCGGUUUAGGAAUGAAAAAAAAAUAUAAACCAAGCGGGUCGCCUCCUCCCAUUACUUUCCCUUUCAACAACCCUAGCAGACCAUUUAUUUGUUUUCCCUUUCACACAGCCGCCCCCUCCCCUCCAACCCUUUCAAUCUUCAUUCACACUUCACAGACAUAGCCGCCCCCUUCAAUCACCCCUACUCCCAUUAACAGCCGCUCCCUCCCAUUAACAGCCGCCUCCUCUUCACCAGUCAACGAGCUUAGGCUAUUCUCGGACAACCAUUCUUCGAAUCUCGAAAGAAACCGCCGUGCGUGUGAGGUGGCGAAACUGUUACCGCUUCUAGAUCUUCUUCAAUCUAUUGCUUCUAUCAAAGCCGAUUACAUCGCUCAGGUAAUCUUGUCAUGUAAUUACAUAUUUAAUUAAUUAUUGCUUGUUGAUUUUAUAUUGUUUCUAUUUUUCAAUUUUGAUGUGUUAAUUAUUUUGAACAAUGUAAAAAUAAAGGUGGACGAAAGAACACAAUUUGGAAAGGAAAUUGGAAUCGUUGUCCCUGUCUCAGAUUCUCAAAAGACAAUCAAUCGCAAACAGUAUGUCCUCCAUUUUUUUUUCUUCUUUUCUUUCUCACUGGUAGAUUGGAAUUUGAAACUGCCAACAAAAGUUUGUAUUCGAAGUUAGCUUUUUGAAAAUUGACCCUAUUAUAUAUUUACUGUGGCUUAAGCUUUGAGAUAUUGCAUGAUUAUGAAUUAGUUUAUAUGAGUUGAAACUUGAAACAUAGUCUGACAAGGAUGGAUUAACCAAUUGCUGGGAAAAUAGUUUUCAAAUCUCUUUGAAAAAUGUCUGAUGCUGCGACAUAAGUCACAUAACAGACUCGAUUUGAAGGGAAUCUUUGAGAUAUUGCAUGAUUAUGAAUUGGUUUAUAGAAAUUUGCUGGAUUGAUUUUUUUUCUUUUUCUUUUUUAAAAGGGAAUUUAAUUAAAAUACAUUUUUUUCAUCUACUUUUUAAGUUUAAAUCUUAGAAUUAAUAUCCAAAAAAUUUCACCUUUGCUCGCUAAAAUAUAAUUUUAAUCUUAACAAAAAACUAUAUCUUAAAAUUGACUGUGUUGCUAUCCAACUAAGAAAUUGACUCAAGUGGCUUAGUGAUAUAUAGUGGGGACAUUCUAUUUUAGACAUGCAGCUUGUUGCCUUGUUCUACUUUAUUCUAUAAUCUAUUUGAGAAAAAUGUUGUUUAUUUCUUCUAGACACUUUAGUCUUCCAAAUUUCAGUUGUAACCAGCAAGCAUAGAGGUUAUGAUAGAGGUUAUGUAUUGGGAAGAUGAACUAUCUUUUUAUUUGCAGUGGCUGUGAAACUCUCUUUCUGUGUGUCUCUGUCUCGUGUGCGUGUGUAUAUAUGCACCUGUAAUUCUUGCUUCUCUCCAGUUCCUUUCGUUUGCAAGUUACUGUUGCUAGAGUAGGUGCAACUAGUUCUUUCCUCUACAAGUCGGGUUUGGUAAGAUUGAUUAUAAAGAAAAAGGUAUUGGUAAUGCACAAUUUGAUUUUAGUGUUGAUGUUAAGUGUGGCUUGUUUUAUGAUGGAUAAUUAUGUUGACAAUAUUGGGCUUCAUGAAUGAUGAUGCCAGUUUAUUUAUGGUCUUAAUAAGCUAUAUUACUGCUGGAUUUGUGCUCUUUAUUUAUAUGGCAAAUUCUUAUUCAAAUCUUUGAUAUUUAUCGCUAAUGAAACUUCAAUCUUGCCUCAAGUUGUCGACCAAGUCAAAAUUCCUCCUACAAGUAUACAAUAUUGUUUUAUUAUAAUGUUAUAAUGUUAUCGCUAAUGAAACUUCAAUCUUGCCUCAGGUGCUCUUUAUUAUUAUAUUGAUAUUAAAAAUAAUUUUAAAAAAUAAAAAAAAUAUUAUUUUAAAAUAUUUUUAAAAUAAAAAAUAUUUUAAAAAACAACUAUUUAUUCAAGGACUUAAAAUAAAAACCUUAAAAUCACGGCAUGAUAAAAGGAGGAAGAAAGGAAUGGGACAAAGAAGGAAGAAAAUAAGGUCAUGUAGGGGGCCAGUCUUGUAUAAAAUAGAAGAUGAAAAUUAGUAUGAAAAAGAGGCUAUUUGUUUUUUUACUGUGUCAGAGUGGUUUUUAUAAUUAUAUUCAAUUUAUUAAAAUAUUAAAUUAAUAUAUUUUUAAAUGUUUCUUGUUAUUAUAUAUAUAUAUAUAUAUAUAUAUAUAUAUAUAUAUAUAUAUAUAUAUUCUAAUAUGUUUUUAAAUAAAAAAUUAUUUUAAAAAAAUAUGUGUCACAAUACUAAAUUAUAGUAUAAAUUAAAAUAUAAAAGAGUUCUCUGUUUAUUACUAUUUACCGAGACUUAUUUUAUUGUAGAUAUUAAUAGUGAAUUUUUUUAAAAUUUUUAAUUUGGUAUUUGAAUUAUUUUUUUUUCAUAAUUAAAUAUCUUUAUACCCAAAUUAAAACUCAAUUGCAUUUUGUUUUUUAAGAAUAAGAGUUGAAUUCAAAGAUAAAUGCCUGUAAUGAAAAACUCUGUAAAAAUAUGCGGCAACAUUGUAAUUGUUUGCAAAGUUCAUUUUAGUCCCUUAUCUUUUUGAGCUACUAAGUAACAUGUCCCUAUAAUUUCUCAACAUUACAUUUUAUCCAGAAUCUCGGAUUAUGCUUUAGGGACUAAACUGAAUUUUUUAUAAAUUGAGAGACCAAACUGAAAUUUUAUCAUCUUCAAUCUCAAAUCUAAAAUUUUCACAUAUCACCUACUGAUAUAACAAGAUUUCUAACUCAAAUUCACCAUUUAAACAAACCAUAACUCAAAAUCAUCAUUUUUACUUAAAAUCUUUCAAAAUCAACUAAAUAACUCAUUAUUCAUAACAAUCAAUACAUAAUAUUCAAAUCAAUUCAUCAAUCAAACCCAAAACACAAUAUUCAAAACCCUCAUAUUCAACAAAACAAAAAAUUAAAGCUAAGAAAAACACAUUUAUACACAUCAAAGCGUAAAUAUUCUUAUCUUUUAAUUUAUUUUCUCUAACUAUCUUAUCCUUUCUUUAUCUUUUCCUCUUUUCUCUUUUUCUUCUUUCACUCUCACGGUUUUUUCUCUAAGAAUUCAAAUCUCUCUUUUUUUUUUCUAUUUAUAUUUAUGAACUAUUUGUUCAAUUACUACAAUACCGUUCAUUUAUUUAUACCUACUUCUAAGCCUCCAUGAGUUUUGUUGUCUUUUUCUAUUCUCUUUUAUUUCCAAAUCAUCACAAUAAAAUUGUUUUCUUUUUAUUUAGCUGCUAAUUUAUGCAGCUUUAGCUCUUGUUCUCUUUUCAUGUUUAGCAACUCUGAUCUGUUCCUUUCUUUACAUGAUAUAAGAGCAGGUUCUUACCUCUUGAAGUCUGCUGGAUAAACCUAUCAGCAGAAGAUCCUGAAGCGAUCCCAAAUCACAGCUUCAAUCCCCACCACAACCAAUCUCCUCUUUCCCGUAGUCUGUCGUCCUCAAUUGGGAAAUGAUCUCAAAAAAUCACUUGAUGCAACAAGUAGGGUAGAGAAAUAUAAGACUUCAACAAAGAAUCAAACUCAAAAAAAUAAAAGUAAUUGUCUAUGAGAAGCAUUUCUGUGUCACACACUCAAGUAAUAUGAUUGACCUAUUACAUUAUACAAAAUAAUAAUAAUAAUAAUAAUAAUAAUAAUAAUAAUAAUAAUAAUAAUAAUAAAAGAACUAGGUUUUUGAUGGCAUCCAGAGUGCUGUUACUUUCAAACAAAGAGGCUUGUGCAUGCGGUGUUACGCUGUUCAUGUAGGCUAAGAUAUCCUAUGAAUACAAUUGUAAAAUCAUACAAUUGUAUUCUUUUUAUUAAGCUGCUAAUUUAUGCAGCUUUAGCUCAUGUUCUCUCUUCUUGUCUUGCUAUUCUGAUUUUAUCUUUUUCUUUGCAUGAUAUAAGAGCAGGUUCUUACCUCUUGAAGUCUGCUUCAAUCCCCGUAGUCUUCCGUCCUCAAUUGGGAAAUGAUCCAAAAUCAACAACCGGUUCGGAGAUAGUUUGAGUGAAAAGAAACGGCUGAAAGAUGAAAUGUGAAGGUUAUGGUGAGAAAUUAGAUGACAAACUUACUUUGUCCUCCUAAUGCUUUUGCUUUCAUUGUUUCGAAAGUAAAAGAGACAUAAACAUAAUCAGUGUGUUUUCUGUUUAGCAAUAGCUAGAAAGGUAUCUGCUUAAAAAGACCAUUGAACAAGGGAUGACCCAUUCAGCAAGGGAUUCUGCUAGGAAAACAUGAAAUUGUUCUUCUAUUUGAUAUUUGUUUCAAUCUUCUAAACAAAUAGUACAGCAUCAAGUCUCAGUCACCUAUUCACGAAAUUGUUGUAUUUCUAAUGACUAUGCUAAUAAAAAAGUUGAGCCAGCAUGACACAUGAAAUUCAAAAAUAACAAAAUAACAUGAGAAAAUAAAUAUUUAUAUUAUAAUUAUGCAUCUUAAAAAAUCACUUGAUGCAACAAAUAGGAUAGACUUCUAGGAAAUUCUUUCACUGUAAAAUGGCUGAAGGUUCUUUUAUGAACAUUUAUAUUAAAAAAUUGGGUCAAUUGAUCUUUGUUAUUUAACAUGAAUAAAGUGUUGAUUUAGUCUUGUAGUUAUUAUAUCAAAGUUUUUAUUAGUUUAUGCACGAUCCCUUAUUUUACUUGCUUUAUUUUUUUUAAACCCAGCUUAGUUUCAAUCUCGAAUCUAUCGGGUCCCACUACCAGAUAUUCGCUAAAUACCAACGGAUUUACCGACGAAAUAUUUUCUGUCGGUAUUUUGAGGUCGAAAUUACCGACGGCCACUUUCCGUCCGUAAUUCAGUCGGUAAAAACCGACAAAAACUUUUCCGUCCGUAAUUCAGUCGGUAAAUACCGAUGGAAAUUUUCCGUCGGCAUUUACCGACUGAAUUACGGACGGAAAAGUUUCUGAAUUUUAAAAAAGGCGGGUCGCUGACGUGGAGGUUUUGGCGGGUUUUUUUUUUCCGACGGAAUCACCAACGGAUUCAAAAACGACUGCCCGUACAGUGCCCGUAAAGUGAUGUGACCGGUUCACCGUUUAAAUUUCCGACGGACUCACCGAGGGAUUUGAAAUGGCAGAUCCGUACGGUGACAUGUCUAUGUUUCCGUCAGAAUCACCGGCAUAAUAACCGACGGAGUGUCCGUCGGUAAAACCGUCGGAAAAAGUUAAUAUAUGACAGCUCUGCCGACCCUCUCAUCCCCUAUUUCUCCUUCUUCUUCCUCAUCCCAACUCUCCCCAUCUGCAAACAACCAGCCCCCCCUCCCCCCUAAAAAAAAAAAAUCUUCCUCAUAUCAGCACAAGAAGUUAUAUUUCUUGAAGUUUUGUGGUCACGGCAUCCGCGCGUGUUCUGAUUUAUCGACGGAUUUUAUCAAUUUUUGUAAGUAAUUAUAUCUUUUUAAAUUUUAACAUUUAAUUAAAUGUCAAUUUUAUUGUUUUUUUAGUAUAUGUAUUUUGUUAGUAGAUGUACAUGUUUUAUUGUUAUUUCUCAAACAAACUUGUAGUAUAUGAAUGUAUAAUUUUGUACCUGUUAUGGUUUGUUUUAGAUUUUGUAAGAUUGUAUUUGUUUGUAAAUUAUUAUUUCUUUAUGGAAUUACCGAAUUACAUGUGCUAUUUUGAAAUAAUUAAUAGCUUGGUUAAUGGGCCCGUUUAAAGUUUUAUCAAUGGUAUUGUGGAGUGGUAAUUUCUGUAAAUUUAUAUUUUUUAAUUCGUAUGGACGUUGAUAAAUGAUAAUGAAUAUUUAAUAUUUAUGAGAAGUUGUGAUUGGUUUGUUGGAUAAUCUCGAGUUAAAGUAAUAUUUGUACAAGUUUAUUUACCUAACUUAGUUAAUUAAUACAUGAUGUCAUCAUAAUUUUAUAGAGGUUCGAUAUAAGUCAUGGAUGAUCGUUCAUGGAUGUAUCGAGAUUCACCCCAAGGAUUGCGGAGGAUGGAUUAUUGUAAUGGGGUUCAGGGUUUUAUUAAUUUCGUAACAUUUAUUCCCAGAAAUUUUACUGGAGGCGGUAUUAGGUGUCCAUGCAGGAAGUGUGAAAAUAAAAAGUAUUUGCAUCCAGAUGUUGUAAUGAUACAUCUUCUACACAAAGGGUUUAUGGAGAAUUACCAGUGUUGGUAUGCACAUGGAGAAGUAUUUGUUAGCGAGAGUGAGAGGAGAAUGGAAGAAACGGUGGUUGGGUCUACUUCUAGUGCUAGUAACGUGCAUGAAACGGCAAAUGACAACACUAAUCCUUACAGAAAUAUGGUUAUGGAUGCAAUGAGAAUGAAUCAAGGUAAUGGCAGUCAAUGUCCAAUCGUAGAAGAAGAACCUAAUGUAGAUGCAGCUAGGUUUUUUGAUUUGUUGAAAGAUUCUGACGAACCAUUAUGGGAUGGCUGCACGAACCACAGUAAAUUAUCGGCUGUAGCACAGGUGUUCACCAUCAAGUCAGAUCACGGGUUGAGUGAGGCCGGGUAUGACAAGAUUAUUGAAUGGGCAAGAAGCAUUUUACCUGAAGGGAACAGGCUGAAAGAGAACUUAUAUGCUGCGAAGUUCAUGAUGAAACCCCUCGGUUUAGGAUACCAGAAAAUUGACAUGUGCCCUAACUUCUGCAUGUUAUACUACCUUGAAAAUGCUGAGAUGACUGAGUGCAUGACAUGCGGGCAUUCCCGUUACAAACCUAGAACUGGCAGGGGAAAGACUCUAGUGGCAUAUAAAAAACUUAGAUACUUCCCGAUCACACCUAGACUGCAGAGGUUAUUCAUGUCACCAAGGACUGCUGAGCACAUGACAUGGCACCAAGCACACCAUGCGGUUGAUGGAGUGAUGGUUCAUCCUUCUGACGGCGAAGCGUGGAAACGCUUUAACAGUGUUCAUCCUCACUUUUCAGCUGAAUCAAGGAAUGUGCGUCUUGGGUUGUGUACAGACGGAUUCAACCCAUUUGGGUCAUUUGCUGCUCCUUAUUCUUGUUGGCCGGUCAUACUCACAGUUUAUAACUUGCCACCGGGAAUGUGUAUGAGGCCGGAGUUCAUGUUUUUAUCUAUUGUCAUACCCGGUCCAAGAAGCCCGGGGCGGAAUAUAGAUGUUUGUCUUCGACCGUUGAUUGAUGAGUUGACGCAGUUGUGGUCCUCCGGAGCUCUGACUUAUGAUAUAUCGAGGAAACAAAAUUUCCUUAUGAGGGCGGCAUUGAUGUGGACUAUCAAUGAUUUUCCAGCUUAUGGAAUGCUUUCUGGUUGGAGCACGCAUGGGAAACUCGCAUGUCCAUAUUGCAUGGAAAACAACAAGGCAUUCACGCUAGCAAAUGGAGGUAAAGCUUCUUUUUUUGACUGUCACCGUCGCUUCUUGCCACUUCAUCACAGGUACAGAAAGAACAGAAAAGAUUUCUUUGCUGGCAGAGUUGAAAAAGAUGUUGCAUCCCCGCGUCUUUCUGGUGAAGAAUUGCAUGAUGUUGUCUUAGAGUACGGUGACAUUGUGUUUGGCCUUCAAUCAGGAAAGCAAAAGUUUCCUGGUUUUGGUUUGACCCAUAAUUGGGUAAAGCGAAGUAUCUUUUUUGAGCUUCCUUAUUGGAAGACCAAUCUGCUUCGCCAUAACCUUGACGUCAUGCACAUCGAAAAGAACAUGUUUGAGAAUAUUUUCAACACCGUCAUGGAUGUGAAGGGGAAGACAAAGGACAACAUCAAGGCUAGAUUGGAUAUAGCUUUAUACUGUAACCGAAAAAAUAUGGAGUUGGUUUAUGAUGAGUCACGGGUCGCAAAACCAAAAGCAAGCUUCGUGUUAGAGAAAAACGCACAACUGCUAGUCUACAAAUGGCUUAAGAGUCUGCGUUUUCCGGAUGGACAUGCAUCGAACAUAUCAAGGUUGGUUAAUAUAGAGGACUGCAGAUUGUAUGGAAUGAAGAGUCAUGACUGCCACGUGUUUAUGCAAACACUCAUCACAUUAGCUUUUCGUGAUUUGUUGCCAAAGGGAAUAUGGGAUGCACUCACGGAGAUCAGUCAUUUCUUCAGAGAUAUAUGCUCCAGCAAGUUGAAUGUUGAUCACAUUGAGAGGCUUCAAACGAAUAUCGUCGAGACACUGUGCAAACUUGAGAUGAUAUUCCCUCCAUCAUUUUUUGACUCAAUGGAGCAUCUCCAUAUACAUCUAUCGUUCGAGGCAAAAGCUGGAGGACCGGUCCAAUAUAGAUGGAUGUACCCAUUCGAACGGUUAGAUAUUACAGUUGCAAUGUAAUUCAUAUAUAAAAGUAUUUUAUAUGUUUUUCUUAAUUGAAAAUACUUGAUUAAUAUUUCAGGUGCGGUCGCAGCUAGUUCGUCUAGCAGCGAGGAUGAUAUUUCCUUAGGUGCCUCUCAAGAAGAGGCACCUACACCACCUGCGCCGUCAACCGAUGCUGCCUCUUCCAGCGGUACUUCACAGCGCAGAGGCGGCGUGCCUUCGCAGCGGAAUCAAUUUACCCGCAAGUACGAGGCACAGUGGAAGGACGACCUUUCAAUGUAAGUUUGUUAAGGUUUUAGUUUUUUUUAAAAAAAAUUACAACAUAAUUUAUCAAGUAAUCACUAUUGAAUUUAUUUCAUUUAUUUUCAGGUUCACAAACAUUGAAGUCGCCCGAGUAAUAUCAUCGGCGUUUAAAUCGUCGAUGGAGAUUCCAUUGUUUCAAUGGAGUCAGAUAUCCAAGCAUCCUGAAUGGAUGCCUCAAAUCAAUGCAUGGUUUAACAGGUUUGAGGUUGGUAUUAAUUUAUAAUUUUCAGCUUAUUAAUAUAAUUGUAUUAUUUUUAUUUAAACUUGUUUAUUUAUACAAAGCACAAAUUCUGCUAGGACAUUGAGCAUAACGCUGUUGUGAGGAGGGUGUGGGAAAAUCACGCGGCAACUAGGUAAGAUCGAAAACAAUACAUGAUUUUUUUUAGACAAAAAUUUAUGUUUCGAAAUGUAAUUUUUGGUUGCGUGAAGCAGGUUGCGUGAUUUUUGGUAUGAAGCACAGAAAAAGGCAAAAAAAACCGCGAGGGAUAGGGGUUUCCAAGGCUGGAACGAUGUUGCGGUUUGGAGGGAUUUCAAACUGAUAUACAUCCCGGAAGAUAUAUGGCCGCACUAUCUUGAGCACGUGACGUCUGAGCAGUUCACACGACGCUCACAGUCCGGUGCUGGCAACCGGAAUCGACCAAUUCAUGGCGGGGUGAGAACUCACACUGGCAGCUCCGUUCCGUUUGCUGCACAUGCGAAACGGAUGGUAAGAUUAAUUUAAAUGAAAUAUAUCGUUAAAUUCAGUUGUUGUUAAUAUAUCUUUUUUCAUUAUAGGCUGCGUCUCUUGGACGUGAGCCGAGCCCGAUGGAGCUGUUUGUGGAGACGCACGUGCGGAGUCAAGACCGCCAGAAGGGGGCGCAACAGUUCGUUGAUAACCGUGCUCAGCAUUUCGUGGUAUGUUUGUUCAACCAUUUUAUUUUCUAAGUUAUUAUGUUUAUUGUAUUGAAUAUGAUGAUUACUUUUUUUAUUUUAUUUUCAGGAGACCUAUAAUAAUCGGUUGAGGGAGAGAUACGGGGACGAUACUUUGACCCAUCCGGAAUUCGAUCCGGAUUUGUGGAUGGAGGUUGGCUCGUCAGGUGGACCAGAUAAAAAUCGGGUUUACAGCCUCUCCAACACUACGGCCGACAACUUGCGGUCGACCCAUAGUGUUUCAACCGUUGGGAACUCCCAAUCAAUAGCGAGCUCCCAAUCUAAGGAGUUUGUGGCUUUGCAGCAACUCAACGAGAAAUACGACAACCUACAAGCGGAGUACGCACAACUCAAAGCAUCUCAUGCACAACAAAGAGCGGAGUCUGAGCAAUUCAAAGCGUCUCAAGCACAACAAAAAGCGGAGUAUGAAGCGGCUCAUGAACAGCAAAAAGCGGCUUAUGACCAGCUUUACGAAAUGAUUAUGAAAUUGUCAAAUAGCGGAACAUGUGCGCCUAAUCCUUUUUGGCCGUAUAACCACCAGCCUCCGCCCGGAUCUCCUCCUCCUCCUCAAGCUCCAUCAUCUUUAUAUUAAUUUGUAAUCAACAUUAUUUACCUUUAAAACUUCAUUUAUUAUUUUUCUUGAAACAUAUUCAGUUUGUAAUGAAUAUUAUUUAACUUUUUUUUUUUAUGUUUAAUAAAAAUUUUAUUUGCAUAAUUGGUUUGUAUAACAAUUAAUUUAUAUAGUUUUAUAUUAUAUAUCCUAAAUAAUUUUUUAAAAACAAAUUAAGAAAAAAACUAUUACCAAGGAUUUUACCGACGGAUGAAUUCGGUCGGUAUUUUAAACUUUCACCGACAAACUUACCGACGGAAUUAAUCCGUCGCCAUUUAACAGUAGCUUCCACCAGUACCGACGAAUUUACAGACGAAAAUAUUCCGUCGGUAUUUCAUACAUUCACCGACCGAUAUCACGACGGAUAUUUUCCGUCGGUAAUUUCAAUUUCACCGACGGAAUGAAAAUCCGUCGGUAUAUUUCAAGCGGGAAUCUUUUUUUUUUGGCGCGCACGUUCCGUCUGUAAAACCGUCGGUAAAUGAUUUUUUUGUUUUUCCGACUGAUAUACCGACGGAAUGAGGAAUCACCGACGAAGGUAAAGCCGACAGACGUAUUCCGUCGGUAAAAAAAUCACCGACGAACUUCUAAUCACACACCGACGGAAUUUUGCCGCCGGUAAAACUGUGAAAUCUUGUAGUGUCCUGGAUCGACCCAUAAAGCCAAACCAAGUUUUAAAACUAUGUUAUCUUAGCAAAUUUAAUUAUCCCAAUUCUUAAUUUUCAAUUGAAAAUGCUAAAGAAUUCCCCACUGGGAGCAAAUAAUAAUAUGUUAAGCAUGACAAAUUUUAUUUAAAUUAAAAAGCCAAAAAUGAACGCAUCUACUCUUGCAAGAAUGGACUCAAAAGUUCAGCUAGUCCGCAUAAUUAAAUAGUACUGUUACUGUAAACUACUAGGAAAUUCAUGGGUAGAGCCAAAAUGUUAACAAUAGCAUUGAUUCGGUCAGGGGCUCUGGUGUAUAGAGAGGACCUUGCCGUUAGAAACUAUGGAGCCCACUAUUUAUUAAUCCAUUUUUAUUUACUACUUAUUACUAUUUAAUUAUUUUUAUUUACUAUAUUUUUGUUUGUGAUACCCAGUACCAAUAAAAUUUGAGAUUCCUUCAAUUUUUUAGGUGCAUGCAAGUCUAAUGGCUUCAUGUACAAAAGCAAUUCAAGGGUGUGUAUCCUUAACUAUCAGGCUAACCUUUACAGGCUUCGCUAGCAAUCAAUAAUUAUUUUUUAAUGAAUUCAUUUUUUAUUUAAAAUAAGGAAAAGGACAUUGGUGAAUAAAUUGUUUCCUUCCUAUUAUAAUUGUUAGACCUUACCAAAGGGCUAAUUUAGAAAAAGAUUAUAACUUAUAGGUCACCAGGGCCGAGGUCAACUUGUAAUUAAGUAGAUCAAUUUAAAUUAAUUGUUUUUAUUUAAAUGAUAAUGUUUUGUUUUUUUUUCUUGAUAUUAAUUUGGCUAAUUUUUAUCAAAUCAAAUCACUAAAAACUUAACCAAAACAAAUUUCAUCAAAUCAAUAAUAUUUUAUGUAGUUGAAUUAAAAAUUCAAUUCAAUUCUAGCUCUGAACCCUGAUUAAGCAUACAGGUUUAAAAAAUAUGCAUCUCACUUGCAGCUGUGGUUUGCUGCGGGCAUUUGGUAAUUGGGAGAGGCUUUAGUUUCGUACCUGUUGAUCUGCUUCAUAUACACUUGGACCUCUUAUUUUAUUUUAUAUUGGUUGGAUCCAAACUUAAUCCAAUACAAAAUUAACAUAUUUAUUAUUUAUUUAAGAUAAAUGAUAUGGCUUUAACAUAUUAGCGUACACUUAAUAUGAUUAAAUUUAAUUUAAUUAAUUAACAUCUCACCGCAAUAAAUUUUACCAUUUGCAACCAUAAACAGUUGACACCUUAUUAAUAUAAUCAAUAUAGUAGAAAAAUUAUAGUGAUUUAAAACAAUUCAUUAAAAUGUUCGUAAAUGUUUUUAUUUUGUGAUGAUGGUUUUCGUGUUAUCUUUUAUGUAUUGUCGCUACCGUACAUGAACGCCUGACAUGAGGGUUAUUUGAAAUCAUUAUCUAGUUAUUUAGUUUAAGGUCACUAAGAAACCUAUAAAUACUAGUCUUGUUAGAGAUUUGAGAGUAAAUGACUAGUUGUGGCUAAAGAAUGUAUUAACACUCUUAAUGCACCCUACCCAAGUAAAUUAUUUUGUGAUUAAACGUGGUUUAGAGAUUUUGAUGAUUUUCUGAUAUAUCUAUAGUUUAGGAUUGGGAUUUGCUUGUAUGAAUAAAUUUGGUGUUUAAUAAUUUAUCAUGGAUUCUUGUACCCAGAUAAAUUCUUAGAAAAAAAAGUUCUUCAUAAUUUGUGUACGUAUUACGGUAAAAAUUACUCUCAAUAAAAAUUCAUGAAUAUUUAGAAUAACUUUGAGGAUUUUCUAAUCAACUUCAAUAUUUCAAAUAUCAGCCUCACUUAUAGGUAUAGCGUUUUAUAUCAAUAUUUUUAACCAUUAAUUCUCAUUAAUUAAAAAAUAGUGGUUUAUUAAAAUAUUGACCAAAUUCACAUGAAUUUAAUAAACUAGUUAUUAAAUUUUAAAAUGCAUAUACAUAUAUAAUAUUUUAAUUUGUUUUUAAAUAAAGAAUAUUUUUAAAAAGCAUGUGCCAUAAUACCAAAUUAUAGAAUAAAUUAAAAGAGAAAGGAGUUUUCUCUUCAUCACUAUUCACUUAUAUUCAUUUUACUAUGGAUAUUAAUAGUGAAUUUUUUGAAAAUUUCCAAUUUGGUACUCAAUUAUUUUUUUUUCACAAUUGAGCUCUUUUAAAUCCAAAUUAAAGCUUAAUUGCAUAUUUUUUCAAGGAUGAGGGUUGAAUUGAAAAACAUAGGACUGAAGUGAAAAACUCGAAUAAAAUAAGUUGUGGUUUUGCAAUUUGUUUGCAAGUUCAUUUUAGUCCCUAUAAUUUUUUAUCAUUGUAUUUUGAUACCAAACUUUAUUUUCUUCUGUUUUUAGUUUUUUUGUGUAAGAGAGAGAGAGAGAGGAUCACCAUAUUUUGUUUUAGAGAGAAAAAGUUAUUUUUAAGGAUUGUGACCACCAAAACAAUUGAUUUUUGUGUUAAAUUGUUAUGUCUUAAUUCAACAAGGUUCCUUGAAUGUUUUCUAGGUGUUUUGGGUUAAAAUGGGUUGAAGACAGGUUUUAGGUUAUAAUUAGGUUUUUUACCAAAUUGAUCAAAUUUUUUUAAAAAAAAAAACAAAUCAAGAAGAGAAAAAGACUUGUAAAAAAGUAGAAUUACUGAAGGAAGCUCAACAAAGAAUCAAACUCAUGCAAUUAAAAAUAAUUGUCUAUGAUGACCAUCUCUGUAUCACACAUUCAGGAAAUAUGAUUGACCUAUAACAAUAUUAAAAAAAACAAAAAAAAAAUAAGCUAAUAGAUGGUCGCCACGUGUUCAACUUUAUCUAACCUUAGCAAAGGAUAGAAAGUGGGAGAGAGAGAGAGAGGUUAAAAGGAUUAAGAAAAAGAAAAAAGGAAAGGCAGAAACGGAAGAAGACAUUGAAAGAAAGAAAAAAACGAUAAGUUAUUUAACGUCUUUUUAGGGGGGGAAAAAAAAGCUUGUAACACCGUGCAGACCAAACAGAAGAGACAUCUGUUUAUUUAAAGAAAAAAAAAAUAUAUAUAUAUAUAUAUAAAUACUCUCUCUUCCAAUUUCCUCUCCCAGCUGAAUUUCGGCGACCGCCCACACAACGAUAGCCUACACAACCACCAGCCAUGCCACCUUUCAAGACCCCAUCUCUCAACCUCAAAACCAAAAACAACUCUUUCUCCAUUUAUCCGAACCUCAUAACUCCAGGAAGGUGAAGGACUAAACCAUAGUGGCAAAAAUCUUAAAGGGUUCUAAAUUGUCUGUUACUUUCCCUUAAUUUUCUAGACAAGCAAAAGGAGCUAAACUUAUUCCCGACCAAAACGUCAAGAAUUUCAGUAGAACAAAAGAAGAGAUCAUUACUUGACCAAAAACAACUAGUCAGCACCCAAAGAAACCGAGUGAAUGAGAGAAAAUUAAAGAUUAAUAGCUAGAAAACAAUAAACAGAUCCAAGAAUUUUCUGUAUGGUUUCCAAGAAAAUGAAACGAAAUGAGCAGCACAACCCUCUUUCUCCUCCAAGAAAAGAAAGAAAAAGAAAGGAAAGAAACAAAGAAAGUCAAACUUGGCUCCUCUUUUAGUGUUAAAAAAAAAAAGAAGUUAGAGGAAGUGGGCUGCCUUUUUUCUGCUGUUCAUGUGGUGUUCUGCUGUUCACGCAGACUAAGAACUCCUACCAUCGUAAAAUCAUACAAUUAAAACACAACAAUAAUAAAGUAAUAAGCAGCUAAUUAUGUGCGAAAACAAGAGAAAUAAGGAUACAGAACGUGAGAGUGAGUCACUACAAGUAAAAGAGGCGCUGAGAGAAUGGGAAUAGGAAUUUCAUUACCUAAACUUGAGAAAAUUGUGCGAAAAGCACUGGUACUGAUUGCUCAAUGAAAUGGAGAAGGCCUUUAGCUCUGUAUGGAAUCCAGCUUCAAAAGCAACGAGGCAAGGUAUAAGCAUUUUGAUGACAUAAUUAAGAUACUAUGCGUCGUAAUAUAGAGACGGUGACAAAGAAUUAAAGAAAAAUAACGUGUACAAGUACUCACCAAGCAAAGAAAGAAACGAAUGAAAGGUUCGGGAUAAUCACUUAGACGCCUCCAUGGAUGAUACCAGCUCGCUUCCAACAACAAAUAUAAUUAACCUAAGCUAUGAUCGGUCAAUGUUUUUUUUAGUUUUCUUCUUUUUUAUAUAUAAAAAAAACAGAUCAUCAAGGGAAAAGACUUGCAAAGAAGUAGAAUUAAUGGAACGAACACAACAAAGGAUCAAACUCAAGCAAUUAAAAGUAAUUGUCUAUGAGUACCAUCUGUGUCACGCACUCAAGUGAGGAGAGAAAAGAAGGAGAAAGAAAGGAAAGGGACAAGGAAGGAAGAAAGUAAGGUCACGUAGGGGCCAGUCUUGUAGAAAUUUUGAAAAGUAGCAUGAAAAAGAGGAUAAUAGAGUAGUUGUCAGAAUCAAAACACAUCUAAACAGAGGACAAAAACAGGGAGGGAGGCUGUUUGUUUUUUUAACUGUGCCUGAGUGAUUUUUAUAAUUACAUUUAAUUUAAAAAAUAUUAAAUUAAUAUAUAUUUUUAAUAUUUCUCGUUAUUACAUAUAUAUAUAUAUAAUAUUUAAUAUAUUUUUAAUUAAAUUUUUUUUAAAAAAAGUAUGUGUCACAAUACAAAAUUAUAGUAUAAAUUAAAAGAAAAAGGAGUUUUAUGCUCAUUACUAUCCACUAGACUUGUAGAUAUUAAUAAUAAAGUUUUUGAAAGUUUUCGAUCUAGUAUUUGAAAUUUUUUUUUUUUUGCAUAAUUGAAUUUAUUUAAGCUUAAUUGCAUAUUUUUUAAAAGGAAAUAGGUUGAAUUGAGAAACAGAGAAACUCGGCAAAAAUAUGUGGUUAAAAUCAAUCCUUUUUAAAAAAAAAAAAAAAAAACUCCUUAGUUGUUAAGGAAAGAUUGGUAGUGUGAACAAAUCACCAAAGUCAGCAGCAAGGAAGUUCCAGGAAGUGGGCAGCCUGUUUCAGGGCUACCUGUUUUUGAGAAUUAUGGAAAGUUAUCCCUAACUCAAAAACGGCACCAAUUAUAAGUUCAUUAAAAAAAAUCUGGAACACAACAGAUGGAAAAAACUCGAAACAACUUGUAUAGAAUUUAGGCAAGAAGAAUGAGCCAAGAUUUCAAGUGCAAUGAAAUUUGUCUCACUUUGUUUUUUUAUUUAAUGAUACAAGAUAUACCGUCCUAUUUCAAGGGUAAAAUAGAAUGGAAUAGACAACCUUUAAAGGGAGCAUAUACCACAUAUGUGUAGCUGGAAUUCGAUAGCCUUUCUCCAAUGCUGACAUGUGCUUUACAUGCAUGCACCAACAUUUCACAUCGGCAAGUGAGGAUUUGGUAGCUCAUCUUAUUAAUAGUGUUGGUUAAUGACUUGUCAGACGCGUUUUGAGGUCAUGCGUGGUCAUCAAAAACAAAUUUGUGAGGGCGAUAAGGUCCAAAAUGGACAAUAUUUGACAAGUUGGAUCGGACUAUGACAUUUGGUAUCAAAGCUGGCCUCACUAACUAUCCAGUUGUGCUGAUGGGGUCAUUGAGCUCCUUAAGGGGGUGAAUUGUAAUAUCUCACAUCGAUGAAUGAGGAUUUAGAAGCUGACCUUAUUAGUAGUGCUGGUUGCUAACUUGUCAGAUGCGUUUUGGGGUCAUGCGUGAUCACAAAAAACAAAUUCGUGAGGAUGAUAAGGCCCAAAACGGACAAUAUUUGGCAGGUUGGGUCAGGCUGUGACAUAUUCGAUAAUAACUCUUCAAUUAAGUCCUAAAUCUCAUUUCAUCUUUUCAAUUUAAUCCCUAAUUUGACACCAACUCUUCAAUUAGACCCCAAAGCUCAUACCACUUGAGGAAAGCCCUCUUCUUUCAAUUUAGCCCCUCAUUUAUCUUUAAUUUAAUAUCGAAUUUUAUUCGAUCCAAGCCCAAAAUAGGCUCAAGCGAAGACAAAAUAAAGGAAGGAAAGAAAAUGAAUAAUUGCCCAACCAAGUUAACGUAUUCUGGUCUUUUCUCCAUGAUUCGGGUUGAACAUUUGACAUUUAUCCUUUUUUUAGAGGCUUUUCUCUAUGUUCGUUAUGACGCUGUACACGUGCGACAACCAUUAAAUCUAUAGUUAAUUUCAUUUUUUGAUAAAAGAUAAUGCCAUCAGUAUAGAAUGGUUACCAACUGUUAGUUUAAUAAGCCUUGUAUCCAAUCGGUUAGUUACACGAUAUAUUAUUAUAUUCAUGUAAAUACAUAUUUAUUAUUAAUAAAGGCUUAAUUUAACUUUAAUAUUCAUAUAAUAUUAGAUUAAUGAAUCUAGAGUGUCAUAACCCUUUUUGGGUUUUUCCCCAAAUUCAUUUUUUCUCUUCUAAAAAUUAAAAAAAUAUAUAUAUUUAGACUAAAAAAAAUAAUAACAGUGAGAAGGGGAUGCCAAAACGCCUGGAAAAUAACUAAAAAUUGGUUGAGGAGGUUUAAAAAUACAAGGAUUGAAAUUUGGCAGUAUAUCAUUGACUGAUGAGAGCCCGAUUGACAAAGAAAAUUCAAUUUGAGGAAGAAAUGUCUAAAAUCAGAUGUUUAUUGGACUCAAUUAAAUUUAUUAAAGGUUAAAUUGAGUUUAUAGAGGGUUUGAUUGCAAGAACAAUUGAUUUUGGAGUCAAUUUGGGCUUUAUUUGGAAGAAAUUAAAGUUCUGAGGUCAAAAUAUAAUUUUAAGGAGUUAAUUUGGUCAAAUCAGGGGCUUAAUUGCAUAAAUAUUGAAGUUUGAUGGCCAAUUAGGGACUGAAUUGAAGAAAUCUCAAACCAAGAACCAAACUGGAAAAGACACGUAAAUAGAGAGGCUGUAAUUAACCGAAUAAGGGGCUAAAUUAAAGAAAUUGGAAGUUUAUUUAUUAAUUAAGGGUCAAAUUGCAUACAUCAGAGACCAAGGACUAAAGUGAAAAAGGCGGCCAACUUCAGGGCCGACGAUUGAAUUUGACAGGGAUGCAAUUGAAUUGAUUUUUAAAAUCAAAAUAGCAAUUUAGGACUUGAUUGAAUAAAUCACAAAUUGAAGACUGAUUUGGACUUUGACACGAUUUUGCCGCCAUUUUCAUUUUGCUUAAUAUUGGUUUGUAUUUUAAUACUGUAAAAAUACAAAUCCGAUAUUAAAAUACUUGGUUUUUGUCAAAACAUAAAAUAUAUAUAUAUAUAUAUAUAUAUAUAUAUAUAUAUAUAUAUAUAUAUAUAUAUAUAUUUGUUUCAUGCAUACGUCCAAGUCUCUCAAAGAUAAAAAAAAAAAAAAAACCAUAUUGUAUUUUCAUACUACAAAGAAAACUUCAAAAAAAAAUAUGUUUUAACAUGCAUUUUGGCUUUAAUAACCAGUUUAUUAAAGUCACGAGAAUUUGGCAAAUAUUUAAAAAAUUUCAAAAAAAAUAUUUGUUUUUUUUAGUAUUAGGGAUUAUGAAUUUAUAUGUAAAAUGUAUUUUCAAUAUUAAAAGUGUUUUUCUUUUGAUGACAUAAAACAUUUAGGUGUUUACCUGAUAAGAUAAGAAUCUCUUUAUAGAGGAGGAUUUUUCUUAAACCAUAGAUAGACUGACAAUUAAAAACCACAACAAGACCUUAAAUUUUAUCAAACAACAAAACAAUGCAGCUUACAUUAGGUAGGGUGUAGUUGGGGUGCUAAUACCUCCCCUUUAUGCAACCAGUCUUCGUACCCGAUCUCUAAGACCAAUUAGGGUUCCUAGUGACCAAAAUACUAGGUGGAAACUCCCAUUCUAUUUUCCACUGAUAAAAGACAAGAAUUCCUUGUCUCCCCACAUUUACCAGAUAGAUAUACAUUUACUUGAGAGGGUGGACGUUUAUCGUGACACCGCACACAUGCGACAGAAUGGCGACUCCACAAGGUACCUUGUGGAUUAAUCUUUGUUUUUGUCUGAUUAUCGUGUUUUAUUGUUUGGUUUGUGUGUUAUUGUUAAUAUGCAUUUUCUCAUUUGCUCAUACGCUUUAAUUUUGUACAUAUUUGUUCAUGGAUUGUAUAAAAUUGUUUCAUGCAUCAUUCACAUUUUAUGAGAGUUUAUACUGAGAAAAACUUUAGGUUAAGUGGGGGACUAGUAGCUUACCUUACAAUUUUUAGUCGAGGUUUAAGUUUGUGUAAACCUCAACUCUUUGCUGAGUACUUAGAUUGAUAAUGAUUGGUACACAUGUCAUCUCAUUACCUAUUAAGCCCUUAUAUUGCCUUUACGAGGGUGAUCACUGGGACAACAAGAGACCCUUUUAAGACUAGGUAGAAAUGCACCCAUCAUGUAAUGGCCCAAAACCUAUCCUUAGAGUAUAAGCUCCCUAAUAUACAUGUACAUAUAUUUGCAUCCAUACAUACAUCAAUUCAUUGUAAAUAACAUACGUGCAUCAGAUUGAAAUAUAGGUCCCUAAAAAGUGUACAACACCCGACUUUGAGCAAGAAACAUAGAAGAUGGAGAGCGUGCUCACCGUGAUGCCUAUUUUCAAGAAGAGUUGGAGUCUCUGAAGACAAGCAUGGCUCGCCUUACUAGCUUACUCGAGCAAACACUGAGAAAUACCUCUGGUGAAGGCCCUUCUAACCGGCUAGUCACCGUCAAUUAGGCUUCAACUACAGUUUAGCCUGAAGAAAGAAUGAGUGAACAUGGUCAAGAGCCUUAAUAAAAUCCAACAUUUGUACAGUCAGCGACACUUGCAUUAGCCCCGACAGUCAUGAAGGUAUUUGCUAAUGAGUCCCAUAUGGCCAAUUCAUCUGAUAGCAUUGAUCAAGAUAAAAUACAGGCAUUGGAAGCCAGAAUCAAAGUCAUUGAAGGGGUAGACUUAUAUGACCCAGUUCGGGCAGCAAAGAUGUGUCUGGUCCCAAAUAUGGUUGUCUCGAAAAAGUUUCAUGUUUCGGAGUUCAUCAAAUAUAGUGGAAUACAAUGCCCCAUGACUCACCUCAAGUCUUACUGCAAUAAAAUGGCAGAGAUAGUACAUGAUGAAAAACUACUGAUGCAUUUUUUUAGAGAUAGUUUAAGUGGGGCAAUAUUGAGCUGGUACAUGAGAUUGGACAACACAAAAAUCUAGAGAUGGAAGGAUAUGGUGGUUGCUUUUGUCAAGCAGUACAAGUACAACAUGGACAUCACUCCCGACAGAAUCAACUUGUCCAAUAUAGAGAAAAAGGAUAAAGAAAGCAUAAGGGAAUACGUUUAAAGAUGGUGGGAAUCAGCUGCUCAAGUACAUCCCCAACUUCUGGACAAAAAGAUUGGCACUUUAUUUGCCGACACACUCAAGGCACCAUAAUGGGUAGUUUGGCCCAGCAAUUCACUAAUGCUGUGGUAGUGUGUGAACACAUAGAGCAAGGCGUCAAGAGUGGUAGAAUUUCUGCACCCAUUGAGAAUAGAGGUUUCGAAUGAAAAGAGGUUAACCAUAUUGAAGAUGGCUACAAGGGUAGGAAAAACUUAUCCCAAAACUACCAUACUUCAUCCCAAAUUGCCGACAUAAAAAAACCUGAGCCCCAAAACUUUCAAGCCAAAAGCCAAAUUAGAAAUUACCAAAGGGUCCAAGAACAACUACCUCCAUUACCGCUACCAUUAAAUGAGAUGUACCAGAAGUUAUUAAGCAUCAGACAUAUAGCUCCCGAACCUCUAGCACCUUUGCAACCCCCUUACCCCGGCUGGUAUAAGCCAGAGCUCACUUGCGAAUACCAUGCUAGUGUUGCUGGACAUGACAUUUAUAUUUGCAACACCUUUAAGAGAAAGCUUCUGCAAUUAAUUAAGGCAGGGUGGAUAGCAUUUGAAGACACUCUGAAUGUGAACACAAACCCUCUACCUAAUCAUGCUUAAAGCAGUGGAUUAGAAAUGCACUAGCAAUCGAAUGUUCGGGGAAUUUGAAAUCAUCAAUGGGCCAGGUAGGGUGCGAAAGGGUAGCAUAAAUUUUAAAGGACUCAAAUUCCAACCACAGUUGUUAUCCCCAUCAUCCCAAGAAUUAUUACAGGGAGGCUAGCCUAAAAGGAGAUUUACCAAAAUGAAAGGAUGAGGCCUGCCAUAUUAUUGCCUUUUGUUUAAUCAUGUUGGUUUCAACUAUUUCAGUCUUGUCGGUAAUUUAGCUCAUAAUGCCACAAGACUUUCUUUGUCAAAUAAGCCUUCUUGUUAAUAAGAUCAUGUAUUUUCCUGUGCUUAUAACAUGUUUUCCUUUUUCCAAAAUAUGCAUGAUCUCACAUGUUCAUAAGAAUUUUAGGAAUUCAAAGUUUGGUAUAAAAAUAAAAAUCAUAUUGGUGUUUGUCCAAAACAAAUAAAUUCUGGAAAUUCAAGUGAUUCCUUAGAAAGAUAAGUAUACACGUAGAAAACUUGAAAAAACAAAUAAACAAAUAAACACAUAAAAAAAAUCAUAAGGUGACUCCAAAGUUAAGUUUUAUUUGAAUAAAUAAUGAGAAAUCACUUUGCAUACUCGCAUGAAAGCAAGACGUAUCGAUCUUAAGUGCAUGUGUUUGAGAUGAGGAAAUGCCUUCUUUGAUAAUCGCUUCACGAGGCUAAAAUAUAUCCUUUGCAAUCCCUUUUUGAGUCUAGUAACAUUUUUUGAAAAUAACCUUGGCUAGGAUCACACUCAAACUAGGGUUAAGUGCGAGAGACACAGAAAAGACCUUGAUGAUUGAAGUGCCCAAGCAACACUGGGGGCAUAAAAGAAAAUUCUCAAUCAUCAAAGGUGCCCAAACAAAGCUAGGGGUAUGAAGAAAAAUCCAAAGGAUCCAAAAAUUUUAAGCAUACAAAAAAAAAACAAUUAAAUAAUGCUCAAAACCAAAUGAAGAAAAAAAAAAUAAAGAGAAAGAGCCCAACAUUGGGGGGCACGAUAAACCAUUUUGAAAAGACAUUCCAAAGACAAAAGGUCAGGAAACAAGCACUAGUGAUCCUUAGUCUUGAAAUCCCGUGAAAUACCUUUUGAGCCUACAAAUAUCCUUUUCUUCAUAACCAAGAACCCAAGCCUAUAUUACAUGCCUAAUCAAGCCCUUUCUGAUCAAAGACAAGCAAUCUGGAUCGGCAGACAAUGCUUUCUCAUACAACCCAAAUUAUUAUUCAUGUAAAUAAAAUAAAUGCUUUGAAGACUGGUUCUUUGUAACCCUCAAAUUAAAUCUUAAACCAUUUUUUACCAAACCCAAUGUCACUUCAUGUUUUUCACCAAAAGCAAAACGAAAGGUUUUCAUCACUUCUGAAAACCUCUUCAUAGGAAUCACUUGAAUUUCUUCAGAACAAGUUUGCUUUGAAUCGAUGUCAAAAUGAUUUCUGUGUUUGGAAUAGCUUUUAAAUUCCAACAUUUUUGCAUCAGAACAACUCCUUGUCAAAACUUCCUUUACAUAGCCUCAUUCCCAAACCCGAAUUAAAUACUUGGGGGCAUGAUCAAGUUGGGAGGCAAUAAAAAAUACAUGGUAGGGCAGACUUUAUAAUUCUUUUUCUAAGAAAAAUGUUGGGUAGAAUUGGCAACCCUUGAGAUAUAGGUUAGAGGGCAAAGAAGUAGGAUGAUAUGAAGCCUUUCUUAGAGGUCAAGAUCACAAGAUAUGACUCAAGUAAGCAAGAGCGAAAAAGUCAUCGAAAUUUACUACUUACACUCCAACUUUUGAGAAAAGAAAGACAUCAUGAAGAAAUGAGGACCUAUAUUUCUCAGGUAAGUAUACAUGCAUAUCAAUCAUAGUGCAUUACUUUCAACAUUGUCAGAUCGGUGUUUCACCAUCACCUUUUGGGUAGGACAUUUUAUAACCCUACCUCAUUUUGAGUGUGCCUUUGAGCCCUUAUUUUCUUUUCGAGUAAGUCUUUGAGCCCUCAUCUCAUUUUAAGUGCGCCUUUGAGCCCUUACUUCGUUGUCAAGAUGCGACUUUGAGCCUUUGCUUCCUUUGGAGUGCGCCUUUGAGCCCUCAUUUCCUUUUGAGUACGUCUUUGAGUCCUCAUCUCUUAGGUAGUGCAUUUUAUAACCCUACCUCAUUUUGAGUGCAUCUUUGAGCCCUUACUUCCUUUUGAGUGCGCCUUUGAGCCCUCACUUCAUUUCGAGGGUGGUAGUGUAUUUUCUAACCCUACCUCCUUUUGAGUGCGCCUUUGAGCCCUCACCAUCUUCCUGGAUAGGUCAUCCAUUACAAUGAUGCUAUUUUUACACUUGGGUAGGUCACCUAUUAUAAUGAGACCAAUCUUUCCUUUCCCACUUGGGUAGCUCACUCAAUACAAUGAGACUAAUUCUUCGUAUUUUUUUGCCUAGGUAAGUCCCUCAUUAUAAUGAGACCAUUCUUCCACCUGGGUAGGUCACCUAUUAUAAUGAGACCACUAUUUCCUUUUUUUUUCCCUUUGGGUAGGUCACCCAUUGCAAUGAGACCAUCCUUUUUUCUAGGUAGGUCACCUAUUAUAAUGAGACAACUCUUUUAUUUUUUUUUUCCCUUUGGAUAAGUCACUCAUUACAAUGAGAUCAUUUUUUUUCUAGGUAGGUCACCCAUUACAAUGAGAUCAUUUUCCAUGUUUUUUUUACCUGAGUAGGUCAUCCAUUACAAUGAGACCAUUCUUUUUUUUUCCACUUGGGUAGGUCAACCAUUACAAUGAGACUAUCAUUUUUCUGGGUAGGUCACCCAUUAUAAUGAGGCCAUUCUUCCACCUGGGUAGGUCACCCAUUACAAUGAGACCACUCUUUCUUUUUCCCCUUUGGUGACCACUAUCAUUUUUUUGGGUAGGUCACUCAUUACAAUGAAAUCAUUCUCCAUGUUUUUCCACUUGGACAGGUCACCCAUUACAAUUCGACCAUUUCAAAAAUCUUUGAAUUUCACCAGGAAAAAAAACCUUUCGACCAUUUAAGUUUGCUUUCUAGCCCUCAAAUGCUUUCCAAACAAUUCAUCAUAUGGUGAGUCCGUUAUCUUUUUUUUUCUUCUUUACAAAGCUUAUUAUCUAAAAUCUCUUACGAGACUUUCUAUCGUAAGUAUUGUAAAUAGAGGACAACUGUCAUAACCUAUUUUUGGAUUAUUCCCCAAAUUUAGUUUUUCUCUUCCAAAAAUAAUAUAUAUAUAUAUAUAUAUAUAUAUUCGGACUAAAAAAUAAACAACAAAAAAAAUAAACAAAAUAAUAACAGUGAGAAGGGGAUGCUAAAGUGCUCGGAAAAUAACUAAAAAUUAGUUGAGGAGGUUUAAAAAUACAAGAAUUGAAAUUUAACAGUAUAUCAUUGACUGAUGAGAGCCCGACUGACAAAGAAAAUUCAAUUUGAGGAAGAAAUGUAUAAAAUCAGAUGUUUAUUGGACUCAAUUAAAUUUAUUAAAGGUUAAAUUGAGUUUAUGAAGGAUUGGAUUGGAAGAAAAAUUGAUUUUGGAGUCAAUUUGGGCUUUAAUUAGAAGAAAUUAAAGUUCUGGGGUCAAAAUAUAAUUUUUGAGAGUUAACUUGAUCAAAUCAGGGGCAAAAUUGCAUAAAUAUUGAAGUUUGAUGGCCAAUUAGGAACUUAAUUGAAGAAAUAUGAAACUAAGGACCAAACUGGAAAAGGCGCGUAAAUAGAGGGCUGUAAUUAACUGAAUGAAGGGCUAAAUUAAAAAAAUUAAAAGUUUAUUGAUCAAUUAAGAGUCAAAUUGCAUUCGACCAAGAACUAAAAUGAAAAAUCAGCUAACUUCAGAACUGAUGAUUGAAUUUGACAGGAAAGCAAUUAAAUUAAUUUUUAAAAUUAAAAUUAUAAUUUAGAACUUGAUUGAAACACUUAAAAUAAAAAACUUAAAAUCACAGCAUGAUAAAAGAAGAAAGAAAGGAAUGGGAAAAGGAAGAAAGAAUAAAAAAAUCCCCUAAAAUCACGGCAUGAUAAAAGGAGAAAGAAAAGGAUGGGACAAAGAAGGAAGAAAGUAAGGUCGCGUAGGGGCCAGUAUUGAAGAAAAGCUAAAAGAACCAGGUAAUCCAAGGAACCAAUAGAUUAUCGCCACAUGUUCAACCUUAUAUUUAUUGUGACAUGGAGAUAAAGAUAAUCUCAAAAGCUAAUAGAUGGUCGCCACGUGUUCGACUUUAUCUACCCACUAGGAAAGGAAUCAAAGGAUAGAAAAGUGGGGGAGAGAAAGGUUAAAAAGGCUUUAAAAAAAAAAGAAAAGGAAAGACCCGGUUGAGAUAAGAGGGGGGACGUGGAAAUAGAAGGAGAAACGGAAGGAGACAUAGAAAGAUCGGAGGAGAGUAAGAAAAAAAUAUAUGAAUAUGUGAUGUCCAAUUUCUCAUAAAAAUUCUCUGUUUUUUUCUCUCUUUUAUUUGGAAUUUCUUUGGACACUUUAAUAAAAUAAUAACAAAAAAAUUAAAAUAUUGAUGAAAUUAAUAUUCAUUCAAACACAGAUUUACUGUGUACUAUGAUAUUAUUAUUUUUUUAAUUUUAAAAAACACGGCUUGGAUAAUAUUUCAAGUAGUGUCGUAAAAAAUAGCGUGUUUGUUUUUUAUUUUUUAAAUAAUUUUAAAUAAUAUUUUUUUAAUUUUUAUAUUGAUAUUAAAAAUAAUUUUUAAAAAAUAAAAAAUAUUAUUUUAAUAUAUUUUUAAAUAAAAAAUAUUUUAAAAAAACUACUUUAAAAACCUUAAAACCACGGCAUGAUAAAAGGAGAAAGAAAGGAAUAGGACAAAGGAAGAAAGUGAAAGGGAGAAAGGAAGAAAGUAAGGUCACGUAGGGGGGCCAGUAUUGUAGAAAAUAGGAGAUGAAAAAUUGGUAUGAAAAAGAGGAUGAUGGAGUGGUUGUCCAAAUCAUAGUGGUUUUUAUAAUUAUAUUUAUUUAUAGAAAUAUUAAAUUAAUAUAUUCUUAGUAUUUUAUAUGAUUAAAUUUUUUUGUUGAUUUAAAAAAUAUAUGCGUAUAAAAAAUUAUUUUAAUAUAUUUUUAAAUAAAAAAUAUUUUUAAAAGUAUGUAUCACAGUACCAAAUUAUAGUAUCAAUUAAAAGAAAAUAGGGUUUUAUGUUCAUUACCACUCACUUAUACUCAUUUAAUUCUUAUACUCAUUUAAUUGUGGACAAUAACAGUAUCUCAUUUGAAAACUUUCAAUUUUAUACUUAAAUUUUUUUCAUAAUUAAUCAUUUUUAAUUAAAAUUAGAGUUCAAAUGUAUAUUUUUUUUUAAGGAGGAGAGUUGAAUUAAAAAACAGGGACUGAAGUAAAAAAUUCAGCUAAAAUAGGUAGCGACUCUAUAAUUUAUUUACAAAAUUUAUUUUAGUUUCUCAUCUUUUCAAGUUAUUAAAUAAUAAGUCCGCAUAAUUUUCCAACAUUGCAUUUCAAAUUUUUUUUAUUAUUAAUACUUUUAAUAUAUUUUUUUGAAAAUAAUUUUAAAAACGGUGUUUUCAUUAAUAUUCCUUUUCUAUGAUUUGUUUUUUUGGCAUUAUGUAGUCUUUCUUCAAUUAUUUUUAAUUUUGUUGCUUUGUUUAAUUUUUUAAGAGGUUAAUAAUAUUUAUCUGUAAAUAUUUGUUAUAUAUUUCAGAUAGAUUAAGUAUUUAAUUUUCAUAAUAAUUUGAAUAUGUGUAGCGUUGCAUAGUUUUUCUUCCUUUUAUGAUAUUAAAAAAAAUUAUGUGUGUGUUGAUUUCUAUUAUCGAUUGAUUUUAGUAAAUAAAUUCAUUAAAUAUAACCAAAUAAAUGAUCCAUAUUGCAAUAUUAAAUACUUUAUCUAUAUUUGUUUCUUAAUUUUUCCACUUGCACUUUUAAUUAUCGGUAAUGACUUCAUUUUUUCAUUUAUUUACACAAUUGUUUGUGAUUUAUUUAAUUUGAUGCGUGUAUAAGUUUUUCGAUUUACAUUUAGAAUUUUUUUAAUGUAAAAAAACACGUUGAGAAAUUCUUAUUUUUAUGAUUUUAGUUUGAUCCUUAUUCUUAUAAUUUCUUAUUUUCUUUCUAACCCUUUUAUAAAACAAAAAAUUGUUUAUAAUUUCAUCCUUCAAUUGAACAUAAUGAUGUAUUUUUUUUAUUAUUUAUAUUCUUGUUUGUUAUUAUUGCUUUUUUUCUUUAUAUAAUUCAUAUAAAACCAGCUUAUUUAAUCGGCCAAGACUAAAUAAAUAAAUAAAAAGAUAUACUGUGUCUUCCCAUUUCCUCUCCCUGGUGAAUUUUGGCGACCACCCACACAAUGAUAGCCUAAACAACCACCAGCCAUGCCACUUUUCAAGACCCCAUCUCUCAAUCUCAAAACCAGAAACAACCCUUUCUCAUAAUUCCGGGAAAGUGAAGAACUAAACCAUAGUGGCAAAAAUCUUAAAGGGUCUAAAUUAUCUCUGUUACUUUCCCUCAAUUUUCUAGACAAGCAAAAGGAGCUAAACUUAUUCCCGACCAAAACGCCAAGAAUUUCAGUAGAACAAAAGAAGAGAUUGUUACUUGACCAUAAACAAUUAGUCCGCACCCAAACAAACUGAGUGAAUGAGAGAAAAAGACUAAUGGCUAGAAAACAAUCAACAGAUCCAAGAAUUUUCUGUAUGGUUUCCAAGAAAAUGAAACGAAACGAGCAGCACAACCCUCUUUCCCCUCUAAGAAAAGAAAGAAGAAGAAAAAGAAAAAGAAAAAGAAAGGAAAGAAACAAAGAAGUUCGAGGAAAGAAAAAGUAAGGAAGAUGAAACCAUAAACCUGCAAGUCCUACAAAUCAUAAACAUUGACUUUGAUUUUUCCUUUAUAAAACCAUAAACCUGCAAGUCCUACAACAUGAAGACUUAUCAGAUCCUAAUGAAAAGCUGUCAAAAUCCUAUCAGAAAUUAAGGAAGAUGACGUUACGUUAACUUCAAAUCUGAGGAUUAAUUGUAGCAGAUCUUAUAGGGUUCAGCUGAUUGCUUUACUUGUUUAAAUAAUUCUCUUGUAAGCCUAAUGGUUCACGUCUUCCAUCAUUGCAACCUUUUUUUCUGUGAUUGAAAAAUCUAUAAUAGGAACCUGCACUGCAUCCCUUCUAUGCUGUUGUUCUUUCUUCUUGUUUUGCUAUUUUGAUUUUAUCAUAUUUUCUAUGAUGAAAGUUGAAGAAAUUCUACUUCGAAACUCAAGACAAAGUCUCUCGAUCGGACUGCAUAUUAGUGGGUUGCUCAUUGGGAUUUCUAUAAACAACUGAUUCUAAUAUUGCAAAGCAACAUUACGAAAAACUGAAUAUUUCACACAUAGUCUAAUAAAAGUAGAUUCCAUUGUCAAUUCCUUAACAUUUUCCAAACAAAUCCAUGCUCCUCAUUUUAUACUUUCUUGAGGGUUUCUAUUCUCUUAUUACCAAUUUCAGUGAGUUUCAUAAUAAGCUGCUUAGAAAGAAGCUAUCUAGCAGGAGGGUGGGGCUACUCUUAGCCAAUGAAAACAGCUUCACAUGCUAUACAGCAACGUGAAAAAAAGAUUCUCAGCCUGUUCUCUCUUUAAUGAACACCCUCUUGGAUUCUCUAGCAUUAGCCAACAAGGUAUUUGCUUGGAAUUACUUCCACCUGAAAACAACAGUUAACCUAUUUAAUAUACUUAACUAAGUAUCUAUUUCAUAACCUUAUAUAUUUUUUUAAUUAAAUUAGUUAUUUUUUUCAAAAAUAAAAAAAGUAAACGGUUUUCCAAAAAUCUAAUUCACAAUAAAACAAAUAAUGAAACUUGAUAAUAAUUCAUUAAAUAACCAUCAAUUAUUCAUCAAACCAAUCUGAAAAAGCUCAUAUUAAAGCUAGGGACCAAUCUGGAAUUUUAUCAUAUUUUUAGGGGUCAAAUUAUAAUUUUAUCAAAUUAGAAGACCAAACUAAAAAUAUCAUAAAUUCAUGACUAUACUAGAAUUCUGCCCAUAAUUCAUCAUAAAUUCUGCCCAGAAUUUCAAAUUAUGCUCCAAGGACCACUAUAGAAUUUUAUCAAAUAUCUAGGGUUAAGUUGUAAUUUCAUCAAAUUGGAGGACCAAAGUGAAAAUAUCAUAAAUUCAUAACUAUACUGGAAUUCUGCCCAUAAUUUAACUUUAAUUCUGUCCAGAAUCUCGGAUUAUGCUCCAGGGACCAAUCUCUAAUUUUUCUAAAGUUCAAGGACUAAACUGUAAUUUUCACAAAUUGAGGGACCAAACUGAAACUUCAACCUCAAACCCAGAAUUUACACAGAUAACCUACUGAUAUAUCAAGAUUUCUAACUCAAAUUCACCAUUUAAAUAAAAUCAUAACUCAAAAUCAUUAUUUUUACCUAAAAUCUUUCAAAAUCAACUAAAUAAUUCAUUAUCCAUAACAAUCAACCCAUAAUUUUUCUGUAAUGUAAUUGUAAUUCCUAGCAUAAUGCAUAUCCGAGGGCAAGCACAACAACUCAAGAACAAAGAAACUCGAUGAAAUAGCAAAAGAAAAGGACUUGAAGGACUGAAAUAAAAUAAAACCAAAAAAUAGGGAUUAAAAAAGUAACCGCACUCUGGUUGCCAUAAAAAACAUAGUUCUUUUAAUAUUUUUUUUUUAACUAUUGUAAUAGGUCAAUCAUAUUACCCGAGUGUGUGACUCAGAGAUGAUCAUCAUAGAAAAUUACUUUUAAUUGCUUGAGUUUUAUCCUUAGAUGAAAAACUUACCUCGUCCUCCUAAUGCUUUUGCUUUCAUUGUUUCGAAAGUAAAAGAGACAUAAACAUAAUCAUUUCCUUCCUUUUACUUUCCACUUCUUUGUAAUGGAUUGCAAACGGGAUGGUGCUUAGUGAGGCCAGUUUUUCUUUUCCUUUCUAUUUAAAAUCUUAUGCCUAAUUGGGUGAGGAAAUUAGUGGAGCAUUAGACUUUUUAAAAGACAACAAAAGGAAGCAAUGUCUCAUCUUUUGAUAUGGUGGUCUUCCAUGAUCAGUUUGUUGAUGAAGAUAUCGAAAGAUUCGAGUCUCCGUUCUAGUUCAGGUUGGAUGCAAGGCCGAAAGCUAAGCUUCUUUUAAUUAUGAAUUGUUUAUGCAAAGGAAACCCAGAAGCUUGAACAAACAGAAAUGCCUUGUUGAUUUCUCUGCUACUACUCAUUAUUUCCAAUAUUAUUCCAUUAUCUUACCCGAAAGCAAUUAUACAAGAAAUUUCAUUAUCCUGCCCCAAAGGCAGUUUAUUGCAUGGACUUCCUUUAACCUAGCUCCUUGAAGGCAAUUUAUUUGAUGAAAAUUCCUUUAAUCCACCUCAAAGACAAUUUAUCUUAGGGAAUUCCAACAACCCUUAAGGCAUUUUAUCAAAGGGAAUUCCAAAAACAAUUUAUUUCUUGGACUCAGUAUUCUUUGAUACUAGUUAUUUAUAUAUAAUUUAACAACACUUAACCAUCUUACAUUUAAGAAGAAAUUCAAAAGUAAGGAUAACCCUUAUCUAGAGCUCCUGUGGUUCUUGCUCCCGAGAGAAUUGGCUCCACUCCGGACAAAUCUACUAUCAGAAACCCAAGUUUCAACCAAUCAAUAACAUCAACACCCAUUUUAUAUUAAUGCAAUAAGUUUUUCUUAACCAAUUUACUUGAUGCAAGUUCUUAUAAUAAAAGUGACAGUAUUCAAGGUGAAGACAAGCAGAAGGGCGUGAUAGAGUUUGACAAAGAUGAAGCUAGUUCCAAUAAAGGGAAACACUCUAUGCAGGCCAAACAACAGUGGAAAUUCUUAUAAUCCCACCAAUCAAGGAUUACAGGACCCUAGUCCUUCCCAAACCAAUUUGAACUCCCCGUAGAGAAAACAUCUCCAAACCCAUUUUGAAUCACCCACAACAAGCAUCUCCACAACCUGUUCUGAACCCCCCCACAACAAGCAUCUCUGCAACAUGAUUUUAUUUCCUUGUGUGACAGGGAGGUCAAAAUUGAAAGAUAUUACUAUUUUCAUUAAUUUUAUUAAAGCUUAAUUAUUAUUUUUUUUCCCUUUUCUUUUAAAAAUGUUAUCUCCUUGGUAAGGAAUCCUUGGUUCCCAACAGCAACUGUAGCAUAGUUAAAAAAAUAUCUAAACUCCACCGAAAGUAGUGGAGCCUUAGAAUUUUUAAAAGACAAAACGGGGACAAGUGAGAGACGAAGAAAAAGACAAAAGUAAUCCCAUCUAUUGAUGUGGUGAUCCAAGAUACACCAUAACAUGGUGUUCUUCCAUGAAGUCUAAGAUACACCGUCGUGUUGUUUCAUAUAUAUUUUUAUAUAUGAAAAUAAUAAAGCUACCGUUUAAAACAACUCUGAAAACAAAAUUUUUAAUAAUCCAUAAUUUUUAAGCAAACAUCACUUAUAAGCAAAUAAUUAAUGAUGGUUAGUUAAACUAAUUCAUUGUUAGGCGGAUAUAUAUUAAGGUUAAGAACCCUCUAUCUAACACUAAUAACUAAUCACUGAUAAUAUUUAUGCAAAACUUGUAGCUUAGGAUGAACUCUCAGAGAUGUGGGCGAGGCAACUCAAAGUAGAAGGGAAGGGGUAACCUCUGAUAACAGAGAAAAUUGUAGAGUAAAGCAGGACCGAAUUUUCUUAAAUUAACAACAGAAAUCUACAAUGAACAGUUCUCGAGAAGAAACUCAAGAAACGUAUAUAAAGCUACAUGAUGACAUAAUAGGAACCUGCAUUGCCUCCAUUCUAUGAUGAAAGUUCAAGAAAUUUUACGUCGAAACUCAAGACAAACUCUCUCAGACUACAUAUUAGUGGGAUUUCCAUGAACAACUGAUUCUAUUGCAAAGCAACAUUAGGAAAAAUUGAAUAUUUCACACAUAGUCUAAUAAAAGUAGAUUCCAUUGUCAAUUCCUCAACAUUUUCCAAACAAAUCCAUGCUCCUCAUUUUAUACUCUCUCUCUUAUUACCAACUUCAUUGAGUUUCAUAUAAGCAUAGUCAAUCACACAACUAAUAUGUGAAUUCACAAUUUCUUACCGAAAACAUUUUAUCAGUGCAAGUUAAUACAUAAUUUUACCUCUCCUCUUGGUGAAAACAUAAAGACACAACCACCGAGCAGAUCUCUGGUAAUGGUCUCUACAAAUUCCCUACAGUUCCUAUUGCCAACAAACUCCUCUUGCCAUUCCCUAACUGCAUUGAGCCAGCUAAUCUGGAUGAAAGAAAAGACUUCAGCCAUUCCCUAACCUUAAAGCAGACCCAACUUUGUAGCUCAUUACCAGUUAAGUAAAAGUUAUCAAUAGCUGUGUAAAUCAUUGAAACUGCCACAAAAGCCCCAAAUUAGUUAUGAAUUGGAUUCGAUAAGGGAAAGAGGGGAAGAGGGGAAAUGGGUAACGGAAAAUUAAAGAGAGAUGAAGAUCUGCGCAGGGCUACCUGUUUUGAGAAUUAUGGAUUUUUAUCCCUAACUCCAAAUUGCACCAAUUAUAAGUUCAUUAAAACAAAUCUGGAACAGAACAGAUGGAAAAAACUCGAAACAACUUGGCUAGAAUUUGGGCAAGAAAUUCAGAACGGCCAAGAUUUUAAGUGAGAUAAAAGUUAUCCCAUUUUGUUCUGUUUUUUUUUAAAAAAUUAAUAUGAGAUGUACUAUCCAUUUCAAGCGGAACAUAAUGGAAUGAACAACCUUGCAUCGAAGACCUAAUUUUAGUGAAACUCAAGUUUCUUGUGUCAAAGAAAAUGUUCUAAAAAAAUGUUUUAAGCAUUAACAAAAUCUAGUUGGCCUAGGCAAUCCACUAUUGUUGCUGUUACCGUUGGUGCAUACUCCAUUACACCAUUGACAUAGUGCAACUGUUUUUCUUUCUUUCUUUCUUUCUUUCUUUUAAAAAAAUCCAUGUUAUGUUUUUUAUUUGAAGCUUUUUUGUUAAUAUCUUUCGCAAUUGGCCUUGGUAUUUUGUUUCCAUUUUCUCUGUUUCCUUCUUCUGUAGUUAGAAAACAUCAUGUCUUUGGGUUUGCGCUUGAUACAGCAAAAUUAAGGACACAAUAAUCAAAGAACACAAAAUUUUAUAAGGGAAAGGGGUUGCAGUUGUGAACCUAAAAUUUACAAAUUUAUUUUCUCAAUAAUAAUAAUAAUAAUAAAGAAGUUUGCCUUCUUAAAAGGUUUACAAAACCUUAAAUAGGUUAGGAACCUUACCUCAACAAGGGAACAGAAAAAAAAUCCAAAAUUAUAAAUGAAACAAGCAUAAAAUCUGAAAUAAGCAAGAAAUGAAAAUAACAAAAAACUACCAAAAUCAGGGGCAUCAUUGAGAUUUUUAAUAUCUAAAGAUCUAAUGAUUUGUAUAAAAAUUUGAGCACAUUAAUCCAAUAAUCGAAAAAACAAUUAUGGCUCUUUUGAGCUGUUAUUCUAGUCUAGCACGAUCAAACAUUCUCUUGGGUUUAGACUUGUUCUAUUGGUUCAUAAAUGCAUUUACUAGGCCAUCAACAUUAAUUGUCUAAGGCAAAUUCUCAUCUAGUUGUGGUAGACUCACACCUGACUGCUUAUAAAAUUGGUUGGUUUUUUGUUUUCGAAGAGAUUUAAAAUUUGAUGCAAAUGAAAGCUAAAAACACAAUAAUUAAAGGGCACAAAAAAAAUUAUAAGCGAAAAAGACUGCAGAUGUGAACCCUCAAAUUCACAAGUUUAUUUUCUCUAAAAUAAUAAUAAUGAAAUUUGUCUUCUUAGGAGGUUUCCAAAGCCAUAAAAAUAUCAAGAAUCCUACCUUAACUUGGAAACAAAAACACAAACUCAAAAUUACAAAGGAAAAAAGCAUAAAAUCCAAAAUAAGCAAGAAAUUAAAAAAUAACAAAGAAAAUCACAAAAAACUACCAAAACUAGAGGGCUCAACAAGAUUUUUGAUAUCUAAAGAUUCAGCAGUCCACGCAAAAAAAUUUGCAUGGUCCAACGGUCGGAUAAGAAAUUGUGAUCAUUUUGAGCUAUUAUACACGACCAAAUCUUCUUUUGAUCCUAUACUUGUCCUAUUAGUCCAUAAAUGCAUUUUCAUAACCUAUCUUUUUUUUUUUUCUACUAUAGAUGGUGUUUGACCAUCAUCGUCAUAUGGUUUGACUUAGUUGUACCGGUUUUUAAUAAGAUGAACUUUAUAUAUUAUGGGUUUACAUUUACUAUUUUUUAAAAAUGUUCAUUAUCGUUUCGAUCUCUAUAAGUCCAUUGUUCACAACUGAAGUCCGUACCUGCAGCGGAUCACAGGCAAUGAAACUAUACAAACACACUAGAGACUCAAGAGUAAACAUGCUACUAUAGUUAGCAGGUAAGGGUCAGGUCAUUUGUUGUCUGGUUUCAAAUAGAGUUUCAACUCAUUUAAUAAAUAUAUAUACAUGGCUCAUAGUUGGAUUAUUUGUGUUUUUGUUAUUUGUUCUUCCCAGUAAUUGUACCAGAAGCUGCUCUCAUAUUUGAAGGAAUGCAAACAAUAUAUUGUUAAUAUGAAACUUAUGAUGCCUAGGAAAUUGCCAUUUUUCUCAUUUUUAAUUGGAAGAAAAAUCACAAGUAUGUUUCUGUUAGAAAUAACUUCUUAUUUCAAUCAGAAGUGUGUCACUAAAUUGAUUUAUAAGUAAGUUUUUAAAUUGUGGAUUAUAUCUUAAUUACAUUAUAUUUUUUUAUUAACAAAAGUUUAUUUGAGUUAUUUUUAUUAAAAAUACUUAUAAUUUAAAAUUAUUUUAAUUCUUUUUUAUCAUAAAUUAUUUAUUAAAAACAACUUAGAUUAUCGCUUGAAAUAAAAAAUUCUUAAUUCAAAAGUCAUUAAAAAAUUCUUAAUUUAAAGAAGCUAAUAAUCUAAAAGGAGGGUGGGGCUGCUUAGCCAAUGAAAACAGCUUCACAUAUGAAAACAGCUUCACAUACAACGCAACAACGUGACACAAAGUAGAAAAAAAAAGAAAAAGAAAAAUUUCUCAGUCUGUUUUCUCUUUACUGAACAACCUCUUUGAUUCUCUAGCAUCUGCUUGGAAAAACCAUUCAACAAGGGAUUCUGCUAGGAAAACAUGCAAUUGUUCUUCUAUCUGAUAUCAGUUUCAAAAUUCUAAACAAAUAAUGCAACAAGUCACAUUUAUUCCAGACCUCAAGCUGCAUUGCCUAUUUCAAAACCACAAAGAGAACAUCAAACAGAACAACAAAUACCCAGUCGUAGAGCCAUUAAUUUGAGCAUAAAGGAGAAAGAAAGUCCACGCAUUAAACAGUAGGCACACACAUGAGUAUACAUUAUGCCCUUGUUUUUGAAGAUUCAGACACUUCAAAAGAAAACUCACGCUCUUAUUUUUGGGAAGUUCUUGUAUGGUAAAUAAGACUGUUACAAUGUGAAGCCAAUUUGUAUCCCAUUGCCAGUGAAACAAUAGGAAUUACUUCCACCAAUCUAAAACAUAUUCGCAGCACCACAGCUCAAAGACAUGAAUCUCUGUGAAAUCACCUAAGGUCGAGUUGCUCAUGUAAUAGGCAACCAACCUGCCUAAUGCUAACAGAAGAACAAAGACCAUUCAUGCAUAUCCAUUACCUGUUUAGCAUGUUUUUCAAAUUCCAAUGCCAAACUAAUCAUCCUACCCAUCAUCAUCAUCACCACCAUCUCCCUUCACCACCUUCCUUCAUCUCCUUCACCACAUACCCACCCAUUAUUUCGGGUCCACGUUUUACAAGUGCUGAUUGGCGCAGAGCAACCAGUGCUUGAAUCCUCAGCUACUUCAGAUACCUGUAAUCCAAUCCAAGCAUGGCAUACACAUUUUGGCUUCUAAAUCUUAUUAUUGAGUGAAACAAGAAACAAACACACAAAAAGAGAAGCAAGAAAUUAAGACAAUUCAGCAGCACCUCUGAUGGAGCUCUUAUUGAACCAUUUGGUGUAGUAGCAAAUUUUGUGAUCAGCUUUGGGCAUUCAAACACCUCCAACUGCUCUAAAUGAGGGAAUAAGAAAUCAUAACAUCCGAGACUGAAGCAUACAAUACUUGAUAAUUGUUCUAGCAACAGCACCUGCAGAUUCGGGAGCUCCAUCACCUUCUCAACAUUGACAGGUAAAGCAUUCUCAUCCUGAAGCCAUGGCUACUGGGAAGAGACUCUUCAACAUGUUGCAUUUUCUGACAUCAAUUUCACAUAAAUUAGGGAAACAUACAGAUUGAAGAUGAUCUCCUGGGAAUAUCUGAUCCUUUCCAUCAUCAUUAUCCCUAGCAAUGAUUUGCUAUAAUUCCUCACAACUUUCUAUGUUUAGAAAAUUCAGUUGAACUAGACUAGCAAUCAUGCUGUCUGAGAAUACAUGUGUUAGUCUUUUACACUUAUUCACCACCGAAGUAGUUAAAUUGCUCAGCACGAGAACCUUCCACAAACACCACAUGCUUGUGUCAGGCAGGGACUUCAAUUUUAAUGUUUUCAAACUUGUUAAACUCCUAUGCAUGCUCCACUUAUCAAUUUUAAUGUUUUAGCUCUUCAUUCGUCUCUCCAUUUAAAGCUAUAAAAUAAAAUAAAAUAAAAAUAGCUAACAAUAUUACCCUUUUUUUUAUUGACAAAUGCUACUGUUUUUUUCUUUUUUUUUUUCUUUUUGUCAUUCUAAAUAGAGCAUUUGCCAAUAAAAAAAAAUUAAGGCCUGGAAAUGAUGUUUUGUGAUUGGCCCAUCAUUAAUUUUGUUAUCCAUGCACAGUAUAGACCGGCCCGGGAAUGAUGUUUAAACUGGGAAUAAUGAGUUUUCUAUGGGCUUUGGAGCAUUGUGUGACACUUAACAGUGUGCACUUCAGGCCCAUUUAAGAAGAGAAAAAAGGGACAGGGAUAAAGUCUGAAGUAACGGUCAGAAAAGAAACCGAUAAAUUAAUUAAAUUGAAAAAAUUAAAUUAUAAAAAAAAUUAAUUAAAUAAAUUAGAAUAUUUUUAAAAAAUUAGUUGAGUUUGAUUUUGAUUUCAUAAAUUUAAAAUUAAAAAACCGAACCAAAUAAAAAAACCCAUUAAAAAAUCCCAAAAUUACCAAAAAAACAACAUAAUUUUUAAUUUUAAAUAUAAAAUAAUCAAACCAAAUCGAAAUCGGUCAAUUGAUUGAGUUUCAGUUUUUAAUAUAAAAUAAUUAAACCAAACCAAAACAGGUCAAUUGGGUUUUAUUUUCUAAUAUAAAAUAAUCAAAUAAAAUUAAAAUUGAUCGGUUGGAAUCGGUUUUAAUUUUUUUAUAUAUUUUAUAAAAUUUGAAUUUAUUAUUUUUAUAAAUAAAAAAAAUAAUCACUCUCGGUCUAAAGUCAAGACAUUGUGGUAUAUGACAUCAUUGGCAGGGUACUAUUCUACCACUAGAUCACUGGCACUUGUUGGUAUCAACGUGUGGAAUAGCUAAUUAAAUAUAUAUAGUCAAAUAGGUAAUUGAAUAUAUAUAAUGACACGUAUAUUUCCUAGUCAAACGCAGGAGCAAAAAUUUCAAAAUAGCAGACAACGUUUUUGACAGAAGUCUUGUACCAUUACUUCUAUCUCGCUUUAUUCUCUUCUAUAUAUAUAUAUAUAUAUAUAUAUGGUGAAUUGACUAGAGCAUGCAUAUAAGACUUCUUCUAGUCAUGAUGGUCAGUGAGGUUUUUGGUUUUAAAAUCAACAACUCCACUUAAAUUUCUUAAACUUGAAGAAUAUGCGAAGACAAUGCAUUUUUAAUAUGCUAAUUAUUCCUUGUACAGAAACAAGAAGGGAUUCUCCUCUACAUUAUUGUCCCAAUAUAUCAAACAUUGAUAAAGAAAAAAUGCAAAUCAAAACCAAGGCUCCCUCCCCACUGUUUCGUUUUAUAUGCUCUUGGAUCUUGAUUAACUAAUGAAGGAAACAAUUUGAAAACAUUAAAAUUGUAUCAAGAGACAGGGAAUGACACAGUUAGACAACUCCUUUUCAAUUUAGUGGAUGGCUAAAGGAUUUAUCUCCACUUAUCAAUUACUUCAGUUUCAGAAAUUUGGAGGAAGAAAUCACAAUGUAUUGAAGUUGACAACCAGAAGCCCAAAAGAAAACAAUUUUGACGAAUACCCACCAAACAGUUGAAGUGCUGCUGUAACUGAGAUUUUUUAUUAUAUGUAUUUUUUGUGGUCCAAUGGAUAAAUAAUUUUUUUUUCUUUUAUUUUAUCAGCUUAAUUUUGCAUGUGGAAUAUUGAGUUUUCUGUUAUUUUUUCAGACACAGAAUUGAAUCCUUUAUAUAUUCUUAAAACCAAAUUUGAAUUCUAAGUUCCUAAAUGAAGGAAUAAUAAAGAUUGUUGCAACUUGCAUGUACAAAUUCUCCUUCAAAAAAUUAACAAAUAAUAAAGUCUCCUAUGUUAAUGAAGAUUUAAUUAUAACUUAGCCCUGUAAUUUCUUAAAAUUAAUUAUUUAGUCUUUUAAGUAUAAUGGAUGUCGCACCCGACAUCGCGGCGGCCCUAAAAAUAAUCCUCGAAUAUGAAAAAAGAACAGAUUUCUGGCAUCUUGCUCUUUUAGAAGAAAAAAAAUGUCUUAUUUGAGGAGUCGCCACCUAUUAUUAUGGUCACUAGGAACCCUAACUAGUCAACAGAGAUUCUAUGGCUCGGGAUUGGUUAUGUAAAAGGGAAGAUAUUAUCACCCUUUAAACGUUCUGCCUAAUGCAGAUUGCAUUGCUGGUUUUGUCUUAAAUUGCUAAAUGUUUAUUAGUUUAUGCUAUGAUAAUUUGUUUAUAAUAUUCCUGACUCUGGCGCCAAUGAAUAUUCGAGCUCGAAUAAUUCCAACUCUGGCGUUGGUAAAAAUUCGUUGCUACGAAAAAAAAUUAGAUCAAUAUUUUUUAUUCUCUACUCUAGCGCCAAUGAAUAAAUAAAUAAAAAUAAAUUUAUUUUUACGCAUGCACAUAUUUUUUUAUUUCUUAUGUAGUUAAAUAAAAAUUAAAUCAGUAUUUUUUAUUUCUGACUCUGGCGUAAGUGAAUAAAUCAAUAAAUUUUUCUAUUUUUUCUAUUUUUAUUUUUUUUUGUUUUGGGGGUUGGGCCCAGCUCAGCCCACAAGGGCUGGGCUGGACCCAGCUGACUCGAUUGGGUCACUGGUCUAGACCAGUGACCCGGCCGGGUGGCAAACGCACGCCUGCCCAAUGAAUUAUAAUUCACUUGCUACAGUAGCAAGUGAAUUAUAAUUCACUGCUACUGUAGCAGUGAAUUAAAAUGCAAAAGGGUAGAGAUGAGGGACGACUGACCUGGUGCAGCAAGGCGUAGCCGGAGACGAUGGCGCACUGUGCUGGACAAACGACGCUGCCUCCUCUUGUUCUUCCUCUCUUCUUCCUUCUCUUCCUCCUUUUCUUCCCUGGUUCGUCCCUGUAUUUCUUUCCUGGAGUGCCCUGUUUCUGGUGCAGUGGCUGCUGAAGAUGGAGCUCUGGAGUUGCUGCUUCUGGAGGCGACGAAAACGGUUGUGACGCUGGUGGUGACUCUUGUCUACUGCUUUCCUUGGUCUUCCUUAUGUGCUUCCUCUGCUCAGGACAUCAACGAUGGUGAUGAAGAUGUUAGGUGCUGCCGGUUGAAUGGAAGCUUGCUCCCCUGUUUCUGUUUUUCUGCAUUCGUCUUCCCUAGUUUUCCUUUCCUAAGCUGUGAUAAGAUAGGAUUUAGAGGAAGAAGAGAUAAUAAGAUAAAAGGUGAUUGUUUAUUGAUUGCAUGCCUUUCCUCUCGAAACAGUGAGCCUAAAUAGGCCAUUCAAUACAACUGUAAACUAAAUAAUAGGAACUCCAGUAGUGGAGAGCUGAAGACUAGGGAUUCUCUGACCCAUUCAAUUACUUAAUUAAACAAUGAAAUAAAUUAAACAAUGAAACAAACAAAACAUAAAGUAAUUCCACGUAGACUCUCUCCAUGCAGUAGUAGCAAGAGAUCCACGUGCCCAAUGCUCUUAUCAUUCCCUCUCCCUCCCUUGAAUUCUCCUUGUCCGCAAGGUUGAAUUGAGGAUAAGUUUUUGCAAAUCGCCACAAAUUUUCCCACGAAGAAUCUUCUGGCAAUGCCCCCUUCCAUUGCACCAAGAUUUCCGUUCGUGGCCUGUAUUUCCCCUUCUGGAUAACCCUUCUAUCAAGGAUUGCUUCUGGUUCUGGUAACACCACAACAUCUGACAUAAUUGGAGGAAGGGUGAUCACCGCGUCCUUGGCUAUAUCUCCCCACUGUUUCUUGAGUAAACUGACAUGGAAAACAUCAUGUAUGCGUGACCCUGUGGGAAGGUCUAAUUUGUAUGCCACUGGUCCAAUGCGAGCGAGAACCUUGAAGGGGCCAAAAAACCUGGGUGAUAACUUUAAGGAACUCCUGAAAGCUACCGUUUUUUGGCGGUAUGGUUGCAAUUUUAAGAACACAUAAUCUCCAACCUGAAAUGUGACUUCCCGACGAUGCAAAUCUGCCCGAGAUUUCAUGCGUCCCUGUGCAUCAAUUAAAUUCCGUCUGAGGUCCCGCAGGAUGACCUCUCUUGUGCGCAGCAUUUGAUCUACUGCUUGAAGCUUUGUAGUUCCUGGUAUAUAGGAGAUCAUAGAUGGAGGAGGGACCCCGUACACAGCUUCAAAUGGAGAAACCUUCGUUGUUGAUUGAAUGGCCGUGUUGUAACCAUAUUCAGCCCAAGCCAGCCAUUCCAUCCAUGCCUUUGGGUGGUCGCAAGUGAAACAGCGCAGGUACUGUUCCAAGGUCCGAUUAACCACUUCGGUUUGGCCGUCCGUUUGCGGAUGGUAACUGGAGCUGUAGUUAAGUGUCGUGCCAUGUAGCGUGAAUAAGGACUUCCAGAAGGAGCUGAUGAAGAUUUUAUCCCGAUCACUCACUAUAGAACGCGGCAUGCCAUGUAAUUUGACCACAAUAUUUAAGAAACACUUCGCAACCGUCACUGCAGUGUAGGGAUGUUUAAGUGGCAUAAAAUGGUUGUAUUUGGAGAGCCGAUCCACCACAACCAUGAUAACACUGUAACCUUGCGAAGAUGGUAAGCCCUCGAUAAAAUCCAUAGAUAUGUCCGUCCAAAUGAGCUGUGGGAUUGGGAGAGACUGAAGUAACCCCGCUGGCCUUAAAGUUUCAUGUUUACAACGCUGGCACACCUCACAUUCUCUAAUGAAGUUCUUGACAGAUGUUCGUAUGCCAGGCCAUAGAAAGCUGGAGGAGAUGCGGGUCAAGGUCUUUAAAUAGCCAAAAUGUCCACCUGCAGGGAAUGAAUGCCCAUCGGCCAAAACAGCAGGUAACAAAGAGGAUGUAGGACUCAAGUGUAUCCUCCCUUUCUGCAUCCAAACCCCAUCUCUUUGAACCAGUUUUAAAGUGGGAUUGGUGGCCACAGUGCUGUAAUAGGGCUGCUGCUGGACUUCUUGUUGUAGAGUUUCCCACCAGUCUGUAAUAGGAGCUGAUAUAGCGUGUAAUUGUGCUGCUGCCACGCGAGAGAGAGCAUCAGCUCCCUGAUUUUCCUUGCCCUUGCGAUACUGAAUGCUGUAAUCGAACCCCAUAAUCUUCGGCAGCCAACGGGCUUGAGAAGGGGUGGUAAGUCGUUGCUCGAGAAGGUACUUCAAGCUUUGAUGAUCGGUCUUGAUCACAAAGGUUCUGCCCAAUAAAUACGGCCGCCAUUUCCGCACUGCCUUCACUACUGCGAGCAUCUCCUUGUCAUACGUUGACAGUAAUCUAGACUUGCCCUUCAAGGCCUCACUGUAAUAAGCAAUUGGCUGAUUGUCUUGAGAUAAAAUUGCUCUCAACCAUCACCACACGCAUCACACUCCACUGCAAAUUGUUGUGCAAAGUUUGGAAGUCGCAGCACAGGUGGGGACGUGAGGGCUUGCUUCAGUUUAUUGAAAGCCAUGAGCGCCUCCUCAGACCAGCGAAACCCCUCCUUGGAUAGGAGCUGAUUUAAUGGUGCAGCUAUGACGCCAAAUCCUCUCACAAAUUUUCAGUAAUAUCCAGCCAAACCGAGAAACCCACGGACAUCCUUGGGAGUUGCUGGAAUUGGCCAAUUUUGGACGGCUUGGAUUUUGGCAGGGUCCACUGCUACUCCUUCGGCAGAAAUGAGGUGCCCCAAAUAACCCACGGUAAGCACUCCAAACUGGCAUUUUGAGAGCUUUACAUACAGCUGGUUGUCCGAGAGAAUACGCAGCACUUGACAGAGAUGUUGUAAGUGAUCCAUCCAAGACCUGCUAUACACCAAAAUAUCGUCAAAAAAUAACAAUAUAAAUCGCCGUAAAUGAGGGCGAAAGAGGUCAUUCAUGAGACUCUGAAAAGUUGCUGGGGCGUUUGUCAAUCCGAAUGGCAUGACCACAAACUCGUAGUGACCGUCAUGAGUGCGGAAUGCGGUUUUUGGAAUGUCUUCCGGCUGGACUCUAAUCUGGUGAUACCCGGAGCGCAAGUCCAGCUUUGAAAAGAACUUCGCGCCAUGUAAUUCAUCAAGCAACUCAUCAAUGACCGGAAUGGGAAACUUGUCUUUAAUUGUGAUUUCAUUGAGCGCCCGAUAAUCAACACAAAAUCGCCAAGACCUAUCAGCCUUUUUAAUCAACAAAACCAGAGAAGAAAAGGGGCUGCGACUGAGGCGAAUAACUCCAGAUUGUAGGAAUUCCUUGACCAGUUUUUCAAUCUUAUUUUUUUGAUAGUACGGGUACCUGUAAGGCCGGUUGUUGACUGGAGAUUUAUUGGACAUCAAGGGAAUUUGGUGGUCAUGGCUGCGCGUAGGUGGCAGCGUUGUAGGCUCCUGGAAAACAUGUGCAAAAUCUGAAAGGAUGAGAUUGAGGUCAGGUGACCACGCUGAGGCUGUCUUUGGCAUUGUCUCCGUUUCUAUAUGCACAAAAUACCCCACACCUGAUAAGUGGAUCAACUCCUUAUCACUUAGGGGAGCGAGUUCAGUGUUUGAUAGUCCUCUCAAUGUGUACGUCUGGCCUUCUUGUUUAAAUGACAUGAUGAGCUUUUUGUAAUCGGUCUUGAUGGGGCCUAAAGUCUCCAGCCAUUGCACUCCUAAUACGGCUUGGCAGGCUAUCACUGGAAGCACAAAGAAGUCUGCGCGAACAAUGAUUCCUUGAAUCGAUAAAGAAAGGCCUAAGCACCGCCCAGUACACUCAAUAAUCUCCUUGUUCCCAACUGUGACUUGGAUGGUUUUGCCGCGAAUAACAUGUAGUCCCAAUUUGGUUGCCGUGGACUGAUCAAUAAAAUUAUGGGUGCUUCCCCCAUCAAUGAGCACUGUCAUAGCCGUGUUUCCUGCUCUACCAAUGACACGGAAAGUCUGUGGGUGGUUUGUUCCCACCAGAGCAUGAAAUGAUAUCUCUGGAAUGUCUUCCUCAGGCGUCACAAUCUCCAUGUCCACAUCGUCUCCUUCCUCCUUCUGCUGCACAUCCACCAUCAUGAACAACUGAGGCCGUGAACAACGAUGCCCGGGAACAUAUCGCUCAUCACAAUAGAAACACAACCCUUUUUCACGUUUCUCCCUUGCCUCCUGACCUGUUAUCCGUCGAAUUGGUGCAGUUGGGUGAGUUGUUCAUUGAGCCGGGGCAGGACCCAAGAGUCCCAUGGUGUUUGUGUGUGGUUGUUUCGGCUGGAAUGAAGGUGUUGUCGAUGGUCUGACUGGAUUGUUGAAUUUCCUUUGGAAAUGAUUUCGUUCUUCAAUUAAAUGAGCCACACUAAUGGAUUCAGAGAGAGUUUUUGGUUGCUUAACUCGAACAUCCAAACGAAUUUCAUCUUUUAAUCCCGCAAUAAAACACCCUACCAGGAAAUUUUCUGGGAGGUCAUCAACCUUGUGAGACAGUUUCUCAAAGGCUUCUUGAUAUACAUUCACAGUCGUGGUUUGCUUAAGUCUGGACAAUGCUUCUGACGGAUCAUCAUACUCAGUUGGUCCAAAACGGUGGAGAAGGGCUGAGACAAACUCAUUCCAGAGUAAUUGUCCCUUGCUUUUCGUAUACCAACGAUACCACUGCAAGGCGACACUCGACAGAUGAAAUGACGCCAAUUGUACUUGUCGUGGAGCGUCAAUGUUCUGGAACUCAAAGUAUUGUUCUGCCUUAAAUAUCCAGCCAGUGGGAUCCUCCCCUUCUCCAGAAUAGGUUGGAAAAUUCAACUUGAGGGUAGUGUGGUUUCUGUCGGCAUUGAAGGUUGCAGACGACCUGUCGUGAGAAGUACUUCCCCCAGCAUAAGGAUUUACUUCCCUCUCACUGGAACGAUGGGAAUGGGCGAUCCUCAUCGCUUGUAGCUCUGUCAUGACUCCCUGAAGGGCGUCGUUGACUCGAUUGAAAUUGUGAUUCAAUUCGUCAAAAUUGGCGUCGUGUCAUCCGAGAGUUUCUGUGAUCUCAGCACGAAACUACGCAUUAGUUUUACCACGCGUGUCCAUGGAUUGAACAGCUCUAAUACCACUGAUAAGAUAGGAUUUAGAGGAAGAAGAGAUAAUAAGAUAAAAGGUGAUUGUUUAUUGAUUGCAUGCCUUUCCUCUCGAAACAGUGAGCCUAAAUAGGCCAUUCAAUACAACUGUAAACUAAAUAAUAGGAACUCCAGUAGUGGAGAGCUGAAGACUAGGGAUGCUCUUGCUAAUCCCGUUACUUAUUCUCUAACCCAUUCAAUUACUUAAUUAAACAAUGAAAUAAAUUAAACAAUGAAACAAACAAAACAUAAAGUAAUUCUACGUAGACUCUCUCCAUGCAGUAGUAGCAAGAGAUCCACGUGCCCAAUGCUCUUAUCAAGCUGUUGCUUGUGAUAUUAUUGGAAAACGAAGACGCAGACGAAGACGAUGGUCGAUGGUGAUGGAGGUCUGCACCCAGGAGAUGGGGGUUCUUCCCCUGCGUUUUUCUUGUUGUUGUUCGUCUCUGUGUUUUUUUUUCUGUUCUCUGUUCUGGGUCUCCAGUGGCUUUUCGGUUAUGCCCUCCCCUCUCUUCUGUCUUCUCUCCCCUUUUCCCCCGGUUUUGCUCUUUUUUCCUUUCAUCCUCUUCUGCUCAGUCGUUCUUUGGCUUUUAUAGCCAGAGAAAAUAAUGUCGUUUCUUCCAACCAUAAAGUGUGAUAAUUGCAGAAGUAAUGGCUGUGCGGCGGUGGGCGUCCGUUUCGGUCGGGUGAGGAAGAUGAACAGUAACGGGCAACGGUGCUGUUUUGGUAUUCACAGUUGUAUGCCUUUUGGCCCUUGAAGUUUUGAACGUUUUGUAAUUAAGCCCCUAGUUAAAUUGUAAAUGGACCCCUGAAUUUCGACGCCUUUUACAAGUUAGGCUUUGGACUUUAAUCUGUUGCCAUUGUGCCCCCAAUUAACCCCAAAAUUUGGUAUUUUUUCAAUUAAGUCCCUGAUUUCAUUAAUUAAAUUAAAUCUAAGUCCAAUUAAGUCCCAAACUUAUCAAUUCAUUAAAUAAGCUCUUGAUUUUGUCAAUAAAACUAAUCCAAAGUUUAAUUAAAUCUCAAAACUUCCAAUUUUGUUGCCAUUAACCCAAAAUUUUAAUUCAUUCUUUAUUUUUAUCAUUUCACUCAUUUCAUCAUCAAAUUUUUUAAAUAAAAUAGAGAAGUCAAAAAUUGGGUUAUGAUAAUGAAUAAUUAAAAAAUCUAUUAACUUGUGUUGACCACCCUCCAUUUACUAUAUUUUUCUCUAAAAAAUGCCUUCCUUCCUAAUGAAAUUUCCUCAAAUACAUACUUUUUUUUUUAGGAAAUGUUCCAUUUUCCUCACUUCUAGAAAAAAAAAAUUAAAUGCUUGUGCGCAUGGGCUUGACCUUGCAGAUCCGCACACAAGCCUUUGAUGGGUGGGCCAAGCACUAGGCCUGACUUUCUAGAUCUAACAACGUAUGACCUCAUUUAUUUUUUUUAAUUAUUAUUAAUACCUAUAUAUAUAUAUUUAUUUAUAUAUUUGAAAAUAUUUUUAAAAAUGAUGUUUUUAUUAAUACUCGUUUUCGUUGAUUUUUUUUUUUGCCUUAUUUAGCGUUCAAUUAUUUUUAAUUAUGUUGGGUAUGUUUAGUUUUUUAAGAAGUUACUAUUAUUUAUCUGUAAAAUUUUUUUAUAUAUUUCAGAUAGAUUAAGUAUUUAUUUUUUUAUAAUAUUUUGAAUAAUUAUAGCCUUGCAUGGUAUUUUUUUUCCUUUUAUGCUAUUCAAUAAAUUUUAUAUGUGUAUUGAUUUCUAUUAUAAAUUAAUUUUAGUAAAUAAAUUAAUUAAACAUAACCAGGGUUAUUUAUUUAUUGGUAAUGACUUUUUUUUUCAUUUAUUUAUAUAAUGAUUCAUGAUUUAUUUAAUUCGAUGCGUGCAUAAGUUUUUUAAUUUAUAUUUAUGAUUGUUUUUAAUGUAAGAAAACACGUUCAUAAAUUCUUAUUAUUAUGAUUUCAGUUUAAUCCUAAUUUUUAUGAUUUUUUAUUUUUUUUCCUUAGCCUUUUAUAAAAGUUUUUUUGUUUGUAAUUUCACCCUUUAAUUUAAUAUGAUGGUGUAUUUGUUUUUUUAUUUUUUGCUUCUAUAUAUAUAUAUAUAUAUAUAUAUAUAUAUAUAUAUAUAUUCCCGUCUUUUGUUUUUUCGUUUUAUCAGCUUUUGCAUGUGGAAUAUUGAGUCUUCUACUUUUUCAGCCACAGAAUUGAAUCCUUUAUAUAUUCUUAAAACUAGAUUUGAAUUCUAAUGAACGAAUAAUAAAGAUGGUUGCAUGUACAAAUUCACCUUCAGAAAACAUAUAAUAAAGUCCCAUAUGUUAAUGAAGAUUUAAUUAUUAAGAAUAUAAAUUAAAUUAAAUUAAAUAUUGAAAAAACUAAAUGAAUUCCUUAAUAAAUAAAUAAAUUCUUUCUUUAGAAAGCAUGGAAAUGCCAUGACACUGGCUUUUUAGAGAGAUGAAGAUCUGGAGCACAACAGCCAAGAAAGUUAUCGAUAAAAGGAAGAUGGGAAGAGGGGAAAUGGGUAACGGGAGAGAGAUGAAGAUCUGCGCAUGGCUACCUGUUUUUGAGAGAAUUAUGGAAAGUUAUCCCUCACUCAAAACGGCACCAAUUAUAAGUUCAUUAAAAAAAAUCUGGAGCACAAUAGAUGGAAAAAACUCGAAACAACUUGUCUAGAAUUUAGGCAAGAAGAAUGAGCCAAGAUUUUAAUUGCAAUGAAAUUUAUCUCACUUUGUUAAGUUUUUUAAAAUGAUACAAGAUAUACUACCUAAUGAAACAAAAUGGAAUCAACAACCUUUAAAAGGAGUAGAGAUCACUUAUGUGUCUCUCAUAUUCAAUAGCCUUUUUCCCAUACUGACAUGUGCUUUACACUCACCAACAUUUUUUUUCUUUUUAUUUUAUAAUAUUCAACAUCGGCGAGUGAGAAUUUGAUAGCUAACUUUAUUAGUAGUGUUGGUUGCUGACUUGUCAGACACGUUUUGAGGCCAUAUGUAGUCACCAAGAACAAAUCCAUGAGGGCGAUAAGGCCCCAUAAAGACAAUAUCUGGUAGAUUCAGUCAGGCUAUGACAUAUUCGAUAAUAACUCUUCAAUUAAGUUCUAAAUCUCAUUUCAUCUUUUCAAUUUAAUCCCUAAUUUGACAUCAACUCUUCAAUUAGACCCCAAAGCUUAUCUCACCUGAGGAAAGCCCUCUUCUCUCAAUUUAGCCCCUUAUUAUCUUCAAUUUAAUAUCAAAUUUUAUUUGAUCCAAGCCCAAAAAAGGCUAAGCGAAGAUAGAAUAAAGGAAGGGAAAGAAAAUGAAUAAUUGCCCAACGGAGUUAACGUGUUUUGGUCUUUUCUCCAUGAUUUGGGUUGAACAUUUGACAUAUAUCCUUUUUUCUAUAGUUUUUUAUCCAUGUUCGUUGUGACGCCAUUGGUAUAGAAUGGUUACCAACUGUUAGUUUAAUAUGCCUUGUAGCCAAUCGGUUAGUUACACGAGACAUUAUUAUAUUCAUGUAAAUACAUAUUUAUUAUUAAUAAAGGCUUAAUUUAACUUUAAUAUUCAUAUAAUAUUAGAGUAAUGAAUCUAAAGUAUAAAUAAAGUUUAUGAGACAAAAAUGUUUUGCAAAGGAAAUUAUAAAGUUGUUAUAAUUAUGAGAUUUUUAAUGCAUCAAAGUAUAAUUCAUAAAAUAUUCUUGGUCGAUGCUCUCUUAAAUACUGGAUAUUAAUUAGAGCUAUAAAGACUGAUACAUAUUAUGUUUUUUCCUUUAUGAAAUGAAGCAACUGUUCUCAUAAGUUGAGCUAUAAGGGAUACCUAAAACUAAUAUGUAUAUGCUUGUCAUUAGACAUGUACACUGAAUUGACCGGCAUGAGAAUUCCAUAUGAAGAGAUUAUUUAUGUCUAUGGAAAGACUCACAUGACGGUUGUAUAUGUAAUCCUUAGACUUGAGAUCACUAAGUUAUCUUAUAUAGAGAAUGUUAUGCUUUGAUCCUGUUACAUGUUAUCUUAAUUGAGGUAACAAAAUGAUAGACAUUGGGUAUAUCAUGAACUAUAUGAAGGUACUUGAGUAAUCAAGAGAGGAUUUCAUCACCCUAUGUGAAUUAGAAAAAAUGUUCAAUCUGUUCUCAAAUAAUAUUGACUGAGAAAUCCGUGGCCAAUGUGGAAUGAUAUUUAAAAAGGAUUUCAAAUCUUAUUCAAAUAAUCAAUUGCUAUCAUAUAGAGAAUGACAUGAUUUAACAUGGCAAACAUGCUUCAUGCUUUAAUGUUAAAUAAGAACAUUAGUGAUAAAAUGGUAUUAAUUACAAUGAGAAACUGGUAAUUGAAACCACUAAUAACUUUUCUAAUAUUUAUGGGAUCAUGACACGUUACUAGACAAUGCAUAUGAUCUUCAAAUCUUCAAUUGUAAUUUAUUUAAUUAUAAUUAUAAUUUAUAUUUGGGUUAAUAUAUUAGGAACCUAAUAUGUCAUACACAUUAAGAAUUAAAUUGUGAUGAUUUAAUUAAGUAUAACUUGAUUAAAAAAAAAUUUAGAAAUUAAGGACUACAAUAUAAUUAAUACAAGGAUUAUAUUUUUAGAUCUAGAAAAAUCAAGGACUUGAUUGAGUUAAUUUAUAAAAUUAUCUUAAAUUAAUAUAUGGAUAUUAUUCAAGGGGAAAAUUGAUAUUUUGUCAAUUUAUAGGGUUUUUCAUAUUUCCUUAUAAAUAGUAAGUGUCGCACGUGUGCGGCGUCGUGACAAAAACAUUCACCCUCAAAAUCUUAUCUUAUAAUGUGGCAAAUGUGGGGAGACAAGGAAUUCUUGUUUUUUAUUAGUGGUAAAUUGGAAUGGGAGUCGCCACCUAGUAUUUUGGUCACUAGGAACUCUAGCUGGUCUCAAAGAUCGGGUACGGGGACUGGUUGCGUAAAGGGAAGGUAUUAGCACCCCAAAUACGCCCUACCUAAGGUAAGCUGCAUUGUUUUAUUGUUUGAUAAAAUCUAAGAUCUUGUCGUGUUUUCUCGUUGUUGGUUCGUCUAUGGUUUAAGAAAAGUCCUUCUCGGUAAGGAGAUCCUUAUCUUAUCGGGUAAUUCUGACGUCAACCAAAGAAUUUAAUAUCCGAAAUACGUCUUACGUAUAAGGUCAUAACCCCAGAUAUUAAAAGAAAACAAAAUAAUUUUUUUGGAAUUUUUGAAAUAUUGGCCUAGUUCUCGUGACUUUAAUAAACUGGUUAUUAAAGCCAAAAUGCAUGUUAAUAUAUAUUUUUGAAAUUUUCUUUGUUAUAUGAAAAUACAAUAUGAUUUUUUUUUCUUUUAUUUUUGAGAGACUUGGUCGUAUGCAUGAAAACAAAAUAUUUUUUAUUUUUUAAAUUUUUUUAAUGUCUUGACGAAAACCGGGUAUUUUAAUACCAGAUUUAUAUCUUUACAGUAUAAAAAUACAAACCAAUAUUGAUCAAAAUGAAGUAAAAAAUUUGCAGAAAAUCACAUAUUUUUUUAAAAUUCUUUUUCCGGGCUGGGCCCAGCCCGGCCCAUGUGGCUGGGCUGGACCCAGCAGGUUUCUACCCGCAUGCGUGCGUGAACAAUUCACGCACGCCUGCUACAGUCGCGAUGUAAUUAAUUUUCAUGUGCACAGUGUUUGUGCAUUUUCUGCAAAGUUGGAGAAGUUUACCUGGAAGCAAGACGAAGGCAACAACAGCUUUGGACCUCUAUCUUCACCUUUUCGUUUGUUUUUCUUCUGGUUCCUCUGGUUCUUCCUGUUUUUUUCUGUUUCUGUUUUCCGUUCUUCUUGUGGUUCCUUUCCUUUCGUCUCUGUCUUCUCCUUCCUCCCGGUAUUCUUUGUUUUUUUUGGUUCCCCUCCCCUUUUCUGUUUCUCUCCUCCCUAUCCUCUGCUUCCUUACGCUCUCCCUCUGUCUAUCUCUCUUUUUGUUCUUUUCAAAAGAUUUCCCACCCUCUGUUUCUUUCUCCCUAUGCUGCCCAGUUCUCCUUCCUUCUCGUUCUUUUUCUAUGUUUUCUCCCUGCUCCCUUCUUCUCCCCCUCUUCGGCUCAGUCUUCUUCUGCUGCUUUUAUAGGUCAGAGAAGGCUUUGUGCUGGUAACGGCUGGCUUGGUAACGGUUUGAAGAGGGAUGACAGCCGUGACACAUGCCCUAUAAUUGAAGAGAAUUGGCACUGUUGCUGCAAGAAAACGUCUCUCGGCCUUUAGUGCUGAAACGGCUGGAAGAAGACACUGAAUAGUGUUUCAAGGCAACGGCCCCGUUUUUUGCAAUUUUAAAUGAUAUUUAUGAUUUGGUCCUUGGAUGUUUUUACAAUUUGUAAUCAAGCCCUCGGAUAAAUUAUAAUUGGAUCCCUUGAUUGUAGCACCUUUUCUGUUUUGGUCCUUGGUUUUGAAUUGUUUCAAUUAAGUCCCUAAUUGGCCAUCAAACUUUAAUAACUAUGCAAUUAAGCCCCUGAUUUGACCAAAUCAACUCUUUAAAAUUAUAAUUGGACCCCAGAACUUUAAUUUCUUCCAAUAAAGACCUAAAUUGACUUAAAAAACAAUUUUUCUUGCAAUCAAACCCUCCAUAAAUUCAAUUAAACCUUAGAUAAAAUUUAAUUGAGUCCAUAAACAUCUUAUUUUGAAUAUAUUUUUUCAAAAAUUGAAUUUUCUUUGUCAACAGAACUCUCAUCAGUUAACGAUAAACUGUCAAAUUUCAACCUUUUGCAUUUUUGAACCUCUUCAACCAAUUUUUGGCCAUUUUUCGGCAUUCUAGCAUCCUUUUCUUACUCCUAUUAUUUUUUGGAUUUCUUUCGAAUAUUUUUUGAUAUAUAUUUCUUUUUGUAUUUUCUCAUUUUUUUGUGGGAACCCAAAAAUGGGUAACAACAGUAAGCUAUGCCUUUUAUUUUUUAGGAGUUGUCUGUUAGACAAAAAGACUACGUAUGUCACAUAAUAAAGAGAUAACACUCUAGGCAUAACAAUCCCUCUCUCUUAAAUAGGGACUUGAGAGAUUUUUCACUAGUGGUUCAUGUGAAUUACUAUUGAAGGACAAACAAUUGGACGACUUCUAGUUUACAACAACCCAGUCUUUAAAAAAUUAUUCAAAACCGAAGAUGAUCAAAUCUUUAGGUAAUAAAUCCCUAAACAACUCUAGAUCUGUUUAACAAAAUUCCAGAAAUUCCCGAAUAAUUUUAGGCUGUGUUUGUUUUCCGGAAAGUGGUUUCCGGAAAACCACUUUCCAAACUUUCCUGUGUUUGUUUGUUAUUAGGAAAGUUGGUCAACGGAAAACACUUUUCAGUCAAAGGCAAAAUUUAGCUUGGUUUUUAGAAAAGUGUUUUCCUUUUAUUUUAGGCGGAAAACACUUUCCGGAAGUUGUGCAAAAUUUAGAAAUGUCAUAUUAUUUGCUGAUUAUAUCAAAAUUGGUCCUGAAACUUUUGAUUGCUAUAUAUAUAUAUAUAUAUAUUUUUUGUUUUGAAUAUUUGUUUUUCAAUUUCAUCCCUUGGAAUUUAAUUUUUAUAUUAACUUUACUCCUCAUUUUUAUAAUUGCUAUUUGAUUUUCCCUUAUCAUUUUUUAAUUAAAUUUUUUUAUCUAUCAAAUUUGGUCAUCAUUCUUUUGAUUGUUACUUAUUUUAUUUGAAAUAAUUUAUAAAAUGUUAAUUAUUAUUAUUUUAAUUUCUUCAUCUUUCAAUUUUUUUAUUUUUUAGAUUUGAUCUCUAUUAUUUUGAUUAUUAUUUAUUUUAUUUGAGAUAAUUUAUGAAAUUAUAUUUUUUUUCAAUUUUAUUCUCAUUCAACUUUUUAAUUUGUAAGAUUUAUUCCUCGUUAUUUUAAUAAAUUUGAGAAAAAUAAAAUAUUAAUACGUUAUUUUCCAGCUUAUUUUCCAUGACAUAACAAAACACAGGAAAAUGUUUUCCAACUUAUUUUCCAUGACACUGCAAUUGGAUGACUCAUAUUUGAUUUAUGGAGCUAGCUAUGCUAAGGGAAUCAUGCUUGUAUCACCUAUACUAAUAAUAAUAAUUACAUAUUAACAAGCAUCAUUUGAUUAGUAAGUUUCCAAAUUCUAUCCACAAAUAUUAUAACCUCUUAAUUUAUGCAAGAACUUAGCUACAUUUCAUGCAAGCAAUCCCUAACUCUAGUAUUUUGUCUGUGUUAAAAAUGGAGACUUCUUGGUGUUCGCCGGAGCUUGGGUAUAUACCAUAUUUGAACAAAUAACAAUGUAAAAACAUCUUUUAACGAUAUUAAAAUCAUUUAUUCAUUUAAAGUAUCAAUAUUGUCAUUUAUAGUGAAACAUUUAAUUUUACUACAUUGAAAAUACGUUGACCAAUAGAAUCCCCGCCUUCAGCUAACCCCCAAUAUGUCUUGAAUAGCAAUGGCCAUCCUUUGGCCAUCAUGCCAUAAAAGCCUCAUUUGGAGCCAAUUCCUCUCUUUCUUGCCACUAUUUAGCUUCCGACCAUUCUUCGCGUUUCACUUUUCUUCAAAUGUUUUCACCAAAACAAAGCUUCAACCUUUAAAUUGUUGCUUAUAAAGUCGAGAUCCAAGGGAUUAUUUAAGAUUUUAUGGAAAUUACGUAUUUCAAAUAUUUUAUGUUUAUUUUUCUGAAAUAUCGUUUGAAGCAAAAGGCAAAAAAGAAUUAAAAAUUUUUUUAAAGUGUUUUUAAAACACAAAAACAAACAGAGUUUGUUUUUUAUUUUUUAAAGAAUUGUUUUUAAAAAAUAAUUUUUUGUAUUCUAAAUUAAUUUUUUUAUUAUUUUAAUAUAUUUUAAAUAAAAAAUAUUUUAAAAAACAUCUACUUAAAAAAUAUUAUUUUUCUGAAAUAAUACUUUUCUCUAUAUUUGAGUUUAGUUUAAAAUANNNNNNNNNNNNNNNNNNNNNNNNNNNNNNNNNNNNNNNNNNNNNNNNNNNNNNNNNNNNNNNNNNNNNNNNNNNNNNNNNNNNNNNNNNNNNNNNNNNNAUUUUAAUGUUUUUUCAUGCUCUAGCAAAUGAGGCACGAAAAGAGAACCUGAAAUCACGGCAGCAAAUAAGGAGAGAAAUAGGUGUUUGUUUUUUAUUUUUUAAAGUAUUAUUUUUUAAAAUUAAUUUUUUGUAUUCUAAAUUAAUUUUUUUAUAUUUUUAUAUUAAUAUUAAAAAUAAUUUUUAAAAAAUAAAAAAUAUUAUUUUAAUAUAUUUUUAAAUAAAAAAAUAUUUUAAAAAAGAGCUGCUUAUUCAAACACUUAAAAUAAAAAUCUUAAAAUCACAGCAUGAUAAAAGAAGAAAGAAAGGAAUGGGAUAAAGAAGAAAGAAUAAAAAAAACUCCAAAAAUCACGGCAUGAUCAAAGGAGAAAGAAAAGGAUGGGACAAAGAAGGAAGAAAGUAAGGUCACGUAGGGGCUUGUCUUGUAGAAAAUGUGAGAAUUAGCAUGAAAAGAGGAUAAUAGAGUAGUUGUUAGAAUCAAAAGACAUAAACACGGGAGAGAGGCUGCCCCUUACCUCCUCCUGGGAAGGAAUAUAUGUCAGACUAUACAGCCUUUUUCAAUUCAUUAAUGUCGUUCUCUGUUUGUCUUCUAAAACCUACUCCCAUCAUGUACAUGUAUUAUUUUCUUAAAAUUGCUCUAUGGAAUUGCAGGCCAUGCUCGUUUGAUUUUUUUAAUAACAAAAUUCUUUUCAUGCUCUUGCAAAUAAGGCAGGGAUGGAGGCCUUGAAAUCACGGCAGCGAAUAAGAAGUGAAAAAGAGCCUUUGUUUUUGCUUUUUUAUUUUUUAGUAUUUUUGAAACAAAUUAGAUUUUUUUAUUUUUUUUAUUUUCUAUUAUUUUGAUAUAUUUCUAAACAAAAAAAUAUUUUAAAAAACAACCACUAACACAUUCUUUUUAAGCUAUUAAGUAACCAGUCCCUAUAAUUUUUCAACAUUGCACUUGGGUACCAAACUUCAUUUUUCUCUUUUUCAAGUUUUUUUUUUGGUGGAGAAGACAGAGAGGGUCGCUGAAUUUUAUUUUAGAGAGAGAAAGUUGUUGUUAAGAAAGAUUUUGGCUACCGAAAUCGUUGAUUUUUGUAUCAAAUGGUAACCGCCUAUUUUUUUCAUGUGUUCAUACUUAAAACCUUCUUAAAGAGUUCUUAUCAAUGGUUUUAAAACCUCUCUCUCAAGAUCGAAAGGUUAGAAAUAACUCUCUACCCUCUAAGUCUAAUAAAACCAUCAAGUACUCUUAAAACCAAAACCACAAUUGCAAAAACCAGUUUAGUACAAGAACUUCUAACUAUUAGCUUUUAUCCAUAACCCUCUCACUUUGAUCAAAUGGUUAAACUUUCAUCAAUCUUUGAGGGAAUCCACAAAAAAACCUAGAAAAACAUAUAAUUACUCUUGAAAAUUAGAGCCGGAGAGGAGGAGAAAAAAAGAGGAAAAACAUGGGGAAAUAAUUUGUUAAUAGACUCUAUUAUAAAGGUUCAAGAGCCUAGAAGGUUUAACCAGCUUUAGAAAGAAAAAAAGUGAAAGGAAAAGAAGGAAGGAAAUGAAAAUAAAAAAAUAACAACGUAAUUUUGAACUUAAAGGCCUAAUUUCAGUGAAAGUUAAGAGCAUUAGAGACUAGACCGUGCUUAUACCAAAGACUCUCAUCGUUGAAGGAAUGCAAACAGUUGUUAACGAGACACUUAUGCUGUUCCAACAUUCAAAGAUUGUUGAAUCUAGUACCGGUGCUCAUUCUGGAUCUAGUACCAAAAGGAGAAUAUAGAAAGAGAUAGUAGUGAAUUAAUUAUGUUUCAUUCAGUAGUAAGAAACAAACGGGGGCAAUGCAUUUAUAAUAGCCAGAGAGGGGUUUUUAUAUACAUUCNNNNNNNNNNNNNNNNNNNNNNNNNNNNNNNNNNNNNNNNNNNNNNNNNNNNNNNNNNNNNNNNNNNNNNNNNNNNNNNNNNNNNNNNNNNNNNNNNNNNACUAGAUAUAAAGAAAAAGUACAAAUUCCAACAAAAAAUACAUGUUUGAAGGUUCAACAAAAAUGAUUUGCUAAUUAGCUAUAAGCUUGAGAAAGAUAAAUAAUGAGAGUGUGAGUUCAAAAACUCAGUGAGUAGAUAACGUUCAAUAUACAUACACGAGGUAAUACAACAAUGAGGAAUAUAUAUACAAUUAUGGCUUUAGAUUCUUAUAGGAAGGUUUCUCAAAUAGGCCAUAACAAGGUUAUCAUAAGGUAAAAUUCGUUAGAAAAUCAAAAUGCAAUAACAUGAGGCUCUGUACUAUGGGAUGAUCAGUCCACACAGGUUGAUGACUCUCCCAACCAACUAGGGUUUCAAAUACAAUGUGCACUAAGACUAACACUACCCUGUUAGUAUGAGCAUUCUAACUGGCAUACCAUAAGUUCAUAUCAUAAUCAAACAAACAAAUUCAUAUCUCAAGGCCCAACUCAUGACAUUAAUAAAACAAGAAGCUAUCAAUUCAGAAGUCAAUUUAGAAGUAUAUAUUGGCUUAUAUCAAAAAUUCAAAUUCAACAAUUAAUCAUGUUUUAUCAUAACAAAGAUAAUAAUCAACAUAUAUAUUAUCAAGAAGCACGAUCCAAUUCAUAUUAACAGCUCAAAUAUUUAUACUAUUUCUCAUGCAUAUGGAAAAUUAUACACUCACUUGACUUAAAAGUGAACAGAACUCGAAAGCAAAUACCGAAGAAAAUCCUACUGAUAUUCCGCAUAUAGAAUAUCAAGAUUAUCUAAAUACAAAGAAGACAUAUUAUAAAAUGACUCGAAAAGAACAUACAACCUAUUUAAUACACUUAACUAAGGGUCUAUUUCAUAACCCUAUACAUUUUGUUAAUUCUAAACUAGUUAUUUUUCCCAAAAACCAAAAAAGUAAACGGUUUUUCAGAAAUCUAAUUCAUAAUAAAACAAAUAAUGAGACUUGAUAAUAAUUCACUAAAUAACCAUCAAUUAUUCAUCAAAACAAUCUGAAAAAGCUAAUAUUAAAGCUAGGGACCAAUCUGAAAUUUUAUCAUAUUUUUAGGGGUCAAAUUAUAAUUUUAUCAAAUUGGAAGACCAAACUAAAAAUGUCAUAAAUUCAUGACUAUACUGGAAUUCUGCCCAUAAUUCAUUUUCAAUUCUGCCCAGAAUCUCAAAUUAUGCUCCAGGGACCACUAUAGAAUUUUAUCAAAUUUCUAGGGUUAAAUUGUAAUUUCAUCAAAUUGGAGGACCAAAGUGAAAAUAUCAUAAAUUCAUAACUAUACUGGAAUUCUGCCCAUAGUUUAUCUUUAAUUCUGUCCAGAAUCUCGGAUUAUGCUCCAGGGACCAAUCUCUAAUUUUUCCAAAGUUCAGGGACUAAANNNNNNNNNNNNNNNNNNNNNNNNNNNNNNNNNNNNNNNNNNNNNNNNNNNNNNNNNNNNNNNNNNNNNNNNNNNNNNNNNNNNNNNNNNNNNNNNNNNNCAGACCCACAUGCCUAGGGUCUGCAGACCCGCUUGCGGUUUGCAGACCCUUAUCCCUGGAGUUGCAGAACCCCGCGCCUGGGGUGUGCAGAACCGGGAGCAGGGUCUAGACCCGCUCAUCUGGGUUUGAAGAACCCCACUUCUUCUAUCGUGCCUGGGGUCUGCAGCAUCCUCCCAGGGGUUGUAGACCCACACAACUAGAUCUGCAGACCCCGUAGAGAAAAAUAACAAACUUGAAAAAAAAAAUGAAAACAAAUAUAAUAACUAAUAACAAUUAUUUUUAUCAUUAUUAUUAUUAUCGCUAAUAAAUUUUAUAAAAACAUUAUUACUAUCAAAACUUGGACUAGACAAGUUUAAUAUUAUUAUUACUAUACUAAAUAUUAUUGUUUUCAUUAUAAUUAAAAGUAUUAAUAUUUGUGUUAUAAAUACUAUUAUUUUUAUUAUAAUUAAAAGUAUUAAUAUUAAAAUUAUUAUUAUUUUUCUUAUAAAUAAUAUUAUUUUUAUUAUAAUUAAUAUUGAAAAUACUAUUAUUUGUAUUAUCAAUAUUAUUAUUUUGAGUAUAAUUAAUACUACUAACAUAAUAAUUAAUAAAUUUGAAAAAAAUAUUAUUUAUAUUGAAAAGCAAUAAUAGAUUUAAUUUGAAGGGUAAAAUUAAGAAUUAUUAUUAUUAUUAUUAUUAUUAUUAUUAUUAUUGUUAUUAUUUAUUGUUAUCAUUAGUAAAUUGAAAGAAACAAAAUUAUUAGUUAUUUUUAUCAUUUCAGCUGGGGUUGAAUUUUCUUAUUAGAGCAUGUUUGGUUUUGGUUUUAAAAAUUGCUUUGAAAAGAAUUUUAUUUUUUUUAUUUUUUUCUUUACUUCAAAUUAAUGUUUUUUCCUUUAAUUCAUAUUAAAAUGUUUUUGUAAUAUUUUGACGUGAUUAUAUAUUAAAUAGAUUUAAAAAAAAUUAAACAUUGCAGGAUUCAAAAUAGUCUUGGGUCCAGGUUGGGGCAGGACCCUAGAUCUUACAGGUUGCAGGACCCAAAAUAGCCUUGGGUCCGGCCGUAUGCAUGACCCAAAAUAGCCUUGUACAGUUGAGAACAUCUCAUGCAUGCGACAUCCAAUGCAACAUAAUAUAUAAAUUGCAAUGCAUGUAAUUAAUGGGGGGGAAAUUCAUGAAUGAAUUGAAAGAUAUAUAUCUUAUGGGAUAGAUACAACACGAGAAGAAAAAACCAUUUAGAGAAACAGACAAUCUCGAUUGAUGAUCAUCCUAUUAUUAGCAUGAAAGGUUGAAAAAGAAAGAAUUCAUACAAGGAGGUUGGCCUUGAAUUGGCAUUGCCUUAUUCCAAGCGCUAGCUAGCUUAUAAUAUUAUUCACUAGCUAGCUAGCUCGCUAGCUCCUCUCCCUAGCCUUCCCUGCAUCGAUCUUCUGCUUUGCAACCUCUUCCUGGAGCGACUCGAUGGAGGCAUUGGGGAUUCUUUUCUGGGUCACAACGCGGAAGCCCUUCGUAACUUAAGUAUUUUGGUUUUCUUGUAAUGGUAUCUGCUACAUCUCCUGCAACAAACGUGGUCAUCAGGAGCAUUAAAACACCAAAAGCCAUCAAUCCUUUGGACAUUGACAUUGUUAAACUAUGAUGAGAGCAGACAAUACACAAAUGUUGUUCUUAAAAGAAUAUUGAUUCGGUGACAAUAAAAAGCAAGGUCUGGCAUAUAUAUAUAUAUAUAUAUAUAUAUAUAUAGCAUAUGCAUGGAGUGUUUGCCGUUUAUAGCACAAUUUCUUGUGGAUAUUAAAAUAGUUAAUUCUCUUUGCUUUUUCAGAUUAUAGCCGCACCACUUAUAGCACAAUUUCUUGAAGUUGAUACCCACAUAUAGCUGGGAGCUCAAAUGGCCACAUCUUGCAUUAGACAUUGAGAGCUUAAUUGGAGGUCUUGGUCAGCUAAAUUCUCAGCAUCCCUGAUGAGGAGCACACAUUGCGUGGUUGUGACUUCACUUGAGAAAAGUACAUCCAAGAAACAAGGAGAGAUAUGCUACCAAAGAAAAGAUGUCGUGAGUUCGAGCGUCCAGGUUUGGAUCAUGGGAACGCAUACACAACCACAUGCCCACCCAGCUGCAAGAGCUCCAAGUCUGCAAUAUUGAUCUUGUAUUGUAUGUAAACUUCCAACAAAAGUGAACUAUAUGUUAGAUCAUUAGAGAAGGUUUUCCAUGUAACAUGACAUAACAAUAUUAAACAGCAUCAGGACAAAUAUUGCGAACAUAAUAUGUUUGGUUUAGGUGCGCGCGCCGCCUCUUAAAAAGCAUGUCGAAAUCCAUGCUUUCUGCGAGGUGCACCGCCCGGCGCACCUUACAUACAAACACAUUGUAAUUAGUGUGACCAAAAAGAACUCUUGGUGCGAUUAUCCAAGACCACAAAUCACACUCUGCAACGAGAAGUGUCCCCCAAAGACUAAACAAAAAGAAAAAAUAAAAGCAGCUUCCAAUCGUUUCAUUACUUGACUCACCCAAUAACAAAAGCUCUUCGUCUUCUCAAUAAGGAAAUUAAUACAUGCAAGCUGCCACAAGAUUAAAGCACUUAAUGCAGAGAAAGGAGGAGUCACUGCAAUCUAUUCUACUUCCCAGAUGUUGCAGUCAAACUUAAAAUGUGAAAAUCAAAUAUGGUAAAGGCCACGGCUCUACAUAUAAAGAAAUAGACACCUGGGAUAUGAGAGUUCUUAUUGUUAAAUAAUAUUUAUGUAGUCUUAUUUAUUAAGGGUAGAAUAGUACUUUCAGUUUGACCUAUAUAUACUUUAUUUGUAUUGAGGUUAACACAAAGCAUUCAUAAUAAACAGUCUGAGGGAAGAGAUAUGAGCCUACGUUUAAGUAUUUGAUCUCGAUUACUUUAACAUGGUAUCAGAGCUGGUUUUAUGGCACGAGGUUAAUCCCGUACACAGCUUAUGUCAAGGUAACCGAGCUCGAUAUCUAUCCUCAAUUAUUUUGGUAUUUCGUCUUCCCUUCAGCUUUGCAAUUUUGGUAAUUCCGUUCAGUUUCUGCAAAUUGUUUUGUGUUUUGGAGUAAUCGUAUAGUUUGAGAAGAUAUUUGUUUAGUUUCUGCAAUCUCUGUUCAGUUUCUGCAAUUUGGUAUUUUGUUUUCCGCUGCUUUUGCAUUCUGGUUCUUUGUGAUUGUUGAUUAUGGCUACUGAAAGAGAUGAUUCGCUUCAGUCUGUGAGUGUGAGGUUGGAUGGGAAGAACUAUUCGUAUUGGAGCUAUGUAAUGAGAAAUUUUCUUAAGGGUAAGAAGAUGUGGGGAUAUGUUAGUGGAACUUAUGUGGUACCUAAGAAUACUGAAGAAGGAGAUACUGUCUCGAUAGAUACAUGGGAAGCAAACAAUGCAAAGAUCAUUACUUGGAUCAACAAUUCUGUUGAGCAUUCUAUAAGUACACAGUUGGCAAAGUAUGAGACAGCAAAGGAGGUUUGGGAUCAUCUGCAACGGUUAUUCACGCAAUCAAAUUUUGCAAAACAGUAUCAGUUAGAGAAUGACAUACGAGCUCUUCACCAGAAGAAUAUGAGUAUUCAGGAGUUCUAUUCUGCCAUGACAGAUCUUUGGGAUCAAUUGGCUCUUACAGAAUCGGCAGAAUUAAAAGCAUGUGGUGCUUAUAUUGAACGUAGAGAGCAGCAACGAUUGGUACAAUUUUUAACAGCACUUCGCAGUGAUUUCGAAGGACUUAGAGGUUCAAUUCUGCAUCGUUCUCCACUGCCCUCUGUUGACUCUGUUGUCAGUGAGUUAUUGGCUGAAGAAAUACGUCUUCAGUCUUAUUCUGAAAAGGGAAUUCUUUCUGCUUCGAAUCCUUCUGUACUAGCAGUACCUUCUAAGCCAUUCUCUAAUCAUCAGAACAAGCCUUACACAAGGGUUGGCUUCGAUGAGUGCAGUUUCUGUAAGCAGAAAGGUCAUUGGAAGGCUCAGUGUCCUAAGUUGAGACAGCAGAAUCAAGCUUGGAAGUCUGGCAGUCAGUCACAAUCUAAUGCUCAUCGAUCACCUCAGGGUUAUAAACCACCACACCACAAUACUGCAGCAGUAGCUUCCCCAGGCUCUAUUACCGAUCCUAAUACUUUAGCUGAGCAAUUUCAGAAGUUUCUCUCCUUGCAGCCACAAGCAAUGUCCGCUUCUUCCAUAGGUCAGUUGCCUCAUAGUUCCUCAGGUAUGUCACACUCUGAAUGGGUCUUGGAUUCUGGUGCUUCACAUCAUAUGUCUCCAGAUUCCUCAUCUUUUACCUCAGUGUCCCCUUUGUCCUCCAUUCCUGUUAUGACUGCUGAUGGCACUCCUAUGCCCUUAGCAGGUGUUGGUUCUGUUGUCACACCUCACUUGUCUCUCCCUAAUGUUUAUCUUAUUCCAAAACUCAAAUUGAAUCUUGCGUCUGUUGGUUAAAUAUGUGAUUCUGGUGAUUAUUUAGUCAUGUUUUCUGGUUCUUUUUGUUGUGUACAGGAUCUGCAGUCUCAGAAGCUGAUUGGGACAGGUCGUAGGGAGAAUGGGCUAUAUAUUUUGGAUGAGUUAAAAGUGCCAGUUGCUGCUGCUGCUGCUGCUGCUACUGCUGAUUUGUCUUCCUUUCGUUUGAGUCUUUCAUCUUCUAGUUUUUAUUUAUGGCAUUCCCGUCUAGGUCAUGUUUCGUCUUCUCGUUUGAGAUUUUUGGCAUCCACAGGAGAUUUAGGAAAUUUGAAAACUUGUGACAUUUCUGAUUGUAGUGGAUGUAAACUGGCAAAAUUUUCUGCUUUAUCUUUUAAUCGAAGUAUUUCUGUUUCAUCUUCACCAUUUGAUUUGAUUCAUUCUGAUGUAUGGGGACCUUCUCCUGUUUCCACAAAAGGAGGGUCUCGAUAUUAUGUCUCUUUUAUUGAUGAUCAUACUCGUUAUUGUUGGGUUUAUUUAAUGAAACAUCGUUCUGAAUUCUUUGAGAUAUAUGCAGCUUUUCGAGCUCUUAUCAAAACUCAACAUUCUGCUGUGAUCAAAUGCUUUAGGUGUGAUUUGGGUGGGGAAUACACCUCUAAUAAAUUUUGUCAAAUGCUUGCCUUAGAUGGAACCAUCCACCAAACUUCAUGUACAGAUACUCCUGAACAAAAUGGUGUAGCUGAAAGAAAACAUAGGCAUAUUGUCGAAACUGCUCGUUCUCUCUUGUUGUCUGCUUUUGUUCCUAGUGAAUUUUGGGGAGAAGCUGUUCUUACUGCUGUAAGUUUGAUUAAUACAAUUCCAUCUUCUCAUAGUUCGGGUCUAUCUCCUUUUGAAAAGCUAUAUGGGCAUGUCCCUUAUUAUUCCUCAUUUAGAGUCUUUGGUUGUACUUGUUUUGUUCUUCGUCCUCAUGUAGAACGCAAUAAGCUAUCCUCUCGAUCCGCUAUUUGUGUCUUUCUGGGUUAUGGUGAAGGUAAAAAGGGGUAUCGUUGUUUUGAUCCAAUAACUCAGAAACUUUAUGUGUCUCGUCAUGUUGUCUUCCUUGAGCAUAUACCUUUCUUUUCUAUUCCAUCCACUACUCAUAGCCUGACAAAAUCUGAUCUUAUUCAUAUAGAUCCUUUUUCUGAGGAUUCUGGUAAUGAUACCUCUCCCUAUGUUCGAUCAAUUUGUACUCAUAACUCUGCAGGUACUGGUACUUUACUCUCUGGCACAUCUGAAGCUUCAUUCUCAUCUACAGCCCCUCAAGCUUCAUCUGAGAUUGUGGAUCCACCUCCACGUCAGUCCAUCCGCAUUCGUAAGUCCACAAAACUACCAGAUUUUGCUUAUUCUUGUUAUUCUUCAUCAUUUACUUCCUUUUUAGCUUCUAUUCAUUGUCUCUUUGAGCCCUCUUCCUAUAAAGAGGCAAUUCUUGAUCCGCUUUGGCAGCAAGCUAUGGAUGAGGAACUUUCUGCUUUGCAUAAGACAGAUACUUGGGAUCUGGUUCCUCUACCUCCUGGUAAGAGUGUUGUUGGUUGUCGUUGGGUGUAUAAGAUCAAGACUAAUUCUGAUGGGUCUAUUGAGCGAUACAAAGCUAGGCUGGUUGCAAAAGGAUACUCUCAACAGUAUGGUAUGGACUAUGAGGAGACAUUUGCCCCGGUUGCCAAAAUGACUACUAUUCGUACUCUUAUUGCCGUAGCUUCGAUUCGUCAGUGGCAUAUUUCUCAGCUUGAUGUUAAAAAUGCAUUCUUGAAUGGAGAUCUUCAAGAAGAAGUUUAUAUGGCACCCCCUCCUGGUAUUUCACAUGACUCUGGAUAUGUUUGUAAGCUUAAGAAAGCACUAUAUGGUCUCAAACAAGCACCUCGUGCUUGGUUUGAGAAAUUCUCUAUUGUGAUCUCGUCUCUUGGCUUUGUUUCUAGCAGUCAUGAUUCUACUCUUUUUAUUAAGUGCACUGAUGCAGGUCGUAUCAUUCUGUCUUUAUAUGUUGAUGACAUGAUUAUUACUGGUGAUGAUAUUGAUGGUAUUUCAGUUUUGAAGACAGAGUUGGCUAGACGAUUUGAAAUGAAGGAUUUGGGUUAUCUUCGAUAUUUCCUAGGUAUUGAGGUAGCAUACUCGCCUAGAGGUUACCUUCUUUCUCAGUCAAAAUAUGUUACAGAUAUUCUUGAGCGAGCUAGACUUACUGAUAACAAGACUGUAGAUACUCCUAUUGAGGUCAACGCGAGGUACUCUUCUUCUGAUGGUUUACCUUUGAUAGAUCCUACUUUAUACCGUACUAUUGUUGAGAGUUUGGUAUAUCUCACAAUUACUCGUCCAGAUAUUGCAUAUGUUGUUCAUGUUGUUAGUCAGUUUGUUGCUUCUCCUACUACUGUUCACUGGGCAGCUGUUCUUCGUAUUUUGCGAUAUCUUCGGGGUACAGUUUUUCAAAGUCUGUUACUUUCAUCCACCUCUUCCUUGGAGUUGCGUGCAUACUCUGAUGCUGAUCAUGGUAGUGAUCCCACAGAUUGCAAGUCUGUUACCGGGUUCUGUAUCUUUUUAGGUGAUUCUCUUAUUUCUUGGAAGAGCAAGAAACAAUCUAUUGUUUCUCAAUCAUCCACCGAAGCAGAAUAUCGUGUCAUGGCAUCUACUACCAAAGAGAUUGUUUGGCUACGUUGGUUACUUGCUGAUAUGGGAAUUUCCUUUUCUCAUCCUACUCCUAUGUAUUGUGACAACCAGAGUUCUAUUCAGAUUGCUCAUAACUCGGUUUUUCAUGAGCGCACUAAGCACAUUGAGAUCGAUUGUCAUCUUACUCGUCAUCAUCUCAAACAUGGCACCAUUGCUUUGCCUUUUGUUCCUUCUUCCUUGCAAAUUGCAGAUUUCUUUACCAAGGCGCAUUCCAUCUCUCGUUUUCGUUUUCUGGUUGGCAAACUCUCGAUGCUUGUAGCUGCCGCAUCGUGAGUUUGAGGGGAGAUGUUAAAUAAUAUUUAUGUAGUCUUAUUUAUUAAGGGUAGAAUAGUACUUUCAGUUUGACCUAUAUAUACUUUAUUUGUAUUGAGGUUAACACAAAGCAUUCAUAAUAAACAGAUUAUUCAGAAUUGUAGCCUCCUUUUUGUAUUUGAUCUCAAUUACUUUAACACUUAUACCAUGCCUCAAGGACAAAUGAAGGAGAGCAAAGCAUCUCCCGGAAAAAAAACAUCAAAUCAAGAGUCUUGCAAUCCACAUGCAUUAAAGCUUCUUUCAUAAAGGACAGAAGCUUUGAUUUCCAAAUGAGACAGCAAAAAAGAUAUGUCACUGAUAUCCACUUGUAAUUAAUAACCACUUCAUUUAUUUAUUCUAGGACAAAAAACCAAAACAAUCUUGGAUCACAUAGGAACAGGAAAAGGCCUUAAACUCUGACGAACAAGGCGGAGCUAUUAUACAUAGGAUACUUCAGAUGAACUGUUGAUUUCCAUUAUGCUUCAUGCCAAACGUGAGAACCCAACCUCCUUUCCCACCCAUAUCCACAUCACACAACCCGAUCAUCGUCGCAUAUUAAUUUCAUUACAUAAUAUGACACUAGGAUGCAUGUCAUGAUGAAACAUGGAUGAGAUUAAAACUCAUUGACAUAAAUCUGGUCUUUUAAUACAUGUCUCAGAUAAUUAGACCUGAUGAUUAAGAUUAUAAGUUCAAAAACAUAAAUAUAUAGCCAUACGCAAGAGUCUUAGAUUCUGGAAGCCAACAUUUCCAGCAAUACAUGUCUAGGCAAGACAUUGCAUAUCUGAUUCUGAGAAUCACAGCAAAUAUGCCCACUCUAUCAAACAUACUUGAAUGCAGCCAGUCUUAUUUGACAGGCAACUAAAACUAAACAUGAAAAAAGUUUCAUAUUAAGAAGAAGCAGUGAUCAUCUAUGAUCUACCAUCCUCCUAAAUCCUAGAACCUUUUAAUUUUUAACACAAAAACUAGUGACAGCACCUCAACAUGAUAGAAUUGAGAAGGAGAAGCUUCAACGCAAUGCAUGCAACUCAAAGCCAAUAUAUAUUACCCUUUCACUUAGACUACCAUCACAUUUCUAAGCAUCGAGUUUCAAUCUACUAGUUCAUUCCAGAAACAUUCUUCAACUAAGACAAAAUGCCGAACCUACCUGGAAGGCAGGACCCCCUCAGCAGAAUUCAUGAUGCUCCAGCAACCCAUGAAUGCAAAGAGGAACAAUCUUCUAAAAAUGACUUCCAUUGGAGGAAGUUCGACAAAAUUGAGUAAAUUCUUGACCCAAGGAGGAGACUCCUCCACUUUCUUCUCUAUCCUGGUCUUGAAAUUAAUUUUUGUUUCUUUCCUCUGUCUAAAGCUAGUCAUCAACAAUUUCUCAAAGGCAGCUUCUAUUGAUUCUUCGCUUCUUUCAUGCCCAGCAUAUUGUUUCAGGAGAAAAUUGCGUGAACUCCAGACUUCCUCUUCAGAAGCGUAAGGACUGACACCAAGACGUUUAAAAGGGUCCCAAACAUUCAUGGAAGGGAAUUUCGGGAUGUUACCUGUUGAGUUUGAACACGAUUGUGAUAGGUCCCUGUCACAGCAAGUAAUUAAAGACAAGAAACAAACACAAAUGUAUUCUGCUUUGGGCGAGAAUAAGCCACAAUUGAUAUUAUUGAAUAUUGAAUGAAUGCGUUCUCUGUCUCAUAGCAGAGUUUAAAUACAGGAAUUGAAAUAACAACUUUCCUAAAAUACUGGCAUGACUACAUAAAAUCAGGAUGACUCCUGCUACAUAGCUGGCAUUUAUUUGCUGAAUAAAACUUGACUCCUUCCUCCCGUGCACUAAGGCACUGCAGUGAGAAGACCCCCUUGACUCGUUCCUCCCUUGACUAGCUCUUCACAGCUCAAUAAACCUGCGAUUCUUCUUACGAAUUCUGCAUGAUCUUCUCGGCUCCAGCUGUUGCUCAUCCCGUUGUUGUAGUUCAUCACUUGACUCCUUCAAUUGCUGCUGCUGCUUAUCAAUACCUCCCUCUUUUAAGGGAACCUUGUCCUCAAGGUUCAGAUUCUGAAAUCGCUCCCGUAACGCCACAGCAUCUUCCCACGUGGCAUCAUCAUUCUGCAGAUGUUUCCAUUUGACGAGAAUUGCUUCGACAAACCGAGACCCUUUCUUGAUCCAACGAGUGUCUAGGACAGCCUCAGGUUCAAUCAGCAUCUCUCCCGCAGCAGACAUAGGUGGCAAUUCGAUUGAUUCAACCACCUCAUCUCCAAUUUUCUUUUUGAGCAAGGACACAUGAAAGACUGGAUGAAUUCAAGCCUGUGUAGGCAAUUUUAGCUUAUACGCUACCGCGCCAAUUCUUUCUGCAAUCUGAUAAGGACCAUAAUAGCGGCUAGCCAACUUUUUGCAUACACUCCUGACCACGGAUUGUUGACGGUAAGGGUGAAGUUUAAGAAAAACCCAAUCUCCCACCUGAAAUUCAAUAUCACGUCGCUUAGAAUUAGCAAGUUGUUGCAUGCGAUUACUAGCCGCAUGCAGGUUUGCCUUGAGCAGACUCAACAAUUCGUCCCUAGAGGCGAGUUGCUGAUCCACUUCAUUCACCGGAGACAUGCCAAUGUGGUAAUGGGGAAUUGUAGGUGGUAAACGUCCAUAGAGGGCCUGAAAUGGUGUCAUUCCUGUAGAAGCAUGAUAAGUUGUAUUAUACCAGAAUUCGGCCCAAGGUAGGAGGGAAUUCCAUUUUGCUGGCUGGUGGUGAACAAAGCACCGAAGAUAUUGUUCGACGCAGCGAUUGACCACCUCUGAUUGCCCAUCCGUUUGUGGAUGAUAUGCGGAACUCAUCUUCAACUUGGUACCUGACAAUUUAAAGAACUCACGCCAAAAAUGACUGAUAAAGAUAGGAUCUCUAUCACUGAUAAUGGACCGCGGCAUACCAUGUAGCUUCACUACCCCGUCAACGAAUUUCUCGGCCACAAUUUUGGUCGUAUAAGGAUGAGCCAAUGCCAAGAAAUGUGCUGACUUACUUAGGUGAUUAACCACAACGAAAAUUGUGUUCUUGCCACCCGAUGUCGGGAGACCUUCAAUAAAAUCCAUCGUAAUAUCAUCCCAAACCUGACAGGGAACAGGUAAUGGUUGUAAUAAACCCGCCGGUGAUAGUGUGUCUGAUUUUACCCGUUGACAUACGUCACAGGAUGCGACAUAUUCCUUCACUAUGCGAGCCAUUGAUGGCCAAUAGAACUGGUGUGCCAACCGUUUGUAAGUGCGCAACACACCCGAAUGCCCUCCAAUAGGUGAAUCAUGGAAUUCACGUAAUAGUUGUUGAAUGAUGUCCGAGUUGGGGGCAACUACUACUCAAUUUUUAUAGUGGAGCAACCCAUUCCGCCGUGUAUAUGGGCUGCCCGAAUUUUCAGCAGCGAGCUUGCCAAUUUUCUUCAUGUAAGGAAGAGAAACAGCUUCGGCCUUAAGCUGAUCCCAUACGGUACUUUGUGGAACAGAUAAGUGCGAAAGGCAAGGGCUUCCCGUCAUUCGUGAUAAAGCAUCCGCAGCUGAAUUCUCCUUUCCUGGCUUAUACACAAUUUCAUAAUCAUAGCCGAGUAAUUUCGAUACCCAUUUCUGCUGUUCUGGGGUAGUAAUACGCUGCUCCAAGAGGUACUUCAAGCUGCGUUGAUCGGUUUGGAUCACAAACUUACGGCCUAACAAGUAUGGUCUCCACAGCUGGACAGCCACCACAAUAGCCAGCAUCUCCCUCGCAUAAGUUGACCAUGCACGCUUGGAUAGCCCCAAAACGCGACUCAUGAAAGCUAUUGGCCGCCUUGUUGGGUCAGAACAGCGCCGAUGCCAUCACCGGAAGCAUCAGACUCAAUCACGAAAACUUCAGCAAAAUUAGGCAUGGCAAGUGUUGGGGUGGACGUCAUUGCGGUCUUUAAUGCCUCAAAAGCUGCCUCGGCUUCAUCAUUCCAGCCAAAUUGACCUUUGGUAACAAGGAUGUCAACGGUCGAGCAAGAAUUCCAUAAUUGCGGACAAAUUUCUUGUAAUAACCUGUAAGACCUAAAAAUCCACGAAGCUCAGAUAUAUUAGUAGGUCUUGACCAGGAUAGCAUAGCCUGGAUUUUUGCUUGAUCAACCUUAACCCCCAUUGGAGUAAUAAUAUGCCCCAAGUACUCCAGUUCUUGUUGACCAAAAGCACAUUUCUUCAAUUUCGCAAAGAAUUGGUACUGCCUUAGAAUUUCGAAAGCCUUGCGAACAUGUUCAAGAUGCAUGGUCCAAUUGGGACUAUAGAUCAAUAUGUCAUCAAAAAAGACUAAUACAAAUUUGCGAAGGUAUGGUCGAAAUAUGGCAUUCAUAAGGGCUUGAAAAGUAGAGGGUGCGUUACACAAACCAAAUGGCAUGACUAAGUAUUCGUAAUGACCAUUAUGAGUGCGAAAAGCAGUUUUAUGAAUAUCAUUUGGUGCUACCCUAACCUGAUGGUAACCAGCUGUCAAAUCUAGUUUGGUAAAAUAAACAGCCCCAUGCAAUUCGUCUAACAUGUCAUCUACUGUAGGAAUAGGAAAUCGGUCUUUAAUAGUUACUGCGUUAAGUGCUCUAUAAUCGGUGCAAAAACGCCAUGUGCCAUCUUUCUUUUUGACUAACAAAACAGGUGAUGAAAAAGGGCUAGUGCUUGAUCUUAUAAAUCCCAAUUUUAACAUGUCUUGAACCUGUUUUUCAAUUUCAGCUUUUUGAAAAUAGGCAUACCUGUAGGGUCUGACAUUGACCGGUUCUGUCCCUUCUUUGACAGUGAUGGUGUGGUCGAUCUCCCGGACCGGUGGCAAUUGAGCUGGAGUUUGAAAAAUAUCUCCAAAUUCCUCCAACAUCUGCUGCAUUUCAGACUCAACUUUGCUAACAGGCAUCUCGACUUCGGUUUGUAGACAGAUAGCAAACAUCGUUUUGCUUUGGCGCAGCUCCUUCGAUAAAUCCUUGAGAGACGCGGGUUGAAUGUGUUGGCUGUCAAUUCCCUGUAAUUUUUGCAUCUGAUUCUUCCACAUAAAUUCCAUGGUCAUUUUCUUCCAAUCACAGGCUACUGUUCCCAAUUGUUCAAGCCACUGCACUCCCAAAACCAAAUCUAACCCACAUAAAGGUAUGGCAUAUAAAGUCAGCAUAAAUGGGAUACCUUGAAGUAGGACGUGUAUGUUUUCAAAUAUGCCUUGACACUUCAAUGGAUUCCCAUUUGCCACCUUUACGUUGAAGGGCUGUGUGGGUAUCACUGGUAGGUGUAGCCAAUUAGCAAUCCGCUCGCUAAUGAAAUUGUGGGUGGAGCCACUAUCAAUGAGGACAGUCAAUUCGUGAUUUCCAAUUCUUGCCAUGAUGCGCAUUGUUUUGGCAGUCGACCAGCCAGUAAGAGCAUGUAGUGAAAUUUGUGGUUCAUCAUCUUCGAAGUCUUCGUCAUCUUGCAGAUGUGUCUUUUCGUCUCCUUCCAGUAGCAACAAACGGGGUCUUUGACACUUAUGGCCAGGAGUGAAUUUUUCGUCACAAUUGAAGCAGAGACCUUGCGAUCGGCGCUUCUGCAUCUCGUCCCACGCCAGGCGUUUCAUGGGCAUAACUGCUGCUGGUGAUUUUGUGGGUGAAAAAGAAGCAAUUGGAUUCUGACUAAUGGAAAAUGGCUUACGUCGUUGGCGAAGUAAUUGCUCAUCUCUCAUUCUGGCAAGGCUAAUUGCCUCUUUCAAGGAUUUGGGUUUAAACAUCCUAAUCCCUUCUGCAAUGUCAGGUUUCAAGCCUCCCAUAAAAGUUCCCACCAAUGCCUUCUGCGUCCAGCCUUGCACACGGUUACCCAGCCUUUCGAAUUCUUUUUGGUACUCCCGUAGUGAGCCCCCUUGUCUCACCCUUGACAGUGCUUCAUCGAAAUCUUCACAUUCUGGUGGUCCAAACCUUGCCCAUAAUUCCUCCUCAAAAAUUGGCCAUGUCAUCUCCUUGUCUUCCUCUUUGUAAGCACGUCGCAGCCACUGCCACCACUGGUUCGCCUCCCCUUGAAGAUGAAAAGAUGCCAAUGACACCUUUUGUGUUUCCACAGUACCUUGGUAUUCGAAGAAUUGAUCAACUCUGUUGAACCAUUCAGUGGGGUCGUUGCCCGAGUAUAUGGGGAACUCAAGCUUCGCCAGUUUUGAAGAGAACAUCUGUCUGUUCCCCUCAGCUCGUUCUGCAAUGUCUUCACGUUGAUAGCGCGGGCGUCCAUUGCGCUCAAUGGAUUGGCUGCUGGAUCCUUCUUUGUUGGACAGUAACGCCUCUGUCAGCUUAUUGAUGUUGACUUCCAUCUGCUGCAUUCUGUCAACAAGAGUAAUUUCCAUUCGGCUCAUUCCAUCUUGCAGACCUCCCAAUCCGAUUUCCAAAUUUUCUAUCCGCUCCUUGUUUGUUGUCAUUGUUAACCUGGCUCUGAUACCAAUUGAUAGGUCCCUGUCACAGCAAGUAAUUAAAGACAAGAAACAAACACAAAUGUAUUCUGCUUUGGGCGAGAAUAAGCCACAAUUGAUAUUAUUGAAUAUUGAAUGAAUGCGUUCUCUGUCUCAUAGCAGAGUUUAAAUACAGGAAUUGAAUAACAACUUUUCUAAAAUACUGGCACGACUACAUAAAAUCAGGAUGACUCCUGCUACAUAGCUGGCAUUUAUUUGCUGAAUAAAACUUGACUCCUUCCUCCCGUGCACUAAGGCACUGCAGUGAGAAGACCCCCUUGACCCGUUCCUCCCUUGACUGGCUCUUCACAACUCAAUAAACCUGCGAUUCUUCUUAGGAAUUCUGCAUGAUCUUCUCGGCUCCAGCUGUUGCUCAUCCCGUUGUUGUAGUUCAUCACUUGACUCCUUCAAUUGCUGCUGCUGCUUAUCAACUGCAUUGGCAUCCAAUAAGUGAGGACAAUCUUGUAUCUUCCAAGUGGCAGUAGAAUUUAAUUAUAACUACCAUUAUUCUUAUCUUUAGUUAGUAAUAUAACUCUAUUUAUUGUUUCUAGUACGUAGGACAUGUUGUAAUGAAAACCUGUUAGUUAUUUGGUGUGAUUCCAAGGAGUGAUUCCUUUGAAUGAUAUCAGGCUCUACUUAUUUUCCUCUAUCAAUACUUUCUUGCUAUCUUUUAUACCAUGUUCAUUAGUUUACAUAAAUUGUUCCCUUAAUAUCCUUUGGUAUUAAUAUUAAUUGAUAUCAGAACAAGUUUUGAAUUUUUGAUCUGCUAUGCCUGGAACCGCAGUGGAAAUUCUUAUAAUCCCACCAAUCAAAGAUUACAAGACCCUAGUCCUUCCCUAACCAAUUUGAACUCCCCGUAGAAAACAUCUCCAAACCGAUUCUGAACCCCCCACAACAAGCAUCUCCACAACCUAUUCCGAACCCCCCACAACAAGCAUCUCUACAACAUGAUUUACUUCCUUGUUAAACCAGUUAGAAGAUGCUCUCAGAAUGGUAAGCUUCGAAGAGCUGCAGGAUGCAAGCGUGUGCUGAAGAAGCAAGAGGACAAUUGCCCACAUAAAUGGCAAAGGGGGUGAUUGUUGGAAUAUUGCCAAUUAUGUGGCUGCCAUUGUCAAAGAAGAUGGCUGCAAUGGUGGGUUGUUGGUGGCAGCCAACAACCAUUGUCUAAUGUCAAAGUUUGGUAAGUUUGGCAGCCACCAUUGUUGACAAAAGAGUUGGAGGAGCUGCCAUGAAUGCCUAUAAAUAGAGGCCUACAUUAGAGAAGCAAAGUGAGAGAAGAAAGGAGAGAAAACGUGAGUGUGAGUUGAGAGAAAGAGAGAGCUGCAAUGGCAGCAGCCUUGCUGCCAUUGCAGCAGCUGCAACAGCUGUGUGUGAGAGCUGGGAGUAGAGUAGAGUGAAUGUAAUCCUCCUCCUCCAUAUAUAUUGUAAUCCUUUCUCUAUAUAUCUCAAUAAUAUAGACUCUCCCGUGGAUGUAGGCGGUUUUGCCGAACCACGUAAAAUAUUGUGCCAGUGUGCUAUCCCUCCUUUGAGCAAUUAUCAGUACACCCCCGGUCGGAAAUCCCCAACACAGAGUUGAUCAAGGAGGAGAUGUGGCUAUAGAUGAAGAAGAAGUAGGAGAACAUUAGCUCAAUUCAGUCUACAGUGACAGGGAGGUCAAAAUUGAAAGAUAUCACUAUUUUCAUUAAUUUUAUUAAAGCUUAUAAUAAAAGGUUGUGUUUUUAAUUGGAUUUAUUUUUAUAUGGCGUGGCUUCUUUUUUUAAAAUGCAAUCUGCUUCCCUUUAUAAUACAGAAAUCCAGUUUUGAGUUUAUGUAACUAUAUUAACAAAACGAUUAAAUGCUUUCGUGUCCGUUUAAUUAUUUAUAUAAAUAAUAAACCCAGUUAAUAUAUUUUGCAAUCAGUUUAUGGUUUAUUUAUCUCAUAGUUGAGUUAGUUAAUGUAUGUUUUUUCAAAUUAGUAGCAAAGGCGUGUGGGCUUGUCUCAGGCUCACAUGCUAGUGCCUGAGUUGUACUGUAAUAGACCCUAUCAUAUUAGGCCACAUAAGCCCGAGUGGUUGGAAUUUUUUUUAUUGGUCAUUUUUUAUUUUUUUAAUAUAAUUUUUUAAUUUUAUAUUUUAUUGUUGAGUUUUUUUAUUAAGUUUUAUUUGUCAAUAUUGAAUUAAUUAUAAAUUAAUUUUUAUAUUUUUUAUUAUAUAUAAACCGAGUAAAGUAUUUGGUGGGUUAGCUAUAAACCUGAACUUUUUAUUUUUUUAUUUUUUGGACUAGUAAAAGACAAAUUAAAAAAACAAAGUAAUCUUAUUUGAUAUGUUGUAAAUUUUUUUUUUAUCUAAUAAUUUAAAUUGAAAUCUCAUUUAAUAAUUUAAAUUAUUAAAUUGAAAUAAAUUUUUAAUACAAUGAUUUAAGAUGUACCAAGAUAUGGUUGUAGUUUUUAUUUUUUUGCCUUUUUCUUUAAAAAUGUUAUCUCCUUGGUAAGGAAUCCUUGGUUCCCAACGGCAACUGUAGCAACGUAAAAACAAAUCUCUAAACUCCACCGAAAGUGGUAGAGCAUUAGAAUUUUUAAAAGACAAAACGGGGCGCGACAUUCAUAAUUUAUAAACAGAUGCGAUAAAAUAAGUCAUACUGCAUGUUUUCAUUUGGCAUUUAAUUCCAUGAACAUGGCUUUUUUAGAUUAAUAUAGUGUUUGGACUAGCUUGUAUAUCUCGAAUAAUCUCAAGAGAUCUUGAAGUUAACAACGUACCAUAUAAGGCUUUAAUAGCAAUGAGAUUUGUAGGAUUCGAACUAGUGAUAUUUAGAAAACAAACUUAGUGACUAACUAGUUGAGCUACACCCCUUAAAAUUCCAUGAACAUGAUCUUACUUUUCGAUCAAAUUAAUGUGACCAUAUUAUACUUGUAAUCAAACCAUUAAUUGACUGUUCUUGACUAGCUAUUGUUUCUCAUUGGCAAGAGUCAUUGCCAAUGAUCAUAACAUGUUAGUGAUCUAUUGCAACUAGUUCUAGUAUCGACAGAGUUGUUAUUUAACCAUUAAAUCAAUUUAUAAAACAUUAUUGACUAGCUAUCUAACACUAACAACUAAUCACAGAUAAUAUUUAUGCAAAACUUGUAGCUUAAUACGAACUCUCAGACAUGUGGGUGGGGCAACUCAAAGUAGGAGAGUGGUAACCUCUGAUACAUAACAGAGAAAAUUAUAGAGUAAAGCAGGACGGAAUUUUCUUAAAUUAACAACAGAAAUCUAGAUACUUCAAUAAAUUAACACACUGACUAAUAAAUCCCCCCCACCAUCAUCCAGUUAUCACAGGUGCAUCUACAAUGAACAGUUCUCGAGAAGAAACUCAAGAAACGCAUAUAAAGCUACAUGAUGACAUAAUAGGAACCUGCAUUGCCUCCAUUCCAUGAUGAAAGUUCAAGAAAUUCUACUUCGAAACUCAAGACAAAGUCUCUCAGACUACAUAUUAGUGGGAUUUCUAUAAACAACUGAUUGUAUUGCAAAGCAACAUUAUGAAAAACUGAAUAUUUCACACAUAGUCUAACAAAAGUAGGUUCCAUUGUCAAUUCCUUAACAUUUUCCGAACAAAUCACAGUUGCUCCUCGUUUGAUACUUUCUUGAAGGUUUCUUUUCUCUUAUUACCAAUUUCUGUGAGUUUGUGAUUUUUUAUCUGUACCGUAUCAUCCGAACAAUUACUAGAACCACACAACUAAUAUGUAAAUUCACAAAUUCCCUACAGUUCAUAUUGCCAACAAACUCCUCUUGCCAUUCCCUAAUUGCAUUGAGCCAGCUAAUCUGGAUGAAAGAAAGGACUUCGACCUUGAAAUUAGCAUCAUAGUCAUGGAACCUUAAAGCAGGCCCAACUUUGUAGCUCAUUACCAGCUACGUAAAAGUUAUCAAUAGCUGUGUGGAUCAUUGAAACUGCCACAAAAGCAACCCAAAUUAGUUAUGAAUUGGAUUCGAUAAAGGAAAGAGGGGAAGAGGGGAGAAGACAGAUGAAGAUCUGCGCAGGGCUACCUGUUUUGAGAAUUAUGGAUUUUUAUCCCUAACUCAAAACGGCACCAAUUAUAAGUUCAAUAAAAAAAAAUAUGUAACAGAACAGAUGGAAAAAACUCGAAACAACUCGGCUAGAAUUUAGGAAAGAAAUUCAGAAUGAGCCAAGAUUUUAAGUGAGAUGAAACUUUGUUCUUUGAAAAAAAUAAUUAAUAUGAGAUAUACUUUUCAUUUUAGUGAACCUUAAAGCAGACCCAACAGUUAAGUAAAAGUUAUCAAUAGCUGUGUAAACCAUUGAAACUGUUACUGUAGGUGCACACUCAAUUACACCAUGGAUUCACAUAGUGCAAUUGUUAAUUUUUUUUUUAAAUUCCAUGUUAUUUUUUUAUUUGAACCUUUUUUUGUCAACAUGUUUCGCAAUUGGCCUUGGUAUUUUGUUUUCAUUUUCUCUAUGUUUCCUUCUUCUGUAGAUAAAAAACAUCAGGUCUUUGGGCUCGUACUUGAUAGUGCAAAAUUAAUGACACAAUAAUCAAAUAACACAAAAAUUUUUAUAAGCGAAAGGAAUUGGAGAUGUAAACCUAAAAUUCGCAAGUUUAUUUUUUCUAAAAUAAUAAUAAUAAUAAUAAUAAUAAUAAAGUCUACAUUCUUAGAAGGUUUACAAACCUUUAAAUGGGUCAAGAACCCUACCCCCAACUAGGAAGCAAAAAUAAAAAUUCAAAAUUACAAAGAAAAGAAGCAUAAAAUCCAAAAUAAACAAGAAAUCUAAAAAUAAUAAGGAAAAUCACAAAAAUUACCAAAACUAGAGGCCUCAAUGAGAUUUUUGAUAUCUAAAGAUCCGACGGUCCGCAUUAAAAUUUGAGCACAAUCUAACAAUUGAAUAAAAAAUUAUGACUCUUUUGAGUUGUUAUUCUGGUUUAGCGUGACCAAACCUUCUCUUGGGCUUAGACCUGUUUCAUUGGUCCAUAAAUACAUUUGCUAAGCUAUCAACAUAAUUUAUCUAGGGAAAAUCUUCAUCUAGUUAUGGCAGAUUCACACCUGACUGCUUAGAAUCACUAAUUAUUAUAGGAUUGACUACAUCAAAAUUGGUCGGUUUUUUUUGUUUUCAAAGAGAUUUAAACUUGAUGCAGAUGAAAGCUAAAAACACAAUAAUCAAAGAACACCAAAAAAUAUAUGAGCGAAAGAGAAUAUAGAUGUGAACUCUCAAAUUCCCAAGUUUAUUUUCUCUAAAAUAAUAAUAAUAAAGUUUGUCUUCUUAAGACGUUUACAAAGCCUUAAAUAUGUUAGGAACCUUACCUUAACUAGGAAACAAAAACAUAAACCCAAAAUUACAAAGGAAAGAAACAUAAAAUCCAAAACAAGUAAGAAAUAAAAAAAUAACAAGGAAAAUCACAAAAACUACCAAAACUAGAGGCCUAAACAAGAUUUUUUAUAUAUAAAGAUUCGAUGGUUCACGUGAAAAUUUGAGCAUGAUCAAAUAAUCAGAUAAAAAAUUAUAACUUUUUGAGCUUUUAUUCUGGUCUGACACGACCAAACUUCUUCUUGCUAAACUUGUUUCAUUGGUCCCUAAAUACAUCUCCAUAACCUUUUUUUUUUGUUUCACUAUAGAUAGAGUUUGACCAUUAUUAUAUAUGGUUUGACUUAGCCGUAUCGGUUUUCAAUUAGAUCAACUUUAUAUAUUAUGGGUUUACAUUUACUAUUUUUUAAAAAGUGCUCACAAGUCCAUUUUUCACACCUCAAACUCGUAACUGCAACGAUUCGUAGGCAACGAAACUAGUUAAAGACUAGAGAGUAAACAUGCUACUAAAGUUUGCAGGUGAGGGUUUAGAUUAGAUUAUUUGUUGUCUUGUUUCAAAUAUUAGAUCAGUCUCAACUCAUUAAAUAAACAAGUGGUGCAUUGAUCCUUGGACUCAAAUCAUAUAUACACGGCGAGCUCAUUUGUGUUUUUAUUAUUUGUCCCUCCCUGUACUUGUAGCAGAAGAGAAGCUGCUCUCAUCUUUGAAGGAAUGCAAACAAUUGUUAAUAUGAAACAUAUUAUGUACAAAUUAUAAUAUUUGUAAGAAGCCGUUUUGCUGCCCACCGGCGGCCAUCUGAUCAGAGAACAGUAUUAUAUUUUUUAAACCCUUCACUCUCAUAAAAACAAUUUAUAUGAUUAUAAAUAGGAAAACAUAAAAAAAAAUAGGAUUACAUAUUUUUAGAGAUUACAUAUUAUUGUUUUAGUUCUUUUUCUUGAUUAGAGAUAAGUUGAAUAAAAGUAGUAAUAAUUUAUUUUUGUGAAAAAAGUUUACUACAACUCCUAAUAAUUAGUUUCAUGUAAAAAAUAAAAAUAAAAAUAGUAACUAAAAUUUAUUUUAGUUAUGUUAAUAAAAUUUUAAAGAUAUUUUAAUUGAAUUAAGUAAUUCAACACAAAAUUUAUGUUCGCAUACAGUUGUUGUAACCCAUUUUUGGGUCCCCACACAAAAUACAAAAAAAAUAUAUCAAAAUAAAAAAAAUAUUAUAGAAAAAUAAUAGCAGUGAAAAGAGGAUGUCGGAGCGCCCAGAAAAUGAUCAAAAAUUGGUUGAGGAGGUUUCAAAAUAUAAGGAUUGAAGUUUGACAGUAUAUCAUUGACUGGGGCUUAAUUGCAUACAUAUUGAAGUCUGGUGGCCAAUUAAGGACUUGAUUUAAGAAAUCCAAAACCAAGGACCAUAGUGAAAAAAGCGCGCAAAUUGAAGGGCUAAUCUGAAAUUGGACCCAUUUUGGCACCAGUUUUUGUUUAAAUGAAAUGGCACGUUUUGAUAAAAAACAACGCCGUUUCAUGCAUUGCACAAAAAAAAGAGAGCAAACGGUGCCGUUUUGAACGGCACCAUAAGCCUUCUUCUUCCCCUGUUGAGAACAGGGGAAGAAAAAGCAUUUUUGAUGUAACUAUAUUAUUUGAUAGUUUCACCCACAUUUAACUAGUGUUUAGCCUAUGUUAUAUAUAUAAAAUGCCUUGAUAUUCUUUGUUUUAUGUUUUGAAGGCACCUUUAGAUGAAAGAUGCAAAAAGGAGUAAAUUGAAGAUAAUUGGCAGAUUUGAUGUUCAGUCGAUGUUUUGUGCAGAGCAUGAGCUCUAAAAGUCAAAACGAAGUGAUUCUAGUGGCAUUAGAAAUCUAACAUCCAUACCUUUCUGUAAAUAUAAGUCAAGAAAAAUAAAAAUACAACGAGCAUGGAAAUCACAUCCUUCAAAGUCAAAACUCGCAUUCUGCCAGUGUUGACCUUUGUCCAUUCAAAAUUCAAUAUCUGGAGCUGUAGAUAUCCAAUUGAUGUAAACUCAAUUGUUUUGGAUUCCUGACUCAAAGGUGUCUAUAAACGCUCCAAAUUUCAGCCACAAAUGAUGUCAUAUGAGGGAGAUAUGAGUUUUCAAAGAUGACAACUGAAUUCUGCCAGCAAACAGGUUUCGUGAAGAAACGAAUCCAAAUUACAUCCCGAAGCAUCAAAACCGACAUCCAAGUUUUAAUUUCAUCAAUUUAGCUCCUCAAGUAAAUCAAUCCAGAAGGUCAAGGAAGGCAGCCACCAACCUCAAGCCACCAACCUCAAACCACCAACCACAAACCAGCUGCCAGCCACUAGCCGCCUUCACACUACCACCAUCUCUUGAUGUUCACACUUGAACUUUGAUUUUUCUUACUUACAAUUUAUGUAUAAAUAGGCAGCUAAGUUUAUGCUAUUGAGUGAGCCAAGAGGGAAGGAAAGAGAGCCAAGAGGGAAGGAAAGAGAGCCAAGAGAGAGGGAGAGGGAGUGCAGUAGAAUAAAGAAAGAGGGGUGGCAGCCAUAAGAGAAGAAACACAAACUCUCCCCUCAACAAAUCAGAAAUCAUGUAUUCUUUUAUCUUUAGGAGUAGUUUUUCAAUAGAUAUGCAAGGCUAAGCUCGUUUUCUUGGUUGCAAGGACGCAAAAACCUUCAGAUUUAAAGAACCGUGAGAUUUAUUCUUCCAUUUAUUUUCAGUUUGUAUUAUGAAUGAGUAUGUUUGUUUUCCUAUGCAUAUUUUCUAUGAUUGUUUAUCUUAAUUGCUAGAGCGGACUCUAAGUUAUUAUUGUGAAUAAUCUAUUGCUAAGUUUGAUAUCAAAACCGGAGUUGUGGUAUAUAAACGUGUGAAGCAAGUAAGCUUGAUAAUUGUAGCGGAACUACAUUAUUAAACUUAGGGAGAACAUUCGAUCAAAGCAACACAAGCUGACAACUUGGUUGUUAAGAUUAAUGAAUUUAUCUAGAUCUUAAGGCUGCCAUUGGAUUAAACCAUUAGUGCGGACACUGUGAUUGUUUGUUGGUUAGGGUUAGUUAUACGGCGGAUCCGUUAAUUAACCAACAUUAAGAAAAGAUAAAAAAUUCAGAAUAUAAACUGAAGUUUCGUUUCAAGGAUCGGUUCUGAUUUCUGUAGGUGGAUGUGUGCUUGCGACCAAGGUUUGUUUUCUUGAUAUAUUUCAGUUUCAAUUGAUUUUGUUUGUUAGUGUAAUUUCUACCAUAGUUUAGAUCAUUGCAAAUCAAACCCCCCCAAUUAUAUAAUGUAUAGCAUAAAAAUCUGAACUAAACCUUCCUCGUGGGAUCGACCCCUUGCUUGCUCUAUACUAUCUUGUGUGUUUUAAGCUAGGGUAAUUAAUUUAUGCGACCGCGACAUCGCAACAAUUUCCCCCCCAUUUUUUUCUCCUCUCUCUCCCAAAACCCAAAAAACCAACGACGACCCGACUUGUCCUUUCACUGACACCACCACGCCCUCAUGCCGAAAGACCCAUACCCUACAGAGGUAGGGGCGGCUGUGCAGUAGCUGCCCCCAUGCCACCAUGCCCUGCACCAUGGCACAGGACAGGGCAUGGUGGCCCUCUCUCCCUCUACCUAUAAAUAUAAAGGGAGUGCGGGAGAGAAGAGGGGGGAAAAAGAUUUUUUGAAAGAGAAAGGGAGGAGAAACCGAGAGAGAGACCGACUGUUUUUUAAGGAGGAAAAGAGAGACCGAAAGAGGGGAAACAACAGUUUUUUUAGAGAGAAAGGAGUGAAGAGAAGCAGACCGAAACACUAGAAAUUAAAGGGGAGAAAAGAAAAAGGAGGGAGACCGAGAGAGAAGACAGAGGAGAGAAAGGGAAGCCAUAAAAGAAGCGGGGAAGAACAGGAAGUGACAGGGGAAGAAAAAAAUACUGGAGAAGAAGAACAACCACAGCUGCCACCGUGCUUCCUCUCCACCGACAUAGCGCACCACCUGACCGUAGCUGACAGCCCCGAAGAGACAGAGGAGAAAAGGAGAAGAUAACGGGAAAAAAAACACAGAGAUGAGGGGGCUGAGAAGAGAAACAGAGGAGAGGAGAGAAGGAAGGAAAACGCCGCCGCUGUCACCGCCGCUUUCCACCACCGCUGACGACCACAACCGUUCUUUCCCGCUCCAGGUAACUUUCUCCCCUUCCCUUGUCGUUUUUAGUUGUUCAUCUUCAUUUUGCAUGCAGACGUGAGCAAUUCACGUUCUGCAGCAAAAUGUAGAUUAAUUAGCUAGUUACUAUGUUAGGCACAGUAACUAGCUAAUUAUAUUUUGCUGGUUACUGUGUGCAGCACAGUAACCAACCCUUUGAUUGCUUAUGGGCUAGAACAUCAGCCCAGCCCACGCGGCUGGGCUGAGUCCAGCCCACAGUAUAUGGGCCGGGUCAGGCCCAGCCCAGGAUGGUUGGGCCAGAUCCGGCCCAAGUUUUUUUUUGGUUAAAAGAAAAUUUCAAAAAUAUUUUUUCAGAAUUUUAUAAUUUCCCCGCAUAUUUUUAUGUCAUUUUGAUUAAAAGCAAUAUUUUUUAUGUUGCUAAAAAUACAAAAUCCGAUAUUAAAAUACCUGGUUUUCGUCAAAACUUUCAAAAUACAAAACAAAAACUUUGUUUUGAAAAAAAGGAAAAUGUUUUUGUGCAUACGGCCAAGUAUCUCAAGGCUAAAAAAUCAUAUGGUGUUUUUCAUACACAAAAAAAAAACAAUGUUUUUGCAUGCAUUUUGGCUUUGAUAACCAGUUUAUUAGAGUCAAGAGAACAUUGGCCAAAAUUUCAAAAACUACAAAUUUUUUUUUUUUUUUGUCUUUUAGUAUCCGGGGUACGAUAUUACAUGUAAUACAUAUUCCAUAUAUUAAAUGUUUUUCCAACGUUAGAACGGUUAGGUUCUACCCCAUUAAAGAUAAGAACCUCCUUAUUGAGUAGGGCUUUUCUUGAGUCUUAGAUAGACAGGACCAAUAAGUAGAAAACACGACCAAACCUUAGAUUUUGAUAAGACAAAUAAAACAAUGCAGCUUACCUUAGGUAUGGCGUAUUUGGGGUGCUAAUACCUUCCCUUUACGCAACCAGUCUCCGUACCUGAUCUCUGAGACCAGUUAGGGUUCCUAGUGAUCAUAAUACUAGGUGGCGACUCCCAUUCUAUUUUUUUCACCGCUAAGAGACAAAGAAUUCCUUGUCUCCCCACAUUUACCAGAUAUAUAUCCAUACAUUGAGGGUGGACGAUCGCCGCGACGCCGCACACGUGCGACAGAAUGGCGACUCCACUGGGGACCUUGUGGACUAAGCAUUGUUUUGUCUGAUUUUUUGUUGGUUUUGUCCCUGUUUUGUUAUUAAGAUGCUUAUUUUAUUUACACGCUUUAAUUUUUGUACAUAUUUGUUCAUACAUUGUAUAGAACUGUUUCACGCAUCAUUCUUUUUAUGUGAGAGUUUAUAUGAGAAAACUUUAAGUUAAGUAGGGGACUAGCAGCUUACCUUAUGACUUUUAGUCAAGGUUUAAGUUUGUGUAAACCCCAACUCUUCGCUGAGUGCUCAGACUGGUAAUGAUUGGUCCAUAUGCCAUCCCAUUACCUACUGAGCCCCCAUAUUGCCUUCACGAGGGCGAUCACUGGGACAACAAGAGACCCUUUUAGAGACAGAAUAGCCAACCUACCCUUGUCAAGCAUAAAAGAAUUAGAACCGGCCUUUAGGGUGUAUGCUCCACUGUACAUGUUUUGCAUAAUACAUUAAACCUAACCAUAAAGCAUAUUGGUUUUCAGGUCUUUUUAACGAUAAGAUGGCCAUCAUUACCAAAGUUACUACUGUGGAAUAUGGGCAAAAUUCUGAAUUGUCACAACUAUCAGAGGGAGACGGCUCUAGAUGUAAUGCAAGGAAGCUUCCAAUAGUCAAAGACCUGAAUUGUAUGGUAAAUGAGAUGAAGAGAAUAUUGGUUCAUAGUCAGAACAUUGAUGAGGCGGCAUUUUCCGUGAAGUAUGGGCGAUUGUUAGAAAUUACGAAGAUAGAAGUAUUGAACCCAGCAAUCAAAGCCUUGAUUAACUUUUGGGAUCCUGAUUAUAGAUGUUUUUCCUUUGGAAAUGUGGAUUUGUGUCCCACUGUAGAGGAGUAUGGAAUGUUGAUGGAGUUUCCCAAGCACCUGCACAAGGUUUAUUUCCCUUUGAGAAGUGACAAAGUAAUUCCCGAAUUGUCAAAAUUGCUGAAAAUUCCAUAUCUGAGCAGAUUUUUAGAGAAGAAUGCCAGCGGUUUAAAGUGGAAAUUCCUGGAGAUUGAACUAGAAAGGAAAAAAUCACAAUAUGGAUCGAUGCUAGAAAGAGACAGGUUAAUCGCUCUGGGGAUAUAUGGUCCUGUAUUAUUUCCAAGCUUAACAGGGGUUAUAAGCCUAGAAGCUGCUGCUGCAUUUGUGGAAUAUGAAAAUACUCAUGUCAACCCUAUAACUGCCAUAUUAGCUGAGACCUUCCUGACCCUCAACCAUUUCAGGAAGACUGGGAAAGGCGCAAUGAGAUGUUGUACUAAGUUAUUAUACAUCUGGAUGGUAAGCCAUAUUGAAACCAAAAAGCCGAUCUUUAAUAAUUUUUGGUGGUUUAACCAAAAACCUUUGAAGUUAGUAGAAGAAGAAGAAUGGGGAAGCUUGGGCGAUCAGGGUUGGAUGAAAAAACUGCAAGAGUUACCAAGUAGCAACUUUAGUUGGAAAGCCCCUUGGGUCAAAUCGGUUGAUAUCCUAGUAAGUUGCGGACAAAAAUGUUGGGUACCUUUAGUUGGGAUCAUAGGUUAUGUCAGCUAUGCUCCGGCCUUGGUGAUAAGACAAUUAGGCGGCAUACAACACAUCCCAAGAACUGUGGGACUCGCUGAAUUUUCCAGGUUUUUCAAGGAUCAAUCCGCGCUAGAAGAUUGGAGCCAUUUGACUUUAAUGUGAAAGGAAUCUGAAAGGUUAAGAGACCCCAGCUCAAGUGAAGGAUAUGAAAAGUGGAGGAAUUUGACCCCGACUGCCGCUCCUAGAAUGCCAUGUUCUGAAGACGGGCCUUCACGAAUUAUAGAAGGGUCAUUCAAAAGAAAAAAGGUCAGUAAUGAGGAGGACCUUAUGGGGCAAUUGGAAAGGCUCCAAAUAGAAUUGGGAAAGAGUAAGGUAGAUAAAACAGCAUUAGAAAUGAUGAUGAUAGAGGGAGACAAAAGCCGAGUAUUUCUAAACGUACAGCUCGAAUCUAGAGAUGUAAAAAUAAUGAUGUUGGAGCUGCAACUGAGCAAAGGAAAAGUUGUAAUGGAAGAGUCCGAGAAAGAGAGGGGAACGCUGAUUUUGGAUUGGAUGCAGAGCAGCUCUGAAUUGGAAGCAUUAAAAGCCAACUUCAAUGACUAUCAGAUGCUGAAUAAAAUCAGGAUAAAUUUUUGCACGUUCAAGCGGAGUUAAUGGACCGAAUCGAGAAGUAUGAUGAGUUAAACAAGAAAUGUGUGAUGGUAAAAAGUCGGCUAGCCGAAUUGCAAGAGUUCGAAAGAAAGGGGAAGGAAGAGGAGGUUGUUAAAGCAGAUUUGGCAACUAAGAAAAAUGAAAUUAGGAUGCUGAAAGCGAAACUUGAUAGAGAGCGGGAAAAGGUAAGACAGUUGACCGAAAAGUUGGAAGCUUCAAAAAAACAUAAAGAACAGAUCGACACCAACAACAAUACCUUGAAUCAGAACAACAUGUUGCUUAUGGAGAAGAUGGCCAAAGUAGAUGAGCAAAUGGAUGAAGCUGCCAUUCAUGCACGGAUUAUUAGAACCAAUGCCCGAAGGGUGGGGAGGGACAUCUUUUGUUAUCGACAAAGCUUGGCUGAGACUGAUGCCUUCUUAGAAAAGAUUGAGAAUUGAGGCCUUGCUUUCCUACCAGUGGCUAGAAAUAUGGAUGAAGAGGAAGAUUGAUGUAUUUUUUUUCUUUUUUUGUAUCCUCUUUUCUUUUUGUAUCCUCUUUUCAAGAGAUGUAUUAGCCAAUAUUAUUAAUGAAAAGGGGCCUUGACCCAUCUUUUGUGAAAUAUCUCUUAUAGAGUAAGGUUAAGUCUACCAAAGCAACAACUUGAGCAAAACUACCCCUGAUAAGGAACGUGACAAAGGAGUCCAUACCCAUUACGCAAGCGAAAUGUUGGCCAUCGAUCGUUUUUGAAAAACAAGCUCACAUUACAUAUGCAUCAUGCAUUGUUCAUUAUCAUACAUUCAUUUACAUUUUUCCAUCCGCUCCAGAUCGUGAAACAUAGGUCCCCCACCCAAGGUCCACCACACUAGGCUAAGAUCAAGAAUGGAGAACGAAGAGAGGGCCAUUCUAGAAUCCCGCUACCAAAGUGAAUUGGAAUCCGUGAGAAAUGAAGUUUCCCGGAUGACCAAUCUGCUUGAGCAACUUCUAAGAGCCAAGAAUGGGGAGGGAACGUCUACCCAACCACCCAUAGGAGCACCACCAACUCAUGUCCCUGGGGUAUCUCAGAACUUGAGGGCAGAUUCAGUAACGGAACAACACUUUACACUAGCCAUUCCCAUCCAGCCCACUCAAUCUCACAUCACUGUAGAUUUAACAGCGAAUGGGCCUUCCGAUAAUAGGUCCACUGGUUUUAUGAACGACGACAAGAUAUCCGCUUUGGAAGAAAGGUUAAGAGCAGUUGAGGGAAAUGAUUGGUUUGACCCCAUGCGAGCUUCUGAAGUAUGCUUGGUACCAAACAUCAUGGUACCAAAAGAUUUUAGGAUACCAGAGUUUAUAAAGUACACUGGGUUGGAAUGCCCACACACUCACCUUCAAGAGACUUGUCGACUUUGGUUUUUGUAUUUUUUUUACAACAUGCAAGAAAAUUUACAAGCAUUUAUAUAUAAAAAAAUAUCAAAAAUACCAGUUGAAACCCAAAAAAUUACCUGAGUGUCACUGUAUAGGUAAAAUACUGAAAUACCCUGGAAGUUCUCCAAAAAUUACGAAAAUGCCACUGGCGGCGCGUGUGGCACACGCGCGGCUACUGUUGGCUGCGGCGAAAUUUUCUGGCGAGAUUUCUGGCCAACAAAUGGUUGAUUCUGGCAGAUCUGAGGGCGAGGAUUCUGAUGGUGGUGGUUGUGAAGGUCUUUGAUGGCUGAUGAGUGAGAAUCGACGACUUGAAGCUUCUGUGGCAGCCGACGAUCGCGACCCUUUUCCGACCAAAUGGGGCGGAGACAACGCUGAAAUCGGCCAGGGUUUUGCUUUAUAUGAGGAUAGAGACCUUUCUGUGGUGGUUUGGAAGCUUGAUAUGGCCGGAGAUGGGAGAUCGGAAGAGAGAGAGGGAGUUGCCGGCGAGAGGAGAGAGAGAGUCCGAGAUUACGCUACGGUGUGAACGCGUGUAUGGUAAACAGGUACCUCUGAACACUGUGCGCCGUUGGAUCUCGGAUGAAACGAUCGGAUGGCUGUGAUUGGCCUGAUCUGCAGGUUGAUCGGACGGUCCGGAUGAACAGAGGUAGGAUCUGGUGUGGCGCGGUGUACCGAGAGAUUGGUACACCGGGUGACGUGGCGAAACUGGAUCUAAGCUUAGAUUAUUUCAAGGGCUGAGAUGUGUCUGGGUUUUAAUCUAGUGUGGUAAGCCCUAUUGUAUCCUAUUAAAUCAACGGUUCAGAUCUAAACACUAUUAGAUCUAACGGUUAGGAUAUAUUUGGUAUUUUUCAUAUUGUAUUUUUAAAAAAUCAAUAUCCACUCUCAUGAAGAAAUAGUGAAAAACUUAAAUAGUAACCUUGAUAUUCGUUUCUUUUCUUUCUUUUUCUUACCUCUCCCCCUUUGUUCGUUUUUCUCACCGGCUAUUUAUAGCCAAUCAACAGGGGACAUCAAAAUCUCAACAUUAUCUACUUGCAAGAAAAAAAUCGUCGAUACAACUGCCCCGCCUGCUGUGACAAAAAAAGUUUGCAUUAUUGAUUUUUUUAUUUUGUUUUAUUAUAUAUAAUAAUAAAUAUUUAUAUGGAUAAAACUAAAACUCAAAUUAGUAUUAGAAAAGCCCGUUUCAACCGCUAAAAAUCAAUUUUAAUGACCGAAAAUAAUAGUUUUGACCCAAAAUAACCUGAAACUCAUUUUUUACCCCGAUCGACAUGGUUGGACCCGUAUGGACUCGGUGGACUCGGUUUUGACCGAAUAUGACGGUUUUGACCCAAAACGGCCCGACACUUAUUUUUUACCCUGGUCGACAUGGUUUGACCCGUAUUGACUCGGUGGACUCGGUUUUGACCCGAAACGGCCUGAAACUCAUUUUUUACCCUGGUCGACAUGGUUUGACCCGUAUUGACUCGGUGGACUCGGUUUUGACCGAAAAUGACGAUUUUGACCCAAAACGGCCUGAAACUCAUUUUUUACCCUGGUCGACAUGGUUUGACCUAUAUUGACUCGAUGGACUCGGUUUUGAUCGAAAGAUGCGGUUGACUCGAGAAAAAUAUAUUUUUAAAUUUUCCUUUUUCUUAAUUGUUUUGGAUUUUUAUAAAUAAUAAUAGAAAUAAAAUAACAUUCAAGAAAAUCUUGGUGAAUCCAAAAUUGGGUUACAACAGUUGCACCCUCUUUACAAUGCUUACGGUGCAAAGGCAUUGGAAAAUUCAUUUUCUUUUGACUUUGCAUAGUAAGUUUUGUAAAGAAAAACGAUGGAAGUGUUGAAAAAUGCACAGAUUUUUCGGUUGGUCUAAUUGUUAUGGGCGACCUGCCCAAGUGAAAAACAUGAAAGUGUUUUCAAUAUUGGUUUUGUGAAAUACAUGAAAGUGAUUUCAGCAAUGGUUUUGUGAAAUACAUGAAAGUGAUUUCAACAAUGGUCCUAUUUUCCAGAUGACCACCCCGAUGAUAAAAUGCGAGGAAACUCGCAAGUGGUUUAAUUGUUCCAGGCGACCUGCCCGAUGAUAAAAUGCGAAGAAACUCGCAAGUGGUCUAAUUGUUCUAGGCGACCUGCCCAAUAGUGAAAUGCGAGGAAACUCGUAAGUGGUCUAAUUGUUCCAGGCGACCUGCCCGAUGAUAAAAUGCGAGGAAACUCGCAAGUGGUCUAAUUGUUCCAGGCGACCUGCCCGAUGAUAAAAAAUGCGAGGAAACUCGCAAGUGGUCUAAUUGUUCCAGGCGACCUACCCGACAAUGAAAAUGCGAGGAAACUCGUAAGUAGUCUAAUUGUUCCAGGCGACCUGCCCGAUGAUAAAAAAAUGCGAGGAAACUUGCAAGUGGUCUAAUUGUUCCAAUCUAAUUGUUCCAGGCGACCUGCCCGAUGAUAAAAAAUGCGAGGAAACUCGCAAGUGGUCUAAUUGUUCCAAGCGACCUGCCCGAUGAUAAAAUGCGAAGAAACUCGCAAGUGGUCUAAUUGUUCCAGGCGACCUGCCCGACAAUGAAAAUGCGAGGAAACUCGCAAGUGGUCUAAUUGUUCCAGGCGACCUGCCCGAUAGUGAAAUACUUGAAAGUGAUUUCAAUAUAUUUUUGUGAAAUACAUGAAUGUGAUUUCAGCAAUGGUUUUACGAACCGACCCUUCUGUGAAAUACAUGAAAGUGAUUUCAACAUUUUUGUUUUGUGUGAAAUUCAUGAAAGUAAUUUCAACAUUGGUCCUAUUUUCCACGUGACCACCCCGAUGAUAAAAUGCGAGGAAACUCGCAAGUGGUCUAAUUGUUCCAGGCGACCUGCCCGAUAAUGAAAAUACGAGGAAACUCGCAAGUGGUUAAUUGUUCCAGGCGACCUGCCCGAUGAUAAAAUGCGAGGAAACUUGUAAGUGGUCUAAUAGUUCCAGGCGACCUGCUCGAUGAUGAAAAUGUGACGAAACUCGCAAGUGGUCUAAUAGUUCCAGGCGACCUGCCCGAUGAUAAAAUGCGAGGAAACUCGCAAGUGGUCUAAUUGUUCAAGGUGACCUGCCCGAUAGUAAAAUGCGAGGAAACUCGCAAGUGGUCUAAUUGUUCUAGGCGACCUGCCCGAUGAUAAAAUGCGAGGAAACUCGCAAGUGGUCUAAUUGUUCCAGGCGACCUGCCCAAUAGUGAAAUACUUGAAAGUGAUUUCAAUAUAGUCUUGUGAAACACAUGAAUGUGAUUUCAGCAGUGAGCUUUAGGGUUGAUUGAAAACUUCUAAAGGAAGUCAUACCUGUAUGGUUGAGAUCUGAUUUGUAAAUCGAUCUCCGAGAUGAUGAAAUCUUCUCAAGAAAGUCUUAUGUCUACGGUCGAGAUCUGAUCUUCUGUACAUCGAUCCCAAAAGAUGAUGAAAGCUUCUCAAGGAAGUCCUGUAUGUACGGUUGGGAUUUGAUUUGUAAAUGGAUCCCAAAGAUGAGGAAGGCUUCUCAAGGAAGUCCUGUAUGUACGGUUGGGAUUUGAUUUGUGGAUCCUAAAAAUGAGGAAAGCUUCUCAAGGAAGUCAUGUAUGUAUGGUUGGGAUUCGAUUUGUGGAUCCCAAAAAUGAGGAAAACUUCUCAAGGAAGUCUCGAUUUCAAAGAUGAUGAAAGCUUCUUAAGAAAGUCUUAUAUGUACGGCUGAAAUCUGAUUUGUAAAUCGAUCUCAAAGAUGAUGAAAGCUUCUCAAGAAAGUCUUAUAUGUACGGCUGAGAUUUGAGCUGCCGUUCAAAACGAUGGUAGGAGUAAAUUCCUUAUAAAUCACACAGUAUUUGGCAAAAGACAUCAUCAACUUCUUGCAUUUUCAAUACUCUCAAAGUUCUUAACUUUUGAAGCUUUAACCAUGUCUUCUUCUUCUUCCAAUGCUAACCCAAACCCUGUUCCUGCAGUAGAGCCUGCAGUUUGGCGUACUACCUUUGAAGUGAAUGGUCGUCCAGUUACAAUAGAGGAUACUGUAAUGGACAAUGAAGAUAUUGCUGUAGCCGUGGCUAGAGAUAUGAUCCUUCCUCGUGAUGAAAUAAUGCUGGCAGCCAGGACCGAUAUUGAAGUAGUGAAUCAGUCACUUGCUCUCAGUAUCAGAGCUACUUCGUCUUUGGUGAACGUUGCAGAGCGUCUUCAUGCUAGAAGACUUGAGUUGAAUACUCAGGUUCUUGAUCUCCAUCAUCAGAUUGAGAAUUUAAGGAAUAGACUCCGUGAUGAGAGACGUCACAGAAACAACUUGGAGAGGAGAAACCAAGAGCUAAAUACACGUGUUGACUUUUGGAGGGAUUAUGUUAACACACGACACCUCGAGUUCGAGGAAGAGAUGGAGCGCAUGCAUAAGCAAUUUGAGGAAUUCCGAGGCAUGAUUAACCAUCAAGAUGAAAAUAUCCCUGAUCGUCCUCGCACUGUUUAACAUUUGUACUUGUAAACCCCUUUUUCCAUGAAUAAAAAUCCAUAUUUCUUGUCUUCAUUUAUGAAUUUUGCUUUUGUGGAAUUGCCAUCUUUGAUGUGAUUUAAAAGAACUUCAAUUCAUGUGAGUCUCGUUGGAUCCCAGUGGGGAUAUUGUUUCAUAAAAUAUCUGCAAAACAAUUAUGCAAUGCAUGUGAAGUUAGAUGAUAUGCAAUGCAUCUUACCUGUUUUUGAAACAUAGGUCCCCCCUUUUUGAUGCUUCAUCGUCAUAGGGUGGCUUUGUUUGCAUUCCAAAACCUUCUUUGUUUUUCGAUGCAUUGGCUCAUUCAUGUGCUAGCCAUCCGCUCAGUUGUAAAUGCAGUGCCCAUCUUGGGUUGUCCGUGAUGAUUACUGCUCUCGCUGUUUAUCAAGCUUGACAAUGCCCCCAAGUGUAGUGUUGCUUGAUUUAUCAUUAAGAAGCUUAACAAAUCGUUCAUCUCCUGGAUUCUUUCAAGAAUUGUUCUCUGAUUGAUUGUGUGCAUCGUGCCAACACCUAUCAAGAUUGUCAAUCAGUUAUGAACUCACCUCCAGUUGAAACAUACCCUUCAAGGAUAUGCGGUCAUCCACUUUCAUGGAACUGUCAUGUCAUUCAGACCUGCAUUUCAUACUUUGCAGUACAAAGCUCAUCGUUGUAUGCUCAGCUUCUUUCUCAAUAGGUUCUUCUCAACUCAUUUAACCAGAUUGUGAAAAGAAGUGUCUCAGCCUCUUCAAUGAUGUUGCUUUUAUCACCCAUACUCAUGUGGUGCAAUGCGCAUUUGAGCUUCCAAUCAGAUGGCCCCACGGUCAGUCUAGGUGGGUGCGGUGUAUCCUUCCAACAUUCAUUCAAAAGCAAUCAUGUGAUAACAUCUUUCGAUAGUCAUAGCCAUAUUGGAGACGAUAAACCAAGAUGAAGAUAUGAAGAUGUCCUUCAGGUACAUCUUUGCUCUCAAUUGUUGUCGAGGUUUACUGGAUCAUAAACUGUUCUUGAACAUCAUUGCCCUUAAUUGAUAUGAAUGUGCUCAUUCACUGAUUAUCUUUCUUUGAACCAUAUUAUCCUCAGUUCAUUGAUUCAUCAUUUGAUCAUCUCUACCCCCCAGCUGAUUUAAAAACUGUUUGUUUUCCUUCUCAGAGGUCCAUUGUAUUGCCCCCAGAAGUGUCGAGAAGAAUUGAUGUCAUUUCUGUCAGGAAUUUGCAAACUCCGUCGAUGUUCUUAUUUGAAAAUCUUUCUUAUUUUGGAAUCAAAUCUCACAUUUCAAAGAUCAUGUCAAGCAAAUCUGAUUGUUGAAAUGAAAUCAGAGAGAUGUCAAUUUUGAAAGUAUUUUUGGAAAUCAAGCUUUGUUGGUCAAAGAUCCAACACACGCUAUUCAAUAUAGUCCUUUGAUUGUCUUGUAUUUUGAGAGAAAAGAAAUUGACUCGUUGUAAGAUUAAAAUGGCUUUUUUCAUGGUUUUUUGUAUCGAUUUUAAACUCUAAUUUUGGGUAUAUCUUUUGAUUAUCUGUGAUGAGGUGACCUUUUAUGAAUUUCAAGAAAAAUAAGGUACCCGAGGCAAAACUUGAGGCUUAAUCAAGAAAGAUGGUUUCUUUUUCUUAGCACCAAUUUUAUCAGCAUGCAUAAUAAUCAGUAGCUUGAUUCAUGAAGUCACGACCUGUAUGAAACAACUCUUCAAGUUUUGAGAUCGCCAUUUAUCGGUUCAGAUUGCUUACUUGAUUAAAAAGGACUUUCUAAAGCAUGUAAUGUAGGCUAUGGUUCCUGGCUAUGAAAGAAAGGAAUUUCACAAGCUCAAAAGGUGUUUGAGGGUUUCAUGAACCUAGGAUCACCAUCAAUUACUCAUCAAUCUCUUUUCCUCACGUUGUCUUUGUAGAGACGGUGACAUAUAACCUUGUUAAUCUCUAAGAUUAAAAUUCGUUUAACAUAGGUCAUAACGCAAAUCCAACUUUUCUUUAAUGAAUAGCCAAUCUAAACUUUUGAAGAUCAUAGAGGCUUUACCAUAGACACACCAAAAGACAUAACACUUGAUUUUUCGUGUUAACUUUUGGUAUUUGUUGUGUCUUUAUCAAUCUUUGGCUUUCUUCUUUUAGCCCUUUCUCAAUCAUUGGACUUUUGUUCUAAGCCUUCCCUUUGUCCAUCGACUCUAACAUUGUCUUCGUCUUUUCUAGGAAAAGACUCUCAUUGCCCCUAGUGUGGGGUGUGAUCCUAGUCAAGGUUUUUUAUGAAAGAAAUAUUCUAUCAGCUCAAAAUGGGACUGCAAGGGAUAUAUAUUUCAAGAAUUGUGAAAGGAUGAAACAAAAAUGGCCUUUUCUCAUCUCAAGUAAGGUCGGUUAGAACCGAUAAAUUUUGACCUCAUCCAAUAUAAUGAUUUAGACUUGUAAGAAUCAUAAUUCACGAGUCCAUAACUACUGAAUCCACUACGUUUCAUUAUGCAUACUGCUAAAACUUAGCUAUAUAGUAUGUGGUUCAAUUUCAUGUGUGAGUUCAAAAGUUUCUUGGUCACCUCAUGUCAUUUCAACAAGCUUCGAGUCAUUCAAGCAAAAUAAUUUUAAUCUUCAAGAUUGACUAAUCUUAAACGCAUGUUGGAGCUUGAUCAAAAUAUUUUGUCAAAAUAACCUUUGAAAGAAACAUCUCAUGCUUUCAGAACAACAAAGGGACAAAGAAAAGACAUGUUUUGUUAAAAGAUGAGAUAUGAUCCCAAAAUAAAAUGCAGAAUGACAAAACUCAUAACAAAAAGGAUCGACAGUUUAACACUCUUCUUGGAUCAGCUUUUCUGGUGAUAUCUGUGUUUUGUCAAGCAUUUCAAUCACUUGUCAUUAUGGGGAUGUUGUAGUGACAAUAUGGCCGAUGAUGUCAUUUUCACAAACUCAACUCGAUUCUUGAAAUUCUUGCAACUUUCAAAUGAAUGGCACAAAAUCCCCCAAUGAUAUUCAAAUCUCUUUUCUGGAUUAUACCACCUAGAAAAUGAUGGUUGUAUGGGAUUUGGCGGAGUCAUGGCAAUAAAUCCGGAGUCUAAUAGAUGCUGGUAGACAAACUCGAGUGGUCGAGGUAUGUCAAUCUUGGCAAAAAUAUUUGAGCAGUUGAUACAUAAUUAAAGCUUCCCAUCGUUAGAGUCAUCCUUUGAUUCAUCUCUCAUUAUUGUUCUACAAUCCUUGGCAGAAACUUCAAUAUUUCCCCUCUUCGUAGCUUGUUCAAUUCUUUCGAAAAUCCUCACAACAUCAAUAUCAAUCUUUCCAAUGUUGUUAUGGUUAUUUGUGGAUUGGUAUAAACUUUCCAAUAGCCAGGUAAUCUUGGUAGCGCACAGAAACAUUCAGCACCACCAUUGCCAACGUGUGGAAUCAUGCGUUGUCUCAACUGGAAGAGAAAAUGAUGAAUCUGAAAAUGAUGAAUCUGAAACCCUUUUGUCUCCUCUUCAAUUCCUCACUGGCAGUGCAGCAAACAAACACCUAUAGUGGGAAUUCUGCUUUGUUAAAGUUGCAAUGUUUGCUCUUUUUUUUCUCAGAGCAGCAUCCGAUACUGCAAUGUCUGCUUUGUUAAAGUUGAGAACAAGGGUUGUCAUUAGUUGAUGACUGAAGGCAUUGUUGUCAUUGUUCAUGACUAAAAAGGAGAGGUACAACUUCAAUGGAACGUGGACAAGUAGUGUUCUCAGCAAGAGCCUGUACAGACGUUCCCUUUCCACUUUUGAAGCUCAACAUUUAUUCAAACAGAUUUAUGAGUCGAGCCACUUCACCUUUACUGCUCUCAACUUCCUUUUGAUAAUAAACCUAUGUCUAACCCCUGUCUUUAUUUUCCAUCUUCAUCAGUCCAGUAGACCUCAGGUGGGGGAACUUAUGUUUCAACCGUGUGCAAGCUUGAUAAAUGAAUGAAAUGCGCAAAUGGAUGCAAAAUGCCAUAUGGACUAUGCAUGCUUGUUAUUUGUUUCAAGUUUUCCUUUAGCUUAUGACGAGGAAUAGACCAGAUCAGAUUCUCUUAAGAAAGUUCUCAAUGAGGACUCCAAACCUACAGGAACUUGAACCGAUUUAGGGGAGAAAUUUGAUUUUUAUUGGAUAUUCUUCAGUUGUUUUUCCCUCUACUCUCUUAGCAGAAGUAACCCUACCGGGAUGUUUCCAUGCCUUUUUCACUAACUCUAAUAAUUUCUUCGAGGUCUUGAAAUCUUCAUAAAAUGUUGGCAGUUUGGUAGUCAUUGGAAUAAACUGCUCAUGUAAGAUCCCACAUCGAAAGCGAGCGUCCAACGCCAAGGCCUUAUAAAUGCAUGUUCAUCUUAACUAGUAAGACGCGUUUAAAACCCUGAGGGGGACCUGGGUGGAAGCCCUGGAAAUGGGUAGACCGGGGGGCCUAGAAGGGACAGUAUCUGACAGGGUGAGUGUGCUGCUCUACUCUGAAAGACGCGUUUUGAGGCCAUGCGUGGCUGCCAAGAACAAACCCGUCAGGAGACUUGGGUGGAAGCCCUGGACAUGGGUGAACUAGGAGGCCCAAAGCGGACAAUAUUUUGCUAGUGAGGUAGGAUGUUACAGCUCAAAUCCAAAUUGUUGUAAAAUCAUGUUAGGACAAUAACUAAUACAGCAGCAGGCUCCUAUCACAACGGGACCCAUGGAUACUCACCAUAAUAUGCCAGAUAAGAUUUGAAGUAAGAGUAUCGACUCCUCCAAUGAAAUUGAGAUUUACUUAGAUUUAGAAACAUUGAUUCCCAUGUGGUUCUUGCUACUUCAUGCAAGUGUUUUUCAGCAAAAUUCUCCAGCUUAGAAUAAAGAUGCCAUGGGGUACCAACCAAACCUGAAAUCUUCCCCUCGAUCAUAUGACUCACAGUCCAGACAAACAAUAACUGCAAGCAACAUCUUAAACGACCCCUUCCAGCUUUUCUACAAUAAUUCAAGGAUGAGAAAGUUUCUGCCAAUAUUGCUGUAGCCGGGUUAAUUUUAAGGGUCACCACAUUUUUAAAUACAUUGACAGCCUCAAAAUCGAUCAUUCCCUCUGUAGAUGGGAAAAGAACCAAACCAUAUAUGCCUAAGGCCAAAAUUCUCAAUCGAAUUUCAUUGCUUUUAUCGUGUAAUCUCCUCUUGAAUAUGGCUUCUAGUUCAUUCCAAAACCAACCUUGGCUAUUUCCUCGUUUAGUUGCAUGAGAUUUUGCUAGUUGACAUUCUAUCUGGGUAAUCCAAGCAAAGUUAGAAAGUGCAUGCUCUAUAGGUGUGUAAAAGUAUACCUUUUCUGACUUGGGACAAUUUAGCAGGGAUUCAUACUCCUCAAUAGUAGGAGUCAUAUCCACAGUAUCAAAAGUGAAGCACCGAUAUUCUGGAUCCCAAAACCCUAUCAUGGCCUUAAAACAAGCAUGUUGGACCCUAAUUUUCAGUAAAUGUGAUAGAUCCCCAUAUUGUUUCUGAAAAGUGAUUUGAUCAUGAGAGGAUAACCUUUCCCAACAGUCUAGCAGCUGUCUUGUACCAAGUGGUCUGUCAUCUAAUUUAACAUGCUCUGGCAACUGAGACUCAAAUUCUGAUGGCAAACAAUCCCCUUCAUCAUGUUGGCUCAAUUCUGAUCUGGUAAAAAAUUCCUCAAUAGUAAUGGGUUUUUCCAUCUCACACUUCUUGUAAGGAUCGGUGGAGAUUUAAUGAGCACAUGAAAUGUAUAUGAACAUGUAUGUUCAUGCAUUGACAUUUGUUCGUGUCCUAAUGGGUAUAUCUUACUUGAUAGGAUCUAGCUCAUAAGGUUUGGUUCAGUUUAAUCUAUCCUUAAAGAUAUUUUUUGGUUCUUAGAUUGCCCGAAUUACCCAUGGAGUAAUCGGCCUCUUAACCUUAUACAACAUGAGUAUGGGAAACAAUUUCCACAAUACCCGUUGCAUAGGGUGAGUUACAAUCCAAGCGAAAGUCCAAAUGAGCAUCAGUGGACAUAAGUCACACUUGCCACCUGAAUCUCUCUUUUCUAAUCUUAAACAGGACGAGCUCGGGUCCAGAGCUUUUAUGGGUUCACCGUGAAGUGUGUGAAUACACAAAUAAAUAACAUGCAUGUAUGUGGCAAUAUGGAAAAUUGAAAAGAAUCACAGUAGAUAUUGCAUAAAAUAAAUAAUGCAAAUAAGAUAAAUGCCUAAAAAUAAAUAGCGAUAAGAAAGAACAAAUGAAAAGCAAAUACAAGCAGUUGGCUCAACCCUAAGUCCCCAGUGGAGUCGCCAUUCUGUCGAUACACGACGUCGGGCGACUGCUUCCGCUUUUUUUGUUUAUUUAACAAAAAGGGUUUUUUUUUAAUUGGGGGAAACAAAGAUUUUAUUGGAGUCGCCAUCUAGUAAUUUGAGGGAACUAGAAAUCCCAAAUUAGACACUGGUCCCAGAGAUUCAGGUACGGGGUUAGUUAUGAUUAAGGGAAGGUAGACACCACCCUUAAAACAUCCUUUCAAAGAAAGGUUACCCUUACUUGUGUGUUUUUUGUUUGAUUCAAAUGCGAUUAUAUUUUGGGCUUAUUUGUAAUUAUUUUAAAUGAUUAAUGUCGGUCCCUAAAAAUAGGAGACACGUUAAAAAUGACAUCAGUCCCUAAAAUUUAGGAGACUCGUCUAGAAUAUUAACGUUUAUUCCUAAAAAGGAGAGUUACGUCUGGGUUACCAAAAGAAAUAAUGGAUAUAAUCCAUUAUAUUUUGGGUUUAUUGGUAACUUGUUUUUUUUUAAAAUGGUUAACGUCGGUCCCUAAAAAUAGGAGACGCGUUAAAAAUGACAUCAGUCCCUAAAAAUUAGGAGACUUGUCUAAAAUAUGACGUUUUAACCCUAAAAAGGUGAGAUACGUCUGGGUUACCAAAAAAAAAAUAAUGGACAUAAUCCAUAUUUGGUAUUUGCAUUUUUGACAUCGGUCCUUUUUUUUAAAAAAAAAAGAGAAGUGUUGACUUUGGUUUUUGUAUUUUUUUUACAACAUGCAAGAAAAUUUACAAGCAUUUAUAUAUAAAAAAAUAUCAAAAAUACUAGUUGAAACCCAAAAAAUUACCUGAGUGUCACUGUAUAGGUAAAAUACUGAAAUACCCUCGAAGUUCUCCGAAAAUUACGAAAAUGCCACUGGCUAGAUUUCUGGCCAACAAAUGGUUGAUUCUGGCAGAUCUGAGGGCGAGGAUUCUGACGGUGGUGGUUGUGACGGUCUUUGAUGGCUGAUGAGUGAGAAUCGACGACUUGAAGCUUCGGUGUGAACGCGUGUAUGGUAAACCGGUACCUCUGAACACUGUGCGCCGUUGGAUCUCGGAUGAAAUGAUUGGAUGGCUGUGAUUGGCCCGAUCUGCAGGUUGAUCGGACGGUCCGGAUGAACAGAGGUGGGAUCUGGUGUGGAGCGGUGUACCGUGAGAUUGGUACACCGGGUGACGUGGCGAAACUGGAUCUAAGCUUAGAUUAUUUCAAGGGCUGAGAUGCGUCUGGGUUUUAAUCUAGUGUGGUAAGCCCUAUUGUAUCCUAUUAAAUCAACGGUUCAGAUCUAAACACUAUUAGAUCUAACGGUUAUGAUAUAUUUGGUAUUUUUCAUAUUGUAUUUUUAAAAAAUCAAUAUCCACUCUCAUGAAGAAAUAGUGAAAAACUUAAAUAGUAACCUUGAUAUUCGUUUCUUUUCUUUCUUUUUCUUACCUCUCCCCCUUUGUUCGUUUUUCUCACCGGCUAUUUAUAGCCAAUCAACAGGGGACAUCAAAAUCUCAACAUUAUCUACUUGCAAGAAAAAAAUCGUCGAUACAACUGCCCCACCUGCUGUGACAAAAAAAGUUUGCAUUAUUGAUUUUUUUAUUUUGUUUUAUUAUAUAUAAUAAUAAAUAUUUAUAUGGAUAAAACUAAAACUCAAAUUAGUAUUAGAAAAGCCCGUUUCAACCGCUAAAAAUCAAUUUUAAUGACCGAAAAUAAUAGUUUUGAUCCAAAAUAACCUGAAACUCAUUUUUUACCUCGGUCGACAUGGUUGGACCCGUAUGGACUCGGUGGACUCGGUUUUGACUGAAUAUGACGGUUUUGACCCAAAACGGCCCGACACUUAUUUUUUACCCUGGUCGACAUGGUUUGACCCGUAUUGACUCGGUGGACUCGGUUUUGACCGAAAAUGACGGUUUUGACCCGAAACGGCCUGAAACUCAUUUUUUACCCUGGUCGACAUGGUUUGACCCGUAUUGACUCGGUGGACUCGGUUUUGACCGAAAAUGACGGUUUUGACCCGAAACGGCCUGAAACUCAUUUUUUACCCUGGUCGACAUGGUUUGACCCAUAUUGACUCGGUGGACUCGGUUUUGAUCGAAAGAUGCGGUUGACUCGAGAAAAAUAUAUUUUUGAAUUUUCCUUUUUCUUAAUUUUUUUGGAUUUUUAUAAAUAAUAAUAGAAAUAAAAUAACAUUCAAGAAAAUCUUGGUGAAUCCAAAAUUGGGUUACAACAAUGUCAAUGGAAAAGAGAAGCCAAGAGUUAGUAAGGGCUUAUGCGCAAAGAUGGAGGGAUGAGGCAACACAUGUGCAACCCCCUUUGAUAGAGACGGAGAUGGUGACUUUGUUCCAAACUGAGAUCAGUGGGUUAACUCGGAGUGGCCGGUGCUUCACGCCCGAGGAGUUGAAGAAAGCAAAAGGCAAAGAAGUGGUAGAUCUUGACAAAGCACUAGAAGUUAAUAAGCCAAUAACUGAAGAGGAGUCAAAUGAAUUUUUAAAGUUGAUAAAGCAUAGCGAAUAUUGCAUAGUAGAUCUACUAAAAAAGACUCCAGCAAGGAUUUCCCUUAUGUCCUUGAUACUAAGCUCUAAGCCGCAUCGAAAUGCUUUGCAAAAGGUAUUGAAUGAGGCGUAUGUGCCCCAAGACAUUGAACAGAAAACCAUGGAGCAUCUGGUGGGGAGAAUCCAUGCAACUAAUUACCUGUACUUCACAGCUGAUGAGCUUGAUGCUGAAGGUAUCGGACAUAACAAGCCCUUAUACAUUACUGUUAGGUGCAAGGAUUGCCUCAUAGGAAAGUGCUCGUCGAUAAUGGCUCAGCUCUUAACGUGUUGCCAAAGCACAUGCUGAAGAAAUGCCAAUUGAUGAUUCUCAUAUGAAGUCGAGUACUGUGAUGGCCAGAGCAUAUGAUGGCUCACUUGGGCCAAUAAUUGGGACUGUAGAAGUGGAGCUAUAUGUGGGGCCACAAAUGUUCUUGGUGACCUUUCAAAUUAUGGACAUCCACCCUUCCUAUAGUAUGUUGUUAGGAAGACCUUGGAUUCAUGUGGCUGGGGCGGUAACUUCAUCAUUACACCAAUGCUUGAAGUAUAUCAUGAAUGGGAUGUUGGUAACUGUCAAAGCUGAGGAGACAAUAUCCAUGAUGAAGAAUGUGGCCAUACCUUUCAUUGAGGCAGAGGAUCGCAAGGAUAACAAUAUCCACUCUUUUGAGAUUGUGAACACUGACUUGGUACCUAAGAACACAGUACUAAGAAGGCCAAGGAUCUCAGAAGCAGCAAGGAUGGCAGCUCAAUGCUUCUUGGAACGCGGGAUCCCAUUUCAAUAUAACCCUAUCACUAGGGUACCAGAAAGGGUUAAUCCGAUAAAGAUGAAAGGUGUUGAUCAAAGAUUUGGGCUGGGGUAUAAACCUAAAAAAGUGGAUCAUCGGUGGGCUGCUGGUCGAAGAAGGGAAAGAAGAAUGGCUAGGAUUGAAGGAAGAGAGCUUGAAGAAGAAAAGCUGGAAAUCCCUCCCCUUAGAGUGUCGUUCCCAAAAGCUGCAUAUGUAAUGCAACCCGAUGAAGGAGCAGAAAGCCUUGGUCAAGAACUGUCAAAUAUGAGCAUAAACACCUUGGAGGAGAAUAAGGUGGAAGGAGGUGGCAUGAAGACGGUAGCGGGAAAGAAAGAUGAAGCACUACCACAACUAACUAUCCACACUUUGGAAGAAGUCUCUGCUAAGACCUUUGUACGAAAGCUGGCUGAAGGUGAGAAGUUUCAAAACUAGGUGACUCAAUAAGCCCUAGUAGUAUUUAAAAUGUAAACCAACUUUGUUUGCCUUAACAUGCUUUUGUCAUUGCUUUUGUUUGCUUUAUUUUCCCUGGUUGACAAUCGAGGCUCAUGAUGUCAAUCAGAUUUUGUCGUUGUCAUUGAGCCCACCUUUGUUUUAAAUAAUGAGAUCAUGCGUUUUCCAAAUUUAUCUCUUUAUUCAUGCAUUUACACCAAACACUUUCCGCUUUCAGGAACUCUGAAAGUGGAUCUUCCACAACAUCAUAUACACUUAGCAUCAAGAAUGAAUGGCCAAACUUUAACGAACAUGUGAUCACUAUGGAAGAAGAAGAAUGGGAUGAAAGCAAUAUUAGGGAAUUUACAAAGUUAGUAGAGCAACAUGAACAAACCUGGGAACCAACUACAUAAGAACUAGAAACCGUAAACGUGGGUAGCGAUCAGAUUAAAAAAGAGUUAAAAAUAGGGACCUUAAUCACUCCUAAGGAAAGAGUAGAGGUAAUUGCCCUACUACGAGAAUACGCAGAUGUUUUUGCUUGGUCUUACGAGGAUAUGCCUGGUUUGGAUAGAAAUAUUGUCGUACAUAAGAUACUGCAGGAGGAAGGUUGUAAACUAGUCAAACAGAAGUUGAGGAGAGCCCACCCGGAUAUUUGGAUCAAAGUUAAGGCAGAACUCGAAAAAUAGUGGAAUGCAGGCUUUCUAGAAGUAGUUAAAUAUCCACAAUGGGUAUCCAACAUUGUUGUCGUACCAAAGAAAGAAGGAAAGAUUAGAGUUUGUGUGGACUUCCAAAAUUUGAACAAAGCUAGCCCCAAGGAUGAUUUUCCUCUGCCACAUAUAGAUGUUUUGGUCGACAAUGCUGCACGUAGUUCCACAUAUUCCUUUAUGGAUGGUUUCUCGGGAUACAACCAGAUAAAGAUGGCUUUAGAAGAUAAGGCGAAAAUAACUUUUGUUACACCAUGGGGAACCUAUUGUUACAAGGUUAUGCCAUUUGGUCUGAAGAAUGCAGGAGCCACCUAUCAGAGGGCCAUGGUGACUCUUUUCCAUGAUAUGAUGCACAAGGAAAUUGAGGUGUAUGUAGAUGAUAUGAUUGCCAAGUCCAAGAAGGGAGAAGAUUAUGUAAAGGUUCUGAGGAAGUUAUUUGAGCGUUUGAGGAAGUAUGAACUAAAGCUCAACCCGGCAAAAUGUUCGUUUGGAGUUAAGUCUGGAAAGUUGCUAGGAUUUGUGGUAAGUGACAAAGGUAUAGAGGUGGAUCCUGAUAAAGUGAAGGCCAUCCAAUCCAUGCCAUCCCCAAAGACAGAGAAGGAGGUGAGGGGAUUCUUGGGAAGAUUAAACUAUAUUGCCAGACUUAUAGCUCAACUAACCACAACAUGUGAACCUGUCUUCCGGCUACUGAGGAAAAAGAAUCCUGGGAUUUGGAAUGAGGAGUGUGAGGAAGCAUUCAAUAAAAUCAAGCAAUACUUACAAAGUCCGCCUUUGCUUGUUCCUCCUAUAUCAGGAAGGCCUUUAAUAUUGUAUUUGACAAUAACUGAAACAGCUAUGGGAUGUGUAUUGGGUCAGCAUGAUGAAACCGGAAGGAAAGAAAGGGCUAUUUAUUACCUGAGUAAGAAGUUCACCGAAUGUGAGUCUAGAUACACGGUGAUAUAAAAACUCUGUUGUGCAUUGGUAUGGGCGACAAAAAGAUUACGACAUUACAUGUUGUAUCACACCACUUUGUUGAUUUCAAAAGUGGAUCCACUAAGGUACAUCUGUGACAAGCCCUAUCUCUCAAGCCGAAUUGCAAGGUGGCAGGUUUUGUUGUCAGAAUAUAACAUAGUAUAUAUGACAAGGAAAGCCGUGAAGGGGAGCGCGAUUGUCGACCACCUGGCUGAUAAUGCUGUUGAAGAUUAUGAGCCAUUGGAUUUUGACUUCCCUGAUGAAAAUGUAUUAUCAAUAGUGGGAGAAGAAGAGAAGAAAGAUUGGUGGACCAUGUUUUUUGAUGGGGCAGUGAAUGUUUAUGGUAAUGGGGUCGGCGCGGUGAUAAUCUCUCCUGACCAGAAGCAGUAUCCGGUUUCAGUUAAAUUGUAUUUUGAAUGCACCAAUAAUACAGCUGAAUAUGAGGCUUAUAUCCUGGGUUUAGAAGUUGUGUUAGAGCUGAAGAUCAGAAAGAUAGAUGUAUAUGGUGACUCAAUGUUGAUUAUCUGUCAAGUGAAAGGAGAAUGGCAAACCAAGGAAGAAAAGUUGAGGCCAUACCAGGAAUAUUUAUCAGCACUGUCAGAAGAAUUCGAAGAGAUAAGAUUCACCCAUCUAGGAAGAGAAGGGAACCAUUUUGCGGAUGCUUUGGCCACGUUGGCUGCUAUGGCUACGAUUGAUCUCGGGCAUAAGGUACAUCCUGUACACAUAAACAUCAGAAAUAACCCAGCUUACUGUUGCUCGAUUGAAGGAGAGGUAGAUGGAAAGCCUUGGUAUACGAUAUCAAGAAUUUUGUGCAAAAUCAGGAAUAUCCAGUGGGAGCUUCGAAGAUGGAUAAGAAAACCCUAAGAAGGUUGGCCAUGGAUUUCUACCUCGACGGAGAGAUUCUGUACAAAAGAUCAUUUGACAGAACCUUGCUAAGGUGUUUGAAUGAGACAGAUGCUAAAAAUGCUUUACGGGAGGUACAUGAAGGGGUUUGCUCAACUCAUGCUAACGGGCAUAUGGUAGCAAGGAAAAUACAAAGGGCUGGUUAUUUCUGGAUGACACUAGAGAAAGACUACAUCGACUAUGUCAGGAAAUGUCACAAAUGUCAAGUGCAUAGUGAUAAGGUCAAUGCGCCUCCGACUCCUCUGAUUAAUCUAGCAUCUCCCUGGCCAUUUGCAAUGUGGGGGAUUGAUGUGAUUGGACCUGUUAACCCAAAAGCUAGCAAUGGGCAUAGAUUCAUACUCGUAGCUAUUGACUAAUUCAUGAAAUGGGUAGAAGUUAGUUCAUACGCCCAUGUAACACAGAAAGUGGUGAAAAGGUUUAUAGAAAAAGACUUGAUUUGUCGUUAUGGUCCACCAGAAAAGAUAGUGACCGAUAAUGCACAGAAUUUCAACGGCAAAAUGAUCAUGGAGCUCUGUACCAAAUGGAAAAUCAAGCAUUCAAAUUCCUCACCAUACAGGCCCAAGAUGAAUGGUGCCGUAGAAGCAGCCAACAAAAACAUCAAGAAAAUUAUCCAGAAAAUGGUAGUCACUUACAAGGAUUGGCAUGAGAUGUUGCUGUUCGCUCUCCACGUAUAUCGCACUGCAGUAAGGACCUCAACAGGAACUACUCCAUAUGCUCUGGUAUAUGGAAUGGAGGCGGUGAUGCCUUUGGUAGUAGAAAUCCCUUCGUUGAGGGUGUUGAUGGAUUUAGAAUUAGAAGAGACUGAAUGGGCCAAAGUAAGAUAUGAACAGUUAAACCUGAUCAGUGAAAAGAGGUUGGCUGCAAUCUGUCAUCAUCAACUCUACUAGAAAAGGAUGGCCAAGACAUAUGACAAGAAGGUUAGACCUCGCAUGUUCCAAGAAGGAGAUCUAGUGCUGAAGAAACUAUUGUCUUUACCAGGAGAAGAUCAAAGCAAAUGGGCCCCAAAUUAUGAAGGUCCUUAUGUAGUGAAGAAGGCUUUCUCAGGAGGAGCUCUGAAGUUGUCUAGAAUGGAUGGAGAAGAUCUAGCUAGACCUGUGAAUUCUGACUCUGUAAAGAGAUAUUACGUCUAAUGUGUUCAGUUUUCUCCCAAAAUGAAUAAAGUGAAGUUUGGCUAUGAUUUCUUUGUGUAAAGAACCCUUUUUUUUCAUUUGCAUUGAUCUCACAACACUUAAUUUGUUUAUUUUCAAAAAAAAUCUUGGAAAGAUUUGGCUUUGUGCAUGAUUAUAAGGAAUGUAUCAUAAAAUGCUCAAAGAUGAAGUUUAAGCAUUUCCCGUUAAGAGGUGACCAAACCAAACAAACCCAACGCUGAGAUAAAACCUUGCCCCUAAUAGCAUUUUGAAUUGUAUGGAUAAAUGGUUAGGUAAUCAUCAUUGUAAUCACUCGGAUGUUUUUCUUUCGAGAUAAGAACAAGGUUUAUCAAUCCUAACAAUGUGCGUCUUGAAAUGAGGAAAGGCCAUCUUUGUCAUCCCUUCACUUUCUAAAGAUUUCAUCCUUUGUAGUCCCCAUUUGAGCCGGAUUGAGUUUAUUCUUUAUGAAAACCUGACUAAGACCACACCCCGCACUGGGGGCAAUGAGAAAUCUUUUGUUAGGAAAGAUAAAGAUAAUUGUAGAAAAAAAGGGUAAAGAAUGGAAGCCUAACAUUUAAGAAGAGAAUAAGAAGAAAAGGGAGAAGGAAUUUGAGCAAAUUACAAAAAAAAAAAAAGAAGAAGAAGAAGAAGAAGAAGACUUGGAUCUUUGAAAGUCCGAACCCAAAACUUGGGGGCAUAAAAAAAAAAGAAGGGGGGAAAAGGAAUAAAGAAAGAAGAUGAUGGUUUGAUAAUGCUUUAAGACUGAGAUGAGGAUCCUUAAGCAAGCUUCUCCAAAUGCAACCUAUGAGACAAUUUCACAAAAAACAAAAGAUAGAAGAAGAGUGGUCUUAAGUCUUUAAACCCUCAAACACUAUUGAGCCUUAAAGCAUCCUUUUCUUUCAUAGCCCGUAGAUGUAACCUACAUUACAAGCCUUUAAAAGUCCUUUCUGAUCAAGCGCACAUAACUUGGGUUAAUAAACGAUGGUCUUAUAACUCAUAGGACUUAACAAAUGAGAGAUAAUCCGCUUUUGUCCAUGCAAGAAAAAGGCUAAUAUGAGACAUUUCCCUUUUUCUACACAGCCUUUUCAAAUAAUUACUUAAAACCUGUUGAAAAGAUUAAACAGAAGAGCCUUUGAAAAGAAAAAAAAAACCUAAAGACAAACCGCAAACCGAUAAAACCCUCAUUGGGAAUCGCUUAAAAGAGUUUUCAAUAUGUAUGUUGAAAGUUUCAGUUGUCAUGAACAAAUUCAAGUCUUUUAAAGAUUCUUUUUGAGGAAGGAAUUUUUUGUGCUGGAACGAAAACCAAAAAACCCUUAAUUUGAGAAAGACAAAUUAAAGCAUUGACAAGAGCAUGAUAAAAAGCAAUGGCAAAUCAUGCAUUUUUGGAAAAGGUUCACCUAACGGAAAAGGUCAGGGAUUUCUUCCCUAAAAAGUGAUGGGUAGAAGAAACAUCAUAGGAAAUGGAUCCAGCAUGCCAUUUCGAGCACGUGAACAAGAUCGUAUUAAGAGAGAGUUUCAGAAAAUUGAAGGAAGCGAUGGGACCUAUGUUUCCAAACCAGGUAAGGAUGCAUACAUAAGCAUUGCAUCAAACAUUUUUGUUGAUUUGUUACAGGAAAAAUCCUCAAUAUAGUCCGGCAAGAUUAGAGACAAAGAAAGAAUCUUUGAGUUGAUGAACAACGAAGAAUCAUGCUUUGGACCCUGGAACGGGAGAAAGAUGAGAUAAACCCUAACAUUAGGGAAAUCUCAAAGAAAUAAGAGUCUUCAAUUCAAACCCUAUCAUCUUGAAGAAGAAACAUUUUUUGGUUAAAGAGGAUUGCCAAAAGGGAUCUCAGUUUAACCACCACAUGAAGAUUUUAGCUUUGGUUGAAGGGAGUCGCCAGAUGGGAUUCCAGGUUGACCGAGCUACACACAGGCUUUGGUUCUGGUUAAAGGGGAUCGGCGAAAGGGAUCUUAGUUUACCCUAACCACACAGAGACUUUGGUUCUGGUUAAAGGGGAUCGACGAAAGGAUCUCAGUUUAGCCUAACUGCACAGGAGUUUUGGUUCUGGUUAGAGGGGAUUGGCGAAAGGAAUCUCAGUCUAUCCUAACCAUACAGGUUUUUUGGUUAUGGUUAAAGGGGAUCGGCGAAGGGAUCUCAGUUUAGCCUAACCACACAAAGACUUUGGUUCUGGUUAAAGGGGAUCGGCGAAGGGAUCUCAGUUUAGCCUAACUGCAAAGGAUUUUGGUUUUGGUUAGAGGGGAUUAGCGAAAGGAAUCUCAGUCUAUCCUAACCACAUAGGAGUUUUGGUUCUGGUUAGAGGGGAUUGGCGAAAGGAAUCUCAGUCUAUCCUAACCACACAUGUUUUUUGGUUCUGGUUAAAGGGGAUCAGCGAAGGAUCUCAGUUUAGCCUAACCACACACAGAUUUUGGUUCUGGUUAGAGGGAAUUGGCAAAAGGAAUCUCAGUCUAUCCUAACUACAUAGGAGUUUCGGUUCUGGUUAGAGGGGAUUGGCGAAAGGAAUCUCAGUCUAUCCUAACCGCACACAGGAGUUUUGGUUCUGGUUAGAGGGGAUUGGCGAAAGGAAUCUCAGUCUAUCCUAACCACACAAUUUUUUAGUUCUGGUUAAAGGGGAUCGGCGAAGGGAUCUCAGUUUACCCUAAAUACAAAGGAUUUUGGUUCUGGUUAAAGGGGAUCGACGAAGGGAUCUCAGUUUAUGUUAACCACACACAGAUUUUGGUUCUGGUUAGAGGGGAUUAGCGAAAGGAAUCUCAGUCUAUCCUAACCACACAUGAGUUUUGGUUCUGGUUAGAGGGGAUUGGCGAAAGGAAUCUCAGUCUAUCCUAACCACACAGGAGUUUCGGUUCUGGUUAGAGGGGAUUGGCAAAAGGAAUCUCAGUCUAUCCUAACUGCACACAAGAGUUUUGGUUCUGGUUAGAGGGGAUUGGCGAAAGGAAUCUCAGUCUAUCCUAACCACACACACGAGUUUUGGUUCUAGUUACAGGGUAUUGGCGAAAGGAAUCUCAGUUUAGCCCAACCACACAACAGGACUUGGGGUCCGGUUGAAGUUUUAGGUCAACCAAAUUUUGGGAAGACCAGUUUCGGAAGACCAAUUUUGUUUAUCUUUACAACACUUACUACGCAAAAUCUUUGCUCCGUAAGCAUUGUAAAGAGGGGGCAUCUGUUGUAACCCAUUUUUGGGUCCCCGCACAAAAUACAAAAAAAAUUAUAUCAAAAUAAACAAAAUAUUAUAGAAAAAUAAUAGUAGUGAAAAGAGGAUGUCGGAGCGCCCAGAAAAUGGUCAAAAAUUGGUUGAGGAGGUUUAAAAAUACAAGGAUUGAAGUUUGACAGUAUAUCAUUGACUGGGGCUUAAUUGCAUACAUAUUAAAGUCUGGUGGGCAAUUAGGGACUUGAUUGAAGAAAUCCAAAACCAAGGACCAUAGUGAAAAAAGCGCGCAAAUUGAAGGGCUAAUCUGAAAUUGGACCCAUUUUGGCGCCAAUUUUCGUUUAAAUGAAACGGCGCGUUUUGAUAAAAAACGAUGUUCGUUUCAUGUAUUUCACGAAGAAAAAGAGCAAACGGUGCCGUUUUGAACGGCACCAUAAGCCUUCUUCUUCCCUUAUUGAGAAUAGGGGAAGAAGAAGCAUUUUCCCCCCAUUUUUUUCUCCUCUCUCUCUCUCCCAAAACCCAAAUAACCAACGACGACCCAACUUGUCCCUUCACUGACACCACCACGCCCUCAUGCCGAAAGACCCAUACCCUAUAGAGGUAGGGGCGGCUGUGCAGUAGCCGCCCCCAUGCCACCAUGCCCUGCACCAUGGCACAGGACAGGGCAUGGUGGCCCUCUCUCCCUCUGCCUAUAAAUACAGAGGGAGUGCGGGAGAGAAGAGGGGGGAAAAAAGAUUUUUUGAAAGAGAAAGGGAGGAGAAACCGAGAGAGAGACCGACUGUUUUUUAAGGAGGAAAAGAGAGACGGAAAAAGGGGAAACAACAUUUUUUUUAUUGCUUAUGGGCUGGAACAUCAGCCCAGCCCACGCGGCUGAGCUGAGUCCAGCCCACAGUAUAUGGGCCAGGUCAGGCCCAACCUAGGAUGGGUGGGCCAGAUCCGGCCCAAGUUUUUUUUGGUUAAAAGAAAAUUUCAAAAAAUAUUUUUUAGGAAUUUUAUAAUUUCCCCGCAUAUUUUUCUGUCAUUUUGAUUAAAAGCAAUAUUUUUUAUGUUGCUAAAAAUACAAAAUCCGAUAUUAAAAUACCUGGUUUUCGUCAAAACUUCCAAAAUACAAAAAAAAAACUUGUUUGUUUUGAAAAAAAGAAAAAUGUUUUUGUGCAUACGGCCAAGUAUCUCAAAGCUAAAAAAUCAUAUGGUGUUUUUAUACAUAAAAAAAAAAAACAAUGUUUUUGCAUGCAUUUUGGCUUUAAUAACCAGUUUAUUAGAGUCAAGAGAACAUUGGCCAAAAUUUCAAAAACUACAAAAAUUUUAUUUUGUUUGUCUUUUAAUAUCCGUGGUACGAUAUUACAUGUAAUACAUAUUCCGGAUAUUAAAUGUUUUUCCAACGUUAGAACGGUUAGGUUCUACCCCAUUAAAGAUAAUAACCUCCUUAUUGAGGAGGACUUUUCUUGAGUCUUAGAUAGACAGGACCAACAAGUAGAAAACACAACCAAACCUUAGAUUUUGAUCAGACAAAUAAAACAAUGCAGCUUACCUUAGGUAGGGCGUAUUUGGGGUGCUAAUACCUUCCCUUUACGUAACCAGUCUCCGUACCUGAUCUCUGAGACCAGUUAGGGUUCCUAGUGAUCAUAAUACUAGGUGGCAACUCCCAUUCUAUAUUUUUCACCGCUAAGAGACAAAGAAUUCCUUGUCUCCCCACAUUUACCAGAUAUAUAUCCAUACAUUGAGGGUGGACGAUCGCCGCGACGCCGCACGUGCGACAACAGUUAUAUAUUAAUUCUAAUAAAAAAUAUAUAUGGUUUCUAUGUUUAAAUUUUGGUAUUAAUAACGCAUACAACAAUGAGGCAGUUAAGUUUCUUUGAUAAAAUAAAAUCAUUUAAAAAAUAAAAAUAAGCUAGUAUGUUUGUUACAUAACUAAAAAAAAAAUUGAUUUUUUUUAAAUUAAUUUUUAAAAUCAUUUUAAUAGACUGAUAUUAAAAAUAAAUUUUAAAAAAUAAAAAAUAUAUUAUUUUGAUAUAUUUUUAAGAAAAAAACAUUAUGAAAAGAAAUUGUUAAUAUUGUUAAAAAUAUAUUAAUAUUUUAAGGAAAAAAUAAAAGAAUUUUUUUUUUUCAAAUUAAUUUUUUUCUUUUUUGUAUAUUUUUGUGGUUACCAUAUCAGACAAAGUAGAGGUUGAUUUCAACAUGCUUCCUGCAAGCAUGAUAAACCAAAUUCAUUAUGAGAUAUAUAGCCUCAAGAUUAUCACAUCAUAAAGAAGAGUAGAGGUUCAAAUCCCUAAAUCUAUAAAUAAAUAAAAAAUGAACUAAGCAAUUUUAUCUCGAAACAACAAUGACACUAACUUAAUGCUCAGCCUUGGUACAAAUUAUGUCAGCACUUCCAUGCCUUGUGAUCUUGACAAAAAUAUUUUUGGUCCUUUUAGUUUAGAAAUGAAACUUUUCAGUACAAAACUUUAUUUUACCUAUAUAUAUAGUUCUUGAGUUUGAGAAAAAAAAGAAAGAUUUGUUGAAAAACUACAAAGGAGAGAUAAAAUUAGUCUAUUUAGAUUUGGAUUGAUUUUCUAAUUUUAAAUCAAUUAAAUGUUUAUUUAAAAUCAUGAAUGGAUUUAUUGAAGUCACUUCUUACAUAUAGCACAAUAUUUAUGAAGAUGACACGAGUUAAAAUAAUUGUUUAAACACACACUAUAUAUUGUAAUGUUGUCUGCAUAUAACUGUCAUGUAAGGGCUUCCAAUUCGCCUCUCCGUAUUACAGCACUUUACAAAUUAUUAGAUCAUUUGAUACUACACACAACAUUUGAUAUUUUUAACCAUUCACAUACAUGAAAUAAAACCCAUGGAAACAUGACACAAACGUCGACUGCAACUGCAACAUUAUACUAAUGAGUGUAUUUUCUAAAGUCGAAAGAGUGCUACCCAAUCUAGGUUCAAGUGGGAUGAUGAAUUGAAGAGCAGUUGUUAUUUGACACUGCAAUUAGAUGUCUCAUAUUUGAUUUAUGGAGCUAUGAUAAGGGAAUCGUGCUUGUAUAUUUACAUAGUAACAAGCAUUAUUAAAGAUGGUACACUAGUAAGUUUCCAAAUGCUAUCAGCAAAUAUUAUAACCUCUUAAUUUAUACAAGGAUUGAGCUAAAUUGCUUUAUCAAAUAUUUUAUGUUUUUUUUUUUUUGAAAUAUUGUUAUAGACAUAGAAUCAACAAGUUUAUGUGACAUUCUAUAUUGAUUUUGUUAUAUUUUAAUCACUAAAAGUAUGGGUUUCAGAAAAAUAAAAACCAAACAAAAAAAUUGAAAAAAUUAAAAAUUUUCAAACCAACCCAAUCCAACAAAUUUGAUCAUUUUUCGUCUGGUUUAGUUCGGAUAUUUUUUAGUUGAAACAAUUACUAACCAUUUUCAAAAGAUAAAUAUUGACAAGCCUUUCACCAAAACCAUGUUCAUUUAUGCUGAAUCAGGCCAAAUCAGGUUCAGGUUGCUAACUCAAACUAACGCAAUCCAAAAUUAAAUGCAUAUAGACUCUGGGUUGGUUUAGUUUAUUGAUUAUUAGAAAUGUCAAACUGAAACCGAACCGAAAUAAAUGAAUAUUUCUAACUGAGACGCCCUAAAAUACUGAAAAAAAUGGUUGGUUUUGUUUAGUUUGGUUUGGUUAUAGCAGAUACCCUGACAAUUUACUUUUUCACUCGACCUCAAACAAUAAGCACUAUUAUUAUGUCUUUAAUUGAAUUACUAUAAAGUAUAAAAAUAUAUGUGGAUAAUUGAAAAUUUGCUUAGAGUUGCUAAUAAUUCACAACUGCAACAACCAUCACGACCAGGUAAUGCUUGGGAAUGGGAUCAUGUAAUUGUGGAGAUUUGUCUAGAUUUUCUAGAUAAUAAUUUCAACCACCCUCUCCUUUCCUCAACCACUAUCACUCACCUUUCAACCACCAUCAACUACCCUCUCCUUUUGUCAACCAUCAACACUUCUCAACCAAGCUGCCAAGGCUCUCAUUCCUUCUAUAAAUGAAGACAAAGAGAGAGCAAGAUAAAGUGUAGUGCAGAGACAGUGCAAGUGAGUGCAGAGGAGAGGAAGUGUGGAGAGUGCAAGUGCAACUUUGAGAGUUGUGAGCAGAUUUGAGAGAAACACCAAGUGUAAGAGUGAAACACUGGGAUUUUGGGAUUGUACUAGGGUUGAGUUGAGUGUUUGUAUCAUUCCUCUAAUAAUAUAUGAUUGUGCAUCAAAAGUAUCAUUAAGUCUCCUAUUUUACAUAUAUAUUUAUUAUUUUUAUUUGGGUUUUUUAUAAUAAUUGAUGUGCUUUUUAGUAAUGAAGUUUUUUUUAAUGUUUCGAUAGGAUUUUGGAGCUUAAAUGAAUUAUUUCAGAAAAUUCAACGUCGGAAUUCGGAACAAAGAAUCGAAGAGAAAUUUAGUUGAAGAUUGAAGCAAGUCUUGGUUCAAAUAAGUGCUCCAAAUUUUCCCCAAAAAUCAAUUCUAUUCCAAUUCUAGAAAAGAAUAUCAUAUGAUCUAUUUCAAGCCCAAACAUGCCUUAUGUUGUGUGCAAACUUCAACCAUCAAACACUCAAGGUUUCAAUGUCAAUCUUAGCCCAAAUAAUAGGUACAUUUCUAUCCUUAUUUGAUGCUUAAAUCAGCCCCAAAUCAGCCUCCAAAUCAGCCGAAGCACAAUCCAUGAUCUUACAUGCCCACACAACAAAUAACAUUUGAUUUAUUUUGGGUAAUUCAUUGAUCCAAGAGGGAAAGAACAUGGAUGGAAAGCUGGAGGGGACAUUGUGACAUUAUUUUGGGUCAAAAGAAGAAAGAGACAGCUCAUAAAGGAGGAAGAAAAACGUGCACCAAAGUGUUCUCCAAGCUGGCCUGGUUUGAUUUUCCAGAACACCUUUCGGUGUUUCGCCCAUAACUUUUGACUCAGAUGUCCAAAUGAGCUGUUCUUUAAUGAUGUGAAAAUAUAACAGAAUGGCCUAUAAAUAUGUCUCCAAUAGCCAUUUCCAGGGGAGGCUUCAAAAAGGGUCUAAUUUCUGUCCAAAGUUAGAGUCAAAUUUGUGUCCGAAUUUUUACUGAAAUUGUGUUGUGUGCUUCUUUAUAGAUUUUGGUUCUUUAGCUUGUAAAAAUCAUUAUUUCAGUUUGAUUCAAGUUAUUUCAUGUUUAUUAAAGUGUUAUUAUAUAUAAUCAUGGUUCGCUAAUCUCUUUCUUGGAUCCAAAUCAAGGAUGAUGGUGGUUGAGGUGAGUUUUUUAAGAUAUGAAUGAAUCUUAAUGUCUAUCUUUUCAUUUUCUUUAUAAAUGUUUUAUUAUUGCAAAGAAAUUUUAGAAAUCAUUUAGGUAAUGUUAUAAUCUUGAAUUUUUAUGCACAAACCUUAGUUUUGGUAUAGAGAUUGCUUGAUUCAAUGUCUUACUUAAUAUGAAAAUACUUGUUCAUUCUUAAGCAAUAAUCAAUCUUCAUCUUUUUAAACUUCAUUGUAAUAUCUUCUGAUCUAAUAUCACCAUCGUUGAUAUUAGGUUGAGUUAUCUUAUAUAUGUUUGAAGGAAUCACCAAUACAUCACCAUUAAAAUUGAUUUGGACCAAGACUUACUUUUUCUUGUCAUUUAAAAUCUAUUUACACUUUUUCAUCUUUGAAAACAAAUUCAUCAAUCAUUUUCAACCAAGUUAUUGUUAAUUUAAUUUCUCUUGAGUUUUUUUGUUACCUAGCUUAAUUUCCAGAUCUAGCUCUCUGUGGAUAUGACCUCAAUCUUACUGAGUUAAUUGCUACAUCGCACACUCGUGCACUUGCGAGUUAAAACAAGCCGAACAUAAAAAGCGGUCAAGCAAUUUUUGGCGCCGUUGCCGGGGAGCUAGCAAGCAAAGGUAACAAAUUUAUAUUUGAUUAUUGAAAAAUAAAAAAAAAUACAUAUAAAUAAUAAAUCAAAUGGCUGGUUUUACCGCCUAAAAAAAAAUUGACCUCAACUUUUCGGAUAUUGGACUGUGGACUAAACUAUUAAUUAUUGGAUUUUGGUUGGUUCAACCAUUUUUCUUUUAUUUUCUAUUCUAAUUAGUUUCUAAUAUUUAUUGUUUAUAUUAUAAGGCUGGUUUUACCGCCUCUUGUUUAUUUUAUUUUAUUUUGUUGUUAUUAUUUUUCUUAUAUUUAUUGUCUGAAGUGCUUAGCCGGUAUUACCGCCUCUUGUUCAUUUUAUUUUAUUUUGUUGUUUUGUUGUGAUUAUUUUUCUUAUAUUUAUUGUUUGAAGUACUUGGCCGGUAUUACCGCCUUUUUAUUCAUGCUUGUUAUAAUUAUCUUUUAAUUUUUAUUGUUGUUAUUAUUGCUUAUUAGUUGGAGUGUGAAUUUCUUAAUUUGUUAAAUUUUUAUUUUUGUGCUAUUACUUUAUCUUUUACAUUUCAUUUACUUUUAUUUGCAAUCUUCUUUUUCUUUUUCUUUUUUUUUUCCUUUCCUUUUGUAUUCAUAUAAUUGUUAUAUUAUUAGCUUUUUUUAUCAUGGCUAAUGUUGAAGAUGUAGAGGGUGAAGGGAGUGUUCAAGGUAAUGGACCUCCACAAUUCAAUGAUCAACCUAAUUUUCGAGUACACCUUCGUGUAUUAUCUUUCCUCUUAACCAACAAGCUUUCAAUUUGAAACCGGGCAUGAUUCAACUUCUUCCCACAUUUCACGGUAUGGAUUCUGAAAAUCCAUACAUACAUAUUGUCAUAACCCAAUUUUUGACCAUUUUAUUUUAAUUAUUAUUAUUAUUUUAUUUACUGAAAAGGAUAAAAAAAUAUGAUGAUGAUGAUAAAAAAAAAAUAAUGAUAAAAAAACAAGUAAAAUGAGAUAAAUGAAGAAUGAAUUAAAAUUUGGGUUAAGGGCAACAUGAUUAGAAGUUUUAGGGUUUAAUUAAACUUUGAAAUUAAUCUAAUUAAGCUUGGAAUUAAUUUAAUUAAUCUGAUUAAGGGUUUAAUUGGAGAAUUGAUAAGUUUUGAGACUUAAUUGAGCUUGGAAUUAAUUUAAUUAAUCCAAUCAAGGGUUUAAUUGGAGAAUUGAUAAAUUUUUAGACUUAAUUAAGCUUGAAAUUAAUUUAAUUCAUCCAAUCAAGGGUUUAAUUGGAGAAUUGAUAAGUUUUGAGACUUAAUUAAGCUUGGAAUUAAUUUAAUUAAUCCAAUCAGGGGUUUAAUUGGAGAAUUGAUAAGUUUUAGACUUAAUUGGACUUUGGAUUUAAUUAAAUUAAUGAAAUCAGGGACUUAAUUGAAAAAAUAGCAAAGUUUGGGGUUAAUUAGGGAUACGAUUGCAGCAGAUUAAAGUCCAAGGACUAACUUGUAAAAGGCACCGAAAUGCAGGGGCAAUUACAGUUUAAACCAGGGGCUUAAUUAUAAAAUUCGGCGUCGUUUGAAAGAGCACUAUUCAUCUUCUUCACCCGAAAACAAGAAGAAAACGCAUGCCUUUAUUGCAUUAAAAUCCAUGCAAAACGCAUGCCUUUAUUGCAUUAAAAUCCAUGCAACCGCAUGGCAUUCUCUGGUUAUAAAAACCAGAGAAGGAGAACCGGCAAAGAAAAAAAGGAUGGCAUAACCGAAAAGCCACUAGAGAAACACAGAACCGGGGAAAGAAUAGAAAAAAAAACUUUCGUUCCUCUGUUUCUUCUCAAAGAAACAGAGGAGGCCACGAGCAGCGGAGGAAGAAAGCAACUAGCCCACCAGUCCUCCAUCACGUCUCCGUUUCCCUGCUUACACAGAGGAAGUAACACCGGGAACACAACAAGACGCAAGAACAGAAACUGUACAGAGGGGAGCAAGUUUUCUGCCCCUGUUUCUUCUCUAAGAAACAAAGGCGUUCGUGCCUCACGAUCGUGAGGCACGAACGCGUGAAGAAAGGCCAUUCUCUGGCUUUAUAAGCAAGAGAAGGCCGCAGAGAAGGAAGAAAAACUGAGGAGAAACAUGAAAAAGAGAGGACAGAACCGGUGGACGAGAAGAACAAACACAGACGGCCGCGGACGAGCGGGGAAGACGACUAGCAGGGGAACAAACCGAAACAAAAAAGAAGAAGACGACAGAACAAGGAAAGCUAAAACAGAGGAGUAGACAGAAAGCAGUAACAGAGAGGAGUAACGCUGGUCAGUUGUCAUCCCCGUCUUCCAGUGCAGCAACAGGUAAGUUGCGUUGCCCCUCCCUGCAUUUUAAUUGCAUGUUGCUGUAACAGGCGUGCGUGAGCGGUUCACGCACGCCUGCGGGUAAAAAAAUAGAAAAAUGGCCAGCCGGGUCAAGCCUUUGACCCGGCUAGGCCUGCUGAGUCCAGCCCAGCCCAUGUGGGCUGAGCUGGGCCCAGCCCAAAAAAAUAAAAAAAUAAAAAAAACAGAAAAGUAAAAAAGGGUAGAAAAAAUAAAAAAAAUGUGUAUGCAUGAAUAAAAAUAAUGUAAAUUUACUGGUUUAUUCACUGACGCCAGAGUCAGGAAUAAAAAUACUGGUUUAAAUUUAUAUUAUUUUUAUUCGGUGUAUUUUAUUUUAUUUAGCUAGAAAAAUAAAAAAUAUGUGCAUGCAUAAAAAAUCAAUUUUUUUUAAUUUAUUCACUGGCGCUAGAGUAGGGAAUAAAAAAUAUUGAUCUAAUUUUUCGUAGCUACGAAUUUUUACCAACGCCAGAGUUGGAAUUAUUCGAGCUCGAAUAUUCACUGGCGCCAGAGUCAGGAAUAUUAUAAACAAAUCAUUAUAGCAUAAGCGAAUAAAUGUUUAGCAAUUGAAGACAAAACCAACAAUGCAGUUUGCCUUAGGCAGAACGUUUAAGGGGUGAUAAUAUCUUCCCUUUUACGUAACCAAUCCCGAGCCAUAGAAUCUCUGUUGACCAGUUAGGGUUUCUAGUGACCAUAAUACUAGGUGGCGACUCCUUAAACAAGAUCUUUUCCCCUAAAAGAACAAGAUGCCAGAUAUCUGUUCUUUUUCCAUAAAUCUAGAAUUAUUUUGUGGGCCGCUGCGAUGUCGGGUGCGACACAUAUUAAGGACUUUGAAGAGGUAUGUAAUACUUUUAUUGAUAGAACAUGCACCGAGGAAACCAUUCGGCUUAAAUUGUUCCCAUUCUCUCUAAAGGAUAAAGCCAAGCUUUGGCUAAACUCCUUGCGUCCUAGGUCUAUAGGUACAUGGAGAGAAAUGCAAGCUGAAUUUUUGAAAAAAUACUUCCCCACUCAUAGGACGACAACCUUACAACAUCAAAUGAUGAAUUUUUCUUGUAGUCCAAAUGAGUCAUUUCACCAAGCUUGGGAAAGGUUCAAAGACUUGUUAAAUGCAUACCCCCACCAUGGUUUUGAGAUGUGGAGGUUAGUGAGUUUCUUCUACGACUCUCUUACCGCAGAUUUUAAAAAGCUAGUGUCAACCAUGUGUAAUGGUGAGUUUUAUGACAAAGAACCAAGUGAAGCCUUUAAUUUCUUUGAUCAAUUGGCUGAAAACACAAAGCAAUGGGAGACUUCUCUCCUACUUCAUGUUGAGUCUAGAAACACCAUUUCUCAUUCAAGUGGGAAGUUCCAAUUGAAAGAGAUUGAUGACCUCAAUGCUAGAUUAGCCUCAUUGGCUAGGAAAGUAGAGUCUCUUGAGAUUAAAAAAGUGCAUGUCAUGAGUGAACAACAAGAGGAAAGUUGUGUUGUUUGUGAGAGCAAAGGGCAUAGGACAACUGAGUGUCCUACCAUUCCAGCCUUCAAGGAAGUGCUAUAUAGCCAAACUUCUGAUUCAAGUAAUGUUAGAAAGCCAUUUUCAAACCAAGUAGGCAAUCCCUACUCUGAGACCUAUAAUCCUGGAUGGAGGAACCAUCCAAAUUUUGGAUGGAGAAAUGAGGGCCCUUCAGUACCUCAAACAUUUCAACCUCCACCCCAACCAUUUCAUGCUACCACACAUAACACGUACCAAUCACCUCAUAAGAGAUCCCUAGAGGAUACUCCAACAAUUCAUGCAAACGCAAGGAGGAAUCAAUAACCAAGCUUACAAAUUUCAAGACCAGACUAAUAGGACCUUAGAUGACAUUCAAAGUCAACUAACCAAGUUGACUCAAUCAUUAAGCAUUCAAGAGAAGGGAAAGAUCCCAGCUCAACCAAUGUCAAAUCCUAGAGGUUAGGUACACAUGAGUGAAUCCUCAUUUAGUGAACCUUCAAACCAUGAACAAGUCCAAGCCAUCACUACCCUUAGAAGUGGAAAGAUUAUUGACAAAGCUAUAGGUUUUGGGAUUCCUAGAGGUAUUGUGGAGGAGAAAUCUAGGGAAAGUGAAGAGGGAAUCAAAACACAAGUGACAAAUGAGAGCUUGAGUGACAAAGAAGGUGAGAUAAAUGAGAAAGAAAUGAGUGAGAAAGGAGAUGAUUCAAGAAAAAUUGGAGUCAAAGUGAGUGAUUUAGAAUUUGUUCCUAGAGCACCAUUUCCACAAAGGUUAGGGAAGCCUAAACAUGAUCUUAUGAACUCGGAAAUCUAUGAAUUGUUCAAACAAGUGAAAGUCAACAUUCCACUCAUUGAUGCAAUUAAACAAGUCCCCUCUUAUGCAAAGUUCUUCAAGGACUUAUGCACAGUCAAAAGGAGAUUGAAUGUGAAAGAAAGAGCCUUUCUAACUGAACAUGCUAGUGCCAUCAUCCAGUUUAAGACUCCUCCCAAAUACAAAGAUCCUGGUUGUCCUACUAUUUCAUGCAUUAUUGGAAGUCAUAAAAUAGACCAAGCUUUGUUGGAUUUAGGAGCAAGUGUGAAUUUGAUACCCUACACUGUUUACGAACAGUUAGGUUUAGGAGAAAUCAAGCCUACUCAAAUCACCCUUCAAUUAGUUGAUAGGUCAAUCAAGAUUCCCAGGGGUAUUGUUGAGGAUGUGUUGGUCCAAGUAGACAAAUUCUACUUUCCUGUUGAUUUUGUAGUGUUAGACACCGCACCUAUUCAAGGUUCUAAUGCUCCCAUCCCAGUCAUCUUAGGUAGACCUUUCCUAGCUACAUCCAAUGCUUUAAUUAACUGUAGGAAUGGGGUGAUGAAAUUGUCUUUUGGGAACAUGACUGUGGAGAUGAACAUAUUCAAUGUCUCGAAACAAAUUGGUGAACAUGAGGACAUUAGAGAGGUAGAUUUGAUCCAAACAGUUUGUCAAGAACACUUUGAGAGAGAGUGGUUCAAAGAUCCAUUGGAGAGAACUUUAAUUCAUGAUGAAAGAUUUUGUUCUUUGGAAUGUGUUGAUGAGGAAGUAAGAGAACUCAAGACUUAUCUAGAUCCAAUGCCUAUUAUGUCAAUAGGUCAAUGGACCCCAUCGUUUGAGCCUUCGAUUUCACCCCAAAUGAAAGUUGAGGCAUCUCUUGUCCAACCUUAUAAACUAGAAAGGAAGCCUUUACCGAGUGAUCUUAAGUAUGCAUUUCUAGGGGAAGAUGAAUCAUAUCCUAUUGUGAUUUCAUCAAAACUUAGCAUAGAGCAGGAACAAGAACUUUUGAGAGUGGUGAGAAAACACAAAAAAAGCAAUUGGGUGGACUAUUACUGACUUGAAAGGAAUUAGCCCUCUUUUAUGUACACAUAGAAUCUAUCUUGAAGAAGAGGCUAAAUCUGUGAGGCAAAUGCAAAGACGACUGAACCCAAACAUGAAGGAAGUAGUAAGAGGUGAAGUGCUUAAGCUACUUGAUGCAGGUAUCAUUUACCCCUUGCAAACUCAAAAUGGGUUAGUCCAACCCAAGUUGUCCCUAAAAAAUCUGGAGUCACGGUAGUGAAGAAUGAAAAUAAUGAGCUAGUACCAACUAGAAUCCAAACUGGAUGGCGUCUGUGCAUUGAUUAUCUUAAGUUGAACAUGGUGACCAGGAAGGACCAUUUUCCGCUUCCAUUUUUAGACCAAGUGCUUGAAAGAGUAGCCGGAAGAGCUUUCUAUUGUUUUCUUGAUGGAUACUCAGGUUACAACCAAAUUGAGAUUUCUUUAGAAGACCAAGAAAAAAUCACUUUCACUUGUCCUUUUGGUACCUAUGCUUAUAGAAGAAUGCCUUUUGGCUUGUGUAAUGCACCAACCACUUUUCAAAGGUGUAUGAUGAGUAUCUUUAGUGACAUGGUGGAAAUUUUUUUUGGAAGUUUUCAUGGAUGAUUUUUCAGUUUAUGGGGAUUCUUAUGAGUUGUGUCUAAUGCAUUUAGAAAAAGUUCUUGAAAGAUGUGAAGAGAGCAAUCUUGUACUUAAUUGGGAGAAGUGUCAUUUUAUGGUGACACAUGGCAUUGUCUUAGGUCACAUUGUCUCUUCAAAAGGGAUAGAGGUAGAUAAGUCAAAAGUUGAAGUCAUUCAAAAAUUACCUAGCCCUAGGACUGUGAAAGAUGUGAGAUCGUUUUUAGGACACGCUGGUUUUUACCGAAGAUUCAUUCAUUCUUUUAGUACCAUUCCCAAACCAUUGUGUAACUUGUUGUCACAAGAUGUUCAAUUUGAUUGGACAUCAAAAUGUCAAGAAGCUUUUGAAAAGCUUAAAGGGUUGUUGACCACUACACCAAUCAUGCAAGCUCCUGAUUGGUCUUUACCAUUUGAACUGAUGUGUGAUGCUAGUGAUUUUGCAGUAGGGGCUGUUUUAGGGCAAAGAAAAGAUAAGAAGCCUCAUGUCAUUUAUUAUGCUAGCAAGACUUUGAAUGAUGCUCAAUUGAAUUACACUACAACUGAAAAAGAACUCUUAGACAAGUUUAGGUCUUAUUUGGUUGGAUCUCUUGUUAUUGUUUUCACUGAUCAUGCAGCAUUGAAAUACUUGCUCACAAAACAAGAUGCCAAGCCAUGUUUGAUUCGAUGGAUCCUUAUAUUCCAAGAGUUUAACCUUGAAAUUCGAGAUAAAAAAGGAGUAGAGAAUGUAGUGGCUGAUCAUUUGUCCCGUCUUUCAAGCUAUGAGACCAUAAUUGAUGAAUCUCCAAUAAAUGAAUUCUUUGCUGAUGAAAAUUUAUUUUGUGCAGGUAUUGUUUCCUACAUUGGCUCUCCAUGGUAUGCUGACAUAGCAAAUUACCUAGCCACAAGUCAGAUUCCUUCUCAUUGGUUUAAACUUGACAAACAAAAAUUCUUGCGCAACGUGCGUACCUUUUUUUGGGAUGACCCCUACCUAUUUAAAUACUGCCCUGACCAAAUUGUUAGGCGGUGCAUCCCUGAUCAUGAAAUUCCAAGUGUCAUUAAUUUUUAUCAUGCAUUAGCCUGUGGUGGGCAUUUCUCUUCCAAGAAAACCACUGCCAAGAUCUUGCAGUGUGGUUUUUAUUGGCCCACCAUGUUCAAAGAUGUCCAUGCCUUCUGUGUUGCAUGUGACCGAUGCCAACGACUAGGUAACCUCACUAGGCGUAACAUGAUGCCCCUAAACCCCAUUCUUGUUUUGGAAAUAUUUGAUUGUUGGGGGAUUGAUUUCAUGGGACCUUUCCCAAGUUCAUUUGGUAACCAAUUCAUCCUUGUAGCUGUUGAUUAUGUGUCUAAAUGGGUGGAGGCCAUUGCAUCUCGAACCAAUGACCAUCGAGUUGUGGUCAAAUUCUUGGAAGAAAAUAUUUUCUCUCGUUUUGGCAUGCCCCGGGCUAUGAUUAAUGAUGGGGGAAAACAUUUUUGUAACAAGCCCAUUGGGAUUUUGAUGAGAAAAUAUGGUGUAAUUCACAAGGUCAAUACCCCCUAUCAUCCACAGACUAGUGGCCAAGCUGAGUUGACAAAUUGGGAGAUCAAGAACAUUUUAGAGAAAACAGUCAAUCCAAACCGUAAAGAUUGGUCCCUACGACUAGUUGAUGCUUUGUGGGCAUAUCGCACUGCUUACAAGACCUCUUUAGGAAUGUCUCCUUAUAGGCUAGUUUAUGGAAAGCCUUGUCAUCUCCCUGUUGAGAUUGAGCACCGUGCAUAUUGGGCCAUCCGGCAAUUCAAUGACAAUGAAAACGAGGUUGGAAAAAAUAGAAAGCUUCAAUUGGAUGAAUUAGAUGAGCUGAUAAAUGAUGCAUUUGAAAAUGCAAAAAUUUCAAAACAUAAGAUGAAAACCUUGCAUGAUAAACAUAUUCUUAGAAAAUCCUUUCAUCUUGGUCAAAAGGUUCUCUUGUAUAAUUCACGAUUACAUCUCUUUCCUGGGAAGUUGAGGACAAAAUGGAUUGGUCCAUUUGUGAUUAAAUCCAUCUCUGAGCAUGGUGCAUUUGAGGUAGAAAAUCCUAAGAAUGGAAAUGUUUUCAAAGUAAAUGGUCAUCGAUUGAAACCUUAUCUUGAAAAUUUUGUGGCUGAAGUUGAGACAUUGGAUCUUGAAGAUCCAAUACCAUUGUAGUAUCAGAAGUAAUGAGCUUUUUAUUUUUAUUUUUAUUUUUUUAUUCAUUUUUAUUUUUCUGUUUUUCAUUUUUUUUCUUUCUUCCAUCGCUUAUAUUUUCUUGUUCAUGCAUUAGGGACAAUGCAUUAUUUUAAGUUGGGGGGUGUGAGGUUCUUUAUUUUUCAAAAAAAAAAUCAAUGUUUUCUUUUAGUUGUGAUAUGCAGGUAAAAAAAAUCAAGCAAGAAGUCAGCUCAUGUCCAAUUCAAUCAGACAUUCAUCCUUGAAAACAAAAGGGGAGUAAUAGUUUUCUAAUCUUUAUACUUUUCUUCUCUUUUUUUUUUACAUUGAGGAUAAUGUAAAACUUAAUUUUAGAUAUUUGAUUAUGUUGAAUGCUUGAGAUGACCAUGCAUGUUAAAAAAAAAAACUUGCAUUCGUAUAUGAAUGAGACUUGUUUAGGAUCAACAUUACAUUUUUGGAUUCAUUAUUGUGUUGAACAUUGCAUGCUUUAAUUUGGGAUAGAUAAUAUCUUAUAAAGCAAGAUAUAGCAUACUUUUUUUUAAGAUUAUUGAAGUACAUCUUUCCUUGUAAAAGUUGUGUGAGUUGUGUGAUUAUGCAUGAAAGAUGAGUGUGAUGCUUUACUUGUGAUCAUCCCUUUUGAUCUAGUCCUAAACAAGGUUUAAGUAAAUAGAGUAAUCAUUAUUACACAAAUGUGUACAAAGUUCUAUCUACUCCAAUGUUUUGAGUUGCUCAGUAACUAGGGGUAUUCAUCAUAAAUGUUUAUCUUUACGUCAAACGGCAGCUUGAAAUAUGAGUAUGCAAAGCACUUUAAGUUUGUGACUUUGUGAGUAACCGGGUGCAUUCAUCACAAAUGUUUGUAUUCGCGUCAAAAGGGAAGUGACCACUUAAAGAAAAAAAAUAAAUAAUAUCUUCAAAAAAAAAGAGAAAAAAAAGAAAAGAAAAAAAAUAUAUAUAUAUAUAUAUAUAUAUAUAUAUAUAUAUAUAUAGAUAUUUCUCUAGUUUGCUACCUUGUUUGUAGUAGUGAGAAGGGAAGAUUACAAGUUGAGUUUUCGCGUGAAUCAAUUAUGUUGGUUGCAUGAUAAAUACAAUUCUAGAAAAGAAUAUCAUAUGAUCUAUUUCCAGCCCAAACAUGCCUUAUGUUGUGUGCAAACUUCAACCAUCAAACACUCAAGGUUUCAAUGUCAAUCUUAGCCCAAAUAAUAGGUACAUUUGUAUCCUUAUUUGAUGCUUAAAUUCAGCCCCAAAUCAGCCUCCAAAUCAGCCCAAGCACAAUCCAUGAUCUUACAUGCUCACACAACAAAUAACAUUUGAUUUAUUUUGGGUAAUUCAUUGAUCCAAGAGGGCAAGCACAUGGAUGGAAAGCUGGAGGGGACAUUGUGACAUUAUUUUGGGUCAAAAGAAGAAAGAGACAGCUCAUAAAAGAGGAAGAAAAACGUGCACCAAAGUGUUCUCCAAGCUGGCCUGGUUUGAUUUUCCAGAACACCUUUCGGUGUUUCGCCCAUAACUUUUGACUCAGAUGUCCAAAUGAGAUGUUCUUUAAUGAUGUGGAAAUCAAACAGAAUGGCCUAUAAAUAUGUCUCUAAUAGCUAUCUCCAGGGGAGGCUUCAAAAAAGGGUCGAAUUGCUGUCCAAAGUUAGAGUCAAAUUUGUGUCCGAUUUUUUACUGAAAUUGUGUUGUGUUCUUCUUUAUAGAUUUUGGUUCUUUAGCUUGUAAAAAUCAUUAUUUCAGUUUGAUUCAAGUUAUUUCAUGUUUAUUAAAGUGUUAUUAUAUAUAAUCAUGGUUCGCUAAUCUCCUUCUUGGAUCCAAAUCAAGGAUGAUGGUGGUUGAGGUGAGUUUUUUAAGAUAUGAAUGAAUCUUAAUGUCUAUCUUUUCAUUUUCUUUAUAAAUGUUUUAUUAUUGCAAAGAAAUUUUAGAAAUCAUUUAGGUAAUGUUAUAAUCUUGAAUUUUUAUGCACAAACCUUAGUUUUGGUAUAGAGAUUGCUUGAUUCAAUGUCUUACUUAAUAUGAAAAUACUUGUUCAUUCUUAAGCAAUAAUCAAUCUUCAUCUUUUUAAACUUCAUUGUAAUAUCUUCUGAUCUAAUAUCACUAUCGUUGAUAUUAGGUUGAGUUAUCUUAUAUAUGUUGAAGGAAUCACCAAUACAUCACCAUUAAAAUUAAUUUGGACCAAGACUUACUUUUUCUUGUCAUUUAAAAUCUAUUUACAGUUUUUCAUCUUUGAAAACAAAUCCAUCAAUCAUUUUCAACCAAGUUAUUGUUAAUUUAAUUUCUCUUGAGUUUUUUUGUUACCUAGCUUAAUUUUCAAAUCUAGCUCUCUGUGGAUAUUACCUCGAUCUUACUGAGUUAAUUGCUACAUCGCACACUCGUGCACUUGCGAGUUAAAACAAGUCGAACAUAAAAAGCGGUCAAGCAAUAUACAAUCUGCUGCCUCCGUGGACGUACCCGGUUUUGGGGAACCACGUAAAUCUGCUUGUGUUGUGUUUUAUUUGUGUUUGCUUUCGGUCCAGUAUGCACAACAAAUUGGUAUCAGAGCAUUAGGGAAGCUUAAACACAGAAAAACACAUUUUUCAGCUCUCUGUUCAAAGUUGCAGAAUUUUCAAAUUUCUCAGAUCUUGAUUUUGAUCAGCUGCGGAGAUUCCUCUCGUUGAUACAAGUCCGGAGAUAUAAAGAUCAUCGAAAUCGGAGUUGAAACGAGCCCUGUAGAGCUCGUCGAAGUUUCGCCUGAAAUCUGCUGGAAAAACCAAACAGUGCCGGAAUUCUCGCCUUAGAAGACAGCCACGUCAUCCGACACGUAAGCGAUGAGUCAUCAUCCACAUCAUCAACAGGGGUCCACAUCGCCCUGUCAUCAGCCACAUCAUCUAACAGUGACAGAAUAUUCUCUUGACAUAGUAAGAAUAUUCCGUUAACAGUAAGAGAAUAUUCCCGUGACAAAAUAUUCUUUAUCAGAGACAGAAUAUUCCUUUCCUAAGUCAACUCGGUCAGAUUGGUUUUUUGGCCAACUCAGUGAUUUUUUAGCCUGUUUUUGGCCGAGUCAAGCUGGUUCCUAGCAUUUUCAACCAUUCCGGACGCGACCGUGGUGUCCGUUUUGUGAAACAGUACACAUCGAAGUUACUAUUUUGGCUCUUUUGAGCAUAAAAGUGCAUGUUUUAACAAUUUCAGGAGUCCAUUUGUAAUCCAAAGACGUUCUAAUGGCUGAUAUUCCAGAAGAAAAAUCAGCGGGGAAUGCUAGUAUACCUCCAUAAUACAUCCCGGUAUCAAGUACCAAAUUUGAGGUGGAGAAGUUUGAUGGGAAAGGUAAUUUUGGCAUGUGGAAAUGUGAAGUCAUGGAUAUGCUUGUCCAAAUGAAUUUGGAUUUCACUCUAGAAGAUAAACCGGAGGAUUUGGAUGAUAAAAGCUGGGAAAGGAUAAAUCGGUUGGCUUGUAGUUCCAUCCGACUUUGUCUUGUAAAGGAUCAGAAGUAUGCCUUUCCAGAACAAAACUCUGCAAAGGAAUUAUGGCAAGCACUGGAGGACAAGUUUAUGAAUAAGAGUAUAGAGAAUCGUCUCUACAUGAAGAAAAGGAUCUUCCGUUUUCAGCACAAGAAAGGUACUUCCAUGAAUGAGCAUCUGAAUGAUUUCAAUAAAAUGAUAGCUGAUUUGAAGAAUUUAGAUGUGGAAAUUGAUGAUGAAGAUAAAGCUCUGUUGUUAUUGAAUUCACUGCCUGACACAUAUGAACAUCUCGUCACCACUUUACUGNNNNNNNNNNNNNNNNNNNNNNNNNNNNNNNNNNNNNNNNNNNNNNNNNNNNNNNNNNNNNNNNNNNNNNNNNNNNNNNNNNNNNNNNNNNNNNNNNNNNAGAUUGUUCACAAGGAGUCAACGUCAGAAGCAUUGACAGUUAGAGGCAGAACAAACCCCAGAAGAUUUCGAGGACGAGGGAGAUCUCGCUCAAAAUCCAGAGGAGAAUCAUCAAACAGACGAUAUCUUGCAAAAGAUUAGUGUGCCUUUUGUCACAAAAAGGGCACUGGAAGAAAGAUUGUCCAAUCAAGGGCAGUAAGGAAAAAGAUGAACCAACUGUGAACGUUGCACGAGAUGAGGAUGAACAAGACUCUGCAUUCAUGGUCUCAUCACCAGAAAACCAUUCUGGUGAAUGGAUUCUUGAUUCUGCAUGUUCCUAUCACAUAUGCCCUAACAAGCACUUAAACUUGUCCUCCUCGUGCAUACAUACUUGUGCCUAUUUUUAGAGAAUGGGGUGUGAUCAGUCACGGUUCCUGUUAUUACUUCAGUUUCAGAACUUUUUUUUUCCUUCUCGUGCAUACAUACUUGUGCCUAUUUUUAGAGAAUGAUGGGUCAAGCCUGUUCAGGCCUCAAGUUUAAAUUGGUGUGUCCAAUCUUGUUUAUUUGAGAUGAACUGUUUCAAGCUUCUUGUGAAUUCUGGAAUAGACGGUUAUGCUUUGGUUUUAUUAAUCGUGAUGUUUGUGUUUAAUCAUGUUGUUCGUGUUUUGACAAAAUAUAAAAAAUGUUUUCUUGUGUGUUGCAUAUGUUUAAUACCCUAAUAUGUUUUUAAUGUUUUAUUUAUAUAAAAAAACAAAUAUUUGAAGUUUCAAAAAUAUGUUUUCGCAUGGAUUUCUUAAACACAACACAAAAAUUAUUUUCUUGCAUCUUGGAUUUUACAACAUGUUUGUAAAUUCCAAAGGGUGUUGGCCAAUAUUCCAAAAAUAUAAAAAUCUUAUUUUUGGGAAUUCGUUUUUAUUCACUAUUAAUAUUUGGAUAAAGAAAUCCCAAAAAGGAUAAAUAUCCAAAAUAUUAUUAUGAAUAAUUUGUUAUUCAUUAGUAAUGUUUGGAUAAAGAAAUUCCAAAGGGGUUAAUAUCCAAAAUAUUAUUAUGAAUAAUUUAUUAUUAUUCACCAUAAAUGUUUGGAUAAAGAAACCCCAAAAAGGGGUUAAUAAUCAAAAUAUUAUUGGGAAUAAUUCAUCAUUGUUCACUGAAUAUUUAGAUAAAGAAACCCCAAGUAGUAAAUAUCAAAAAUAUUUUUUUCUAGGAAUAACAAGUCAUUAUCCCUCAAUAAUAUAAGGGCAAAUAAACCUAUAAAAGGUAAAUGUCCAAAAUAUUUUUAAUAGGAAUACAACUUGUUUAGUUUUAACAUAAGGGCAGAUUUAUGCCUGAAAUUUUAUUUAGAACCAUUUAAUCGCACCUCUGAUUAGUACUUAAAAGUGCAUUUUUAUCAAGGUUUUAUAUCAUCAUUUUGCACUUGAAGUAUCAAUAACUCCUUAACUAAAGCAUGUUUUAUAAUAACAUAUCUAAUUAUAUAAGACACCUUUAAUUUAUGGUAAAUGUUCAUCUUAAAUGCAGGCCUAUCACAUAAAUGAAAGAAUUGAUUGAUGAGUUGAAAUACUGAAAUUGAAAGGACAAAGAGAUGGCCAAACUUAGAAAAGAGAUGCUAGUGCAGUCCAAACUGGAACACUGUUCGAUAAUUGGGUCAUAUCUGGAGCUGUAGAUCUUGUAUUUAGGUCCAUUUUAUAUGGAUGGAAAGAUAAGACAUAGGCCUAUAACUUUCAUGUGGAGCCCAAGAUUUAACAAGGCCGUUUUCAAGUCCAAAUUGUAGCAACAAAAAAGAAGUCUGAAUCUGUUCUACAGCCCAGACACUGUUCAGUGUUCAGCCCAUAUCUCAAGUUCUAGAAGUCCAAAUGAUCUCAAAUGUUUACCCUGGAAAGAUGAGACAAUUUCCUAGAACUUUCAUGAUUUAAGUUUGUUCAAAUUAUGACGUCAUAAAUGACGUUUUUGGCAGACAAGAAGAUAAGAAUUGUCACCAAGUCAAGAUGUGGCCACCCACUCAUCAAUUAGUCAGCAAAUCAAUAGUUCUGAAUUUUGGCCUAUAAAAUGAGGCAUUUGCCAUGUAUUUAGGCAUCUUGGUUUUCAGAUCAAGAUCAUGCUCUUGCUCUCUCUUUAUAUUUUGUAAUGCUUAAGUUUUGCUUAUAUUAAUCUCUUGCUUAUGCUUUUCAUUUCCUUUCCUUGUUUAUUUAUGUUUCUCUCUUUCAUUAUGUUUAACUAAGUUAAUUAUGUCAAGGUGAAAAGGGUACACUAAUGGUGUAAGAAUAAGUAUAAUAUAAACUUAACAUGGACCUUAAUGUUGGAUACUAACAUGCUUUAUAUUUGUUAUCUUGUUCACUUUUAACACUUUGCUUGUUAAAUGGUUAAUCUAGAUUUAUGUUGUAUAACACUUGGUACAACAAAUACUUGGCACUUUCAUAGCCCAUACUGUAUGGUAUAACCGACACCUGAGCUAUGAAAGGAACUUGAUUUGUUGUUAACAUAAGUUAUAAUAAUGAAUGCCUGAAAACAUUUACAAGUAUUAGCAUUAUUCGAAUAAGAUAACUAAUGUAAUCAUUUUAACAAUUUAUAAUCCGAUUGGAACCUCCUUUGUGUGUGGUUUCCAGUUGAGUAGAGUUUAUACUAUACUUGUUUGAAAUACCAUUAGUGGAUCCUCUAACCUUGACAUUUGUUGUUAUCAUUGUUUAAUCCUUACGUUAAUCUUCCAUCUCAAAAGUUCUCAUCAAUUUCUUCCUCUUCUUCUUCACUAUUAUUAUUAUCACUGUUAUUAUUAUUGUUGUUGUUGUUGUUGUUGUUGUUGUUGUUGUUGUUACUUUUGUUUUAUUGUUAUCUAUAAUUUAUACAAUUAACCUCCUUGUGGUUCGACCCCGGUCUUGCCGGGUUAUUUAUUACUUCGACACUUCUGCACUUGGGAGAAGACAUCAAUCUUUUGGUCGUGUCAAGUUUUUGGCGCCGUUCCCGAGGAGGUAAAUUCUUGUACAAAUUAUAGUAUUUAUUUUAUUUUACUUUUUUACUUUUCUUGUAUUUAACUUUGUUUCUUUGGUGUUGUUUCUUUUUCUUUUGUUUUCUUCUUCCUUUUAUUCUCUUUUUACACGUGCAUGAGAGUGUGGUCACGUACAUUAAGUGGUAGACUUUGUAGGGUAUCCUCAUCAUUUUCAGAAAAUAUGGCUGAAGAAGAUAACCAAUCGCUUCAUAAUGAGAAUAAUGAGAAUAUUCGGGUUAGAACUCUUAGAGACCACAUGAAUCCCACAAGAACAAGUGCACCCUCAUGCAUAGUUUUUCCUCCUGAUGCAUCUCAUUUUAAUUUUAAGACAGACAUUAUUCAACUUUUACCAUCUUUUCAUGGCUUAGAUUUAGAAAAUCCAUACUUGCAUUUAAGGGAAUUUGAGGAGGUUUGCAACACGUAUAAUGACUCAAAUUGUAGCAUGAACACCAUUAGAUUGAAGCUUUUUCCUUUUUCAUUAAAAGAUAAAGCUAAAACAUGGCUACAAAAUUUGAGACCUGGAUCCAUUCGUGCUUGGGAUGAAAUGCAACAACAAUUUUUUAAGAAGUUUUUUCCAUCCCACAGAACAAACUCUUUCAAAAGACAAAUCAUUACUUUCUCUCAAAAACCAAGAGAAACAUUUUACCAAUGUUGGGAUAGGUAUCGAGAAUUGCUUAAUACUUGCCCCCAUCACGGUUUUGAAACAUGGAGAUUAGUUUCACAUUUUUAUGAAGGGUUAACUCCUAGAGAUAGGCAAAUGGUUGAAUUGAUGUGCAAUGGAACUUUUGAGGAUAAAGACCCUAAUGAAGCAAUGGAGUACUUAGAUUUGCUAGCUGAAAAUGCACAAAAUUGGGACACCACAGGUACUUAUGAGGCACCAAGUAAAACCCAACCUCAUACAUCUAGUGGGGGUAUGUACAACCUUAGGGAAGAUCAUGACCUCCAAGCCAAGUUUGCAUCUUUAGCUAAAAAAGUCGAAGCGCUAGAAUUGAAAAAGAGUGGUCAAUUAAAAUCUGUUCAAGACAUUGCAUGUCAAAUCUGUGAAACCAACGAACAUUCAACCAAUGACUGUCCAACCUUGCCUUCUUUUAAAGAAUGUCUCCAUGAACAAGCCCAUGCAUUAAACAGUUUUCAACGGCCCAACCAUAACCCAUAUUCGCAAACAUAUAACCCUGGUUGGAGAAAUCAUCCAAAUUUCAGUUGGAAGAGUGAGAACAAUAAUGCUCAAACUUCACAGCCACCGUUUCAAGCACAUCAUAAUUUCCAAAAUUCUCAUAGAUAUGCACCUCCUUAUGCUCCACCUCCUAGAAGAAAUCUUGAGGAAACAUUGCAUGCAUUUAUGGAAAAGCAAGAGGCAAUUAACACUCAACUUGCUCAAAGCAUGACAGAUUUUAAAGAUACUCUGGCAAAAUUGACAUCUGCUCUCAGUUUCCAAGAGAAAGGUAAGUUUCCAUCUCAACCACAACAAAAUCCAAAGGGGCAAUACAAUGUGAAUGCAAGUAGUUCGGGAAGCCAACACAUGGAUCACGUAAAAUCAGUCAUCACUCUUCGCAGUGGUAAGGUUAUUAAAAAACCCAUUCUUGAACCUUGUGAGAAUGAUGAUGAGUCAAUCUCUCUGAGGGUAAGGAAGGGGUUGAAUCUGAUCAUUGCAAAGAAAAGACUGAUUCUCCGCCAGCACUUCCAUUUCCUCAUGCCAUGACGAAACAAAGGAAAGUCAAUCACAACUCUGAAAUUUUUGAAACCUUCAAACAGGUAAGGAUCAAUAUACCUUUGCUGGAUGCUAUUAAACAGGUUCCUUCUUAUGCUAAAUUUUUGAAAGAUCUGUGCACUGUGAAGAGAAAACUGAAUGUGAAAAAGAAAGCCUUUUUAGCCGAACAAGUAAGUGCCAUUCUUCAGAACAAUAAUGCAUUGAAAUAUAAAGACCCUGGUUGUCCUACAAUUUCAUGCUUUAUUGGAGAACAUAAAAUUGAAAGAGCUUUACUUGAUCUUGGAGCUAGUGUGAAUUUACUUCCAUAUUCAGUUUUUCAAAGUCUCAAUCUAGGUGAGUUAAACCAACUUCUAUAACUCUUUUACUUGCCGAUAGAUCUGUAAAAGUGCCUAGAGGAAUAGUUGAAGAUGUGUUAGUACAAGUUGAUAAAUUCAUUUAUCCUGUGGAUUUUAUUGUCUUGGACACACAACCUAUUGAAGCAUGUAAUUCAUUUCCUGUUAUUUUAGGGCGUCCAUUUCUUGCAACUUCUAAUGCAUUGAUUAAUUGUAGGAAUGGACUGAUGAAGCUAUCAUUUGGGAACAUGACAUUAGAGAUGAAUAUUUUCAACAUUUGCAAGCAACCUCGAGAUGAUAAUGAUUUACAAGAAGUAGAUUUUAUUGAAGAAUUGGUUUAUGAUCAAUUUGAAUCUACUUUGAGUAAUACUGAGUUUGAUGAAUUUGAAGAUUUGCAAAUGACUUAUUCUCAGGAAGAAAUCACGGAUGAAAAAGGCAUUGAAAAUGUUGAUGCGAAUCUUUUGUCAAGAGUGACAACAGAUUCGAUAUCUGACAUCACACCAACCGAUGAUUACUUUCCUGACAAAUCCUUACUUUCUCUUAGUUCAAUGCCUUGGUUUCCUAAAAAUAUCAAUUUCCUUGCCUCAGGAGAUUUGCCAACUCAUUGGAGUACCGAAGACAAAGGUAAGUUUUUGAACGAAGUGAAGAAAUUUUAUUGGGAUGACCCUAACUUAUUCAAACAUUGUCCUGAUCAAAUAUUUCAAAUAUGCAUUGCGGACAAUGAGGUAAGUAGUGUCAUUAAAUUUUGUCAUUUUGAAGCAUGUGGGAGUCAUUUCUCGUCAAAAAAGGCCAUUGCAAAAAUCUUUCAAACUGGAUUUUAUUGGCCCACCAUGUUCAAGGACACACAUGCAUUCUGCAAAACUUGUGAAAAUUGUCAAAAAGUUGAUACUGGUCAAAAAGUUUUGCUUUAUAAUUCUCAACUCCAUUUAUUUCCUGGAAAGUUAAGAUCAAGAUGGAGCGGUCCAUUUAUUGAGAAACAUGUGUAUCCUUAUGGGGUCUGUGAUAUCGCGAAUCCAAAAAAUAGCAAUGUUUUCAAGGUAAAUGGACAUCGUUUGAAAGUCUACUUUGAUAAUUUUUCAGUUGAAAAUGACUCUAUUGAAUUGAGUGAUCCUGUAUAUAAAGAUUGAUUCGUUUUAUCACAUUGUUUUGUGUUUCAUUUUGCUAGUUUCUCUCACCCCGGUCAAAAGGCGGAUAACGGUACUCCGUGACUUAAGUCGGUUCUUUCAGUUUCUCAUAAUAACUGAUAUUUGUAUAUAUUUGUGCAAUUCUUUGCUCUUUCUCCAUUCUUUGACUCUGUUCUCCAAUUCUCAUUUGAAAAUGGACACCACUCUUGAAAAAUUGAAAAAGUAUUUUCCCGCUCUGCCUCAGAAUGCGAUUACAAAAAUUUACCGUGCUAGGUGUGCAAGAUUGAAGUUGUUGAUGAAUCAUGGAAUUCCUGAAGAUAUUCGCUGGCUGAUUGAAGCAAAGGUCCGAUUAUUAGGUGAGUCCUCCAAUUCUUUCAUUUCACACAUGCCUGGAACAGGUAAAAGCACUUUUGCAAAGAAACGUCGUGCAAAACGACUGAAAGUCUGUCACAAAUGUGCCAGAUGGACUUGCAAUGCAACAUGUCGUUCUUUAGGAAUGGUAUCUAUAAACCGUGAAGAUAAAAUACAAUUCAUUAAGGAUGGCCUGAGUAAGGGGUCUUUAGAUAAUCUUUUGUUGACCCUUGAGACGCAUCCUAGUGGAGAUGUGCAUCGUGCAAUUCAUGAUUUAUAGCCCCAUUUUCAUAAAGAACAUGAUAGACUCAGUCUUGGGAAUCUGACUAAAAAAGACCUUGUUUGCCACUUUUUAAGAAAACUGGAUGGGAAGCCUCUCCCCGACCCAUAGAGGGCGUUUAAGCCGUUCUUGGACAUAAAACCAAGGGAAGAUGUGAGCCACAAUCACAACUACCUGUACAUACACAUUCUUUUUCAAAAUAAAUAAAUAAAAUAUAAAGAGAGAGCAAGAGCAUGAUCUUGAUCUGAAAACCAAGAUGCCUAAAUACAUGGCAAAUGCCUCCUUUUAUAGGCCAAAAUUCGGAACUAUUGAUUUGCGGACUAAUUGAUGAGUGGGUGGCCACAUCUUGACUUGGUGACAAUUCUUAUCUUCUAGUCUGCCAAAAACGUCAUUGAUGACGUCAUAAUUUGAACAAACUUAAAUCAUGAAAGUUCUAGGAAAUUGUCUCAUCUUUCCAGGGUAAACAUUUGAGAUCAUUUGGACUUCUAGAACUUGAGAUAUGGGCUGAACACUGAACAGUGUCUGGGCUGCAGGACAGAUUCGGACUUCUUCUUUGUUGCUACAAUUUGGACUUGAAAACGGCCUUUUUAAAUCUUGGGCUCCACAUGAAAGUUGUAGACCUAUGUCUUAUCUUUCCAUCCAUAUAAAAUGGACCUAAAUACAAGAUCUACAGCUCCAGAUAUGACCCAAUUACCGAACAGUGUUCCAGUUUGGACUGCACCAGCAUCUCUUUUCUAAGUUUGGCCAUCUCUUUGUCCUUUCAAUUUCAGUAUUUCAACUCAUCAAUCAAUUCUUUCAUUUAUGUGAUAGGCCUGCAUUUAAGAUGAACAUUUACCAUAAAUUAAAGGUAUCUUAUAUAAUUAGAUAUGUUAUUAUAAAACAUGCUUUAGUUAAGGAGUUAUUGAUACUUCAAGUGCAAAAUGAUGAUAUAAAACCUUGAUAAAAAUGCACUUUUAAGUACUAAUCAACCUCCUUGGAAGAAGCCUCAAUUAUAAUUAGGGACAUUUCAAAUUUUGAUUCCACAAUUUAUGACCCAUGGAAAAUAUUAAUUGCUAAGGCAAAAAUGGGCUUUUAAAGUACCUUGAAUUUCCUUAGAUUUUGAACUUAGUUUUUUUUCUCUUCCUUGCGAUUUAUGAGUUGCGAACACUUGAAAUAUUAAGGGGAAAAUGAGCUCUUAAGCACAUCGAAUCUCCUUAGAUUUCUAUAUUAGCUGUCUCUAAAUUCAUAAAUUCUGAAUUUAUUUCAAAUCAAACAUAGACUUCGAGAGAUCUACCUCUUUGGCACUCUACAAACAUAUCUAAAGGUAUGAUCCGUAUUGGCCAAGGGUUCUUUCCCUUCGACUUUGAACCCAAGUUCGUCGUCAAAACAGACUUAUCCUAGGAAACUGAUGGGAUUAGAGAACAUCAACACCAUAGCAAUUAUAGGGCAAACCAAACACCAAGCAGCUUAUCUUAGGUAGGGCGUACUAGGGGUGCUAAAACUUUUCCUUUACGCAACCAGUCUCUUGCCUUAGAAUCUUUGAAAGACCAGUUAGGUUUCCUAGUGACCAUAAUACUAGGUGACGACUCCCUUUUUUUACAAAACAAAGACCCCAACAUUAAUCCCUGCUAUCAGGAAGGGUCGCCUCAACAUCGAGCUCUCUUGAGGGUACGACAAUAAUAAUCAUAAUGUUGAUUCUUUUAUCUCCUACUUAAUGCAAGUGUCCAUCGUGUGCUGAAAUUGAUUGUUUACCAUAACAUUUCUUUUAAAGGUAGAGAUUUCUUGGUUGACAAUGGAAAAAAGUAAUCGCAUGGUUAUUUUCCAUAACAUUCCUUUGAGUAAAUAUUCUCUAUUGGAGGUCAAUUUCAUCGAAGCAAUUACCUCAAUGAACACGUCCUAAUUACCAACCUCUAAGUAGUCAUCUCCCUUAUCCUAACUUUUUAUUUCCUUAUAAAAUCUCACGGUUUUUCAUCAUUUUCAGAGGAAAAGUUGACCUUGCAAAUGGUGCUCUAAGGAACCAAGUCAUCCUAGAACUAAUCAUCCACCUAAUCUCGUCAACUCCUUGUUGCACAAACAGCCUGUCUCACUUAAAGGGGAUUUUAAUGAUGAACAAACACAAAUUCCUUGUUGCUCAAAUACAUAUGCUCAUUUAAACACAGGAUGCUUGACCUCAUUAAAGACAAACUGACGACAUCCGUCCGUAACAUAAAUUAUCUUCCUUGCCCCAAAGUCAGCACAGAAAAACCUUGUUCACUAUAAAGGUUCUGAAUGUUUUUCCUAAAUUUCAUGAUAUGGCAUUCAGCAUUCUUAAGCAAACUACAACUGCAGAAGGCUUGUACAUGUAGGGGAGACGUAGGAAGAACUGCAAAAGUUGUCGCAUCUAUUGUUAUGCUGUUCAGAGUUUCUAUCUCAUCAUCCAAUCUGCCUAAAAUAUAAAAGAUCAUGUGCAUGAAUUUGAUCUCAAAGGGGUACCACCUCAUAUGCGUACAGGACAUACAUGACCAGUGAUGGUUGUUCUAUCCACAAAAUUAGCUAACAUACGACUAUUUUAUUCAACUACCAUUUCAGGAUAUGAGUUCUCCUAGCCACACUCAAAAGCCCUAGCCGCUAUAUGAACAAAGCACCUAAAAAAUUAAUCACCUGCCUAAUCUAAUUCACCCACACACACACACACACCCACCUGAUCAUAGACAGGAAACGAGUUAUUUGAAUGCAUAGACAGGAAAUUCAGGUAAACACGCGCGCGCGCACACACACACCUGAUCAUAAAUUUCCUAAAGAAAUUCUGAAUUGUAACAUUGGUAAACAAAGUGUGACAAUAUCAUCACAUUAAAAAUGCAUUUCACUCAAAACAAAUACUAGCUCAAGAAAAAAAAAUGCAAGAAGCCAAGAGAGAAUAAAUUAAGCAGUCCAUAAACAAGAGACAGAGAGGCAUUGUUCCAAUGAGAAAAGUAAUUAAAACCCAACAACUAAAGAAAGAAUCAAACCAGUGAGUAACUAAUCCUUUUAAAGCAUUCCAAGAAUGGCAACCAAAUGUAACAUAAUCAACCUGCAAAAACAAACACAAAAAGAAUUAGAAGAAGAAACCCCAGACCUCCACCACCAAAUCCACCUCCACCAAAUCCACCUCCACCACCAAGCCCGCCACCUCAUUCAUCCUCAAAAGAACCCUUUCUAGAACCGGAUUCUGUAACGCAUUGUCUUCAUUCUGACAGGAGGGGAUAUCAGUCACAAUUUGGAAAUCUAAUAGUUUGAAGGUUUCUGAAAACCGUCCUCAGACCUGUCAGCGUCGCUGGCCAAUUUCUCAUUCUUCCACCGUUGGAUUAACACGAAUUUUGGGUAAGUUGUGUGUCACUAUAGUUCCCACAUCCUGACCAGAGCGAUCGUUCAUAUUUGAAUCCACUAGAUAAAUCUUACCGUUUGAAGAUUUCUGGGCAAAUCACUCUCGGAACAGUCAGAAUCGCCGGCUUAUUUCUUCUUUUUCUACCGUUGGAUCCAUCUGAAUUUUGGAUAUGUGAUGCGUAUGGUCGUAUUACACAUUCGGAACGGUGGAGAUGACAUGAAUCGUUUCCAGAAAAGAGUUAUGCACGCUCAACAGUGGUCCAUCAAUCUCAGGUCAGUUUUGGUCUAACUCCGAUCUAGGGAGAUCCAACCGUUAACUGGAGCUGAUAUUUGGAUAUGUUCUGCAUAAGAUGUGUUUUUACCUUGUCACCGUUGCGAUUUGUUAUUUGUUGAAUUGUUGGUGAGUAAUUGUUGUUUGAAGCUCUGCACAGAAUCUAUCAUGGCUUCCAAUCCGAAACUUCAAACCCUCAAAGCUAACACCACCCACUCAAUCACUAAACAACCCACAAACCAUCACCAAAACAUCCAAAAUACAGCCUCCUCAACGUAGGUUAGGUUUCUAAAAUCCCACGAAUCAACAAACAAUCAAAAAUCCCUUUCCAAUAGUCACCUCCGCCUUGACUCAAGACAACAACCACCCCCUAAACACAUUCACAAUAUUCCUAGCCCAAAAACCCAGAAUAACCAUUCCUUUAACAUUUCAGUGCCACAAAUUUACUUUGAAGGUUUCCCAAUAUGGGCUGAUUACCAUCGCAUAAAGGCUUCUUUUAACAAGUUUGGCUAUGUACUCAAACUUUAUGUAUCCAGGCGUGUCAACAAAUCAGGGAGUCUUUUUGGUUUUGUAACAAUAGCAUCAAAAUUUUCUGAUAAAGUUUUGCUAGAGAGUGUGAAUGAUAUUUGGUUUGAAUAUCACAGACUAAAGGCCAAUUUCACUAGACACUAUAAAAAGAUUCCAAGAGAGAACAAAGCUCCUGACAGAUCAAAACCCAAAACAACUUUAAGAGUGCCUAUUAGUGAAAGAGAUGACAGAAGUUACAAAGAGGUACUCAGUGAAGGAAAAGUGGAACAAAUACUUCUGCCUGUGGCUUCUGGACCAAAGGAUUACUUUGAAAAACUCUUCAUUGAUAUUGAAGAAGAGGAUUAUGCUUGGCUAAAGAGAUGUCUUCUGGGAAAAAUAAAAAAAGGAUCCAAUUACUCUUCUAUACGUUUUGGACUGAUCCAACAUGAUAUAGAUUUUGUUGGACUGCGCUUUCUUGGGGCAUCUCAGGUCCUUGUGAUUUUUUAUAAUAGAGACAUAUUAAUGGAAUCAUGGAGGAAGAAUAAUAAAUGUUGGGAUGUAUUUUUUGAGGAAGUUCGCCCCUGGGUUGAGACUGACACAACUUUGAAUCGGAUGGCCUGGAUAACAAUAACAAAUCUACCCAUUAUAGGGUGGAAUUGCAGAUGCCUCACAAAGAUUUUAGAAAGAUCUGGUCAGAUGAUAGGUUAUGAUAAAACUACUCUCAAGCUUUUUGAACUAUCACAGUUACGGAUCCUCAUUGGUACACAACUGGAUAAGGUGAAUAAGGUGAUUGUUUUGCAACUCAAUAAUCAAACAUAUCAGGUUAAGAUAGAGGAGAUGGACCAGUUACAUUACCCAAUUGCUGGCUCUAUUUCAUACACCAUGGAUGACUUUCUGACAUCCCUAGAGCAAGGGGAUGAUGAUGAUGAGGAAGACUCGGUUGAUGUGGGUGAUGGCGUAGACACAGAUGAGGACAGAGCAGGUGUGGCUCCAUCAGUCACCAGGACUCUUGGGGGCGGCACCAACGGGUGGGAAAAUUCAGAUCUGGCACAGGAUGGAGACAUGCUAUCAACUUCUGACGAUAGCUCUCUUAUCAUAUUUAAUGCUCUUCAUCUGGAUGUGGUGCAAGAUCAACAUGCUGCCUCAUCUUUAGAGAGAUUUCCAGAAAUUAUGGCAUACAAUCUUUCUUUUUCUGACAGCAGCUAUAUAAAAGCAGCCCCAUUCCCAAUGCUCUUACCCUAUAUACGGGACAUGGCACUCCUAUUUUGAGAGAAGAUGCUAGAAACCCUGCAGCUGCCUUGGACCUUGACUCCCUUGUAUUGGCCCAGAUUGAAAGCCCAGUUUAUGGCAGUGGAUCUCAAAGCCCAUCUGACGUUCUCUCUAUUUCAUUUGGAUCAAACAAUGAUUUAGCCCUUCAAUCAACAUACAAUCAUCAAGCCAUAGUAAUUCUGGAACCGCAACACAUGAAUCACCCAGUUAUUUUACACUCUAAUGCAAACACAAAAGAGAGUGCAAUUGCCCUAUCUGCAAAAACAAGAAGGAAGUUGCGACGUACAAAGAUGAUUACAGCUGAUGGAAGUUUGAAUGAAACAGUUAAUAUGAGUGAGAUGGAUACUAAGGACUCAACAAUACAGAGGUGUAACAGGAGGAACUUGCUAGCUCAUGACGAAAACAAUAAGCCUUCUGAGGGUGAUGAGGUUUGUUUAAUGCUGGAAAUAGGAGAGGUUUUGCAGAUUGAAAAACCUCACAAUUUAGAUGACUUCACAUCCUAUAUAAAUCAGCAAAGGCGUAAAGAGAAGGCUGAUUGGGAAGCAUCCCAGUGAGUAGAUGUUCCUCUUUGUUCUGUAAGGAUUUUAAAUCUCUUUUCUUAUGCAGAUUCUUUCAUGGAAUUCUUGUGGUUUGGGGUUAGCUAGAAAGAAGAGGACAGUUUCAAAGUUAAUCAGGGAUUUUGAUAUAGAGGUUUGUUUUUUGUUUGAAACUAAGUUACAAAGUUACUCAGACAAAUUGGUUUUUCAAUUAUGGAGCGUCAGUAAUGUUUCUUGGUUUGGUAAUGAGGCUGAAGGUACUAAAGGGGGCAUUCUGGCUAUGUGGGAUAACUCUAAGUUUGCGGUAUCAUCAGUGGAGUAUGGUCAUGGUUGGAUCGGGUUAUUUGGGCAGAAUGUCUUGACAGGCUUCUCAAGGGCGGUGGUAGGUGUUUAUGCCCUUUGCAAUCAAGCUGACAGACUUCUUCUUUGGAAGGACCUUCGUAUUCUGAAGGCUGCUUUUGAGUGUCCUUGGUUUUUAGCAGGUGACUUCAAUGAAACUAUGUUGCGAAGUGACAGAAGCAGUGGCUUCAUUAACAAGGUGGGUUCAACGGCUUUUAGACUUUUUAUUGAUGAUUGCAACCUAAUCGAGUACAACAUGUCAGAGGGUCUGUACACCUGGUUUCGUGGGGGGUCCAUGAGUAAACUAGACCGUAUUUUUUCUAGUCCUUGUUGUCAUUUGCAAUUCCCCCUUUUGUCUCUUCGACGGCUUCCAAGAGGGUUCUCUGAUCAUUGCCCUUUAAUCCUAGGGGUUUCACCUGCAGAAAAAGGUUGGAUUCCUUUCAAAUUCAUGGAUUGUUGGCUCCAUCAUCCAAAUUUUAAAGAUAUCGUAAAGGGUAUAUGGGAUGAAGCUUGCAAUGAAUUUUCAGGUCAGUUCAAGCUCAUUAAGAAGCUCAGCUUUAUGGCAACUUGGCUCAGACAGUGGAAUAGGGUUGGUUUUGGGCAUCAGGAGACUGCUUUGUCAUUGAUCCAAAGCAAUAUUUCAGCUAUAGAAAAGAAAUCAGAGUAUGGGCAAUUAUCUACUGCAUAGCAGAACUCGCUUGAUUCAUUGAUUAAGAAGUAGUGGCAAUGUAACUUGCAUAUAGAAAGCAUGUGGCGUCAAAAGUCUCGCCAAAUUUGGUGUCGCCUGGGCGAUCGCAACACGCGUUUCUUCCAUCUAGUUGCUAACUUCAGGAGGGCUAAAAACCAUCUCCUGAAAGUGGUUCAUAAUGGUUCUGUUGUUGAAGGUUUACCGGUCAUAAAAGAUGCGGCAGUUAACUUCUUCUCCAACUUAUUCAGAAGUUUUGAUAGAUUCCGAAUUGGUUUAGGGCCUGUUGGUUUUAAAACACUAUCGGCUUCUUCUUCAGCUAGCUUGGAGCGAGAUAUCACUUUGGAAGAAUUAAAGCAGAGUGUUUGGGAUUUUGAUGGGAGCAAGAGUCCGGGUCCAGAUGGUUUCAAUUUCAAAUUCUACAGGCUUGCUUGGAAUUUCAUUGCAGAUGAUUUGUUAGACCUGGCCAAGAAUUUCUUCAAAACAGGUAGGCUUCCAAAAGGAGUCAAUCAUGCUUAUGUUCAUCUAAUUCCGAAGAUAGCUUCCCCAAUUGGCUUCAAAGAUUUCAGGCCUCUUAGUUUGAUUCAUGGCAUUUACAAGAUAAUGGCUAAGGUUCUUUCUAGCCGUCUGAAAGCGGUUAUGCAUGACCUUAUCAGUGAGAAUCAAACAGCUUUCUUGGCAGGGAGGCAAAUAAUUGAUGGGUUUGUGGUUGCCAAUGAAGCAGUUCAUUCCUUGAAAAGACACAGAGUGUCGAGCCUUAUCUUUAAGGUGGAUUUUCACAAGGCUUUCGAUAGUGUGCAGUGGGAUUAUUUAGAGCAGGUUAUGAGGCAUAUGGGUUUUGGUGAAAAAUGGAUUAAUUGGAUCAACACUUGCAUCUCCACUGCAAAAUUAUCAGUGCUGAUUAAUGGAUCUCCUUCUAAGGAAUUCUUGAUGGGUCGUGGGAUUCGCCAAGGUGACCCCCUUUCUCCAUUCCUUUUUCUAAUAGCAGCAGAGGGAUUAUCUGUUUUGUUUCAAAGAGCAGCUUCAAAUGAUCUUUUCAAAGGUAUCCCUUUUGGAGACAGCUUUUGCCUUAGUCACCUACAAUAUGCAGACGACACUUUGAUCUUCAUGCCUGCUAAUCUUCAUAUGGUCAAAACGGUUAAAAGGAUCCUGUUAUGGUUCGCUAUUUGUUCAGGUUUGCACAUUAACUUCCAUAAAAGCUCUUUAAUUGGCAUAAAUGUUGGGGAAGAUACUUGUGCUAGUAUGACAUAUUCAGUCUUUUGCAGAUUUGAUUCCUUGCCUUGCUCUUAUCUAGGCAUGCCUUUAGGAUCCAAUCCUAAAAGAUUGUCUACAUGGAAGCCUAUUAUUGAGAAUUUCAGACGGAAGUUGAGCAUGUGGAGAGGUCGUAUGCUUAGUAUGGCAGGACGUAUUUGCCUAAUCAAAAGUGUCUUGAGUUCAUUGCCAGUAUAUUAUAUGUCUUCUUUUCUUAUGCCGAAAGGUGUCUGUAAUAUACUACCAUCUAUUCAACGAAGAUUCUUGGGUCUGAGUGGCGAAGCAAAAGAAAAUCUGCAAGGUACAAUGGCGUAUUGUUGUGAAAGCUAGAAAAGAAGGAGGCCUCGGGUUGGGUUCUUUAAUGUCAAAAAAUAUAUCCAUGCUUUUCAAAUGGAUAUGGAGGCUAAACUUACCAGACCAUGCCUUAUGGAAACAGGUAACAACCCAUUUUUACUCCCCAACUUUCGAGAAUGGAAUCCCAAAAUUGCAUGGUCAUAUUUCCCCAUUUUGGAAAGACAUUUUGUCAAUCUUGGAUCCAAACAGUGUCAUCGGCUUAGUAUUGCGUGAAAACAUUAAAUUCAAGAUUGGAGAUGGAUCCUCCAUCCUUUUCUGGUCUGACGUGUGGAUAGGAUCAAAUGCUUUACGUUGCAUUUUCCCUAAGCUUUACCAAAUUUCUACUUUUCGGAAUGGUUUGGUUAAUGAGAUGGGUCAAUGGGUGAAUGAUCAAUGGCGAUGGAAUUUGGUUUGGCGUAGGAAGCUCUUAUCUUAUAAAGAGCAACAAUAUCAUCAUUUGCUCUCAAUGCUGGAGCCAACGAUAAUUCGGCAAGGAAAAGAUGACAAACUUAUAUGGCCAUGCAAUUCUGAUGGAAGCUUCUCAGUUAAAUCGUGUUGCACCCUGAUUGACAAUACCUCCUCUGCGACUGAUAGAGUCUUUGAAGCCAAUGUUUGGAUUAAAGGGGCCCCUCUGAAAGUUCAGGUGUUUCUCUGGUUGGCAGUACAAGACAAAGUUAGUACAAGAGCUUUUCUCCAUCAACGGACUAUUUUGUCUGCCACACAAGCUUCAUGUGUCUUUUGCAGCUCAAAUUUGGAAACCUCAGAGCAUCUUUUUAUACAUUGUAACUUUUCUAUGAGUGUUUGGAUGAAAGUUUUGGAUUGGUGGGGUAUCCAAUGUUGUUUACCGAGAACACUUGACUUGCUGCUUCUGCAGUGGCCCGAAAUGGUACAAGGCAAAUUCCAAAGAUCAGCUUGGAGAUUAAUUUCAAGUAGUACUAUUUGGGGUAUAUGGUUACUGAGGAACAAAAUUGUUUUUGAGGAGGGAACUAUAAACUUGUUUGAUUGUUUCUCCACCAUCCUUCAUCGGGUUGCUAUUUGGUUGCAUACUCAUGAUUCAAACUUCAAUUAUACAGGCAAUGACCUCUUAAGAUCUUCUGAUGGCAUCAAAUUAUGGUGUAAUAAGAAAUCUUAGGUAGUCUUCUUGUUGUUUGCUGUAGUAGAUCAGUUUUUUUCUUUUUUCUUUUUUUCUUUUUUAUAUCCCUUGUAUUUCUCUUUGGCUAUUCGCUUUAUGGCCUUCUCAAUAUACUCUCGAUGAUUAUAAAAAAAAAGAAGAAGAAACCCCAUUAGUUAAUAAGUUAAAACAGCAGCAGCAGCAAAAAGACUCAAAUUUUAGUUAUUUGGACUUGAGAAAAAGCAUUGAACCCUCUGUGAAAAUGCCAUGAAAGGGGUGCUUAGAAACCUGGAAAAUAAAAACUUUUAAAAGGGUGUUUUUACAAAGCAAGAAAGAAGCUUGGAAGCAAGGAAGCAAGCCAGCCUACCCUCACGAACUCUGUUUGUUAAUUGUUUUUUCUCCUUUAAAGUGAAAACAAAAAAAUAAAAAACAAAAACAAAGAGCACCCAGAAAAUCUAGUCAGAAAUAUUUUAUGUUGCUGUCUUGGAGAGACGCAUUAUAUUACAUAACAAAAUGAUAAAUUCAUUCAUUACAAAAAGAUACCCAACAAAAUAUAAGAAAACUAAUCUACUGUUCAACCCGAUAGGGGGAUGUACCUGAAAAUUGAUUUAAUACAAUAAUUCAAUUAGACAGAUGAAAAAAAGAUAUCCAUAAAAUUCUUUCUACUUUCUUUCUUUCUUCCUUUUUUUUUUUUUUGAAAAUUUAGUCAAAAGAUCAUUAAAUUAACUUGCUCAUCUAGUAUUGUAUAUAUAUAUCAAUUAAAUUUCAGAAUAAUCUAUGAGUUUGUUUUCUUUUUCUUUUUUCUUUUUUAAUAUCAACCAAAAAUAUAAUUAUUUCUAUCGCUCAAUUAACCCGGCAUUACUUUCACUAAUAGAUGAUUAAUUUUCCACCAGUCCAUUCAACAAACACUAUUGUCAUCAAUUCAAAAAUUAGUUUAAUGUUUCAUCCAUUCAUCAGGUAAAAAUCUCAUUAACCAGGGAAAUUAAUUCUUCAUCUUGCCCAUUUGUCAAGGCACUAAUUCCAUUAAAUCAGGAAUUAGUUCAAUGAUUUACCUAUUCACCAGGUUACUAAUCCCAUUAACCAGAGACUUAAUUCCUCAUCAUGCCUAUUCACCAGGACAUUAAUCCCAUUAAUUCAGGAAUUAGUUCAACGAUUUGCCCAUUCACCAGGGCAUCAUAAUUUCUUAUCACGCCCAUUCACCAGGGCAUUAAUUUCUUAUCACGCCCAUUCACUAGGGCAUUAAUCCCAUUAGUUCAAGAAUUAAUUCAUCACAUCGCAUAUCUUAUUUUCUAAAGUAAACAAUAUAAUAAUUUCAUAUUUAUCAACCACAAUUAAUCAAAUAAAAAUACAUAUUGACCAAUAAUAAAUUCGAGUACCGUGUAAUUACCUGAUGACUAAGCUCGAGUUGAAAUUUCCUGCUGUGGUGUCGGCCUGGCAGCCUCUCUUGAAUUGAAAAGUAUAUCACAUCAUUAUUCUACUUUCCAUAUUGAAACACUCAAUAAAUAAAAUCAUUCCAAUUAUCCUUUUAUUUGCCAAAAUAAAAUCAUUUCGUAAGUUUCCUUCCCUAUCUUUCAAUUUCCACAUUGUAACACAAUUCAUUUUAUCAUUCAAAUCAAUAUAUAUANNNNNNNNNNNNNNNNNNNNNNNNNNNNNNNNNNNNNNNNNNNNNNNNNNNNNNNNNNNNNNNNNNNNNNNNNNNNNNNNNNNNNNNNNNNNNNNNNNNNCUUUAAAUUCAUUUAUUUAAUUUUUACCAUAAUUUAAAUCAAAGAAAAACAUAAAACAAUUUCAUGAUCUAUUCACUCUUUAACAUUAAUAUCAUGCUCUUUCUUACACAAUCUCAUCAUCUUAUCAAAACUCUUAAAUUUUUAUUUUUCUUAUUAUUAUUUUUCCAAAAAUCCCUUCUUCAAGAACACCUAAAAUUUUGCUUUAAUUACCAUAAUUUCUUACUUUUUCUACUCAUUUCAAUAAUCUUAACACAAUUUCACAAUCAAUUGUAAUUUUCUCUAAAAUUUAUCAUGAACCCUAAUUCCUCAUUUCACAAAGUUCAAUCAAUUUAAAGCAUAAAUUCUUCAAGAAUCUUAUUUAAAAGUUUGAGUACAUCUUACCAAGCAAUAACCAAAGUUUUAACACUUUUAAAUUGAGAAAUUUUCCUUGCUUGAAUUUGUUUUUUCUCUCCUGGCCGAUUGCUUCCUUCUCUUUGAAAAAACAAGUUUGUUUUUUUUUUUUUUUUGUUUACUUAUAGCACACACUCACUUGCACUCAUAUAUAUAUAUAUAUAUAUAUAUAUAUAUAUAUAUAUAUAUAUUAACUCUCUUUUUUAAAUACCUUCCACGUCCCUCAAUUUGUUUCUUCCCCAUACACACAUAUAAUUACUUAACUUUUUAAAAAUACCUUCUAUAUUCCUCAAUAGUAAAUUUUAUGAUUUUUGGGUAAAAUUUCAUGAAUCCUAACACCUGUUUAUACCAAAUUUUAUCCAGAUUAUUUCAAAUUUCACUCAGUUACUCGUUAGUACUUUCAGUUUCAUGAAAUUCAUUUCCAUCAAAAUUUUAUUCACAUUUUCAUGUUUAUUUAUUUAUAUUUAUUUUUUAUAUAUAUUUUAACACCCGAACAAAACAUUUCAAUUCAGAUUCUCGAAUAUAUCAUCAUUCUUAUAAUUUAAUUUAUCACUUUCCCUCAUUUUUCGUAAUCUUGACUUUUAUUAAUAUUAAUAAUAUUACCCGGGGUUUUACAGUCUCAGUUGACACUGAUUUUCGCCAUAAAAAAUGGUCGAUUUUUGUUUUAAUGAGUUUCAUUUGAUGAAGAGAGUUCCAUUGAAAUGUUUUUUGCUCUUGAAAUUGCCAAAACAUUUAUAGUUUUUGGGCUGUUUUAUUGGUUUAUUACAUCAUAAAAACGAUUUUUAGGUGUUUUGGUGUGAACUUUGUUUAAAUUUGCAUUUUUUGGUCAAAAACCACCAUGCUUAAUUUUCUAGUCACCUCUCCAAUGGCCAAGAACUGAAAAGUCUCGGUAGGUGACAUGUCGCUUUUCUUUAUUUUUUUUUCAAAAACAUUUGGAGGAUUUUCAAAUAAAAAAGGCCCAUACGUACCAACCCUUUUUAAAAUGGGCUUGAUGUGUAGGCCCGACUUACUAGGCCCAAAAGCACUUGAUCUAUUUCUAUUUUUUUUUCUAAUUUUGUUUUCUUAAUUGAUAUUUUUUAUGUAUUUUUAAUGAAUUUUUGAAUUUAUAUUUAAAUUAAUACUUUUCUCUCUAAAUAUUUAGAUUGUUUAUUUAGUUUUUUCUAAAUAAUGGAUAUCUUUUACUUAUCUUUUAUGUAUUUAAUAUCUAGAAAAAAUUAUUUCAAUUCAUCUAUAUGUUUUUUUAUAUAUUUUAUAUAAAUAAACUUUAUUUUCAUGACGUGUUUAUAAAAAUAAGAAUUAUUUGUUCUUGGUAAGAAAAAGUGACCUUUAAGAUAAAAAAGAAGAAGAAGGAGAAAAGUGUGCAUGAAGAUGAAAGUUAAGGUUAAGUAUCAUAUUUAUGUAUCUUUUACUUUUAUGAAAAUGAUUAUCAUUUUAUUUUAUAAUUUGAUUGGCAUUAACAACUCUUUAUUAGUUUAUUAGUUCAUAUUUUUGUAAGAUUGUUUUUUACAUUUCUUAAUUAAGAGAAUCAUAAUACAAUGAAAUGCACUUGAAACAAUGUCCCAUUUUUCUACUACAUUAAAAAUUAACUUAAGAUCCUAUAUGUGGCACGAUGCGUUAACAACUAUUUUUUAUAUUUAUGAACACUUAUGGUCCUUACUUUAUUUUUAUUAUAUGUAAAUAUCAACUUUUUUAUUUACAAUUAUAAUUUUCUCUUGAUUUUUAAAAAUACGUUAACAACAUUUAUAUAUAUUUUUUUUUGCGUUCAAAAAAUUAUCUAACUCGUAGCAAAGUGAAUUAAAUAAAUGCAUCAACACUUUUUUUUUUGUAUUUAUGAUUAGGAUUUGUUUUUGUUAAAAAUGCAAUUGAAAAGCAUACAAAUUUAUUUUUUGCUAAAAACAAUUUUGUGAUCCAUACCGAAGUGCGAGUUAAAUAACUACGUAUAUGGCUAUAGUAAGUCUUUUAGUAUAUGUGGAUGUAGGAAGCAAUGCGUUAUAUUAUUAGUUAGAUAUAACUUACCUAUUCAUUAUUAAAAAAAACAUAAAAUAAAUAAAUAUAUUAAUAGAAACCUAAAAGAGGUCGGCUGAAAUAUAAUAUUUUUGUCCUUUUUUUUAUUUUGUUUCACAUUUCUCAAUUAAGAGAAUCAUGAUACAAUAAAAUGCAUUUGAAACACCAUCCUAUUUUUCUAUUAAAUUAAAAAUUAACUUCCUGAUGCAACCAUAUUAUUCGAUAGUUUCACCCACAUUUAACUAGUGUUUUGCCUAUGUUUUAUAUAUAAAAUGCCUUGAUAUUCUUUGUUUUAUGUUUUGAAGGCACUUUUGGAUGAAAGAUGCAAAAAGGAGUAAAUUGGAGAUAAUUGGCAGAUUUGACCUUCAGUCGAUGUUUUGUGCAGAGCGUGAGCUCUAGAGGUUGAAAUGAAGUGAUUCCAGUGGCAUUAAAAAGCUAACAUCCAUACCUUUCUGGAAAUCUAAGGCAAGAAAAUAAAAUAAGGAAGAGCAUGGAAAUCACAGCCUUCAAAGUCAAAACAGAUUUGCUUUCUUUUUCCCUUAUCUUUUAUUUUUCGCAUUUUACUUUAUUUUUGUCAUUCUUCAAUAUUCCUUUUCUUUUAUUUCAACAUUGAGGACAAUGUUGUGUUUUAAGUGUGGGGGUAUUGGGAGAAUGUUGGUUUUCUAAUUUUGGUUUUCUUUGUUAUUUUUCAAAAUAAAAAAAAAUUAUGUUUGAUCUUUUGAACUCCCAUUGGUUUUUGAGAAUAUGAGUAUUAUGUAUGAGAAUUAGUUGAGAUAGAUGAAGAUAUAAAUAAAAUGAAUGAGUGUGCAUGCAAGUUUUAAGGUUUAAUUGGUUUAGGGAUUGACUUUGAGAAUCUGUCAUGUUGACUUUAUAGUGUUAUACCAAUGCAAGCUUUUGAGCCUUCAACAUUAUAUUCUUUUAUUGUGCCUUCUUUCAAUGAUAUGUAUCUUUAGAACUUGUUUCAUAUCUUGUUGAGAUUACAUUCAUAUUACAUAUAUACAUGAAGAUAAUAAAGGCAUUAGGAAUUUUAACCACUUGAGCCAAAAAGCCAACCUAAAGCAUAUUAUCCUUAGUGAGCCCCUUUUGAGCUUGUUUAUCUUUUCUUUGCUUUAUCCAUGUAUAAGCCUUAACUUUUUAUAUGUUUUCCUUUUCCCCUGGCCAAGGAUUAGUAGAGCAUAUACUUAUGAUAUCUCAUGGAAUUAUGGUUGGAAAUUAUGCGAAAAGAAAGAAGAAGUGAUGCUUGAUGAAAAGAUGGGCAAAGUUGCCGAAGGUCAAAAAAAAAAAAGGAAAAAAAAAGAAAAAAAAGAAAAGAAAAAGAAAAAGAAAAAAGUGUUCCUUUAUGUUCUUAAUAUUUUAUAUUGAAAAAGCUUGAAAUCAAAAGAAGUUAAGCAUUGGUGAUUAAAGAUGGAAAAUUUAUGUGCUUUGAUGGAAUAUCUUGUUUGAAAUAUCAUUUUUCAGAAUGCUCUACUUUCUUUGGUUUGAACCUUUUGUUUUACUCUCUUUUACCUCACCUUAACCUUAGCCCCAUUACAACCAGAAAAUAAGACCUUUUGAUUCAUGCAUUGUUUGUAAUAUGUUAUUAAUGGGGAUGAGAUUGAAGAGCAAGCUUAUGGUAGAACAUAUUCAUUGAUUGAAUUUGAGAGAUUUAAACACAUAAGCCCUAAACACGUGAGUGUUGGAGUAUAUAUCAAUGAGAGGACCUAUCACUUUGGCAUGGCAUAGAUUUCAUUUAAAUCUCGACGAUUAAUUGACUUUUGAAGUUUGCAUGUAAAUAAAUUCAUGAAAAUUUAUACUCUUUAUCCUUCUUAAUUGUGUUCUUGUUUAUAAUGCAUAUAUUCUUGGAUAUUGAUGGGAGAUUAGAAGAUUAGUCAUAGUGAUUUCAUUUAAUUUAACUUCAAUUUGAUUUUACCUAUCCUUUCUCGAGGACGAGCAAGAGCUAAGUGUGGGGGUAUUUGAUGCAACCAUAUUAUUCUAUAGUUUCACCCACAUUUAACUAGUGUUUUGCCUAUGUUUUAUAUAUAAAAUGCCUUGAUAUUCUUUGUUUUAUGUUUUGAAGGCACUUUUGGAUGAAAGAUGCAAAAAGGAGUAAAUUGGAGAUAAUUGGCAGAUUUGACCUUCAGUCGAUGUUUUGUGCAGAGCGUGAGCUCUAGAGGUUGAAAUGAAGUGAUUCCAGUGGCAUUAAAAAGCUAACAUCCAUACCUUUCUGGACAUCUAAGGCAAGAAAAUAAAAUAAGGAAGAGCAUGGAAAUCGCAGCCUUCAAAGUCAAAUCUCGCAAUCUGCCAGUGUUGACCUUCGGCCAUUCCGACUUGAAUAUCUGGAGCUACAGAAGUCCAAUUGAUGCAAACUCAAUUGUUUUGGAUUCAUGUCUCAAAGGUCUAUAAACGCUCCACAUUUCAGCCCAAACCGAUUUCAUAUGAGGGAGAUAUGAUUUUUCAAAGAUGACAACUGAAUUCUGCCAGCAAACAGGUUUCGUGAAGAAACGAGUCCAAAUUACGUUCCGAAGCAUCUAAACCGAUAUCCAAGUUUGUAUUUCAGCAAUUUAGCUCCUCUAAGUCAAAGCUUGAAGAUUUCAUGCAAGGCUAUUUCUCCUUUUUUAGGAAAAUAGUUAUUGAAGUACUUAAAUGUAAACAGUCUACUUAAUGGAGGACUAUUUUGUAAAAUAGAGACCUAGGGUUUCCUAGGAUAUAAAAAGAAUGAGAGAAGAGAAGGGGGGAGGCAGCCAAGAAGAGAAAAACGCCCCCUUCCUCUAAGAAACCCUAAAUUAUGCAUUCUUCCUUCUUUUUGAUUAGUUGUUCAACAAACAUGCAAGGCUAAACACUUUUUCUUGGUUGCAAGAACACGGAAACCUUCGGAUUUCAAGAACUGUGAGAUUUAUUUUACCUUUUCUUUUCAGUUUAUAUGAUGAAUAUGUUUGUUCUCCUAUGCUUAUUUUUCCUAUGAUUGUUUAUUUUAAUUGCUAGAGCGGACUCUAAGUUAUUAUUGUAGACAAUCUAUUGUUAAUUUUGAUAUCAAAACCGGAGUUGUGGUAUAUGAACUUGUGAAGCAACUGAGUUUAAUAAUUGUGGCGGAUCUACGUUAUUAAUCUUAGGGAGAACAUUCAAUCAAAUCAAACAUAGACUGCGGACAGUUAUGUUUUCUUGAUUAAUCAACUUAUCUAGUUCUUAAGGCUGCCAUUGAAUUAAAUUACUAGUGCGGACACUGUGGUUGUUUGAUGGUUAGGGCUAGUUAUACGGCGGAUCCGUUAACUAACCAAUGUUAAGAAGAGAUAAAUAUUCAGAAUAUAAAUUGAUGUUUCGUUUCCAUGAUCAGUUCUGAUUUUUGUAGGUGGAUGUGUGCUUCUGACCAAGGUUUGUUCUCUUGAUAAUUUUCUGAUUUUAUUAAAUUUAGUUUGAUAGUUUUCUGUUUUCUUUUGCUUUAGCCUAGAUAAUGUCCAAACCCCCCCAAAUUGCAUAUCAUCUAGCAUAAAAAUCUGACUUGAAUCUUCCUCGUGGGAUCGACCCCUUGCUUGCUCUAUACUAUCUUGUGUGUUGUGUUUGAAGCUAGGGUAAUUAAUUUGUGCGACCGCGACAUCGCAACACUUCCUACAUGGGGUGCGUUGCGUUAACAAUUGUUUUUGUAUUUAUUAACAUAUAUGAUCCUCAAUUGAUUUUAUUAUAUGUAAACAUCAACUUUUUUUAUUCACAAUUAUAUUUUUUUCUCUCGAUAUCUAAAAAUACAUCAACAACACAUAUACAUCCAUUCUUUUGUGUUGGAAAAUAUUAUCUGACCCAUAGCGAAGCGAGUUAAAUAAACACGUCAAUACCUUUUUUUUGUAUUUAUUAUUAGGGUUUUUUUUUGUUAAAAAUACAUUUGAAAAGCAUUCAUAUUUAUUUAUUUUGCUAAAAAACAUUUCUGAUCUAUAGUAAAGUGCGAGUCAAAUAACUACUAAUAUGGCUAUAGUGAGUGUUUUUUUAGUAUAUGUGGAUGUAGGUAGCAAUGUGUUAUAUUAUUAGUUAGAUAUAACUUACCUAUUCAUUAUAAAAAUAAAUAAAUAAAUAUGCUGAAACAAUAUAGUCCCCGAGAGGAAAUAUUGUGAAUUCACACAAUGUUUACUUUCUCUUUUUUUGUCCUUUUUUUAUUUAGUGAUCUUUGAUGAUGAAUUGAUUAAGAUUUGAGAUGGGUACUGUAUUUUUAUUUACCUUUUUUAUAGUUAUCUUGCUCUCAAUAAAACAUCUUGAUAUUAGAACAAUGCUCAAUUUCACAAAAAAAAAAUUAAUGUUUGUAAGAAAUUGAAAAUGAAAAGAUCAAAAUUGAAACAAAUAAAAAACUAUUUAAAAAAAAAAUGGUGUCAACUUUGCCUUUUGUUUUUUGCUUUUGAUCAUCUACUUUUUUUAUAAAAAAAAAAUUAAUAUUUCAAUGCUGUGUUAAUUGGAAUUUGAAGUUGGUAAUUUGAUAUAAGUUGGUAAUUUUAUAUGAGCAUCUAGAACUAAAUAAAAAGCCGCACCAUUGGUUUGGUGCUCGACUUUACAAAAAAAAAAUCGAUUAUAUUGUUUGAGAAAAAAUAAAAAAUAAAAAAUAAAAAUUAAAACAUGAAAAAAAAAAUAAGGGGCCUUAAAAAAACAAAUUGUGUCAACGCCUCCAUGCCUUGUAAUUUUAAUAAAUCUUCUUUUUGGUAAUGAAACUUUUUGAUACAAAACUUUAUUUUACUUGUAUUUUAAUUCUUGAGGUUGAGAAAGAAAAAAGAAAUUCAUCAAAAAAUUAGAAAGAAAAGAGAAAAUUAGCGAAAGCCAGCAAGGUAUCUGCUCGAAAAAACCAUUCAACAUAAGAUUGCUCUGCUAGGAAAACAUGAUAUCAGUAUCAAACUUUUGAACAAAGAGUUCAGCAUCAAGUCUCAGUCAUCUUGAGAUUUGAAUUGCUCAUACAACAACAUUUUUAAUAAUGCAUUAGAAACAGAACAUCAAACAAAGAGUUCAGCAUCAAGGAGAACGCAUGAAAGUCCACACAUUAAACCAAAAGAAACACAAAUGGCCAAGCAAACAUACGCCCUUACUUCUGGAGGCUUGUACGAUAAUGGGCAAGCAUCAUUGUUUUUUUUACUAUUAACCAUCACCAUCACCAUCACCAUCUUCUUCUUCUUAUACUUCUUUCCACCCUUUAUUUCUGGUCCACUCUCUAUUAAUGCUUGAAUCUUCAGCUACUUCAGAUACCUGUAAACCAAUCCAAGCAUGGCAUGCUCAUUUAACUUGUAAAUCUUAUUAUUGAGAGAAACAAGAAACAAACACACUAAAAGAGAGGCAAGAAAUAAAGUUAAAUCAUCAGCAGCACCUCUGAGCGAGCACUCAUUGAACCAUCUGGUGUAGUAGCAAAUUUUGUGGUCAGCUUUGGACAUUGAUGGACCUUCAACUUCUCCAAACGAGGGAAUAAGAAAUAAUCACACCAUCCGAAACUAAAACAGACAAUACUUGAUAAUUGUUGUAGCGACAACUCCUUUAGAUUAGGAAGCACUAUCUCCUUCUCAACGUUGAUAGGUGAAGCUUGAUCAUCCUGCCCAGGAGACUCUGGAAUUAUUUCCCUUUUACCAUCCUCUUCUCUGAUUAUAUGCUUCAAUUGACCGCAUUUACUU
Molecule: long non-coding RNA, 200122 nt
Filed under: Populus trichocarpa (black cottonwood)
Lineage: Eukaryota; Viridiplantae; Streptophyta; Magnoliopsida; Malpighiales; Salicaceae
Description: long non-coding RNA (PTRI_LNC000457)
Rfam family: MIR2912 microRNA precursor family (bases 181263-181418)
Source: RNAcentral